RNAcentral lists this long non-coding RNA (262874 nucleotides) under Ananas comosus (pineapple). RNAcentral's name for it is "long non-coding RNA (ACOM_LNC030934)". The stretch from base 148115 to 148187 matches the Rfam family "tRNA". The record is from RNAcentral. Lineage: Eukaryota; Viridiplantae; Streptophyta; Magnoliopsida; Poales; Bromeliaceae.
UUUGAUGUUGAUAGCUUGGAGAUAGCUUGAUUUUGAGACUCGGACAUUUUCAGUCGAUCCAGCAGGUUGUGCCGCAGCCGAGGGAGUUCCGUACUGCCAGGAAUUGCACUAGAGGUGGGUUAUCAUCGGUGUCGCUCCUAAGUGCAUGUUUAGUCGACGUGUAUAGUUCGGUUCUUAUAUAUCAUGCUUUAAUUCAUCGAUUCGCAUUUUGGAUGUAAUAUGAAUAUAAAAGCAUGCUGAAAUGAAUGUUUAUAUUAUACAUGUUGGACUUGAAAUUGACUUAGGAGAAAACCUGCGUUUUGACCCGUCAUAUGCUUAAACUACCAGAUUUAGCUCUAGGAGGCGAAAUUCGAUUGUAUCGUUGCAGUAUUAGUGCGAUGGAUACCUGGGGUAGUUUAGAUGGCAUUUACGCUCGUGCUGAGGUGCCGAGCUUAUUUUUCAGCAGAGUGUAGGCUGUUUCGGGUCGUUGGGUGCCGUUCGGGUUAGCGGUGGACCCAGAUUCUUGUUUUGGUCACAGAUUGUGCCGAGGGCACGUGGGUUUGGUUUGUAGACCUGUUUUGACCAUGUUUACUUGGCUUUGGCUAGUUGGAGCCUGUUUGAGCUCGACAGAGAUACGCUGCAUACUCGGUUGGGUAGCGCCCACGAGUGCCACUCCGGAGUCAGGCUUUGUGCUUUCGCGUUGGUGUCGCUCAUGCCAGUUGGACUCGCUCUCCACGGACCAGUUGGUGUGGAUAGAGCUGGAUAGUCGCAACGGGGCAGGGACGGGUGUAUUCACAGUCUCUGGGACGGGUAUGCUUACAGUCCCGAUUAGAUUGGGUCAGGUUGGAUAUUUUCUACAGUUGGUUAGUGUAGAGCAUAAUAGUGUAGUGUUUGAUAGCGGUAGACUUCAUUCCUGCAUUUUACUACUAUUCUUGCUUCCUUCUGUAGACUUAGUAGGUGGACCGAUGUUGUUUUGGGCUGUACCCACUGAGGACUACUUGUUUUUACAGUAGUUCUCACGCCCAGUUGUAUCUUAUGUUUUUGCAAGCACAGGUUUCCGCUGCUGCGCCUUCGCGGGUCAGGAUCGAGGCAAGGGCGUCGCGAGUUAGAGCCCUACCCGACGUACUGAGCUAGAGUGUGCUCCUACUGCAGGUAGAUUUUUGUUUCGAUUUAUGUACAUAGUGGACUUAACUCGCUGUGCGAGUUAACUUUGUAUUUUGGAUCUGAACUAUGUAUAUGAAACUCAGUUUGUUAGCUUCUAUUCUCUCUAGCAGCUUCUCUACUACUGUUCGUGUAGUGUUUGAUUUACAGGUACAGCUAUCGCUUCGUAUACAGGGGAAAUUCCUUUGUAUACGGCGGAUUGUCGGCCGGCCCGGAAAAAGUGUAAUCGGGGCGUGACACAUACAUACCAAAUUAUUUUAAUAUUGUAAAAUUUGGUCUUCUUUUUUAUAUAUUUUUUUUAUAUACAAUAGCUUUACUUAUUUUUAAAUAUUAAAAUAAUAAAAGUAAUAUUUUUUUUUUUUUUCCUUAACUGCACAACAGUUAUUUUUUUUCUUAUUUUUUUUUCCCUUCUUUCUUUGAUUGAGGUCUAUUCAACUUUUAUCGUUCUCUCUCUCUCUCUCUCUUUGGGUUUUAAGUUUCUAACGAUCUCUCGCGCGUUUUACUUUUAUCCAUUGCAGGAUGAUGCGCGUCAUAUGAAAAGAGAGGUGGAGGCGGAGUUAUUUUCUCAUUUUUAUUUAAAUUUUUGUAUAAUAUUUAGGUUUAUUUAUACAUCUUUAUUUACAAUUAUUUUACAAAAUUUAAGUUAUAUUUGAAUAAUUCGAAAAUAAUUACGUGUUCCUGAGCUUUGGAUAUGUUUGGCUUCAUGUAUUAUAGACUUGUCUUCUUCUUUGUAGAGUGUCAGGAUUUAUUCGGAGUCGCUUCUGGACUUCGUCAUAGUAUUGAAAAUUUCGGAGCGCAUAAAUAUUUACCCCUAUCGCAAGAAAUGCUCAAUAAUUACUUUUGGGAGGUAUGUUUGAUAUUUAUAUUUAAAUUUUUGAUUGAUUUGUUGAAAAUAAUCGAUAUACAUACAUGACUAAUUAUUCACAAUAAUAAUUAUUUUUUAGUUUAAAAGAAUCAUAAUAUGUAUCAUACUUCACAAGUUCUAAAAAAUUACUUUUCAAAUUUAGUCACUUUAAAUCCUUCAAAAAAUAACCUUACAGAAUUAGUCAUUAAGAAUUUGAAAUAAAAUUAAUUUUCUUCGCCAUUUCAAUAUUGUGUAUUAAAAAAUAUAUAAAUAAUAAUUACGUUAAAUUUUUAAUGGAUUUGAGCCUUUUUACUUUUUCAUUUUAAAAUCUUUUCAUUUUAAAUUAUUUACUUACAAUCUAUUAGUAUAUCAUGAUAGUAUUUAUUUUAAUUUGAUUCAAUAAUUUUUCUAAUAAAAGCUUAAUAUGUAAAAAUUAAUAUAUAUUAUAUAAAAAAUGUAAUUAAAAGAUAAAUUUAAAAUCCGUGCAUUUCGCGGGUUAGUUGCUGGUUAAACUUAAACUCACGAAUCGAAGUUAUUUUCAUAAUUAUACUUUCUACAACUGACACAUAUUCAAUCCGAUAGAAAAAUGGAUCAUCAUUUUGAUGGUAAUAGCUGCAGGAACUGAAAUUUCAAAUGUCAUGCAUCUGUCGUCACAUAAACCUACCAUUUAGAGGGUGUCAGUAAUAUUCAACUCAAUAAAAAACUUUUUGUCGCGACUGCACAUGAUUUUAUUAUGCACCAUUUAUAAAAUUUCGAAGUCCAAAAUGUCGUUGACCGACUCAAAUUAAACAAAUCAAAAAUUUUGAUAAUAAUACCAAAAUUUUGAAACAUCGAAUAACUAAAUCCAAAUGUUUCGUAGUUCAUAUAAGUUCCUUAUAAAAACUGCAUGAUAAAAUCAUGCGCCUUUAUAAAAAUUUCGAUGCCCAAAGUAUCGUUGACCGAUUCAAAUUAAAUAAAUUAAAAAAUUAGAUAAUAAAAUUAAAAUUUUGAAAAAUUGAAUAGUUAAAUCCAAAUAUUUUCAUACGUCAUGUAAGUUCCGUAUGUUUUUUUUUUAUUUUCUAAUAAAAAUAAAUGAAUUUAUUAUAAAAGUUGCAUGACGUGUACGGAUACGCCGGGUACAGGAAAAUAUUGCUCCGUCCCGUUUCGCGUGCUAACGGAGACUUGACGGCGACCGUUUGUGGGGCCCACACUAUUUCUUUUUUUUUUUUUCUUUUUAAAUAUUCUGUCUCACGAUGGGCAGGCACUAAAGUCCUGGCCAGUGAUAUUCCGGCAAGUAAAGUAUCUCUCUCUCUCUAUCUCUAAUUAAUUAAUUUGGAUAAAAUGUUUAAAAGUCCCUGUAUUAUCUCAACUUGCAAUUUUGGUCCCAUGGUCCUUUUUUUUUUGGGAAAAACUUCAAAUACCACCCUGUGGUUAUCACACUUUCUCACUUUAGUGCCCUGUGGUUUUAAGUGUAUCAAUUUAGUGCCGUGUGAUUUUCUUUUUAUCUUUUUAUUAUCGAUUCCACUAAUUUUUUUCGUUAAAUUAGUGACAAAGUUAAAACUAUAGAGUACUAAAGUAAAUAUUCGAUAAAUCUAGAUGGGGUAUUUGAAGUUUUUUGUAUAUAAUCUAACGAAUGAGAUGUUAACGGAAAAACUGACGAAAAGAUAAAAAUGAAACCAUAGGACACUAACUUAAUACACUUUAAACCGCAUGGUACCAAAGUGAGAAAGUGCGAAACCACAUGGGUGGUAUUUAAAGUUUACUUUUUUAAAAGUAAAAAUGUAUAGAACUUAUCCUAACUAUGAACCAUUUUAAAGCGUAAACUUCAAAUACCAUUCCUGUGAUUUCGCACUUUCUCACUUUAGUACCCUAUGGUUUAAAGUGUAUCAAGUUAGUAUCUUGUGAUUUUAUUUUUGUCUUUUCCUCAGUUUUUUCGUUAAUAUUUCGUUAAAUUAUAUACAAAAAAUUUCAGAUACCCCACAUAGGUUCAUUGAAUAUUCACUUUAGUACGAUUUAAUUUAACUUUGUUGAUUUAACGAAAAAAAAUAGUGGAAUUGAUAAUAAAAAGAUAAAAAUAAAACCACAGGACACUAAAUUGACACGCUUUAAACCAUAUGGUACUAAAGUGAGAAAGUGUGAAACCACAGGGUGGUAUUUGACGUUUUCCCCAUUUCAUCUAAUUUCUUAUUAUAAUUAGUUUGUAGUCGCGAGAAUUGCAUAAAUUAUACUAACUAAAUCUGUAAAAAUAAAUAACGUGUUGAAAUUUUAAAGUCACGAAACCGUUGGCUGACUUAAAUCAAACAAAUUGAAAGAUUGGAGAGUAAAAUUAAAAUUUUGAAAAGUCGAAUAUAAAAAUCAAAAUAAUUCAUGGCUCAGAUACAUUCUCUACGAUUUUAUCUGUUUUUUCUUUUCUUUUCUUUUCUUUUUUUGAAGAUGUCGGUAGGCCAUUUGCAUGCACACGCACAUCGUGCUCAAAGCCUGAUUCGAUUUUGAGUCGGUGAUUGUUAAUCUCUGUAUAUUUUACUUAGAUACUUGGAUUUUGAAAAAAUUAAUUUUCAUUAUAAAAUAAACAAUUUAUUUCUACUCAUUUAAAUUGAUCGUUCAGUUAAAUUAAAUAUAGUUUUUUUUAUUAAAUUUUAUAAUUUUACUAGCUUUUAGUUAACAAAAAUGUAGAUUCCAACAUCCCCUUCCCCAUGGAGUCUUUUGUUACCACAAAAUCUCUGAUUCAAAUGAUUAAAAUAACUCAAAUAAAAUAACAAGUGUUCAGAUAAAUAGUAUAUGGACCGACAUCAGAAUAUUGAUGGUACAGGGACUAUCCACACAUUUUAUCCUUCAACAAUACAAAGAACCUAAUACUCACAUGUGAGGCUAAGUAACAAUUAUAAGUUAAUCCCCCCAAGUUGCAUUAUUUAUUUAUUUAUUUAUUUUGUGGUGGGGUGGUGGAGAGUACACCAGAUGAACUGUACCCACUUUUUUUUUUUUUCCCCAUUAUAAUAAUCUUUGUGGGUAGGGGAAUAUGAUAGUGAUUAGCCUCUUAAUUAUUUGUGCUCUUAUUUUAAAAAAAAUAUAAAUUUAAAAUUAUUAUUAUUAUUAUUAUUAUUAUUAUUAUUUUCAGUUCAAGAUGUUUAUAGGAUGCUCUGGAUUGUGAUGUCCAGGUAGGAAGUCAAUUGCAGGGAAAAAGCCAAGGAAAAAGUCACCACCAUUAAUUAGCUUGUGCAUUUGUAGGUUCAAUUAAUAAUUAGUUUAAUUUUUAAUUAUUAUUAUUAUUAUUAUUUAUUUUAUUUUCUAGGGUUUCUCAUUGCUUGUUGGUGUGGGGCAGAGGAGCAAGUUAGGGCAAGAGGGGGCAGUAUUAUAUCAAGAGGUGGAAUCACUCAUUGGCAUGUGGUGAUGCAAUUAGAAAUAUAUAUAUACAUAUAUAUAUAUAUAUAAAUUAUAAAUCAUUACCUAUGAAUAUAUGUAUUAAAAUAAUAAUAUUAUCGGUAUCUCAAAAUGUACCCUAAACUAGAACUGUUGAAUUUGCUUUGUGCGUGUAGCAACCAGUUAGUCCGUUACUUUUCAGAAUAGACAGAAAACUUAUUUUAAAGUACAUUAUUGUUAACUUCUGAUCACAUUUCUUAUUUAUCAACUGCUGUAAAACUCUUGAUUAAACAAGACGAGAGAUAUGCCAGACAUGUUAAGACAUUCAAAUAGGCCUUUUACACAUGAAAUCUGAAUAGUUAAGUCACCGACUAAUACUCAAAUGUAUAAAACUGACUCAUCAACUGCAUUCAGUGUUUAUUUAGUCAAUACUUGGAGAGAGAGAGAGAGAGAGAAUAAUUAUUAAUUAGGAUUGUGGUCUCCUGGGAAUCACAAAGGGGCAAGAUUCCUUAAUCCUCUCCAUCUGCAUUAAUUAAGAAGAGAAACUUGUGUUGGGUGUGUUGAAGAAGUCCCUUUCAGGGGCCAAAGGGGAGCAAGAGCUUACUUGUCCUCUUUGGCAACCUAAAAUUAAGAAGGACAAAAUAAAAACAAAAUUAUAUAAUAUAAGAAAAAGAAGUGGAAUGGUGGAAGGAACUUGUUGUGGAGUUGUUAGCAUGUUAAGAGUUUGGUGAAGGCCAUUUUUUGCCAAUAAAAUUCAUGUGUUUAAUUAAGCUUAAAAUUUUUAAUUUGCUUGCUUUUUUUUUUUUUUUUUCAAGUGCAAUAUGUGCUACUUAUUUUAUCUUGUUUUUGUCUACCAGUUAGAAAUGAUUUACAUGAGCUUAUAUGUGUUCAACCAAUCACAAGGUAGUAGGGUUUUUUUUGCUUAGUUCAUGUUCAUGUACCCACUAAAACAUAAAUAUUUUUUUUUCUUAUAUAAUUAUAGAGUCAGACUAAAAUACUUCGGUCCUUUCAAACGAUGAAAAAUCUGAAUUGACGAUCAGCAUCGUCAAACACGACUUAAGCUAUUUGAACUUUUUAGAAAUUAAAUUUUAUAAUUUUAAAAUAUCUUUUGUUCUAGCUUUAAAUUCAUUUUAUAUUGGACAUUAAAAAUUUUAAAUUUUUAGACCACUCGAAUACUAGACAAAUACUAUAAUAAAACUACAAAAUUCAAAACCUAAGAAGUUCAGAUAGUCUCGAUUAAGUUUGACGGUGUGGAUCAAUAAGUCAAAUAAUUUAUUGCCGGAAAUUAAAUAAUGCGAAACUUAACGACCUCGUUUACUUCCAGAAGUAUUGCAGCCUGACUAAUCUGUAUUUACAUGCAUAUGUAUGCUCCUUAAUUGCGCAAGUUGCACUGUAAAUCGUUUCAACAAUUUGAUUAGGUAUUUUCGUGAAAAACAGUUUCGUUUAUUAUUAUUUUUUUAAUUUUUUAGAUGCUAGUAGCAAGAAAAUAUGAAUGAGGAUCUACUCAUCUAGAUAUUAUUCAAGUGUAGCCAAAUGAUAUAACAUAUUAACAUGGCUUAUUUUCUUCUAGCCUCUAACAUAGAGAGCUUAAAAAUUUGAACCUUUAUGUGUAAUAAUAUUAUCCAUGUUAGAAUAAUAAGGGAUAUAUACUUAUUAGGGGAUAAUAGGAUACUUAUAGGGCAAUAGGAACACUUGUAGUCAAUUUUUUGUGUGCUUAAUUAGUUUCAUAUAUAUUCUAAUUUGGACAUUUUUUCCCCUAAAAUUUUCCACUAUAAAGUGUAUGAUUAGGGCUAAAUUAAAAAUGUUAGCAUGACAGCUACAUAUAUACCAUAAUGUUCUUAAUAUGAAUUUUUUUUUUCCCAAAACACACUUAGUGAUUAUAAUAUUUUGGAACUAACAUUAAUUAUGAAAGGAGAAUUAAUCCACACAUUGCAUUACAACUUUGGACACUAAAAGUGAUUCAAUAAGUUAUAUGAAGAUUUUUUUUUUUUCUUGUUGUGGUUAAUGUUAGCAUAGGUGUGAAUAAUAGAAAUAAUUGGGCAAGAUAUAGAGUAAUGCCAUACACCUAAUAUGAUAAAGCUUAUAAUAAAAAAUCAUGGACUGUUGCCUUUUCUAUUAACACAUAAACCGAAAGAGAAUUAUAAGUAACUCUAAAACCUAAAUCCUAAACCCUGAUUGAAAUCAUAAAUAUGUACCGGUAGUUAAUACUAGAAAACGUUUAUUUUUUCUGCGGGUGGUAAUAUGUUUAUGCAGAAAAACUAUUUUCUUUCUUUGAAUCAUAAAAUGUGUUUACUUUGACUUGAUAUGAUUUGGUAAUCUAUCAUUUUAACAAUUCUAGUUGCUUAAUCAAAUAAAUUGAAUAAAAUUUUCAUUUUGCUUCCAAGAUAGUACAAAAAAAUAUUUAGUAUUUUUGUUACUAUCAAGAAAUAUGAUUAUAUAAAUGUUCAAGAAAUAUGAUUCUAAUUAUGCUCUUUUAUGAGAGUUCAAAUGUCAUAAACUAUUAGAUAUGCUCAUAUCCAUAACUUUUUUUUAAAAAAAUUUUGGUAACCUCAUGAUUCACACUUACCUAUUAAUGGAAAUUAAAAUUAUUGUAGAGUAUGAUUAUAAGUAGUGAAGUGUAGCUUUAUUCCAAUAAUAAUAAAAGUACUUUGAUACUAGAGAGUCAAAGCCAUUGUAUAAAAGAUAUUAUUGAAAUAAAUCACAUUAUUGAAAUAAAUCACAACUCAUAAAAAAAAAGGUUAAAGUGCAUGAUUUUAUAUUCAUUUUGAUUAUCUCAUAAUCCAGAGAAUAAUAUACUAUUUACAAGAGCAUUUUAAGAUCAUCUUUUAUUGGAUAAACAAAAUUUAGAGAAUCUUUUUUGAUUUGCUUUGCAUAAUUUUAAUCAAUCAUAUGUUAGUUGUAUGCAAGUCUUGUACACAAGAAGAAGAAUAUUUAGAUUGACAUAUAUGACUUUUUGAAAGUAAUAUAAAAUAGUCCCAAAAAAUAAUAAAUAGGAUAAACAAUAAAUUUAUAUACUAAGAUAACUCAACAUAUUUUUCUCAUGACUAAUAGGAUAUAUAAAGAAUCUUCUUUCAACUAGAAACAAAUACAGUGCUGUAAAAUAUAAUGUUGAGUUAAAAAUGUUUGCAACAUUUUAAGUGAGAUUUAAGUUUGAUUUUUAGGGUAAAACAUAUAGAUCGUUCUGUGCAAAAAGUUAUUUAUACAAUAAAGUAAGUUAAUUUAGAUAAAAAGAUACAGAACUUAUCUAAACUAUAGGCCAUUUUGAAUCGACUAUUUAACAUUUUAAAAUUUCAAUUUUACUACCCGACCUUUCAUUUUAUUAAUUUGAAUCAUUCAACGGUACUUUGACUUUAAAAUUUAAGCCAAUCAUUUACUUUAAUAAAUUUACAGUUACGAGAAUCGUAUAAAGUAUACUAACUAAAUGUGUAAAGAUAAAUGAUGCAUUCGAAUUUUAAAGUAAAAAAUACUGUUGACUGACUCAAAUCAAACAAAUUGAAAAUUGAUAAUAAAAUUAAAUUUUGAACAAUUGAACAGCCAAAUAAAAAUAGUUCAUAGUUCAGAUAAGUUUUGUACUUAUUCAUCACGAACUUACCCAACCCGAAUCCUAUUUGAUGUAGCGGUCGCAAAGGGUCGGUAAUACCGGUUUCGGGCUGGGUUUAGCUUCGUAUAAUUGUGUCUAUGUAGGUCGCGACCCGAACCCGACUUGGACCUGUUUCGAGUAAUAAAGAGAAGAGCGAACUGAAACCCAAGUGGGUCGGAUCCUGAGAUGAAACCUGACCCGCCAACCAUUUAAAUUUUGUAAACAAUGUAUUAACCAAUGAAUCCAUCAAGCACUACUAAAUCGUAUCCAAUCCAAUCCAACUUGUCGACCCGUCAAACCCGACCCAACCCAAUCCACCAAUGAAUCGACCUAACCCGAACGAGCCUAUCGAUUGAUCUAUCCGAUUUGUUAACCUGGUAAGUUUAGGUUGAUCCGACCCAACUCUGCGAACCCUGCCCUUUUCAAUCAAGUUACAGUAAUAAAAAAUUAUUCAAAAUCAGCUCGAAAAUCAUUCGGGUUUAUGAGCUUUUUCGACCCGACCCGAUUAGAUUUUCAAAAUGGAUGAUCCGAAACCAAGCCAAAUCGGAUGCUGUAUUUUUUUUGGGGGGUUAAUUUCUUACAGGUCCUUACAAACAUAAUGAAUUAUAAAUACAUCCCUACAAAGUUCAACUUUUAUAUGUUGUCCCUGCAAAAGUUCUAAUAUUUUUAAAUAUGUCUCUCUGGUUUGUUACCGUUAAAACACUAUUUAUUUUAUAAGUGAAUGAAUUUUUUGCCAUCACAAAUAUGCCUCUCCAAAAAUUCCAACUAUUAAUUAAAAAGAGGUAAAAAUAUCAAUUCACAUCAUUAACUAAAUAGAGUUAAGUAUUUUAUCUAUGGUUAACUAAUUUUUUCUAACCGAUCAUAACGGCAGGGACAUAUUUGAAAAGAUCAUGACUUUUGCAAAGACAAUCUAUAAAAGUUGAAGUUUAUAAGGAUAUAUUUAUAAUUCACUGUAUUUGUAGGGAUAUAUAUGAAAUUAACCCUUUGUUUACUACCCCUUUCACCACAACCUUCCUCCAAUGUACUUUUUUUGGUAUUAUGAUACUAGGCCUAACAUGGGGUUUCAUUUGCAUGGCCCAUUUAUGGCCCAUUGUUAGCCCAAUAUUUCUUUAUUUAUAUAUCCUUGUGUGUAGUUUCCCGUUUCCUUUAUGGGCCGAGGCAUAUUUGAAGCGGAUUAAUUUUUAUCUUAUUUUUUGCUUCUACUUCUCAUUCCAUUUAGAGGGGACUGGACGGAACGGGAGCGAGUUUUGGACGGAGUCCCCCCACCUCCCACUUCAUUUCUUAGCAGAUCGUGACAAAGUCAAAGCGAAUUAUUAUUAUUAUUUUUAUUAUUUUUGGGCCCAACUUAUUAUCCUAUUCAGGACAGAUCAGGGUAGUAGCUCCACCGAUACAAAUCUAUGUGCAUUUCCUGGUCCAAUCCAAUCGCUCACUAUUAGAGAGAUAGGGGUGGAACUGGGCCUGGGCCUAAAAGAUGCGGCGCGAUUGGCCAUGUAUAGGCCGGGCUUUGGAUAUCAAAGUUAUUACUUUGGGUCUAGGCCUAUUUGGACAUGUCCAACCCCGGCCCGGACUCGCUCCGAAAGCCCGGUAUAUUAGUUAUCAACAUAAGAUACUUAAUAUUCAUAACAAGUGAUAAAGUGCUUGGUGGUUGGUAUCUGAGGUCCCAAGUUCGAAUCUUAGUUAUCACAUUUCAAGCUAAGUUUAUUUCUAAAUGAAAUAAACGAAUUGAGUAGCGUCUCAAAACAUAAGAUACUUAAUUUUUUAUGUAUAAUAUAUUUACCCAUAUUAGAAAUGAAUGAUAAGUAUAGUAUUAUUAAGAUAUAUAUUAAUAUAUACGAGAAUAUGUUAUACAGAUAACUAAAUAUCUAGUUUCCAUUUGAGGAUAUAUUAUAAAUAGGGAAAACUUAAAUACCCUCCUGUAGUUUCGCACUUUCUCACUUUAGUACCAUAUGGUUUAAAGUGUAUCAAGUUAACAUGUGGUUUCAUUUUUCUCUUUUUAUUAUCCAUUUUGGAGUAUUUUUUUCAUUAAAUCAGUGACAAAGUUAAAACUAAAGGGUACUAAAAUGAAUAUUCGAUAAAUCUAGGUAAGGUAUUUGAAGUUUUUUAUAUAUAAUUUAACGAAAUAUUAAACCACAUGGUGCUAAAGUGAGAAAGUGCAAAACCACAAAGUACUAACUUGAUACACUUUAAACCACAGGGUACUAAAGUGCAAAAGUGCGAAACCACGGGGUACUAACUUGAUUCACUUUAAAUCACAGGGUACUAAAGUAAGAAAGUGAGAAACCACAGGGGAGUAUUUAAAGUUUUUCCUUAUAAAUAAGAGCUAGGCUGGUAUACUAUCGGUAGCACAGAGACCUACGUGCUACCAGUUAUUUUCAAUGAUACGGCUUCCAAAUCGAUCGCGUUAGACUUGAUUUACACUAUUAAAAGUAUUUGAAAACUAAAUUUCAUAAUUUUUCCACAUCAUUUGGCUCAAUUCUAGCCCUAAUUAGAGAACAGUAUUUUAGUAUUUUAUAUUUAAUAUUUAGAGCUUGAACUUACAUAUUUAAAUUUUACCUCUUGUAUAUUCGCAAAAUACCCUUCUAAAAUCCAAAUACCAUUAAUAAACCCUUGAAUUAGGGGUAUAUUUGAAUUUCUUUUUGCAAAUUAGUAAGGGCAUUUUAGUCCACUAGAAAUAUAUUAUAUAUUUUUAAAAUUUUGAAAAGCAUAUUAGAUAUUAUGCCUUAAUAAUAUUUUAUUUCAUAUAUGAUCUCUAGAUUUUUUAUUGCAAUAAGAGAGGCCAUUUGCCAAUUAGGGGGUCUCCUUGUUAGGGGAUUUAUUAAAGCAAUAAGUUGGAUUAUGAAUAACUUAAUGAUAUAUGCCUUUGAGUUAUUAAUUAAUACUAAACAUAUUUUAGUGACAAAUUUAGAGACCGCGAAAUGCAGUGGAUACUAAAGAGGUGCAAACAAUAUUGUCAUGCUCAAAAACUCAAUUUUAAAAGUUAAUUUCAUUAUUAAAUAAGUACUAACCAUAGUUUUUGUAAUUACGUCACUAAUUUUUACUAUUUAUUGCAUUUAAAUUCGUCUAAGGCUUCGUUUGUGAUUGCGGGGAGAUUGCGUUACGUGCGGUGAGAAACUACAGAUGUGAAAAUACCCUGUUUGUUUCAGUACGUAAUAUUGCGUUCUGCAUAUUGCAGUUAAUCGGUUACGAUAUAUUUUCUGCGGUCCCAUCGGAGAACGCAGAAGUAUUACAUUCUAUCUAAUAGCAUUACAUUGAACUCAAUACCAAACUAAGCCUUAGUAGAAAAAUCGUUAAAUCAGAAAAAAUUUGCCACGUGGUAUAGUUUAUGGUGGAUUGUUGGCGCUAAACAUAAAUUUUAAAAACUUGAGGUAUUAAAAAGAUUCAACAAAUUCACUUUAGAGUGUACUUGGUUCAAAGUCGGAAUCGGUAUAAGAAUCGAAAUGAAAAUAAGUCGGAAAUGAAAUCGGAAUGAUUCAUUACCUCAUUUUGUUUGGUUCGCCAUCUGAUUUGGAAUUGAAAUGAACUAUUUCCAUUGUCGGUGUUUGGUUUAGAUAGUUAUCAGAAACGAAAUUAAAUUAAUAUGCUGAUUUUAUCUUUAUAAUAUAUUAGUUUAAAUUCAAACUGGAAAUUAAAUAUUAAAAAUUUACAUCAAAAUUUUAAAAUGAUGUCAAAAUUUCAAAUAUAUUUAAAAAAAAUAAAAUUUGAAAUUGAACGGAUAGUUCAAAAUAUAAAACUAGGUUCAAAUUAAAAUUUAAAUUUAUAAAUAUAAUUUUUAAACUUAGGUUAAACUUACAUUUGAAAAGCUUAAAAAGGUUAAAUUUAAUCUGAACAUAUCCAUUUCGCUCGAAUUCAAUUUUCAAUCCGGCCUCUUAAGCCGGAUUGAAAAAAAUAGGUAAUUGGGGGAAUCCCAUUCACCUGAAAUGGGAAUCAGAAUAAAAUUUUCACAUAUCAAAUACGGACAAACGGAUUUAUCCAUUCCGAUUCCGAAUCCACGAUGAAAAAUAGACGAACCAAACACGCCCUAAAGUGUACAAACACAGCAACUCCCAGCAGUUUCAACAUGACUUGAUCCAAUCGAGUCUCCCACCUUUUCGAAUAUGACUCGGCCUAAUCUGGCUUUCCGUUACAGAGCAGAAUGCCGACAUCUUGUAAUAACAGUUUAAUGCUGGCGUGACGGUUGGAGUUAAAAUUAACGACGUGGUUCUGGAUGUAAAUUUUGUCAAAACAAAUAAUAAAUGUUAGUAAAUCUGUUGUUGAUUAUUAUGAUGUUAAGAUUGGGACAGAAAAGUUUGAGACAAACAAAUAUUUUAAAGGAAAAACUUCAAAUACCACUCCUAGAGUUUUACACUUUCUCACUUUAGUACUCUGUGAUUUAAAGUGUAUCAAUUUAGUGCCUGUGGUUUUAUUUUUAUUUUUUUAUUAUCGAUUUCACUAAUUUUUUUCGUUAAAUUAGUGACAAAGUUAAAACUAAAGACUACUAAAGUGAAUAUUCGAUUAACCUAAGUAGGGGUAUCUGAAGUUUUUUUUUAUAUAAUUUAACAAAAUAUUAAUAAAAAAACUGACGGUAAGAUAAAAAUAAAAAAACAGUAUACUAAUUUAAUACAUUUUAAAUCACAUGAUACUAAAGUGAAAAAGUACGAAACACAUGGUGGUAUUUGAAGUUUACCAGGAUGAGUCACACGGCUCAGCAAAUUGCUUCAACGAAAUCUCGCCGAAGAGCUACUCAAUGAACGGUUGGGAUUGAGUACAGUUGUACAAUUAAGAGUGGAUCACAAGGUGGUCCACGGAUAACGACGUGGACCCGGUUCAGGGAAUAUAUUAUAUAGCUCCGCGAAAAUAUCUCCCGCCACGUGGCAUGCAACAGCCAAUGAGGUCCAUCCGAUGACGGUGACCCACAAAAAUCACACAAAACCCUUCUUCAUUAUGAAACAAACACUCUAAAAAUAAAUUAAGUUAUUAUUAAUUUAAAAACCAUCACUAUCACCUUUUGUACGUAAAAUUGUAUGGAACCCCUUUGAGUAUUUACUAUUUCGAAAUUAGGUGUCAACUUUUAAUUAUUUUAUUAAGACUCAACUUUUUGAUUUUUUUAAAAUUGAUAAUUUUACUAAAUUUAAUAAUAUUAAAUACUUUACAGUAAAAUAAAAUUAGACUAAUUUUAUAGUUAGUGACUAAUGGUAUUAUUAAACUUCAUAAAAAUUUUAGUGAACUAGAUAUAAAAUUCAAAAAAAUAGAAUUUGAAGGAAUUAAGAUAACAAAAUUCCUAACAAUAGGUUCUUGCGGCAUGAGUAUCACUUCUGUAAAAAUAAGACAAAAAAAAACCUAUAUUUUGAUUUUUUCAAUAUACUUGAGGACUUUUUUAAUUUAAAUAUUUAAAAUUUAAAAUUUAUCAAAUGUCCUUGUAAAAAAUUAAUUUGGCCAAAUAAGCUUAUUUUGUUCAAACAGUUUAUCUUUUUUAAUGAAAUUUAUUAUUUUUAAUGAAAUUUAAAAGACGUGAAUAUGAUGAAUGAUUCACUAUUUUUUUCACUAUUUUUUAUUUUUUAUAUAUAAUCUUAACAAUUAUAUAAAGAUAUUGACAAAUUAUAUAUAAUUCUAACUAUCUAAAAUAUUUUAACAAUUUAUUCACAUAAAUCUAACAAGAAAAUAAGAAUUCUAUUAAUCCCAGGGACUAUCCCGACAUUUUCACCCUUUGUAUAUAUAUACAAUACCACCCCCACCGAUGUUCGAUUCUUAUUUGUAUUCCUCGCCAUCUCCUCUCUCUCUCUCUCUCUCCAUCUCUCUCUCUCUCUCUCUCUCCCCCUCUCCUCGACGUGGUAGGGAUCGGGAGCUCCGCCGCGGGAGGUGGUGGCGAUGUCGCAACCUGCGGCUGUGGCGGCGGCGGCGGCGGCGCCGCCGCCGGGGGCGGGGCGGCCGGGGAGGCCGGCGCAGGGCGGCUUCGGGCAAACAGUGUCGGGGAUUGUGCGGAUGGCGGUGUUCUGGUACUUCGCCUCCAAGUUCUUCUCCCCCAAGAGGCCCUCCGAACCCUCGGUGCUCAUCUCCAACCUCUUCCAAAAGGGCGAGACCCUGGUGAGUGUCCCAAACCCGUCGCAGGAUGAUCUGAGCCCGUGAUUUGGUACUUGGAUUGAUCGAUCCGAGAUCUUAGGGCAAUUUGUUCUGUUGUUGUGAUGGAUUGGGUGUGGGUGAUUGAUUUGAGUUUGUGGGAAUUGUAGGGAAUGGGAUCGUGAAAUCGUUUUAGUAUGUGGGGUUGUUUGAUUUGGAAUCUCGAUCUAGUAUGGGAAUUGCUAGGGUUUUAGGUAGGAUUAUAGGAUUGUUGAGAAAAGUGCUGAUUUUGUGUGUGUCGUUUCUUUGUUCAUUUGUAUAUAUAUUUUUUGGCCAUAUAAGCAUUUGAAAAAGGUAGCUAUUUGUGGCUAAACUCAGUUCUCUAUGUAGUUCAGAAGUGUAUGGUCUUUAUUUUGAAUAUUGAUGAACCCAUCAGCAAGGUUAUAUGCCUUAUGAGUUUGAACUUUGGAUUGCUAUGCUGAUGAGAGAGAAUCUAGUUGACAAGUUUUUCCCUAUUUAUCAAUCAGGGCUAUGAUCGUAGGUUCUGAGCUCAAUCUUCAUGUUGCAGUUAGUUUAGGCAGGUCUUGAGACUCUAAACAAUCACCUGAAAGAAGAAAACUUAAGACUUGAUGGAUUUAAGGACAAGCUUUUACUAGUCCUCCAUGUUAUGUGAGAAAAUGUCGUGAGGCAUUGUUUGAUGUUUAAGUGUGACCAAAACUUUGUGUACUUGAUAUAAGCAUUGCAUUACCAAAAUACCCUGGUCAGGAUGUUGGUAGGAAGAUCAGAAGAGAAAGGAAGAGGUUUUUUAGUAGAUGUUAUUUAGUCUUAAGGCGUCGGAAAGAGACCACCUUUACAGCCUUUUAUGUAUGUUAAUAUUGCUGAAUUUCAGCUGUGUCUUGGAAACUAGCUUGACUGAGACCCUGCUUGUAAACUCAGUGAAGCCCAAACUGUGAGGCGGUUACUUGAUUUUUGGGGUUCUUAGAAAAAGGAAAGGGGGUAGAAAAUUGAUGAAGCUUUAAAGCUUUUGAGUCUUCGGGGAAGUUUGAAGUUAUAUCUUUAGAUUUGAAUUGAGUUUGGUGAAGCCAUAGUUGAAAGCAUUUCUUAUCGCACCUAAAGGCAUUUCUUCUCAAAUGAUUCUUGAAGAAGGAAGAAAAAAAUAAUAGUAAGAACCUUUUUAAGAUAUAUUUUAUCAACAUACCAUUUAUGUACACUGAGACCAACUUAGAGUUUGCCUAUCUGACGGAUAGUGUUGAAAUGGCUUCAGAUGCACAAGUCAGUGCCCACAGAUCUCAUUUUAAAACACUUGUAAUUUUCUACUAUUUAGACUAUUUUGCCACUUUGGCAUCAUACAAAUUUCUUAUAGGAACUCAUCUGGAAUUCUUUCAUCAAUAAGUAUGUAUUAAAUUGCAGUGUCUCAGCGCCGACAGGCACUUGCUUGUUAUUUACCUUCGUGUAUAUAAUUUACUUUGGACACAUUUUGAAUACUGUAUAUUGUAACUAUUUACCGUCAUUGGUUGAUAUGUUAAUUGCUUCUUCCUAUCUCAGGAUAUGUGGCUAUAUUUAUCUGAAAAGGAAACGUUCAACGACUUCAAUGAUGAAGAGGCCCUCGUUUGGCAUGAGACAAAUGUGCCAUAUGCUAUAUGGGGACCUGCUAGCACCAGAUCUCAUUCAAUGACAUAUUAUCCAUCGGAGGUAAUGAUUGAUAGAUCGCACUGUUAUGAGUAUCUUACCCCUAUACUUUUGUGAGUAGUUCAAAAUGGUUGAGGAGUUGAGGGGGUCAUCCUACACUUUUACCUUUCUCUUAAAUUUAAAGUUAUAAAUUAAUUUUCAACUAUUUGCAUUAUGGGUAUUGUAGGCCUUGAAACAUAAUGGGAGCCUCUAUGCGCAUGUUUUCUUUGCCCGCUCUGGCUACCCAGCAGAUCCUAGUGAUCCUGAGUAUGAUCCGAAAUCUGCCUUUGGGAGGACACAUCGUAAGGAUUAUUAUUAUUUUUUUUAAGGCUAUCUCCUUAUGCAAUUAGUGUAAUUUUUAGUUACCUUAGCUUGCUCAAUUUUCUCUUUUAGCUGUUGUGGUGUUCCUGCCAAAGUCGAAAGUGGACAAAAGGAAGAGCUUACUGGGAGAUUCUAAGAGUUCAUCGGAAGAGGAGCCACUUCCCAAGGUUUCCCUUACUCUUAUUGCUCUCUUUGUUUUGCAUUCAGCUGUCAUAUUGGCUUUUCCUAUUUUGUGGCUCUAGUAUUCUUUGAUUGCUGGCUGUACUUUUAGUAGCUUUGUUCUGCUUGUCUCCUUCGUUAAUCUGUUUUUCAAAAAAAGUUAAUUAUAUCGUCACUCUUGUGCUUGAGGAACAAAACUGUCUAUCCGUCUUUCUUCUUUGUUUUGUUGUUAGAGAUGAUAUAACCCCAUCAUUGUUCUCACAGGAUGAUGAUACACAGCUUGAAGCUAAAGAUGAAGGUCCUUUAGAAUUUGUUUCAUAUUGGAAGCCCAAUAUCACCAUUAAUCUCGUUGAUGAUUUUACCCGGUAUGUUUUCAAGGAACGGUUACUGGUUUUCUUGCUUAAAGAUGAGUGAACUAAGUGAUCAUGUAAAAUGCUGCACCAAUCUUAUUUUGAUUUGUUGUGUCAACACAUAUUGUAGCAUUUUCAUAAUCUGUAAAUAUCGACCUAAGUUUAUUCUGCAGUAGUAUUCAUUCUUGAUGUUUUGAUUCAUUCACUUAUAUUACGUUGUCUUUUUGCUACUCUGAUUACUUGUUUGAUAUCCUAUCAGUUUUUCUUUUUUGAUUACAAAUUCAGGUACCCUCAUAACAACAUUCCUCAAACGGUUGCUGGUCGUAUCCUUGUACCUCAAUACCUUUGUUUUAUAUGCAGCUAGACGGUAUUUCUUUGGAAUUUCACUAUCUACGUAUUGAUAGUGAAAUACGGAAUAACUGUUUUGUUUGCUAGCCAUCUUAAUCUUGAACUUGUGUAUACUACUUUUCACUAUAUGUAUAAUAAUUACCCAAACUUUCUUCUCUUGUUCGGUUUGUUUAUCUGCUAUUAUUUCCUUUUGUGUAUACCAUACCAUAGCCCUCACUUAAAGCUGUCAGAAUCCCCCCAUACAAAAAAAUAAAAUAAAAAAAAAUGCUGAGAGGAAAAUUGAAGUCAGACAACUUAUUUAAACUCGGUUGGUCUUUUUUCCAAUCAUUUUGGUAGACAAUUUUGUUUUUGACGAAUUAGUAAGUACAUAAUACUAGCACACAUGUUUGUAAAAAUCUUGUAUAUGAUGCUUUUAAAUGUUUGCUCCCUUCUUGAAAUUGCUUUUUAAUCAAUUUUUAUGAAAAUUUCAUUUGUAUAUAAUGUCUGAUAUACAAAAAUGAGAACUAGAAAAGUUUUCCUUUACAUUAGACGGGCAGAUUUGAAUGUGGACCCAAUAACUGGGAACUACUAUCCGACAGUAUACUUCAAUGAAUUUUGGCUUUUGAGGGAUAAAUUGAUUCCACUCAAUGAAACAGUGAAGGAAUUGCCUCUUAACCUCGAACUCAGUCCAAUUAGUAUGACCAAGUGGCAGUUAUUCUUACAGAUUGAGCAGUCAUUCCAGGUUCAUCGCAGUUAUGGAAGCAUGCUUGAAGGCGAGACCGAUGAACUUAAGGUAUGAUUCAUGGUAAAUUGUCCCUUUUACUUGUAGAGGGCCAAACUUUUGCAUCUUUCUGCACAUAAACCUUAUUGUUCGUAAGGAUGCCAUAUCAAAGAUAAUUAGCAUGUUGUCCUUACAAGUAAUGUGGAGCCCUUUGAUAUAUUAGGUAUAUUAGGGGGCUUUUUGGGCUACUAAGUCUACGCAUCUUUUUUUAUUGUAAAAAUAGGCAUCCAAAAUUUUUAUUUAUAAAAUUAGGCCUAAGCGGUGAAUGGUUUACUGCUUUAAGAAAGCGGUGAAUCAUCACCGCUUUCACGUAACUUACAUGUUUUCCACAUCCAAAUUUCGAGAAAUGCGUAGUACUAAACUCUAAAAAUAAUUUAAAUAUUUUAAAGAAAGUGGCGAAUGAUUUACUGCAUUUAGAAAGCGGUAAUUCAUUCCAUAGUUAGUUAAUUCGGAUCGGCAAAAAUUCAGUAUGGGUAUAAUUCAAAUAAAAUUUGUAUCUUAAUUUUUAAAUUCGUUGAAAAAUACGGCUUAAAAAAUGGAUUCGCCAAUUAUUUGGAUACGCGAUUUAUACGGAUAUUAUACGUUCACCAAUUAACAAUUCAGGAUAAAAAAUUCGGCUAUUAAACUAAGCUAUUUUCUCUAGAUUUUUGCUACUAGCAUACAUAGUUGUAAAUUCUUAAAAACAUAAAAAAGAGAGCUACAAAAUAAAGUAGAUUAAGUGAAAAAAGCAAUAGCAAAUUUUAUUGUCGUCUCUAUCUUCAUGUUUUUCAUGAUCCACAUAUUUCGGAAGUUCAUGAAGUUUUUCAAUAAUUCGUGAAUGAUUCGGCAAUAAUUCGGCAAUAAUUCGGAAAGGAAUUUUAUCCAAAAAAUUUGUGCCUUUUUUUGGCCGAAUAGUUCAGCAUACGCGAAUUAUUCGCGAAUAAUAAAUCUAACCCAAAAAUUCGCGUAUUAUUCUGAUUUUUUGGGAAUAAAUCGUGUACGGUCCGUUUUAUUCGAAUUUUCAAUAAUUCGCGAAUUAACUAUGAUUCAUUCACCACAUAGGACUACUUUUGUAAAUAAUUUUUUUGCAGACCUAUUUUUAUAAUUAUAAUAUUCUUUAAGCCUAUUAAUAAAAAAAAAAUCUACAUUAGGUAACUUUACCUGCCACACUAAUAGGUAGUUGUGUAGCAUUAUCUUCAUUGAAAUACCACACUUUUGGAUAAAAGUCAUUCAGUUUCUUCAUUCUACAAUUUCAGUACUAUCACUUAGUUCUUGAUAUCAUUUAGAAAGAUACAAGUUUUAUGUCAUUACAUGUGAUAAAGUUGUACUUGCCGAAAGAAAUAGUAUUAUGAAUUUAAUUACUUCAAACUCAUUAGUUCUAGUGGAUAAAAGAAUGACAUAGGGUUCUGAAGAGCUGGGAUUCUAGAUUGAGCCUUUAGGGUCAGAUUCUUUAGAGAAGUAGAGUAACUUUUGUUUGACAAUCUUUGAUUUCAUACUAGGAGUAUGAUGGAGAACACAUAUUGAUUUCUCAUUUUGUGAAAUAAGUACGGGAAUGACUUAAAACAGUGUUUGAUCUCUUUUUGUUGGGACAAUGAAGUGGUAAAAUGAAAAAAAAUGCAGUGGCACUUGUUUCAAUUUCCUGAACAAUUGGAUAGACUGAUAUGGUUUUAUUUACCUGAUUACAGUAUUAGGCCUAAGUUCAAUGUUAUACAUGUUUUAGUCCUCAUGGGCCAGGUGUGGUAUGCCCUUUUAUUAUUUCCGUCCCUUGAUAGUGAGUUGUGUUCUAUGUCUGCCCAUUUAUGUUAUCAUUUUUAUCACAAAUGCUUGACAUGGUAUUUAACUUGCAGAGGGUGUUCUUGGAAGGAAACCCAUACCUUUUGGUAGUAACAAUGGUCGUUUCCCUACUGCAUUCUGUGUUCGAUUUCUUGGCUUUCAAGAAUGGUAUGAUGAGAAUGCUUAAUUAUAUGUUUUUGACCCUGUUUUAGCUAACCGACAUAGUGGUAGUAAAUAAACAAUUAAUUGGGUUCUUUUAUCCAGAUAUUCAAUUUUGGAACAAGAACAAGUCUAUGGAGGGGUUAUCUGCUAAAUCAGUGGUUGUGAGCUUUAUAUGUCAGCUGGUUGUUUUCCUUUAUCUCCUUGACAAUGAGACUUCAUGGAUGAUCCUUGCAAGUUCUGGAGUCGGCUGUUGCAUUGAGUUUUGGAAAAUUGGGAAAGCCAUGCACAUUGAGGUAUGUUCCAUAUAGUUGUGUAACUCUUCAGUUUUCCGAUAUCGGAUAUAACAUGUCGGCUUGCUUGCACAGCUUGAAAGCUAGAGAUACAAAACCAUAUAGGAAUUAGUGAAAAUUCAGUGGCACUGUUGGUUCUAUAUUUGUGCAACUUUAUAUUAUCAAUAUAUGUCCCUUUAUUUAUUCAAUUUAGCUAUCUUGUUAAGUCGAACAAUCCAACUACAAAGGAUUAGUGGGAGAAAGGAAUAGAUAGGGCAUGCAGAUCUGUUGGGGCUACUUAUUUGGCAUAUUUCCUUUUGUUUAUUGGAGGGCCAUUCGAUGGUCGUAGAGAGCCACGAAGAGGAGCAAAACUUGAUGAUAUGUAAUUACCGUUUUCAUUAUAACAAUCAGAUAGUAGAAAUUAUUGCUUAUUUAUGUUGGUUCAUUCUUUUCCUUUGUCUCAACUGCCACACUUUAUUACUUUAUAGCCUUAAAUUUAGGAGCUUUCCUGUUAUUGGCAAAGAUUAGUUUGAAAUUAUUUGUUUCUCUCUUCUUAUGCUUAGCAUUUAACUUCUUUGACCUCCAAACCAGAUUGACAGAAGCGGAAAGAUUCCCAUGUUAAGGUUCCGGGACCAUGACUCAUAUGCGAAGAAUAAGACCAAGGAAUAUGAUGACAUUGCAAUGAAAUACUUGUCGUAUGUUCUUUUCUUCCUUGUGGCUUGUUCCUCCGUCUAUUCUCUCAUGUAUGAGAAGCACAAGAGCUGGUAUUCUUGGAUACUCUCUUCUCUCACUAGCUGCGUCUACAUGUUUGGUAAGCCCUUGUUCAAACAUUUUAUCGUGUAUUACAUGCCUACUUUUUGUUUAGGAGAGAAAAGUUCAAUUUAUACAUUCCUACAUGAUUUGCAGGUUUUAUCAUGAUGUGCCCGCAGCUCUUCAUAAACUACAAGCUUCAGUCGGUGGCACAUAUGCCUUGGAGACAGAUGACAUACAAAUUCCUCAACACUAUCAUCGACGACCUUUUCGCUUUUGUCAUCAAAAUGCCGAUGCUUCAUCGGCUCUCUGUUUUCCGAGACGGUGAGUAAUAUAUUCCCAUGUAGUGGACCUAGUAGUCGGGGCUUCUCGCAUUUGCUAUGGUGGCAUGGGUUCAAGUAAUGAAGAUAUCCUCUUAGAUCCCUGCUUCUUUGAGCCUCACGCACUUGAUGCCCUAAUCACUAUCUCAAAUACACUCUCCAAUUUGUGGGCAGAUUGUGCAGUUUCUAUUGUCUGUUUUUUUCUCUGGUUUUUAUGUAUGUCUUUUCUUCUUUUUUUUUUUCUGGUGUACAGAUGUAAUUUUCUUGAUAUACCUAUAUCAGAGGUGGAUAUAUCCGGUCGAUAAGAAGCGAGUAAAUGAGUUUGGUUUCGGAGGUGAAGAUGAAGACAAGGGGAAAGAGAACCUUCUAACAAACGAAGCAACAGCAGCUCAAGAUGGUGCCGCGACAUCCGACGCUGCGACGUCCGAUGAAAGCAAGAAGACCAAGUGAUCUCAGAGAUGAAACUUUUAAGGGACUUCACUUCGCUGCAAGAGUCUGCAGACUCAUUCUAGUAAUGUUUGGAACUUCAUUUCACUGCACGAGUCUAUAGACUCAUUCUAGUAAUGUUUCUCCGUGGGCCAUUGAUGCAGCCCACUUCCUGCUGGGGCCCAUCCCUGCUAUGCGCCAAAAUUUUUAUGGUUUAAGUUUUAGAUGAAAUUCGCUGAAAUUGCAUUGCUGACCAUAAGAGAAUCAUGCAAUUAUUUUACACUAAUAACAGUUAGGUUUUGGUGUAUGGUUUUGUUUACGUUAGAGUGUGAUAACACUGGAUUAAAUGUAAUGACGUUUGAGUCAUGACUUAAUGUUUUAUUCUUUCGGAUGUUGCGGUGGUGCGGGCGACCGCAGUCGGCGGUUUCUCCUUUCGUUUACUGAAUUUGGAAUAUGAAGUUUUGAGUUGGUUUCGCUCUGAGUUAGGAAUUUACUGGUUGGAGCUUUAAGAUUGUAUUUGGCUUCUGUUAAGCAUGUCACAUCCUUGGUCGAAUGCGAGCUUUGCACUACGCCGUCGACCUCAUCUGCUCGCUGUUUAAUCUUAUGUUUAUGUUAAAUAAGUUUGUAAAUCUUAGAUGCAGCAACCAAGUUGGCGGGGAUUGAAGUAUGAGAUGGUGUUGUGAGUGCGAAGAAUAAAUUUUUCUCGCAGGUAUUACAGUCCAUAAUUUUCAAAUCAAUCUCUCUCGAUCUUGCAGUUGCUUUUAAUAUUAGUUCGUGUGAUUUGUUUCUAUUAUUGUAUGCGGUGUUUACGUAUUACCAAUUGUAUCUACUGUUAUUCUUAACCGGUGAGAGAACGUUUGUUCUCAUUUGCACAUUUUUGGGAGGAUUAAGCGCAGGGGAACUUUUUGAAUUUGUUUCUAUUUUGCAAAUAGCUAUCUAAAAUUUAAGAAUAUUAUAUUCGUUAUCUAAACUUUUAAAAUUUUUUUUUAAAAUAAUUAACCUGCUAAGUUGAUACUUCGUCCGCGACUAAUUUUCAAUCCUCAAUAGUUAAGAAAUAAUGAAAAAGUUAUUUUUUAGAGAUUGUUGAAAAAUCGAAUAAGAUACCCGUGAUUAAUUUUACUCAUUUUUUGACUUAAGAAGACCUUAGUUUGCUGUGGAGUAAUAAUAAUGAUAGUAAUAGUAAAUUGCACACCAAUGUGCAUUGAUUGGUAAAUGUCAAAUCAUAAACCUUCAAAAAAAAAAGAAAAAGAAAAAAAAGAAUGAAUCGAGUCACUUUAACUUUGUUCUCAACCUUAUGGUCAAAUUUUAGUACAAAACUUUAACUCAUUUAGCACCAACAACGUACACUAAAGAGUGGGUGCAUAUCUAAUCAAUUUGACUUAGUCCUCUACUCAAUAGUCAAAAAUUUGGCACACAAAUUAAAUCACUGCAACCCACAUCAUCCCUUUCGAAUCUUUUUUUUUUUUUUUUUUUCAAGUUUCUAACCCCAUAAAACCAAAAGUAUAUUUCAUAAUAGUUAUUUUAUGUAGAAUUAAUGAUAAAAAAUCAAGGCCUUUUUGCAUAAAAAAUUCAUUUAUUUUGGGCUUUUGCAAAAUCGGAUCACUUUUUUCGUUUUUGCAGAUUCGGUCCGUUUUUUCAGUAAACUGACCAAAAUACCCUUAUUACUUUUUCUCUUUCCUCUUUCUCUCACCUCUUCGUUUCUUCCGUUAUUUUUUUUUUUCGUUCUUUUUUCGAGCCCGCCGCCGAGCCCCUCCUCCGCCUCCGCAAGCCGAACCCCUCCUCCUCUCCCCCGCCGCCGCCGCCGAGCCCACCCCCACCGUCGUCUCGCCUCCUCUUUCUCUCUCCUCUUUCUCUCUCCUCCUCAAGCCCCUCCUCACCUCCCCGUCGCCCUCCUCAAGCCCGCCGCGAAGCUCCGCGUCCUCCUCCUCCGCUUCCACAAGCCGAACCCGCCGCCACGCGAAGCUCCGCCGCCGAGCCCCUCCUCCUCUCCCCCGCCGCCGCCGCCGAGCCCACCCCCACCGUCGUCUCCGUCGCCGUCGCCGUCGCCGAGCCCACAUCCCGCCCCUUGCCGACCGCCUCGUCACCCUCCAAUCGCCUCGUCACUCCCCUUGCUGAGCCCUCGUCACCCCCACCGUCGUCUCCGUCGCCGUCACCGUCGUCUCCGUUGUCGUCGCCAAGCCCACGCCCCAUUAAUGGUGUAAUGGUGCACCAUUGCACCAUUACACCAUUAAUGGUGCACCAUUACACCAUUACACCAAUGCACCAUUCCACCCUUACUGUUGUCUUGGUCGCCGUGGUCGUCGCCGAUUCCACUAAUGGUGCCCCUUUCCGACCGCCUCGUCACCCUCCAAUCGCCUCGUUACUCCCCUUGCUGAUGUCCUGGUGACCCCCAUGGUCGUCUCCGUUGCCGUCAUGGUCGUCUCCGUUGUCGUCGCCAUUCCCAUGCCCCAUUAAUGGUGUAAUGGUGUACCAUUGCACCAUUACACCAUUAAUGGUGCACCAUUACACUAUUCAUGGUGUAAUGGUGUAAUGGUGCACCAUUACACUAUUUUUGCAUGGUUGUACCAUUGUGCCAUUACAUGGAUGCACCAUUACACCAUUUUUCAUGGUGUAAUGGUGUAAUGGUGCACCAUUACACUAAUGGUGCACCAUUACACCAUUACACUAUGAAAUUACACCAUUAAUGGUGUAAUGGUGUAAUGGUGCACCAUUACACAAUGAAGAAGAAGAAGAAGUAGCCGCAGCGCGCCCGCGUGCCCGCCCGCCGCCGCUGCGUGCACCGGCCCCGCCGCCGACCCAGCCCCGCACCGCCGUUGCGCGCCCCGCGCCAGGAGCAGCCCGCGAUCAGCGCCUCCCUCGCCGCCGCCGUCGUCGGCCCGCGGCCCGGGGGCUCAACGUUGGCGCCGAACUCCAGCAGUAGCUGGACGAGGUCCGGCCGGCCUUGCGCGAUGGCCGAGUGCAGCAGGCCAACGCCGGACGCGUCGACGGCGUCGGCCGGGCGCCAAUCCGGGUCGCUCCGCUCCAGCCGCCGGCGAUGAGCUCCGCAGCCUCUUCCUCCGCCGCACCGUCGACAGCGACGACGACCGCGGCGGCGGACGAGGGGCUCGGCGACGGAGACGACGGUGACGGCGGCCAUGGGGCCGCCGCCGCUAUGGCCGUGGGCUCGGCGACGGCGACGGAGACGACGGUGGGGGUGGGCUUGGCGGCAGCGGCGGGGGAGAGGAGGAGGGGUCGUGGGCGGUGGAGAGGAGGGUGAGGAGGGAGGCAACGGUGAAGAAGGAGGGUGAGGAGGGAGGCGACGGUCCGAUCCGUCUCUUUUUUUUUGGCGAGAAAAAAAAAAGAACGACAGAAACGAAGAGGAGAGAGAAAGAGGAAAGAGAAAAAAUAAUAAGGGUAUUUUGGUCAGUUUGCUGAAAAAGCGGACCGAAUUUGCAAAAACGAAAAAGGUGGCCCGGUUUUGCAAAAGUCCAAAAUAAGUGGAUUUUUUAUGCAAAUUGGCCAAAAAUCAACGAUCUUCAGGAAUAUUAUAGUAAUUUCAAAGAGAAAAUAUGGUGAAAAGAGAACGUCACCAAAAAAAAUUCAUUUUGCUUGACCAAUUAUUAGUAAUCCUAGAUGAAAUAGUUGUCCUCUCGGAGACCUUUUCGAAAUAAAGAGAUUACAAAUGAUAUAAAAUAAAUUUAAAUUUUAUAUGCACCGCCGGCUAGUAGACUGAUUGACUGGUAUUUUAUACUCAAAAAGUUAUAAGUUCUGAAUUUAAAUAAUGUUUCGAUUGUGAAUACAGUAAAUGCGUGGUGUCUGCUGACUUCUUUAAAAAAAAAAAAAACAAAAAAAAAAGUUAAGUGGAGGUGCAUAAGAGGUGAAAUUCUAACCUACUUUAACCAUUUGUUGACAUAAUUGUGUCCAACAAAAGCUCAGUAUAUAUUGCACACCCAACUAAGUCCAAAUUUCGGAGCUAAGUUUGACAACCUCAAUUCAGUGGCUCCAAUAAGUUUUGUAUUGGAUGAGAAAUUUGAAUCUUUGGCACUUUCUCUCUUUUGCUUGUCAAAGCAAAGGACAAGGAGGUGAAUGGUUCAGAAUAUUCUCUCUCUCUCUCUCUCUCUCUCUCUCUCUCCUUUUUUUUUUUUUUUUUUNCCCCUUUUUUUUUUUUUUUUUUUCCCACUUUUAUUGAUGUGUUACUUAGGAUCCCAAUAUCCAAGGUUGAGAGGCAAGUUCAUGUCUUUCAUGUCUUUCUAGGUUAUUCUACAAGGAUGGAAAUCAAACCUAUCCUUUAAUUUAUUUUAUGUCAUUUUUUUUUGACAUAAUGGAACACUGGAAGGUAUUCACUCACUCAAAAUAUUGUCAAACUCUUUCGGCGCAUGUUUAAAAAUAAAACAUCUUUACGGUGACAAGUGUUGGUUUAAAUGGGCUAGCAUUCUGCCCUAUGGCCGGAGGUCAUGUUGGGCCAAGUCACGUUCGAAAUGGCGUGAGGCUAAGUAGGCCGAGUCAUGUUCGAAGUGGCAUGAGGCCGAGUGGGCCGAGUCACAAUUGAGACCCGUGGGCGCUGUAUCUGAACGGUUUAAGUGAAUUGGUUGCGUAUUUCUAACAGCUCGAGCUUUUGAGAUUAAUGGUUAGCGCCAACAAUCUGACAAGUAGUAUCAGAGUCAGAGGUUACGGGUUCAAUUCCUGCAUGCUGCAAAUGUGUGCAGAUACUGGAGGGGAGAUUGUUGGCUUAAAUGGAUCAGCAUUCUGCCCUGUGGUGGGAGGCCAUGUUGGACCAAAUCACGUUCGAAAUGACAUGAGGCUGGGUAGGCCGAGUCAUGUUCGAAGUGAUGACAUGAGGCUGGGUAGGCCGAGUCAUGUUCGAAGUGACGUGAGGUCGAGUGGACCGAAUCACAAUUGAGACCCAUGGGCGCUGUAUCUGUAUGCUUUAAGUGAAUUUGUUACGUAUUUCUAACAGCUCAAGCUCGAGCUUUUGGGAUUAAUGGUUAGCGCCAACGAUCCGACAACAAGAACACUUUCCUUUUUACGUGUAGAUACCAGUAUUUAUAAAAUUCGAUUCUGCUAAUCUAUAGUUAUAAAUUGCAACUUCACACCAUUUGCGAUGCACAUUUGAAGCAAAACGUUUCUGUAUAUGAGCAGAGCGAUGGGAACACUUUUCUUCUGUUAAAUAAUCACAAUUUUACGUCAUUUAAUCUCUUCUCAUCUUAUGUUAUUUUCACAUGAGAUCUUAUAUUUAAAAUAUUUUCUCUUAGGUGGAAUCUAACCUACUCUAAAAUUUUGAAUCAUUGCAAAGAAUUUUUAAUCCCUUUUCAGAAAAGGAGAGAGUCGGCAACAAAAAUAAAUAAAUAAAUAAAUAAAUAAAGCACUUUAAGUUGAUGUUACUUCAUUGAAGCUCUUUUUUUAGUGUGUAAUCUUAGAAUGGUGACACGGCCGACACCCAAAGUGGGUUUAGGUUGUUGCCACAUCAUAGUUGAUUAACUCAAUUGGACUUUUAUAUCUUUAAUUUAAUUAUUAACAUCACAUUUUUAACAUUUUAAAUGUUUAAUUCAUUUUGGAGAGAGAAAAGAAAAAUUGUAGUAGCCAUGUGAGUAGCAUUUUAAUGCUCAAAUAGUCUCAUAUAUAUUGAAUAGAUUAGCUAGGGAUUAUGAUGGGGUAUUAGAGUAUACAAAUAAGUAUAUUGUGCCGGUACUUUUGGCCCAACGAAUUAUUAUUGCCAGCGUGUCGGGUCGUUAUAUUUGGUAUCAGAAUCGAAAACUAGCCGAAAAUAUAAGAGCUAAGUGCUAUAUAUGAUAAAAUGCUAUACCACUAGUUUGGUGGGAGCCACAUCUUGAACUCGCUUAAACUCGCAGAAUUCAUCUCUAGAAUCUCAUAUUACCUGAUAAUUCUGAUUUACACGUGUGAUUGGAUUUGGACCCGAUGAGGAUGUCAAAAUCUUCUAAAUUAUCAGAUUGACUGUACGUGUGAUUACGAGGCCGUCAAGAUCUUCUGAUUGGGAAUAUAAGAGGCCACGAAUUCUAAUAUAUAAUAGUAACUGUAUUCUAAAUUAUUAUUAGAAUUUCUCAUUCGACGUAGGACUAUUGUAACAUCAUACUAAGUUGGUGUUAAUUGGUUUGAGAAUUAUCUAGUGCGAAUUUUAUCUUUAGACGCUAUCUCACCAUUAUAUUUGAUUACAGAUAACAAAAAGAGGAUUUUCCAAUGAGGAAAGUGGAAAUUCCACUCUAUCCUGUGACUAAUUUCACUUGGAGAUUUAAUAAAACCCCCAACAUAUAUGGUGGGAGAGUCUAGAUAUUAGCUAUUAUGCAUACUUUAUUCCUUAUCCAAAUAAAGAUUUCCUUUUCUUUUCUUUUCUUUCUUUUUUUUUUUUAAAGAAUACAACAUCCAUUCCAUCAUAUGAUAAAAAUCAAGGCCAAGUAUAUGAAAGGUAAUAGCUUAAUCAUUCAACCUCAACCAUAUAUAAUACAGUGUGACUUUGCAAUGUGGAAACCCCACAAUUUUGGAUUCUUCAAAGAUCUCAAAUUUGAGGACCAUGGCAUGAUCUAGGGUUGGUGUUGAACACCUCAAUUGACAAGUUCCAACUCAUGUUGUUGCCCAUGGCCACCAAAUCCUAGAUUUUUCUAAUAGAUCUAUAUUGACAUAUAAAAGUAAUAAAACUAAUACAAACUAAUGUUUAAAGAUCAUAAACAGAAUAAUACAUAACUCACAAAAUGUUAUAGAGAAGAAAUUUUUUAUCAAUCUGUAGAAGUGAAAAGUCCUGCUACGAUAUGGAUAUCAUUAAACUGAACUUGGAUAAUUUGAUUGCUGCUCCUGUAUUGUCAAGCACCCUCCUGUAUGGUGUGGAACAGUUGGUAAUUCUUUACCAGCAUACACGUGAGUAGGUGGCAGAGCCAGUAUUCCUGUAUAUAGAGUUCAUAUUGACUUUCUAUCAAAGUUUGAUUAGAAUUCUAUAUAAUUUAAAUAGAUGAAAAAUGAAUAAAAUAUAUCAAAUCAAGCAGUUUAAUAUCGGUUAGAAUUAACCUUAUUUAUAGUAAAUCCAUAUUUGAAUACGAUUAAUUGAGCCAUAUUUAUAAAAAUCCUAAUAUUUUAUGCAUAAAAAGAUGAUGAGAACUAAUCUAUGAUUAAUCUAUGAUUUAUUAGGUUAAUAAUACUAGUGGGUACUGAAUACAAAAAUUAAGAAUACCAUUCUAUGAUAAUUUAAGUUUUUGAAAAAAAAAUAAUUAUUUCACAUAAUUUAACACAGUAUCAAAGCUCGAUAUUCUGAGUUUAAAUCCUGUCAGCCUUCUCGUCUUAUCACCAAACCUAGUUGUGCAUUGUGAACUAAUUCCAAGAAUAACCUAGCAUUUAAUAUUACCUAUUUACUUAUUUAUUUAUUGGAUAUUCAUUUGCUUUGACAAAGUCCAUCUACAAAUUGAAGUGCUAAUGGUGCUUGACAUGCCUCUUACAAUACCAUGAUAAAAGUGGAAGCCAACCCUAAAUCCUGAUUUGCGACCGCCACUUGUCGGCAUUCGACUUUUAACACGUCGAUCAUACGAUCGAUUACAAAACUGAUAUCGUAAUCAAUCAGAAAGCAAUCAGGACCAAAAACUUAUGAAACACGAAGGAAGGCGAGAAAAAGAAUAAGCACUUUUGGAAAGCUAAAGAAAAUUAAACAUAAUGCACCACUUUUGGGGUGCUAAACAUAACCAAAUUAUCCACUUAGUUUCUGACUUUUUUCUCUAAAUAAGCAAAGGUAAUGGAAAGUGUUGUUUUUUUUGGUCGGCAAAAACAAAGCCCAAGAAAAAUAAAAAAAACAUUUCCCAAAAGAAUGAGAUCACCAAAGUCAAACAUUAGGGUUGACAUGUAAAGCUAGGGCAAUGAUGGAACAUUUUGGUAGCACACCACCACAAAGAAUUACUAAUAAAAAUUUAAGAGUAUCUACACUAGUAAAUAAGUACAUCUUAAUAUGUCUCAUGUAUUAAUUGUACUUUCAAAAUGAGAAUCUAAUUUUUUUAGGUUAUAUUCUAUAAUAUUUGAAUGAUCUACAUAUUAAAAUUUAUAAAUUUUAAAUAUCAAUUUCUCAUGUAAUACAAUGCAGAUCUUCUCAUACGCUUGCGCUGCACAUUUUAAACACUACCAAAGAGCUCAAAUUAGAAUCUACUGUAGUGUUAGGCUUGUAUAUGAAAGUCGGUAACUUUUUAAUGCUGGAUCUAUAUUAUUGGUUUUUACGACUACCUAAGUAAUAGUUUUUCCAAGCUUGUUUUAGUGCAACCAAACUUUUUAGAUGUUAUAAAUCAUAUAUUAUACUUUAAUUUUUAAUAUAAUAAUAAUGAAGUAUCAGAUAUACAAGUACAUCAGGUGCAGACAAUAAUUUAAAGAAAGAAAGAAAAUAAUGCCCCCACAAUUUGGAGCUCAUUGUUAUCCUAUCCAACAAACAAAAAGGCAUGCAUGUUAAGCCUAACACACCUCCAUUAAGAAUAAAUUAUUCUAGGGUUUUGUUGUUACUGUUAAAUAUAAAAAAUGUUUAAACACCGUUCUCUAACAGCUUAAGCUUUUAGAGUACAACGGUUGUUUCACAUGGUAUCAGAGCAGGAGGUCCUGAGUUCGAGUCACGCCAGGCUCCUAACAUAUUAAUUUCCUCCCAUUUAAUUCAAGCCCACGUCAUGGGCCAAUUAAAAAGUCUCGAGCCCAGACGUGAGGGGGAGUGUUAAAUAUAAAAAAUGUUUAAACACCGUUCUCUAACAGUUUAAGCUUUUAGAGUACAACGGUUGUUUCACAGUUACCCCUUCUUGGAAUAUAAGAAAUGCAUAACACUAUACAUGGUAGUUGCUUGGGAUUAUAAGCAACCCCACUACUAUUAUUAUGGUUAUAUAUGUAAGUUUGGUGUGGUAAAAAAGCAAAGGGGAUAGUGGUGUUUAAGUUUCUACACAUAGCUAACUUGUGGAUCUCUUCCUAUGACACAUUUAUGACUUUGGAUUUGCAUUGAGAAUAACAUUCAAAAUAAAAAAAAAAAAAUUAUUAAAAUAAGAUAAUAAUGGAGUAUAAAGCAAAAUGCUUUGUUGAGAAAUUAAUGUUGUAUACAUAGUUUGGAUUUGUUGUUCUUUGACCAUGUCAUAGGGGAGAGGUGGAAGAGGCUAUUCAUUAAUCUUUGUUCUUUCCCUUUGCUUGUAUAUUGUUUGUGACCUGUGAGGGGCAUGGGCUUAUAGGAACCAUUUGAUUGUGUUUGGAUGGAUUAGAUCUCUUUACAGAGGGCUUGUUUGGUUCUGCAGAAAAAAAAAAAAUUCAGAAAAUAGUUUUCUAACCAGAAAAGUUUUGUUUGGAUGUUUGGUUCCCAAAAAAAGUAAUUUUUUUAAAAAAAGAUUUCAAAUUUUACGGAAAAGUCUUUUUCUUUUUUCGUUUUUUUCGUUUUUUAUUUGGAGUAAGAAAACUAUGAAAAUGAUGCUUUUUAUAGAAAAUCGUUUUAUUCUGAAAACAUUUUUUACGAUUUUUCGAGGAACCGAACAAUCCCGAGUGUAUUUAUAUAUUGAGUAAUGGUUUAACCACUCUCUUUUACAUGUUUAUUGGUGCAAAUGAUAUAGGUAAAGUUAGGCCUCGCUUGGUAUCAUAUUUAUUUUUUUAUUUUUUAAAAAUGGAAUUUUGUAUAUUAAAAUAUGAAUGAGCAGAGACUAAAUUGUAAGCAAUUCUUUCAUCCAAAGUAUUUAUUAGGUAACAAAAAAAUAAAUUUUUUUUUUUUUUGCUUUCAGAUUUUUUUGAAAAACAAGAUAUUAUCUACUAUUUAGCUGAAUGCAUUAUAAGCUAGCCAAUUAUAACAAUAAAAAAAAAAGCUUUUCUCAAACAAUCAUAUUACAUCGAAUUAUUUUCUAAAAUUUUACUGUGCCCAAAGGAUUAGCGCGACUCCCCUGUUGCAAUCCCAAACACCAUUAGAACCUUCCAACAUGAAAUUUCUAUGACAACAGAUCUAGAAUCGACGCAACACGAAUCAUUCUAAACAGGAAACAUUUAGUCGCAAUCGCAAACUAACCCAACAAUUCUGACCCGACUAACCUGAUCGCUGAAUGCAAAUACUAACCUAAACCGGAUGAACCAUCAGACCCAUCCUACAAAAUAUAUAUAUAAGUAAACGAGAGUGGACACAACAUUUUUUCGGUUUCUAUUUUGUACUGUGAGUCACCCUUAUCCGAUUUUAUUGGCUGUGCCAUUUUGGGCCCACUUUUUUCGACCCACUCAUUGGUGCAUGCUCCUAUUCAAACCCUAGGGCCCACUGUGGUCCAAAAUCUGCGGCUGAGGUGGACCUGAGCCUCUCGAUCAAAGGGCCAUGAUUGCACCAAAAAAAACCUCCUCACCUAUAGCAUAAAGGUUGGCCCCACUGCUGACUUUUCAAAGUCAAAAUCUUAUAUUCAGUGCAAAAAAAAAAAAAAAAAAACCUACUAGGCCCACUAAGAGGUGCACAAGUGGAAUUUUGCAAUGUGGAAAUUCUUAAUUUAAGUUACAGCUGCAUUUAUUAGUCGUAAAGCACUAAUAAAAUCACCACUGUUUAGUGCAAUCAGUAAAUAUACUAAUAAUGAUUUUACGGCAAGUUCGACGGUCUUCUUUUGAAAAAAAGAAAAGAAUAAGAAAAUAUCAAGCGAUUUCAAAAUAUUGAUAUAUUGAAACUUAUGCAAUCCAAAAAGUCAAGCAUUUUACUCCGAUCUAGUUAUGAUUAUAGUCACUUAUUUGCAUUUAUAAAUCCAAGAUUUGCGCAUCAUCAACUUACAUUACCAUUUACGAACAUAUCAUGCUUAUAUACGAGAGCUAUCAACUUAGGGCCUGUUUGUUCCACCGAAAAUGAAUCCCUAGAACAAGUGGUCAAGGGCUUGGUGGUUGGUACUCAAGACCCAAAUUCGAAUCCUAGUUGAUUCACAUUUCCAGCUAAGUUUAUUUUUAAAUAAAAUAAACGCAGCGGGUAGCGUGCUACCUAUCUCUCUCAAAAAAAAAAAGAUUGAAAUGAAUUUUGGGUUAAAACCCAGAUCGAUAAAAACUAUUUUUCUUAUGCUGUUUGUUUCAUAGCUAUUGAUGUGAAGUUUUUUUUAUUUUUAUUGCUUGUUUGGCAGAAAAUGAAUGAUGUAAAAUUAUAAUUUAUGUGUAAAUAGUAAACAACUUAAUAAAUAAUAAACUAUAACAAAACAAAUAAAAAUAAUAUAACUAUAUUCCUAUAUAAUUAAAAGAUUUCAUCUAAAACAACUAGAUUUUUUUUUUAUACAUAAAUUAUAAUAAUACAACAAUAAAAUUUUAAAGUAAUAUAUAUAUAUAUAUAUAUACUUAAUUAACUAAUCAAUUUUUAUCGUACUUUAAAUGAACAAACUAAAUGAAGGAAAUACUAAAACUUAACUAAUCAAAAUUUGUCCUAUUUUAAAUAUACAAACUAAAUGAAAGAAUAAUUAGUAUCAUAAUUAAAUAUAUUUAAAUAUAAUUAGUAUUACUCAAUAUAUUCUUUUAUUAUUUUUUCUUUAUUUCUCUUCACCAUAAUUAACUUCAGUUCGGAGUGAGCCGACAUUAUAAUACACUAUUUGGGAUAACAUGAGUUGCGACCGUAUCUUUAUUAUGGCGAAAUAAAUAACGAACAUGAUGAUUUACGAUCGAAAAUAAUUUCACUCGUCGCCACUUUCACCCAAACAUGCAACAAGGCCCUUAAUUAGUGGCGACAUAUCACUAAGAAAAGUAACUUUAUACUUUUUAUAUUUUUCUAGUCCUGGAUCGGGGACGUGAUCCACUAAAACUCCUCUCAACUGAAAAGUUUAAAUCGAAAAGUUUGGGCCUACGACACUACAUUAACCUUUUUUAUUUUCUUCUUGUUAUUUUUAGGAAUCUUGACCAUAUUUUUCUUACGCGACUAUUCUGUUUAGAGAAGCAACAGCUCAGUGAAUGAAACACAAAUAUAUAUAUAUAUAUAUAUAUAUAUAUAUAUAUAGAGAGAGAGAGAGAGAGAGAGAGAGAGAGUAGGACUAUUAUAUAUAUACUUUUAUGAGUAUUGAUCUUUUUGUAUUUAUAAGAUUCUGGUCAUUGGAUAAAAGAAUGUGCGGUUAAGAAAAUAGUGGUUCUAGUUAGGGUGAUAGUGGUGCCGUAGGGUUGAGUGGUUGCCUGGUUGGUUAGAUGAAUAGUAUGAUCUAACAGAUGAAAAUGGUCAAAAUGGUAAAUUUAACGGCCAAAAAUUUAUGAGUAUAAAGAGGUCUAUACUCAUAAGAAUAUAGUAACCGAAUUAUAUAUAUAGAAUUAGGCUGGAAUACUAUUNCAGCAUCUUUAACUGACGAGGACCGACCCGUUCCGGCUGGCGUGUUCCGUGUAAUGCUUGCGAGUGGCGGGCCCACAUGCCAGUGGCGCCGUAUAUUUAAGAUAUUUUUGUAAAUCAACUAGUAGCAGCUUACAGUUUUUAAACAAAACCUGCUCUCAUUUUGUGGAAAAGUCAGAACAAUAAUAAUAAUUAUAAAUUUUAAUUUUUUAAAUUUUAAAUUUUAAAAAUAAAAAUAGGGAUAGCAUCCCUAUAUAUAUAUAAUUGGGAUGGAAUACUAUUAAUGGUAUUUGAGCUCUUUUGCUAUUGAGUUUUUAAUUCUUGGAUGAAAAAUUAUAGAAUUAGAAUUAUAGUGGUCCCUCAGGGUUUAGUGGUGGUCCUCUUAGGGUUAAGCGAAUGGUUAGUUGAAUAGUAUAAUCUAAAGAGUGAAACUGAUUAAAAUGUAGAUCUAAUGGCCACGAUAGUAAAAGAGCUCAAAUACUAUUAACAGUAUUCCAAUUCAACUCUCUCUCUCUCUAUAUAUAUAUAUAAAUAAAUAAUUAUUUAUGUACCUCUCAAAAUAUCCAAAAUGUGUUGUAUUUAUAAAACUAAUCUAAAAGUUGUAUAGCAGAUUUUUUUUUUUGGCUCUUUUCUAUUAAUAAGUUAUUAUUAACUUUGAGGGAAUAAAAUAAAUAUACCAAAUAAAAUAUUCAUCCUAAUGAAGUACUAUAUUAAAAAAACAUAUGUAAGUAAAUUAUUAGCUUUCUUUGUAUUUUUAUCAUAUCAUUAAUCUUGGCUGUUUAAUCAAUGUAGGGCCAACUUUUGCACUCCCAAGCCACUUGCAACACAAUGUAUAUAAAUAAUACAUAUGUAGAAUUGAGCUAGAAUAUUAUUAAUAGUAUUUGGGCUCUUUUGUAAAUCGAUUUUUUAGUCUUGGAUCUACACUUUAAUCAAUUCCAUCCUUUAGAUCAUACUAUUCAACCAACCACUCACUCAAUCCUAAAAGGACCACUACUAAACUUUAGGAGACCACUAUCAUUCUAACCCUAUAGUUUUUCAUCUAGCAGUUAAAAACUCGAUAGCAAAAAAGUCCAAAUAUUAUCAAUAAUAUUUCAGCCCAAUUCUAUAUACGUAUAUAGAAUUGGACUGGAAUACUAUUGAGGCUGAAAUACAGAAAACCCCCCUGUUAAAAUUCGAUUUUUUACUUUUUCUUCCUGUGAUUUAAAAACCUACAUUUUCUCGAUUUGUAAAAUAAAAAGUGUGCACUUCAUCCUCUACAGUAAGUGAUCCGUUAGGGUUCCAAUAACCACCUCUCCCCUGUGAUUGGGCUUUGCAGACUAAUAAUUAAUGUCACAGCAACAAGCUCUGACCCCCCAACAUAUGCCCCCACUACAUUACACUUUGUUCACUGCUAUAAUACCCUUGCUUUAAUUACCACCAUUGGCUAAAAUUAUAUUGCACCAACCCAUCACUUCACUUCUCUCUUUCUCUCUCUCUCUCUCUCUCUCUCUCUCUCCACCAACCCUUCACUUCUCUCUCUCUCUCUCUCUCUCUCUCCACCAACCCAUCACCUGUCUCUCUCUCUCUCUCUCUUACAUACACACAAUAGUUGUUAACUUCAUUCUCUCUUUCCCUGUUACAACAUUAAUUUGUUCACUUAUUUACUCUUUCUCUUGCUCUCUCUCUAUAGAUCUCCCACACAGUUAUUCUCUGCAUCUGCUGAUAUGUGCAUUUGUGCAUUGUAUGUAUCUAUUUUGUAUCUGAUGAUCUGUGCGUCCGUGCAUGAUCUAUAUAUUCUGUAUCCGAUGGUAUGUAAGAAAAUAUGCAUCGUGCCUGUUCCAUCACAUACUUUCAAUUGAAUGUCAGCUUAUAUAUAUAUAUAGAUAAGAAAAGCAAAGGAACUUAUUGGGACCGACUGUCCCUAGAAUAAGUGGCAAAGAGUUUGGUGGUUGGUAUCCAAGAUUCAAGUUCGAAUCCUACUUGAUUUAUAUUUCCAGCUAAGUUUAUUUCUAAAUGAAAUAAACGAAUCAGAUAACAUGCUACCUUUCUUUCAAAAAAAAAAAAAAGGAACUUAUUGGGAGGGAAACUAUAUAUUGUUGCAUGCCUUUUUUUUAGCACUAAAAUUUCGCAAAAGAAUUGUAUUUUGAUGAUUGAAUUUGAAGUUUUUGAGACAAGGAUGUGAGUAUUUAUAAAAAAGCGUAAACUUCAAAUACCACACCCAUGGUUUCGCACUUUCACACUUUAGUGUCCUAUGGUUUAAAGUGUAUCAAGUUAGUGUCCUGCGGUUUCAUUUUUAUGUUUUCGUCAGUUUUUCCGUUAAUAUUUCGUUAAAUUAUAUAUAAAAAAUUUCAGAUAUCCCACCUAGAUUUAUCGAAUAUUCACUUUAGCAUCCUUUAGUUUUAAUUUUGUCACUGAUUUAACGAAAAAAAUUAAGAGGAUCGAUAAUUUAAAGAUAAAAAUAAAUCCAUAGGGUACUAAAGUGAGAAAGUGUGAAACCACGUGGACGGUAUUUGAAGUUUUUCCUAUAAAAAAAAGUUGAAUCGGACUUUCUACUUUGGUAUUAAACAAUAAUAUUUUGAUAUUUUAUAUCAUAUAUUAUGUAAUCAAAUUGAAAUAGUAGAUGUUUUCUCAUAUUUUGAGUUUAAUCAUCUAAUUAUAGGUAUGAAAAUGGUUGCAACUUAUGAAGUGUAAAAAUAACCCUUUUUGAAUGAAACAUUAAGUUGUUAAAUAACAGUAUUUUAAUAUGUUAAAUAUAGUGUAAUUUUCCAUGUUUGAGCUCCAUAUAAAUUUUGGCGUGGACUUGAAUUAAAUAGUAAAAAUUAAAUAAAACUAAAGGAAAAAAAAAAACUUAAAAGUUAUGCCGUCGUAUGCCUGAUACUAUACAAAAUUGAAUAUCUCUAAAAACUUAAGCUGCUAAAGAAUAAUAAAAGUUUAGAAUUUUAUAUUUAUACAUUGGCAAUUGACAUUGAAAUAAUGAAGGGGUGGAUAGAGACAAGGUACAAAGAUAUAUGAAUCCACAACCAUAACUUUUUCUCAUUUCUCUCUCUCACCAACCCAUCACUUUAGUCUCUCUCUCUCUCUCUCUCAUCAAAAUAGUAUAAAUAACUGAAUCAACCUGCCUUGGUUUUACCCCAAAGUCCUAAUGAGAAGGAGAACAUCACACUUUGUGCAGUUGAUUGUGAGCUCAUCAGCAAGAGAUUCACCACCCCCCCUACUAAAUCACAAGAAAAAAGGAGUGGUGGUGGUGGUGUGAGAGAAGGAGAAAAGAUGGAUACCCAUACAAGAGAGAGCUUCAAAGGGGAGUGCUCUAAUUUGCUUGCUGAGGUUUCUGUUGAUUGGAGGGGCAGGCCCUGCAAACCUAACAAGCAUGGUGGCAUGAGAGCUGCAAUCUUUGUACUAGGUCUCUCUCUCUCUCUCUCUCUCUCUCUCUCUCUCUCUCUCUCUCUCUCUCUCUCUCACUCUCUCUCUCUCACUCUCUCUCAUUACAAAACCAUGAUGAGAUUACUAUGGCUUAUUGCAAGAGCUCAACUUCAGUAGCUCUGACUAAGGUCUCAUUUGGAAAUGCAUUCUUCGAAAGCAACUGCUUUAAUGCUUCGAAACCACUUUGGAGCUUCGCUCAUCCAGUAUUCAAUGGAAGCUUAUUUUCUACUUAAGAUCUAGUUUGGAAAUGCAUUUUUUUUUAAAAAAAAAACUACUCGCUCUCGUGCUUCAGAAUCCAAUGCUAUGUACAAACAUAUAGUACUUUUGUUUGACUACUGUAUUUGCAAAGUUCAAAAAGUAUUAAAGUGGUUGCGUUUGAAAAACGCAUUUUGAACUAAGCUAGCUUGAUAUAUAGCUAGGCCUAAAUUAUGUGUUCAAAUUAAGUCAGAUUCAUCCUCUCUUUUUAGGUAUCCAAGCAUUUGAGAUCAUGGCAAUUGCAGCUGUGGGGAACAACCUAAUCACAUAUGUGUUCAAUGAGAUGCAUUUUCCUCUAUCAAAAUCAGCAAACAUAGUGACCAACUUUGUUGGGACCAUCUUUCUCCUGUCCCUGUUUGGUGGGUUCCUCUCAGAUUCUUACUUGGGGUGCUUCUGGACCAUGUUGAUCUUCGGAUUUGUUGAGCUCUCAGUAAGUUUUUUUUUUUUUUUUCCUUUUUUCGUAAUGAUUUUUCUCAAAUGUUACUGAUGAGUCGGUACUUUUAUGUGGCAGUAGAUUAGUGGCUCAACUUUUUAGAUUCGUAACAUAAUUCGGCUAUCACUUCGAAAUGCUGACUCAUUGAGUAUUAGUAAUCAACUUUUAGGACUAAAAAACUACCCCUCAACUAUAGGAUCACAACACAAAGUUCUGAAAGAUAUAUAGAUGCCAUAACAUGCUUCUGAAAUUGCUUAUUAGUUAAUCAGAAUCAUACAUCAUAAUUAAUCCUCUACUAAAUGAUCAUAUUGGUCCAUAAGAGUGACACAUUUUAUCAAAUUUCUUCUAAAAAUAAAAUAAAAUUUCUUUCUAUGUGACUUACUACUCCAUAAUAGGGCUUCAUACUACUAUCAAUCCAAGCCCAUCUCCCCCAACUGAGACCACCCCAAUGCAACAUGCUAUCCCAAGAAGAUCACUGCACUGAAGCCAAGGGGUUCAAGUCCACAAUCUUCUUCAUGGCCCUCUAUUUGGUUGCUUUAGGGAGUGGGUGUUUGAAACCCAACAUGAUAGCCCAUGGAGGAGACCAAUUCAAGGAGGAUGAUGAUCCAAAGCACUCAAAGAAGCUCUCCACUUACUUCAACUCAGCUUAUUUCAGCUUCUGCUUUGGGGAGCUCAUAGCUCUCACUGUGCUGGUUUGGGUCCAAACCAGAUCAGGGAUGGACAUUGGUUUUGGUGUCUCAGCUGUUGCUAUGGCUCUGGGGCUCAUUAGUUUGUGCUCUGGGUUCUUUUUCUACAGGAAUAAACCUCCCCAGGGUAGUAUAUUUACCCCAAUAGCAAGAGUAAGUUACUCUCUCCUUAAUUAUAACCUCUUUAUUUAUUUAUUUAUUUAUUUUGCUCAUUGAUUAAUAGGGUAAAAAUAUAGGCUUUUUUUAAGCUCUUAAUUUCAGGGAAUAAUAUCAGAAACACAGUAUUUAUAGAGGGUGUUAUUAUACCUUUAUUUUUAGUUUUUUCCCUGAAUAAUAGUGCAUGUUGUGUAAGAUUUAGGGUUAAUUUCUACUUAUUUGGUGGAUGCUUGAGGAAAAUGCUAAGGAUAUAAGGUUUGUAUAAAGCAAAAUGAGCAACUUCACAUUUAGAUUUUUUUGCUAUUCCCUGGGCAUCAUUAAAACAAUUUACUCUUGUUUUGUUGGUGAUGUAGGAUUCAAAGAGUGGAAGGAGUAUUUUGUUGAUUAGUCACUGUCCUUAGUCAAAAAGGUUCCCUGGUUUUAUUCAAAAUAAAAGUAUAGAAUAAUGGUCAUCACUUUAUACUACACUUGUUCAAGGACUAAUUCUAUGAUUGAUUGCAACUUUACUCUUAUAAUUUAAGUCAAUAAGGCCAAUAAUUCAUGCUCAAUUCUAUGUCUAUUUAGAUUACAUUUUUGAACUACUUAAUUUUUUUUUGUCUAUUAGAACCUUUUUGAACUACUAAUUAUUAUGUCAUGAAAAGAAUAUUAGAUCUUAAAUUUGUCCUCAUGUGUCCUUGUGCUUUUUCUAGGCAUCUUGAGGUUAGGUAUAUAUGAUAACAUAUCUAACUACUUUACUCUAGCUAGUGGUGAUGUAUGCACAUGUUUUUUUUUUCUUUUUCCUCAAUUGUUUUUUUGUGUCAAUUGUUGUUUGUUUUCUUCUUCAUGCUUUGUUGUUUGCUAAUGAUUGUUGAAACCAAUCUUGUACUUUUCCACCAAUUUGAUGUGUGUUGUUGACUUGUUAAGAUAUUUAAUACAAGGGUCAUAUAAAUCAAUUAUAAGGAGCCAUUUUGAUCAGAUCUUUUGAGUCUAAUAUAGUUUCUCUAAUCUGAGAAAUUUGUAGGUCUUUGUAGCUGCAUUUACCAAGAGGAAGCAGAUUUGCCCUUCUAGUACCGAAAUGCUCUACCGAAGCGAGAACACGAAUGCACCGAACCGUGCUGUCGGAAGCUUUCGCCACACAAACAAAUUCAGGUGAUUAGUGCACCUAUCAAUCAUCUAGACCUAAUCAGAAAUGACCAUCAAACUAGCAAAGACCAAACUGUGCCCUUUAUCGUGAAUACAAUCGAGAAAGUUAAAUUGAAUGUAAAAGCUAAGAAUACAACACUCUCUUCUUUCAAAUCAACCUUCCAUUUCUCUUCUCCGUCAGUUUCUCGAUCUUCUCAUUAGCGACCCGAGAUACCUGGUAACAAUCGUUGAGAAAUUCGAUAAAACCGUAUACGAGAGUCGAAGCUUUUCGCGUUUGCUUACGCAUGCCGUCAUUUCGGUUCAAUAUUUAGGUUCUUGGACAAAGCAUGCAUCAAAGUUCAGGAUGGUUCCAACAUGAAUGAGAGCCCAUGGAGACUCUGCACUGUGACCCAGGUGGAGCAGGUGAAAACCAUCCUCUCAGUGAUCCCCAUCUUCGCAUGCACCAUCAUCUUCAACACCAUCUUAGCCCAGCUCCAGACAUUCUCAGUGCAGCAGGGGAGCUCCAUGAACACCCACCUCACAAGAUCCUUCAGCAUCCCCCCUGCUUCUCUGCAAGCAAUUCCCUACCUCAUGCUCAUCCUUCUGGUCCCCAUGUAUGAGCUCCUCUUCGUGCCGACCGUGCGAAGGAUCACGAAAAGGGAGUCGGGCAUCACUCCGCUGCAGAGAAUCGGGGUCGGGCUCUUCACGGUGACCUUCUCGAUGGUGGCGGCCGCGCUCGUCGAGAGGAGGAGGAGAGAGGCUGCUGUGGGGUCAGAGAAGCAGAUGAGCAUAUUCUGGACAGCCCCACAGUUCCUCAUCUUUGGGCUGUCUGAGAUGUUCACUGCAGUGGGGCUUAUUGAGUUCUUCUACAAGGAGUCACUGGGUGGGAUCCAAUCCUUCUUGACAGCAAUGACCUACUGCUCCUACUCAUUUGGCUUCUACCUGAGCUCUCUGCUGGUCUCACUGGUGAACAAGAUCACAACUAGUGGGAGCAACUCAAAAAAAGGGUGGUUGAGUGAUAAUGAUCUCAACAAGGAUAGAUUGGAUCUCUUCUACUGGCUCUUAGCAGGGCUCAGUGUGCUCAACUUCUUCAACUAUAUCUUUUGGUCCAAAUGGUAUUCAAAUACCCCCCCAUCAAGCAGUUCACAGGGUGGUGGUGGCAGAACCCUGAAGGACAAUGAAGUUGACAAUAUACAUGUGUAGAAAAUGCAUAGAAUCCCCUCUCUGUACCCUCUGUUUUAUGUGUAGCUUGUAAAGUACAAAGAUACUAAUAUAGACCAGAAACUUUGGGGAAUUUUAAGUUUCACUUCUUAGAAGGAAACAGGGAACUUAAGAAACAACUCGAACUCAAUCUAGUGUGUAUAUAUAUAUAUAUAUACAUAUCGACAAAUAUAAACGUAUAUAACCACAACCGAUAACUACCACUUUCACAAAAGACACCAUCUGGAAAAUGGAUACCCAAAUAAGCAAACAAACAAACAGAGAUUUUAGCUUUGUACUGUAUACAUGUAGCAGAUCCAUUAGUACUGGCUGGUUCCAAACAACUUCAUGUUGGAAAACAAAUAUGUAACCGGUUUCAAGGGAGUUUCAACAGUCGUAUUCGGGUCAUUCAAACCGCUAUAUACACAUGUUUUAUCUAUGAUUCUGUGCAACAACAACUUCACAAAAAAUGCCGUCUAAAAUGGGAAACCUGAGCCAAUGAAACCAUAGAAGCAAACUCGAUUUUGAGCAUUAUGGUCUGCUGAUGAUGCGGAGACUAAAGGAUGUGGCACUUCCUACUCCCGGCGAGCUGUCUGAAUUCCUCGUUUUCUCUGUAAGCCUUCUCCAGGCUAGCUUUGAGCUUUUGAAUCUCGUCGUCGGAUUUUAUCCUCGCUUCAGUAGCGAACUUCUCCGCUUCCAAUCUAGCAGCUUGCUCUUCAGCCAGCUGUCUCUCGAGCUUCUCGAUAGUACUGUUUAGUUUCUCUUCUACCUAUAGAAGGAAAUAAUUGGGAAUUAGGGUUUCACGAAUCAUUGCAUGUAGUAGAGAUAUAUACGCAUAUAACUGUAUAGAAUUAUCCGAUAUGUACACAGCCUCACAGUAACAGAACUUUCCCGUAUACAAUACAGAAACUUAGUUUCUAGCAAACAAGCCUAGAGCACUUCUCAUAAUUCAAAACCCUCCUCUCCGCAUGAGUUGGUGACUCCCCAACUAAAAGAAGGAUGAUUUUGUAGGAAGUUGCAUCUUCGAUGGGUAUGUAGACUAUUUGGAUUUUAUAGGGGUAGAUAUAUGUAAAUAGAUGAUUUUGCAGGGAUAUAUAUUUUAAAGUACCUGUUUAGUACUAUGUUAGACUAAAGAGUUACGCUCCAAAUAUUCAAACCCGAAUUACAAUAAUAUAGUACACCUAUACACUUCAUUAAAAAGACUAAGCCUGUGAUAGUCUUGGAGACAAAUUUAAGAUCCAGCUAGAGGCUUAACCUGCGCAAUCAACAACACUAAGCACACAUAUAUUCAUAAUUCCAACAAUUCCUUUUUUUCAACCAAAAAAAAAAAGUGGAAAAGUCAUGUAUGUGAUUAGGACAAUACAUGGGAACAUUAAUGAGACUAAAGAGUGAUGGCAUUACACAAAGACAACAUUGAAUCACCGUACAGGCAUUAAAGUAAUUGCUUUCAGCAAGUCUCAAAUCCAAUUCUCAGCAAUAAACUCUAUUUUUCUGAAGCUGGUAAUAUUGAAGAACAUUAAACAAAGUAGAUAAGCCAGCAAGAUAAUAUCAGUUUUAAAUAUUUACCAUCUUAGUAAUCCGUGUGAGCUGCUCAUCAUAUGACUUAUAAAUCUCUUGCUUCAAAUCAUUUAUCUGUUGUUCUGAAUAACCCUUCAAGGAUUCAACAACUUUCUCUUUCUCAAGCAAUUUUGAUGCCCCAUCCUGUAAUGAAAAAAAUAUGAUCAAGUAAUACACCUACGCAGAUCCAAUAUUACAUCAACAUUUAGACCAAAAGGUGCGCACUACCUUAAGCUCAGCAAAAAUCUUAUCUGAAAAUGGUUUUCCUCCGUUACUGCUUAACACCAAGUCAACAAGACGAAACAAUUCAUUGACUUGCGCAGCUUGCACAGCCUUAUCCUUGGUCUUGUUAUUGAAAAGUACCACUCUGUUUUUACACAACUGUAUAAUUUUCUGCAGAGAAAAUACUACAAGAAUUACAUGAGAGAUCAUUGGUGCUAUUUAAGCAUACAAAGAAUUAUCUAGUUAUGCCAGUUCUUAUUUUUACAUACUCUUCUUCUCAAGCAUCUCAGUUCUUGAUGCUAUAUUUCUUGAUCAUGUAGUAGUUACGUGGAGAUUUUACAUGUAUGCCCUGCUAUCUCUUUACACGAAAAUCCCUUAAAAUCUGAUAUUUCAUGUGUAAACCCUUUAAGUCAUAGGUAAAAAUUCAGGUUUUGCAGGAGAAUCUUAGCAAAUAGAUAGUUUUGCGGAGUUAUAUAGAAUAAUAUCUCAAUACAUCGAGUGAGAAAAAUCAAACAAAAAGCGGUUUUAAAACCAAACCUGCAAAGGUUUGGGGGCAUGAUCGACAUAAUCCUUGAAGGUCAUUCCAUCUUCUUCAAGAUCAUCUCCACCAGUAAAAACAACAAUCAUGUGGUCGACAAUUUUCUCACCAAAGAAAGUCUGCAACCUCUCGAUAGUAGUCUCUUCUUCUUCUGAGAAGCGUGCUCUAAUAGAGAAAACCAUAAGCACCGCAUGAAUGCCGUCCUUGGCCAUAGUAAUGCAUUUUACUAUCUCUUUGCCAAUAAACUCGGAUCCACCUGACCAAUCAAAUAGUCCUGCAAAAGAUAAGAAAUAUAAGUAGGUUUCACGGAAUGCUGUACAUUUUCAGCAUUUACAAAGGGUCCUAGCUCCCAGAAUAUGAUAUAGCAGGCCCUGAAAUCGUGUAGCAUCUUGGGCAUCUUUUCAAGUCUCAUUCCCUUCAUGUCACAACUUGAGAUCUUAUGUUUUCUACGUAAAGCCCGCAUGAGUAAGAACGUCUUUCUUCUGGGGUUACUAUCACAAUUGUGAUAGUUUCAAUAAAGGCGACGUUUGUUGUUCAAUUAAAUAAAAAAGAAAAACAUUUCACUGAACAAAAUUGUGCUGGACCACAAGGAGCUAUGUUAAAAUUUAGAACUAGUAAGAGAUGAAAGACGCAUUGCAUGUUCAAAGACUCUACUACAGGAUAAGUAUAGUCUCUACUCGUAAAUGCAUGAUACUUGAAAGUCGUAAUAUCUAAUUAGAGUACUAAACUCUAAGGUUAGGCAAUAUUUUCAGCCAAAAUCUUAGCGUACCAUAAUUAACCAAAGAGCAAGAAAUUAUACGUAAGGGAUGAGGACAUCCACGAUAAACAUGCGUACCGGGGGUGUCAAUAACAUUAACCAUACGUCCAUCUCCUAAAGUGGUGCUCUCCAUUUCGCAAGUGUUCGUCACGCCAACAGGGCAGUUUUUCGACACGAAUGCCUUCCUCCCUAGAAUGCUGUUUCCAGUCGCACUUUUACCGUAGCCGAGUUUUCCGACGAGAACGACAGUAUUGGCGAUGUCAUACACGGGAUCCCAGCCAUCAUAGCACACGCCUCCACCCAUCAUGCAAUCACAAGCGAAAAGACCUUUGAAAAAAGAUCAGCAAAGGGUUAGAAACUUAGAAUAGUCGUUUUACGCAACGGCGAUUACAUAGAAUUCACUGAUUACUUCUACAGAUCUCAGAAGUUACAUGGAAAUUACUAACAACAAAGGUAUAUUGAUUUGACAUUGCCAAAUUGCUAAUAUAACCCAAUGAAAUAUACCUCCUGGAUACAAACAGACACUCCACUCAAAUUUCUUGUUAUGUAGAGAUCCCUCAACUAUUUUCCUUUUGAUUGGUAGCCCCUUAAUGUUUUAUAUUCUUUUGAUUUCAUCUAAUAAAUUGAAGAUUUUUUUAAAAAAAAAAACCUAAUAGUGAUUCUUUUAACUUUUAACUGUUCCAAAUGCUUUUUUAAUUCAAUAUGGAAAAAUAAUUCACACCAAGACAAUGAAAAGUUGAGGUGGGUAUCAACCCAGAAAAAAACAAAGUUGGGGGAACUAUUUCAAAAUAGUCUAAAAGUGAGGGUGCUUGAUACAAUAUUUCCCAAAAAUUUAGGAGUAACAUAUGACAUGCAAUAAUCAUGUUUGUUCUAUAUAUUUGCAUAAAUGAAAUUUUAAUUUCAUAAAAACAUGCUGAUAUUAAUAAAUUAACCUUUUCCUCUACCCAUCACUCAUUCCCGCUUAAUUUACCACACCACACAUAUAAAAUAAAUAAAUAAAUAAAUAAAAAGAAAAAUUCUUAAAAGUAAGAAUCUAUAAAAGCAUGAGAGAAUAAAGUUGGACUAAAAAUUCGGAAAAAAAAAUCGAAAAAAAGAGAAAAAUUCGGAGAAUAAUCCAUUGUAGCUCAAGAAGAAGAAUCCGAGUGUGAAGAGGGGGUAAAAAUGCAUCAAGAUCUCUCAACUAUAGGCCAUAUUGAAAUGACCCCCUCAACUUUAAUUUUUCUACUAACACCGCCAUAAAUUCAAAACUCUACCAAAUUUGUUGUCAAAAUUAUCAAACUCAACAAGAAUUUUAACUUAAUCAACUACAAUAACACAAAUCAAGGAAAAUUACAACUUAGAAGCAAUAUCAUCAAUCAAGAAAAGCAAAUUCGAGGAACGUACAUCAAAAUCGCGUGUAGUUGAGGGGUAACAGAGUACAUUUUAACCUAAAAAUUUCAAAUCAACGACAACUGAGACCUCAAACAUGAGAUUCUCAAAAAUGGAUAAAAAAAAACUCGAAAAAAUUCGCAAAAAAUCCCGAAAACAGAAGAAGAGAAGUGGGAGAAUUACUCGCUGUAGCUCCGAAUCAGAUCGAAUAGAUCAAUACAAAGAAAAAGAUGAUGAAAUCGCGAGGCGAAUGCGACGGGAACGAAGAAGAAGCAGCAGCAGCAGAGACCGACGAAGACGAGGCGUGCGAGGAGAGUUAUCUAAAAAUGUAUAAGAAUUUGGGUAAAAUAUAUGGAUGGUCCCUGUACUAUUUUUGUAUUUUAACAUAAUCCUCUUCGUUGCUUACAAAAUAAUAAUUACACUUUGGUCCUCAAAAUGAAAAUCUAUAGCUGCACAAUAUUUUUAUUUCUUAAAUUCUAAUUUUUAUUAUAAAUUUUAAUUCAAAUUUUAUAAAUUAUUACAACUAAAUUUUAUAAUUUAAUUUAGUUAACUAAAUACUGAUAUAUCUUAAUUAUAAAAAUAAUUGAUAAUAAUGAGGUAAUAAUUAAGAUGGCAUCUUACUAUUAUAACAUCAACAUGUUAAUAUUUAGUUAAUAAAUUGAAUUAUGUAACUGCAUUAUAAUAAUCUAUAAAAUUUAAGUAAAAAAUUACGACUAAAAUUAAAUAAAACAAAAAAAAAAUUAGGGAAUAAAAUCAAAAUAUUUAAAUAUUAGGUAGUUGUUUUCAAGGACCUAAUAUAAAAUUGACUCCCUAACUAAUUUUAAUCAGCCCUGUUUAAAAUGUAUGGACACCCCCUAAAGUUUAACAAAUUUUGAAAUUGAUCUUCUAAAUUUCUUUUUAUUUGAUUUGCCCUCGCUCUACUUACUUAUUGUUUGACUUACAUCUUUUUCUUAAUAAUUUUGAUAAUUUUAUUAGAAUCAAAAUAAAUGCCCACGAGAGAUGCGCAUAAUUAAUAAUUAUUUUAGUGUAAAGAAAAAAUUAUGUGCAUCUUUUCGUAGGUGAUUGAUUCCAACAAAAAUCUCAAAAUUGUUAAUGGAAGGAGUAAAAUCAAACGAUUAAUAAGCGAAAAGGAUGCGAUUCAAAUAAAAAGAAAAUCCAGGGGGUUGAAUUGCAAAACUUGUUAAAGUUUAGGGGGUGCCUAUACGGUUCGGAGUCCGGUUUGGUCCGAAUCCGAACCGGUGCGGUCUAAAUUCGAACCGGAGUGGUAAUUUGGAAAUGUGAACUCAAUUAACGGCCCACUCCAAACCCUAACCCCGAACUCGAUUUCGUCGCACGAUUCCUCGUCCUCGCCCUAUUCUUCUUCUUCUUCUUCUUGUUCCUCUUGCGCUCUUCUCCACCUCCUCCUCCCAAAUUCUCUACCCUAAUCGACCUCUUCGCUCGAUGCAGGAUCGGUAAUUACUCUACUCUUCUUCGCUGAUUUGAUCUCCAGGUUUUUUUCUCUUUUUGUAAGGUAAUUUAGCAGAUCCAAUCAAUUCUUUUUUUCCCUUCUUUUUUUCAUUUUUUCGGUUAAUUUUUGUUGAUCUUUGCAUGAGGCAAUAGGGUUUAGGAGCUCAAUUCAUUGAAAAGUGUUGUUUGUUGUGAGAUUUUAAUCUGUGUUGCAGUUAAGGAUGGAAAUUUUUGGGGAUUGAACUGUUUAAGUGACAAAUUCGGGGACUAGAUCGAAAUAUCCCUGCAUUUUAACUUUUUUUUUUUUGUAAUUUAAUUGUAAAUAGAUUCGAAAGGUUAUUUGAUAGGUUCAAGAGAGCUUAUUUAAUGUAUGAUAAUUUAUGUUAUCGAAAAACUAGCGUGUGAGGAAUCUUAAAGGAGUUAAAUUUUAGGGUUUAUUAGUGAAAUAACAAGAACUAUGAUAAAAGGAGUGAGAAAAAACCACCAAAUAUAUGUACUGAUUAUAAGAAUAUAGUAUGUAGUAUAUUGAUAGAUAUAGAUGUGGAUUUUUUUUUUUGGAUGUUUUCUCAUGGAUACUACGAGCCUAAUAUGACUCGAAUAGUAUCCAUAGAACAUUAGCAUGAACAUAAGAUGCGGGACAUGCCAUAACUCAGAUGCUUUGAAUCAUCAGCUUCGUAAAAAAAUGGGACGUGGACAAGGGAUAUCAUAGUUUUAAUGAGAAAAUGUACAUUUCGUUAUUUUUAAGAGAAAUAAAUUCACAUUAUUAUGCCCUCUCCUAUAGGUUGUUACUGAUUUUCCUUAAACGUGUAAUAUGUAAGACAAAAGAAUAAUUAUAUGAAUAUAGAUUCUAGUGAAUAUAUUUAAUUUAAAAUUUUCAUCAUGCAACAUAAAUAGUACAAAAUUUAUUUGACAAUCACUUAUUGAACACUUUAUGGAACGUAAUUGGAGAAAUAACUUCUUAUAUUUUGAUGCAUUUGCCUAUAUUGGAUAAAACUGCAUAGACGUGCUUUUUCCUAAUCUCUUGUUCUUUUGAAUAACAGUGUCAUAACGCAGUGACCGUGAAGGAAAUAAAAAAAUCCAGCUGAAAUUGCAGCCAAAAAUGCAGUCCAGGAAUCGAGUUCCGGUAGACGGAGCAAGGUCAGGAUCGGCGGCGGCACUUGGUAUAGCAUCAGGCCGAAUCUCCCCCUUCGGCCGGAGCCGUGGCCAUGUCAACUUCGCACAUGGCAACACCAAGCCCUUCUAUCCCCCUCCUCCUCCUCCUCAUCGGAAGUUUGAGAUUCUUAUGGAAGCUGGCCGCCUUGCUGCUGAGUACUUAAUCUCGAAGGGCAAGCUCCCCCCUAGCUCGCUGCCCGUGAGCUGGCCCAGUAACAGUAUUCCCGACCAAGUCGGUUGCCGAACUUCAGCUCUAGAUCGGCUUGGGAACUCGGGGCCUGCCGAUGUGGGCCCAUGUCGGAGAGGAUUCAAUGAUGAGUACAACCGCGUAAAUUCAAGAAGAAAUGGCAGAGGAAGGCGGAAAUUUGGGUUCUACAAUCGAAAUUAUUCGGAUUGGGGUAGGGAGAGAGGAAGGAAUAAUGGGCCGUGGAUGGAAAGAAGUGGUAGGGGUUAUUCUGAUAGUGUGGAGGACGAAGAAGAAGAAGAUGUUGCUCCCGGGUAUAGUAGAGAUCGUAGAGGCGGGAACGAUGAAGUUGGGAGUAGUGUUUCAGGAGUAGCUGGGCCGUUAAAGGGUGAAGAAGUAACUGGUGAAGUUAUAGGAGAAUCAGAUUUUGAUGAUACGGGAUCAAAGGCUAGCUCUUGUAGUGCUAGGAAAGACCCACCUUUGGAGGGGCAGGGUGAUGUUAAUAUGAACAAAGGGAUGGAUGAUGAUGAUAAUAAAGUAUUGAACUCGGAUGGGACGGAGGUUAAGAGCUGCGAGAGCAGCGAGUUGGAGAAGAAGGAUUCAAAAGAGGAAGCUUUGGACGGUAAGGCUCUUAAUUAUGAAGACGAAUCAGUUAAUAAACAUGGGAGUGGUUUACUUAAAUACUGUGGGUUUGCUAAAGUGCCAACUAAGCCACGGUCAGCAUUGGCACAUAGAAAUGUAGUGGUUGAUCAAGGUCCGACUGAGAUGGUAUUAGAUGAGGCUCACGCUGAGAAUAAAGACCAGAAAGAUAGUUUAGAUUGCAAAACAUCUUCCAAUUCUGUUCUUGCAAGUGAGACAGUAGAACAAGAUGACCCACAAAAUGGAUCUACUAAAAGUAACCCAGAUAAUGAAACAUCUAUAGCGAUUUCCGAAACAAAAGAGGGGGAUAGCAAUUCACAGCAUUGCCAAAUGGAAGAAGGUAAAGGGGUGAAUGACUUGUCUCCAUCAAGAACAUUUCAAGAGAACAAUAAUGUACGAGAUGAAGAGAUGACCGAGUCAGAUGAGCAAGAGAAAGCAGGUGGGCCUAAUUUAUUUCCUAGUGCCGGAGCUGAACCCAUUGAUAAGAUGGAAGAAGUGAAGCGGAAUAAUCGGCCCACUUCGUUUAAGAUCCGCGAUCUUAACCUGAUGGAAAGCCCGGAAAUUACCGAGAUACUUGAUGAUCAUGAUUUGGAACAUCAAGCUGCUUCUGGCGCUUCUUUGGAAUCUCCGAAGCAGCUGCCUGUAGAUUUUGGUCUGUCUGUUGGUAAAAAUGCCAAGGACACAAAUGGCUACAACCGGAUCUCAAGUGAUGAUAAAGUAAUUCAAGUAAUUGAUCUUGAAGAUGAUUCCCCUGUAGAAAUCAGUGCUUGUGAUUCUUCAAAGCCUAAGUGAGUUUCUUUUGCAACUCAUACUGUUUUUUUGUUACUGCCUUGUAACUCCUGUCCACUUCAUUAGUGAAUGGUUCUUUUUUUUUUUCUCAAUUGUUAAAAUGUACAUGAACAUACCUGGACUAUAGCGCAUUAUGAAAUGGAUACUUUAAAAUUUUUCACUUUACUACCUGAUCAAACAGUUACUUUGAUUUGAGUACUUCUCCAUCGGAACUUUAUGGUACUCUUUACCUUUUUUGACAGUUUAUGUAUUCUAUAGCUUAUAGGGAAGUUCUGUUUCUUACUAGAGAAAACAAUAAAUUCUUACAGAACUUGAUGGAAUCUUCUGAAAUCCCAAUAACUGUAUAAUCAGAUAGCAAAAUCAAUUUUGUUAUUCAAGUAAGGUUGUACAUUUUUAUCUUUUGUUAAAUCUUUUCAAGUUUUAAGUACAAACUAACAUACUUGUAAAGCAGGAAUGAUGGGAUAUACCCAAAUAUGGAAAAUAUGCUGCACCAGGACGGGCCUCGGGAUGUGAUUCCUGGUAUUCAGGAUGGCUAUAGUCUUGCAAUUUCUGAUUAUCUUGGAGCUGAUAUUUGCCCAACAAUACAAGCAGAUCUUCAGGGCGGAAUACAUCUACAUGGUCCAGAGGUGAGAGCGAUCGCUUUGUCUUUAUAUUCUGUACUCCAUAAACCGCCGAAUGGCUUUAUACCUUUUUUCAUGAAGUACUGUUCCUGUUGCUGGGGAUAGCUUUACAUGUAAUAAAGUGGCCGUGCUUGUAUUAGUCAACAAAUAACUGAAUCUUUACUCGGGUUUCUUCUGCAGGGGUUUCCUGGUGUGGAUGAUCCAUUUUAUGGAGGUCUUGGAGAUAUAGGUACAUUGAUAUGUAGCCCCUUUGCAUUUCCAAUUAUCAUCUUAAGUUGUAGCUAACUAAUGUCAUUGAGAUUUGUUAUUAUUGGUUAUAUACCCACUACCUGCAUUUCUUUUCCUAUGAAGGAAUAUUAAGGACUCUGCAAAGUUGAUCAAAACAUUUUGCUAAAAUCUUUCUAUUUACAGGAAAAUAGCAAACCCUCAUUCUUCUAAGCUAGUGUUCUACAGAGAAGAUCUGGUUAGAAAAUACCAUAAAAUUACCAUGCACGUCUUUUUUAUAUGAAAAAAUCUAAUAUCCUUAGUCAGGGUAUGGCAUCUGCUAGAUAUGUUUCUUUUAUAACUUUAUUUGUCCUUCGUUUUCCAAAGAGCGGAAAAGAUGGAGUAGAUCUAACUUUAGGUUCGCUUAUAGUUGAGGGGAUCUCAGUACAUAUUUUUACCUAAAACUUUGUUUUAUUAUUCCUCUCUAACUAGGAUGUUAGUUUCAUCAAAAGUUGACAUGAAACUGGAGCGGUUAUUUCCUACUAUCCUUAAGAGAUAAAGAUAAUUGUUAAUGAUUUAAACCUUUGCAUUUCUUGUCAGAAUUUAAAUGGCAUUUAAUUCAUUUGCAGGUUUUAUGGAGGUCUGGGACCAGCCGCCGCAGGAUUAUGAGAAGUUCUUUUGAUCAUAUUCGAGUCGAGUCCAGCACCGAAUCCUACUUACUCGGGAAAAUGUUAAUUUGGAUAAGUGAAGGAAAAGAACAAGAAAAUGUCGAAUGUAGAGAAAUAAAUAGAUUUCGCCUUCUGAAUCGCGGUGUUGUAAUUCUCCUCUCUUCAUAACAAGCAUCAAAAUGUUCAUAACAUAAUCUUGCUGUUCUGCUGGAUGAAGCCGCAUCGUAUUUUAUGAUGUACGACGUACGUUGACUAAUGAGAUCCGGGUUGUAUGCUUCUCUGGUGUUGAUUAUCUUUUGUUUCUCGACUCGAAGGAAUCGGUUGUUCCUGAUAUAUAAUUGUUAUAGUUGAUUUAGCUAGUUUUGCAAGAAAAAAAAAAAUUUUCUUUUUUUUUUACAUGUUAUGGGGGUUUUACUUUUAGCUCUUGUGGCCUCUGCAGAUAUGACUACUGCUAUAUUUGCUUUGUACUUGAGAAACAAUAAUGAUUAUAAAACACUCAAAAAGAUAAUAUUGGGUGACCAUAUGUAAAAUGUAGAGCUCUCUCUCUCUCUCCCUCUCUCUCUCUCUCUCUCUCUCUCUCUCUUGUUUGUUUGAUUCAAAUGCAUUAAUAUCUUGUUUGCUGUAUCUUCCUUGUUUGUGCAAGGAAUAUGUAGCAGUUGGUUCUCAGGAAACUAUGGAAAAUAUGAAAAUAUGUUUGCUGAUAACUCUGUUUUUUUUUUUUCCCCAGAAAAAAAAAUUCAUAAAUAACUUUACAGGUGCAAUGCAUUACAUUAAGCAAUUGAAGUAAUUAAGGUGGGUGUAAAUUUUAUAUAGGGACAACUUCAAAUACCACCCUUAUAGUUCAGCAUUUUCUCAUUUAGUACCUUAUGAUUUAAACUGUAUUAUUUUAGUACCCUCUGAUUUCGUUUUUUUUUUUUCGUUAUCCCUUUUGUUAAUUUUUUCGUUAAAUUAAUAAGAAAGUUAAAUCUACAUAGUAGUAAAGUAAAAAUUUCGUAAAUCAUUGGAUACUGAAGUGAAUAUUCAAUAAACCAUAUGAGGUAUCUGAAGUUUUUUUCUAUAUAUUUUAACGGAGGGGUUAACGGAAAUAGAAAAAUAAAAUUACAAGAUAUUAAAGUGAUACACUUUAAAUCAUAGGGUAGGGGGGAUAUUUAAAGUUUGAGGACUGGAAUUAAAUUAUCUAAACGAUCAGGGACUAGCUGUGCAAUUUAACCAAAUUAUAUAGUGCGGAUCGAACACGCGACUGAGACCCCCACCCCCUCUCUCUCUCCUUCCUCGCCGGAGCGCCGCCGUGGGACGCCGCAGCAGCUACGGUCGCCGCCGCCGCUCCUCCGCCGCCCCGAUUUCGAGUCAGCUUCGCCGGAGGGCUCCGUUGGACCCCUCAAGGGUUCGAUUCGUCUCCCAAUUUGAGGUAAUUUGGGGAAAUUUCGGUGUCUUAGGGUUUUCAUGAUCGUUUCAUGUCGGUGGAUUGAUAUGUGACUGUGUUGGGUUCCUUUUUGGAUCGAACUGGUUACAAGGAUACUUGUUUUUAGAUUAAAAAAACUUCAAGCAGCCCCUUGCGACUAUUGCACUGUGUUCCUCUUUUAGUUUCUGUUUUAGUAAGGUUUAGGUUAUAAAUUUUUGGAUCUUGGGUAGAAUUGUAUUUUUUUGGAAUGUCAUCCAAUCACACUGACUACAAUGUUAUUUCAACCUGCGUCACAUUAUUCAUAUACGAAUUAGAAAAGUUUUUUUUUUGGAUAAAGGAGUAAUUUUUAUGCUCAAGAUGCUCAAUUCAUGGCAAACUGGUCCCUAAAUCAUCAGAUUUGGUUAUACUUAUUGAAAUCCUCCGCAAUCAUCAGAAAUCAUGCCUCCAAAUCUCUAAUUUGGAUGAUUCGUAAUAAGUUGUUAGUUUUUCGCAAGGAUCUGUUAUUGAAAAGAUAUCUAUGUUCUGCACUUUUGUAAGCCACAAGAUGGUAGAAUAUGUGGUUUAUCACCUUGUACUCAAACAAUGUAGCUUUUGUUACUAUCUGUUUUAUUGGUAUGUUAUUGCAGAAAACUUAAACAGAAAGAACAUGCGACAAAAUGCUAAACUUUGGCCACAGGGAAGUGAACUGCAAUAUCACAAUAACACAGAAUAAUAACAUUUUAAAGACUUUGAGAUGAGCAAGCGUUCUACAGAACUUAAAGAGGAGCUUCUUGAAUUGUUUGAAUUUUUCUGAAAACAAUGUUGCAUGUGAUAACAGCUACUUUGAUUUUAGGCAAAGAUAAAGAAUCGUGGAGAUAGUACAAGCAAGCGAUGGAGAAGAAAUACGGGCUCCAGCUUCGAAUCCCAAAAUCGCAGUCAAAGCCGACAGCAUCGAGGCCUCCUGCUCCUCCGCCGGCAUUUGCUUUCGGCGGUGAUGAUGAGGACGACGUUGAGAGGGAAAUCUCUCGCCAGGCCUCCAAGAACAAGGCCCUACAGAAGGUAAAUUUGAUCUUUAGUUCUCCUUAUUAUUGUUAUCAAUCAUUUGGAGAAUUGACGAUUUGCUUCCUCCUCACGGACCUCUUCCAAUUUUUGCACUUUGGAAAAAUCAUAAAGGUAGAGGAGCAGCACAAGAAGGCGCUUGAAGAGGAUCCCUCGGUCUUCGACUAUGAUGGGGUAUAUGAUGAGAUGAAGGAGAAGAUCGUGCGCCCCAAGAUCCAGGACAAAACUGAGAGAAAGGUUCUUUUUUCUUUUUCUUUCACAAUUUCCUAGUUUUACUUUGCUUGCGAGAUGCAUAUCUAUGUUUACUAUGCAGAAAUACUUUUUAUCAUAGAAGAUGCAUAAAAGUUUCAUGAAAUUGGAUAUAGUGUGAAGAAUGUAGAAUUCGUUUGGCAAAUGUCCCAAACAGGAAUUGUGCACCAUCUAGAAGAUGUAUGCACUUUUUUUGCCUUUGCAGAGUGCUGGUUGGCCACCAGAGCCUGUUCAAAUCAUUCAUAGGAGGGUGGUUCCAUUUGUUUGGGCAUUGGACUUUCUGAUCAAGUUGUUGCAUCCACUUGUAUAGUGUAUACAUGAUGUGAAAGAGAGAAGGAUUCAUUGAAAGUCUCAUCUCAGAGCCCGGUGCUAUUCUUAUUUCGCAUUGCUUGUUACUGCUCUUCAAUACCUCAUUCAUAGCAGGGUAGUUACAUUGACAACUAAGACGAAUAGUUGCGAGUAAAAAAUAUUAGCAUUUUAGAGUUCUUUGUACAGAUUGUUUGAUAGUUUGGAACCAGGCAACAUUUUUGUUUAAAUUCCCUGAUCUCUGUCUUUAUCCUAGGUUUAAUUUUUCAUACAUUUGUUGGUUAUUUUGUACUGUGUGUUUUAGGAUUUCCAUUUGUUGGUAUCAUAACCUUAUAUGGAUGCCUUUUCAUGCAUCCUCUGAUGGCAUUUAUUCUUAAUUGCAGUCAAAGUAUAUUGAAGUACUUAUGGACAAAGCAAAACAACGUGAGCGUGAACAUGAGAUUAUCUACGAGAAGAAACUGCUGAAAGAAAGGAGCAAGGACGAUCACCUCUUUGCUGACAAAGAGAAGUUUGUAACAAGUGCCUAUAAGAAAAAGCUUGCUGAGCAGGCAAAAUGGUUGGAAGAAGAGAGGUUGCGGCAAAUUCGUGAGGAAAAGGAGGAUGUAAGUGUUCUAAAUUUUUUUUUUAAUCAAUAUUUUCCUAUUUCUUUACCAUGUGGUUUGUGCUUCCCGAAUGGAUCUUACGGAUGCUGAGCUGUUUGUCGUGCUUAAAGCUGGUCUUCCAUGCUUUAAUCAGCACAGGAAAUAUAGAAGAAUGUUUUCACUGUUCUUGUUAUACUUAUGCAUCGCACUGCAAGAUGACAACUACUCCUGUUAGCAGUUUCCUCUCGCAUAAGCUCUGUUUCUCUUACAUUGUAAUACUCUAACUCGACCUCGUCUCUUUUGAAAGGUAACCAAGAAGAAAGAUUUGAGUGACUUCUACUUUGGUCUCAAUAAGAAUGUUGCUUUUGGUGCUCGAUUGAAUGAGGACCCAAAGCCAACACAACAUAACGAAGCAAAUGAUAGCACCCAGGAAAGUCAAGCAAGCAAGCAGGAUGCUAAGGAAUCUCACCAUUCUCCUCAACGUAGAGAGGAAGCCAAUAGAGAACCUAAAAUGAUCGACCGUGCUAAGAACAGUUCUGAAGAAGUUGUAGCGGAGGCUGUAUCAGCGGUCCCUGCAGGAAGUACCUCGGUGGAGGACAAGAUCAAUGUUGAUCAAGCAUUGGCAUCUCAGGCGACAACCGCUGAGCAUUAUAAAAGGAGCGAGGAUGCAUUGGCUGCUGCGAGAGAACGGUUUAUGGCACGAAAGAGAGCUAGAGAACAAUAACUUGGAGGUAUAGGCAGGAUUUUUCUUUUUAUCUUUUUCUGUAUUAAGUACGAACUGAUCUUCUAAUGAAAGUUUUUCGUCAUAUCGACGUAUUAACCCCUGCUUGAUUAUCCAUUCACUAAUAUGUAAUAUAUCACUGUGAACUUUGAAUUUUCCUUCUUGCUUACAUGCACUAACAAAAAGUUCCCUCUACAGCUGCUAGAUUGUUUUUUCAGGGUUUUAUGUAAAAAUCCUUUUUCCAGAUUAUUUUGUCAUUUGAUCUGAUUCCUUUCGUGAUCCUUUUUACAUUUUUCUUUAGUUAUUUCAACAACAUAUGUGAUUUGAUCUUUAUUAACUAACAUAAUGUCAAACUUUCGCCAGGGUGCGAUAUGGACAUCAUAUAUUGUGACUCGAGUCACUUGGCGAUCCGACAUGCUCGAUUGCUCGACUGUAUAAACAAUCAUGAUCCAACUACUUGUACUUUAUGAGAAGAUACAGGACAAGUGGAACUCAGAUGCGAAACAAAUACGAGUGUGUAAGCCGGUUUUGAGCACCGAACCCUGUAUGUCGAAAGUGAUGAAAUAAGUUAGAUUUUAAACAUUAUCAUUGCCCUUUUUAAAUUCCUUGUAAUCUCCUGUAAGUUGAUUGCCUGUUGUACAGCAAGUAACUAGGAUCUCUUUAUCGCAUAUUAUUUAGUGAAAAAAGAAAGAAUACUAUAAUUUGCUUUAGAAAACUCCGCAGGUAAAAUUACGGGUAAUCUCCAAACUUUUGAUGAAUCACAAUUUGGUUCUCGAUCUUUCAAAUGCUUUGCUUAGUUUGAACAAAGGCUUGUUAUCUUACUCCCCACUUGCAUCAACAAAUCUUUUUGUUGCUUUAGUGGUAUUGUGCUCAUGAAGUAUAUACUUGGUGUUAUAUAUUUUGUUAAUACCCUUGAUGACUUUGUGAUUGAAAACAAAUAGUUGGUGUGUUUUCCUCUCAAUCUGAUGUGGUUUGGAUGUGUUCUUGACUCAUUAAAACUGGAUUAGAUUAGAUAAGAUGGUGGAAUAAGUAAUCAUCCCAUUGUUUUCUUUUUUUAAUUAUUAUGAGUUGUGUGAAUGCGCCGCCUUUGAUUGGCCCACUCUGCUAUUAAACUGGGGAUUGUUUGGAUUAAACUGUCUCAAUGUAGUCCUCAAGUUCUUUUUUUCAUUCUUUGUGUUUUUUGGACUUUGUCUUUUUAUUUUUUUUAUGUGAAAAGUAUGAAAGGGAAAAUGUGGAGCUUAUUUAUAUUUAUAUUGUAAUUAGUGAUGUAACAAUAACUAAAGUAUUACAUUAUCGUCACACCAACACUAUAUUAUUAUUAGAAAAAAUUUCAAAUACCGCCUCUAUGGUUUCACACUUUUUAACUUUAGUAACAAUAACUAAAGUAUUACAUUAUCGUUACACCAACAUUACAUUAUUAUUAUUAGGAAAAAUUUCAAAUACUGCCCAUGUGAUUUCACACUUUUCCACUUUAGUGCCUUGUGCUUUAAAGUGUAUUAAUUUAGUGACAUGUUUUUUCAUUUUUAAUUUUUUAUUAUAGAUUUCAUUAAUAUUUUUUAUUAAAUUGAUGAUAAAGUUAAAACUAAAAGAUACUAAAGUGAAUAUUCGAUAAACUUAGGUGGGGUGGGGUAUAUAAAGUUAUUCGUAUAUAAUUUAAUAAAAUAUUAAUAGAAAAAUUGAUGAAAAAAUAAAAAUGAAAUCACAAGAUACUAAAUUGAUACACUUUAAACCACAGGGUACUAAAUUGAGAAAGCACGAAAUCACGGGGGUGGUAUUUGAAAUUUACCCUUAUUAUUAAGUUAGCUAAAUUAGACAACAAAAUUCGCUUGUAAUAGUUCAAAAUAUUUGAAUCUACAAUAAUAAAAAUUUAAAAUUUUAAAAAGUAAAUUUACAAAACCAAAGCGGCGUAUGCGAACCAAAAAGUGUACAAUUUAACAUUAAAAAAAAAAAAAAAAAAAAAAAAAAAAAANNNNNNNNNNNNNNNNNAAAAAAAAAAAAAAAAAAAAAAAAAACCCCUUGGGAGACCAAAACGGGUGGCUGGCCCGUGGUUCUUCUUCACCGACCCGCCCCGGUAAAAGGCGAACCCGGUUUUUUCUCCCACCCCCGGUUUGUCCCCCCUUGAGAUUCGCGUUACUUUAGAGAAAUUCGUUCCUGCACCAGGUGCAUAUGUACACUUUACACCGCACGCCACCUAACCGUCGAUCUCAAUAUUCUACGGCUCAUCCAACCGUCCAAUUUUGAACGAGAGAAUCUACCCAGCAUGGUGCGCAGAUGUACGGAUGCACCAGGUGCAUGUAAUUAUUCCCAAAAGUAAAGUUUGGUGUGGGAUGAGGAGUCGGGGGCGUGGUACUAUCACGUUUCCCAUUACUAACUCACAAUUUUCAAAAAGAAAGUUUUUUUUUUUUUUUGUUCUUUAAAAGUAAAUUUAGAUUCAUGUUUAAAAUUUCGGAUACUAAUGAUCAAAUAAUUUUUGGAUAAAAUUUUGGCUCCUUAGAUUUUUAGAUUUUUAGACCCACAUUUCCAUUAAUACUUGCGCUCAAAUUAAACUUUAUCCUAAAUACUCGAAAACUACAAUAUAUAUAUAUACCGGUAUACUUCUGGAAGCACAAAAUUCUCCGUCUUUUUAAGUCGUUUUCGAUAUUGGGACUUUCAAAUCGACGAUCGGCUCCGUUGGAUUUGAUCUAGAGUAUUUAAAAUACCUAGAAAAUAAAUUUUGUGAUUUUUCGAUACCAUUUGCCUAGUGAUCGAAGAGGCUCAAAAUCAAUGACCGUGGUGAGCCGUUUGCAAGUUUAACGGUGUAGAAAUAUUCAAAUUAUAUAAAAUUUUGAUAGAAAAUUUUUUAUACUAUAUAAAACAAGAUCAAUAUUUUUGAUCUAAAAUUUUAAUGUCAUAUGACCAUAUUUUGUAAGAUUUUUAUUUUCAGGCAUGAAUUUUGAGCCCCUAUGACCACUAGAUAAAUAAUAUCGAAAAAUUACAAAAGUUAUUUUUUAGAUACUUCAAAUAUUCUAUAUUAAGUCUAAUGGAGCCGAUCAUCGAUUCAAAAGUCUCAACAUCGAAAAUGAUUUGAAAACACAAAAGACUGUGUGCUUCCAAAAGCAUAUCUGAUUCACUCUAUUAUUUAUAUAUAUAUAUAUCCCCAAUAGUUUCCAUAUCUCUAUAUGGGGAAACGCUAUCUAAGAUAAACAAGACCACAAGACGACUAUAUAAAGUCCCCAAAGUGAAUAUAUGAUCCUUCAAUAUAUACCCAAAAGGAGAACCGAUCUUUUUUGUGCACAAAAGGAAAAAAUAAAGGUACAACAUUCCCUUUCUCUUUUUUUAAUUACUUAUUUUCCUAUAAAUUAGUGUAUAUAAAUAAAUAUAUGUGUUAGCUUUGGUUUUCAUAGAGCUUCUUCUUCUUCUUCUUCAUGUGGUAUUUUAGGAUAAGUUAUUAUUAUUAUUUUUUUAUUUUGAAGAUGUUUUAUUGAUUUAAUUUAUUUACUCUGAUGGGAAUUUUACCAAUUGCAUAUUUAUGUGAUACUAUUUUUUUUAUAAUCAAAAGAAGCUUUUUUGGUUCUCAUUUGUGGAAGAGACUGCUAGAAAAGGUGCCAAUUUGUAAGAUGCAAAAAAGUUGACCCUCUUUUUUUCUUUUUCUUUUUUUCGCCUCAUUUUAAUAAAUAAUAAUAAUUAUUAUUAAAAUUAUAAACUUAAAUCAAAAAAGAAACUAAAAACUAAAACCCUAACCCUAAAUUCUCCCAUAAAAAACCCACCCCACCUCCCCACUUUAUCUCCUCUCUCUCUCUCUCUCUCUCUCUCUCUCUCUCUCCUCGCAUCGUCUCUCUCUCUCUCCUCGCCGUAAUCUCAGAGGUAUCUCUUCUCCACGUCUCUCUCUCUCUAACUCUCUCUCUCAAUCUCUCUCUCUCUCCUUGGAUAGGUUGGGGUAUGGUUAGGGUUUCGUGGGACGGAGAGAGAGAGAGAGGACUCUAUUUGGGCUGGGUCGGGGAAAUUUGCAUGGAGAGCCCUCAAAUAUAGACGUUUCGGUAAUAGCCUCAUCAUUUUUUUAUAAAUAUACUAGAUAAUAUUGGGCUUUUAUCGGGCCCAUGUACUAGUGGGCCUUUAAUUAGGCCCAUUUAAUGAUUGCCAUGGAGACCCCUCAACUAUAGGUGUUUGUGAAAUAGGCUCAUCAUAUUAAUUAAUUUUUAUUUAUUUACUUUUUUUCUUUUAGUUAGUUUUGUUUACUGGGGAAGCUGUUAAUCUUAAUUCUACUUUUCAAUCAAUUAGAGUUUGAAUUUUUAGAACAAAAUAAGUUAAUUAAGAUGAAAAAUAAAAAAUUGGCAUGUGAUACUUCAUCAAAAUUUUCAUUUAAUCGCUUUUAAAUAUUCAUAAAAGGAAGUAAUUUGAACUAUAAAUUUUUCUAUGUGCCUUUGAGGUUUCAAAUCAUUUUUUUGCUUAGUAAUUAUUCUAAUUCGAGUUGCCGAGUUCGCAAAUAAUUUAUUUGUUUAGUAAUUGUUCAAAUCAUUAUUUGUAUGAGCAUGCAACAACUCCAUCAUGCCUUUAUAAGCUUGCAUAAUUGCAUCAGGGGCUCAAAAAUUUUUGGCCAUUUUUUUAAAAAAUUUUCUAAUUUGUUUUUUUAACUUGUUUUCAAUUUAGGAUUCAGUAUCAAUGGCUUGUACUGCAUAUAGUGUCGGAAAUUCGCCGAGAUUGGCGGGAACUCGAGCCACUAGGGCUUUUUUCAAGUAUAAUAUCAAUGGUGGAUCGAGUUCUUCGGUCUCUUUUACCGGUUAUCGGACAUGGAACACCCUAUCCUCUUCCUACUUGAAAGAGUGUUAUGUGUCGUCUCGUUGGAACUUCGUCGUAAGGGCUUCGAGGAAUGGCGGACAGCGUUCUGGGGAAUCCGUGCUUUCGGAUAAAGGCAAUGGCAAUGCGAAGGAUUCCGGUAAGAAUCAUCAAUUUGUAGAAAUUUUACGAGUUCAUAUUAAGUAUUGAAUGAUGAAUUGAUGAUGAUGCGGUUAUUUUGUUGUGCACUGUGUUAUUGAAAAUGAUUUAGAUCGAAUUUUCUUGUAUGAAAUGUAGAGGUUGAGAACUUAACUUGAUUGCCGAUAUAUUUUACUUUUCCAAAAAUCUAGAACUGUUGUGGCACUGGCACGGCACGACAUGACACGGCACUUACCCCAAAAUCUUGAACUGUUGAGGCACUGAUACGACACGGCACUUUUCCCAAAUCUAGAACUGUUAAGGCACCGGCCUGGCAUGGCACGGCAGGACGGCAUGCAUCGGCAUACACCAUAUUUUAUAUGUUGACGGAAUUGGCAGGGGCGGCACGGGCUCAUCAGCACCAGCGGACGUGCCGGCUGUGCCAGACGACGCAAAUUGGCACGGCACUCCGUGCCUCUCGCGCUACAUCUUUCUCUUUGGUUUCUCGUUUUCCUUUACAAUCCAUGUCCACUUACUAUGUCCUUUGUAAUGUUACACGAAAGUAGCGGUAACAGGAUCUAUUCGACAACUUUUCAUUAUACUACGCAAUUCUUAUUCAAUUCAAAUAUGCUCUAAUAAUCACUGUUUAGUGGAUUCUUUUUGGUAACUGUUUUUCAAAAGUUUUCCUUUCUGUGGCUUUUAAACAAAAUUGUCCAUCCUAUUUUUCAAGUUGUCGGUAAAUGGAGUUACAAAGGCUUGAAUUUGCUUUUUUUUUUUAAAAAAAAAAAACCAUUUUAGCAUUACAGCAAUUAUAUCUAUUCCUUUGCUAUUGUACAAGAGAGAGUGGUGGUGUUGGUCAUCGGCGGCGGCGGAAGGGAGCACGCUCUCUGCUACGCCCUGCAGCGCUCCCCGUCGUGCGACGCGGUAUUUUGCGCGCCGGGCAACGCGGGGAUCGCCCAAUCCGGGAGCGCGACCUGUAUCUCCGACCUGGAUAUUGCCGACAGCGCGGCUGUGAUCACGUUCUGCCGCACCUGGGGAGUUGGGCUCGUGGUGGUUGGCCCGGAGGCCCCUCUAGUCGCGGGCCUCACGAACGAGCUUGUUAAGGCCGGGAUCCCCACCUUCGGCCCAUCAUCGGAGGCUGCGGCACUUGAAGGUUCGAAGGACUUCAUGAAGAAGCUGUGCGACAAAUACGGAAUCCCUACAGCAAAGGUAACAUCUCUAUCUACUUAAUUCUCGAACUGCGUCAUCAUAUAAGCGUACAACGCAUGUAUAGUUUGGAAUUGCAUUUUCGCUUUGAUGCUUUAGAGGAUCCAAAAAAACCCAGGAAACAUUUUAGAGCUCCUCUCCUCUUCCGACGCUUCAAAAUGAGUCGAUAUCUGCUUCUUACAACAGCAGAAGCUCCGUACAUGUUUACUGCUACUUUUUGGAGUAGAGAAGUUAUUUCAUAAGCCAAAUCAAACUCGCACUUUGUGAUAAAAAAACGACGGCUUCUUCUUUAUUUCUGCAGUAUCGCACAUUCACGAACCCUUCUGAAGCAAAACAAUACGUCGCCGAACAAGGAGCCCCAAUUGUCAUAAAAGCCGACGGAUUAGCCGCCGGGAAAGGCGUCAUCGUUGCAAUGACUUUAGACGAAGCCUAUGAAGCCAUCGACUCGAUUCUCGUCAACAAUGCGUUCGGCUCGGCCGGUUCGAGAAUCAUCGUCGAGGAAUUCCUCGAGGGCGAGGAAGCUUCUUUCUUCGCUCUGGUCGACGGGGAAACCGCUUUACCUCUCGAGUCCGCGCAAGACCACAAAAGGGUCGGCGACGGCGAUAUCGGUCCGAACACGGGGGGGAUGGGCGCGUACUCUCCCGCGCCGAUAUUGACGAGGGAGCUCCAAUCGGUAGUUAUGGAGACGAUUAUACUUCCGACGGUGAGAGGCAUGGCGGCCGAGGACUGUAAGUUUGUUGGCGUGUUGUACGCCGGGCUCAUGAUCGAGCGGGAAUCCGGGUUGCCGAAGCUCAUCGAGUACAACGUGCGGUUCGGCGAUCCGGAAUGCCAGGUUCGUAAUCGUCGAGGUUGAAUUUCAAUGCAGUUAGCCGUCGACAACAUAAAAGUUUAAACUUGGCGCCAAAAUUGCAGGUUCUAAUGAUGCGGUUAGAAUCCGAUCUAGCGAAGGUUCUCCUCGCGGCUUGCAGAGGGGAGCUCGGCGACGUCUCGCUGAAAUGGUCGCCCGGAUCCGCGAUGGUGGUGGUAAUGGCGAGCCGGGGCUAUCCGGGCGCGUACAAAAAGGGCACCGUGAUACGAAACCUCGAGGAGGCCGAGUUGGUGUCUCCGGCGGUCAAAAUAUUCCAUGCAGGGACCGCGAUAGACUCGAACGGCGAAUUCGUCGCCACGGGGGGUCGCGUUCUCGGGGUUACUGCGAAGGGAAAGGAUUUAGAGGAAGCGGCGGCGCGAGCUUACGACGCGGUCGAAGCGAUCGAUUGGCCCGAAGGGUUCUACCGGCGGGAUAUCGGGUGGCGCGCGCUCAGGCGGAAGCAGAACACCGGUUUCGCCGCCGCCGCGGCGGCGAAAAAGAAUGCAUGAAAAUGUUAGUGAAAGCAUUGUAUGUGUGAGCAGAAGCAAUAACUGGGAAUGGUAUCAAUGGUUAUGGUACAAAUUUUUGUGAAACAUUGGCUCUUGAGUAUAAAUGAAAUGUUUAAGUUAUUGAGUGUUGUAGAUUUAAACUUAAUCCUCUCUUGAGCACUUUUUUAAUUUGAUUUUUUAUUUAUUUAAUUUACUUUUUUAACUACUUGGUUUCAAUUUGUCUUGAAUACACUGCAAUAUUUUUGGUUUUUCUUUUUUGUUUCUUUAUAAAGUAUACGGAUGUACACUUGUGAUAGGACUUUUUUAUAAAAUAACCCUUCAAAAAUUUGUAAUUUGAAAAAAAACUCUCACAAAAUUUUAUUUGAAAAACUAAUUAUUCUUUUGUCACGUGGACGCCACGAUUAGAAAUUUUUUAUAAAAACGGUAAAUCGUAAAUAUUAAAAAGUAAGUUGAAAAAUGGAAUAAAAUUCUGGUAAAAUAGAUAGUAAAUAUUACAUUUUUGUUUUUUUUUUACUUUAAAAAAUUAAAGAUAAUAAAAAAUAAAAAAAAUAGACUAUGGAAUCUUUUUUUUUUUUUAGUGAACCUUUUCUUUUCUUUUCUUUUUCAAACUAACCCCCCAACCAGUAAUAAAUUCAUCAAAUCAGAUAAAUUAAAAUGUAUGGUGAGCCCCUCAACUAUAUUCCAUUAGAAAGUACUCCCUUCCGACAUUUCUUUCAAUUUUGUAGCUUUUUAAAUUAAAUAACCUUACUAGAAAUAAAUUUAAAUUAGUCAAAUUUACUGAUGAUUUUAAUCACUUUGCAAUAAAAAAAUUUAAAAUAAUCAAUAACCGAUAUUUAAUAAAGCCACUAAAUUCAAUUAAAAAACCUCAAGCGGAGGGGCCCAUAUCAAAACGACCAUAGUCGAGGGGCUUUUCACAAAUUUUACCAAGUUGUCAAGUGUGGACAAUAUGGGGGUACUUUUGUGGUUACGUAGCAAACUAGCAAUGGCUCUUCUUCGCCCGUGAUUGACGCUUUGGACUCGGAACACCGUACACGCCUCUCUCCCAAACCGUCCGAUCAGUGAUGAUGCCUCCGUGGGAUUUUAAUAUUUCGUGGACCGGGUGUACCACUGCAUCUCAUACACCGCCCUCAAAAUAUUUUAUUAUUAUCUUUUAAAUUUUGUGAACCCAAACUAGUUGUACCAGGGAGAAACUAAGCUACCGUUUGGUUAAGGGUUAAGAAAAAACUAGUUAUUCCAGGGAUAGGAUUAAAUUUAGGGUUAAGGUGGGGUUAAAGUAUUUUUGUGUUUGGUUGAAGAUUAGAGUUAAGCCAGGAUAGUGAAAAAUAGCGUUUGGUUGGAGUAGGUGGGAUAACAAGGAUAAUGAGUUAUUAUGAAUAAAAAAUAGUGUUUGGUUAGAGUUUGGUGAGUUAGGUGGGGUUAGCUAUCCCGGGAUAACCCAUUUGAGGUGGGGUUAGCUGGGGUUAGCUAACCCCACCCAUUUUUAGAAGUGUUUGGGAAUAAAAUUAGAGUUCAGGAAUUAUUCCACCCCUUAACCCCAAGCAAACGGAGGCUAAGGGACGGACGUCUCAUCGAUUUUUGGUAAUAGUGCUGUGAUAUGUCCGUGAAGUAGUACUACCCUGAUAGCUUUGCGAGUGUUGACCUUAAGGACAUUCAAGUCUAUGAUUGCUCAUCUACCUUGGGCUGGAGGCAGAGAAAGAUUCUGAGAAGAGCAAGACGAAACUUACACUAUAGUGAGCGGAGUAUUAGGGAUCUGAAGAACACCCUAACUAAUCUUCGAGUUGAAAAAUGACUAGAUGUUAUCUGUUGGAGGUGGGACCUAGGCGAUAGAUUCACAACCAAAUCAGUGUAUUCGACUAUCAAGUGCGGGGGUGUCAAUGAUGCCGCAACGCUUGUCAUAUGGAAACCGAAAAUUUCAACUAAAGUUAAAAUUUUCUUCUAGCUAGCACUUAAAAGAGACUACCUACUGUGAAUAAUCUUCUCAAAAGAGGGUGGUCAGGAUAUAAUGAAGGGAAAACUUCAAAUAUCCCCAUUGUGGUUUCACUUUUUUUCACUUUAGUACUCUGUGGUUUAAAGUGUAUCAAGUUAGUACCCCGUGGUUUUGCACUUUUUCACUUUAGUACCCUGUGGUUUAAAGUGUAUCAAGUUAGUACCCUGUGGUUUAAAGUGUAUCAAGUUAGUACCCUGUGGUUUCGCACUUUAUCACUUUAGUACCCUGUGGUUUCACACAUUAUCACUUUAGUACCCUGUGGUUUAAAAACCACAGGGUACUAACUUGAUACAAAAAUAAAAACCACAGGGUGCUAACUUGAUAUAAAAAGAAAACCACAGAGUACUAACUUGAUACGCUUUAAACCACGGUACUAAAGUGAUAAAGUGAGAAACCACAGAGUACUAACUUGAUACACUUUAAACCACAGGGUACUAAAAUGAAAAAGUACGAAACCACAGGGGGGUUUUUGAAGUUUUCCCUAUAAUGAAUGCAUUUUGUGUGGUGCUGAGCUCAAUACUGUAGAUCACUUGCUAGUGGGGUGUUUUGUUAGUAAGUUUCUUCUUUUCUCGCAUCUUGGGGAGUGCCUCGUCUAUCUUUUUAUUGAAGAUAUCAACAUCGUCUGGGGGCCACUGCUAGAGAGGCGUCCACAGAGCGACGCUCUGAAGACUCUGACACUGGUGGCGGCCACUUGGUGGAUGGUCUGACGCAAUAGAAAUAACACUAUUUUCAGAAAUCUACCUAGUGAUGUUUCUCUAACAGCUCAUCGUAUUGGAGUAUUGGCAAAAGAGUGGGCCAAACACUGUAGAGCUAGAUGACGUAUAUUUUUUGGUUAUGAUCUUGUCUUGACGUUUUCGUUGGUUUUUUCUUAGUCUUUUUUUCGCGAAUCACUGUUCUUUUAUUUUUCCGCCUUUCUGACGCCCUGGCCGUCUCACCUUAUGUAGCUAAAUUCGUUUGUUUAUUGAAUGAAGCAGAUAGAGCACUACAUUUUUCUCAAAAAAAAAAAAAACUAAGUUGGGAACCUCCCUAUUUUUCUUAAAAAAAAUCCUUAAAGAGUACUUAAAAUUUUCAAAAACUAAAUUUUAUAAUAACUAAAUUACAGAAAACCCCGUUAUAAAUAUUUGUUUUUUCACCUUUUCUUCUUAACCUUUAAAAACCUAUUUUUACCCUUACAACAUUUCAAGUUGUUGCAUCUUGCGCCCCUCUGUCAGCGUUUAUAUCGAAAAUAUCUUUCAAAAUGAUAAAAAUACAUUAAUAAAUUAUUUUUUUUUAUAGCAGAAGUAAAGAUAAUUCGGUCAUUUUGCCUUCUUCAUUAAUGUCGUAUCCUUGAGAAAACAUUUAUGAAAUUUUAAGAGGGCAAAAUAUAGAUUUUUAAAAGUUAUGAUGGGAAAGUAAAAAAACUGGUAUUUAUAGGGAUGUUUUCUGUAAUUUAGCCAUUUAUAAUUUUUUGAUAUUAUUUAUCUUAUAAUGAAAAGUUUUCAAAAUUGACAACUUUUAACGAUUGUUAUAAGAUAUUUGCUAGUUUAACUUUAUAAAAUAAUCAAAAUCGGUUAAAUUUUUAAUUAAAAACUUUAUUCACUAUUAAAUAAAGAUCAGUAACUCUAAUCUUAAACAAUCUGGUUCUCUAUUUUUAGAAGAUUGUUCGAUUUUGACUAUUCAUUUUAUGUCCACUUAAUAAAUUUUAUAAUUUUUAUAAAUUUACAAAAAUUUGAUUUUUAAAAGUUUUAAAUACUUUAAAUUAUGUUUAAUGGUAUGAAUCGUCGGUUCAGAAGUUCAUUAAAAAUAUUUAUAAGUACAAAAAAUUCUAUACUAAUCAAUAUCAAUCAUGAAAGGGGAACCCUAAAGCUAGGCUUUCCGAAAUUUGCUAGUCCCAUCCUUGAAAAAAAAAAAUAAAGGGGAAAUAGAAGAUGGCUUUCGGGGAGCCCAAAGGUCGUGCCCCAUCCUUGGAAAAAACAAAAGGGGGUUUCGCGUACCAUUCUUAGUGUCGAUUCGCUUUCUCCUCUCUUGACUCAGUUCCGUUGGCUUGCCUUCUCCUCUGCGGCUGCAGCGACGUUUCCGACCGGCAUGGCGGCUGUCUCUUCCCCUUUCCCUCCGGCAUGGCGUCUGUCUCUUUCCUCCGGCAUGGCGUCCUAUCGCUUCCAUACUUUUAUUAAUGUUUCGUCCGGGGUGUCAGGUCUGCUGGCUUGCCUUUUCCUUUGUAGCCCAUCGGCAUGGCUGCUAUCUCUUCCCCUCCCUCUCUCGGUAUGGCGGUUGUCUCUUCUCCCAUCUCCCUUUUUUUUCCUCAUUAAUGCUCUGUCCUGUUGUUGCCAUGCUUUCAUUAAUGGCCCGUCCGGGGUGCCAUGCUGGCAGCGAGGAUCACCUUCUCUCCGAUAAAAGCAGCCGUCCUUGCGGCAUGGCGCUCAGGUGUUGGGGUGUCCUGCGGGCAUUUUCUUUUCCCUCCCUCAUGCGGAAUAGCGGUUGUCUCUUCGCCCCUCCCCAUUUUUCCCCUCAUUAAUGCUCUGUCAUGUUGCCUCCAUGCUUUCAUUAAUGGCCCGUCCGGGGUGCCAUGCUGAGGGUCACCUUCUCUCUAGUGAACGCUGCCGUCCUUGCAGCAUGGCACUCGGGUGUUAGGGUGUCAUGCCGGCAUUUUCUGUGCCACCCUGCACACCUUGAUUUUGUCCUUUCUGCUUUGUUGUCUAUAUAAAUAGUGAUUGGAUGCUGGGGUUUUUACUCCUCUUCUGCGAAAUUCGUUGCUUCUCCUCCUCUUACUUUGUUGCUUUCUAGUAUUGUAACUUGGCGAUUGGCGCUCGGUGGUGCUCUGUGCUGGGUAGAAAACCUCGAAACCUCAAGUGCUUAUAUAUACAUAGCCCUGAUUGCUCCUGUGCUUACUAUUUGGUCUUUCCUGAUGCAUGCGGGUGUGUUUGUUGCACUUGAUGGUUGCGAAACGGCGGGAUGAUUGCAAGGACUGCCUUUUUGCAGUGGUGGACUAUUGGUUUUCUCCUUUUUUUUUAAAUUCUGCCUUACAUUUUUUUUCCCUUCUGUCCUCUAAUUUUUUCUUUUUGGCUACUAUCUGUCGUUGCAUGUCUUUGGUGGUGACAAUAUGGCAGAACAAUUGCGGGGGUUAGUUUCUGUAGCCGCCAGAUUAUGUAUUUUAUCCCCUUUUCCUUUGUUAUUGGUGUUCGGUUUAUGAUUUGUUUUGCUUAUUUUGCUCUUUUUUUUUUCCUGUGCGGUGAUGUCAGCUGUAGUAGUCAGAAUUAGUUUCCGAGAAUUGUUGCGCGAUAUCUGCCACCGAUUAUUUGUGGCGGUGCCGAUAUAUGGUGUUCCUGACAAAUACAAAUGGUUACUUAGUGUGUAUGCCGAUGUUGAGAUCUCUAGGGGAGAUUCAAUUACUGAGUCGAUUCAGUGUUGGGGUGCAGCUUCCUUUACUGUUGAUGAGGCAGAGGAAGAUAUUGCGCGUUGUGUUGUUACCAAAUUACAGGAUGAAUUUUCGUUUGAGGUGAAGGAUACUAAUUUAGAUGAUAGAAAGUUUUACGAGAAUCUGUAUGACCGAGUUUCUGUGGAUUAUCUUGCUCUCCACAGUAAUAUAAGUGCUUAAAGAGCGACUACGACCUCUUAAAAGGCUACUAUAAUAGUCUGCUUGCUAAGAAAGAGCACUUUAUUUCUGAGCAGAAUGAGAUGGCUGUUAAUUUAGAAAAAUGUGUUUCGUUGCUCAAAUAACUCGGAACUGGUGCAAAUGGUCCGGGUAAUAGUGAGGCCUUUCUGACGAAGACCCUGCAGCACCAUGGGGGUAUUAUGGAAAAUGAUGAAAAACUUUGAAUUGAACUCCUUUUUUGGGUUUUUGCUUUUGUUCUUUACUUUUUUUUCUAUGUUCUUUUGGUCGGUUUUUUGAAAAGGCCUUUAUUUGUAAUAAUAUAACAGUCCUACUCAUUUUUACUGUAUCACUUAAAUAUUAGGUACGUUUUAUUUUCGCUUUACGUUGGUAGUGUCGCUAUUUUCUUUUUUUUAAAACUAUCACGUGCCAUGCACGUGUGUUGUGUAUCGUUGUUUUUGAUAAAUAUAUCAAAAAGAAACCUGAACUUUAUCUAUUUUACAAAAACACUCAUAAAAUUUUUAUUUGCACAAUAAGACUCCCAAAAUUUUGUCAAAUAGUUUAAGGCCCCUUUUGUCAAGCGAAGCCGCGGAUUGAAUGGCCGCUUUGAUCGCAUAUCUCGCAUAUAAUUUUGAAAAAUUUUAAAAAUCAAAUAAAUUUAAUUUUUUUCUUUUAGUCGUAUUUUGGAAUAUAAUGAAUUCAAUCUUUAAUUUUCAUAAUUUUGUAUUUUGAAUUUCUAUAAGAUUAUAUGCGAUACAAGCAUUUCAAAAAUUAUAUAAUUAAUAACUUCGAUCGAGGAGAGGAAUCUGUUACACUAUUUGAUAACGUUUAAAUAGGUUUUUUUUGCCAAAAUUUAAAAUUUUGACAUCUUUUCAUCAGAGUAGUAAACGUCAGGGGUUUUUGUACAUUUUUUUCCCCUUAAUUUUGAACUCUUCAGUCCCUUUCACAUAUUACCCUUUGGAAUAAUUGUUGACUUUUACUGUUAGGUAAAAGUCAUUUUACACAAAAGGGUAUUAAAAUAGUUCUUUUAUAAUAAUAUUAAUUUUUUAUUAGGGCUAAAAUGUAUGGAGACCCCCUCAAACUAUACUAUGUUUGAAAUGGAUCCCUCUUCCACCGUUUUAUUAAUAAUUCAGUUUUAUUUUCCAAACUAAUUAAAAUUAUUAAAAUUGAGAAUAUUAUCAGUAAAUUUUGAUAAAUUAUCCAAUUCAAUUGAGCAAAUUAUUUAUUUAAUUUUAAAAAUUAAGAGUUAAGGAGUCUUAACAAAAGAAAAUAAAUUUGGCGAGGCUAGUUUCAAAUAUAUUCUCAAUUAAAAGUUAAAAAAUUAUAUAAAAUUUAUUCGGUAUAAUUUUGUUUAUUACUAAAACGUAAUUAAAAUUAUUAAAUGUAAUAAUACCUCAACUACUAUAUUUGAUAAAUUUUAAUUAAUUGAUUAAAAUUACUUGAUUCAAUAAAAUAAAAAAAAGGUAAGAUAUAACCAUUAAUAAGGGAAAAUAGUUAACGGGUCCACAUCAAAAUAUGCCUUAGGGGAGGGGGUAGCUUACAAAGUUACUAGUGAAAAGCCCUUAAGUGUGACAUAGAAAAGACAGGGACUAUUCGUAUAUUUGACUCAAUAAAUUUGGACUAAACCACCGUUAAUGGUGAUGUGUAGUAUGCUAGUAUAAAGACGAAGAGGAAUCGAAGUUGGGCUCCCAUUGUUUCCGCGUCCCAAGCCCUAGAAAUCUUGGGUUCGCCCCCACGACGAUCUCAACACGAUCUAGGGUUUCACUAUCUUCAGCUUCUCCGCUGCGUCGAUCGGUGUCUAGUUCUCUAAUUUGAGCUCGAUCGGUGUCUAGUUCUCUAAUUAGAGCUCCUGAUCGAGGGAUUUGAGGUAACCCUUGUUACUCGCUCAAAAUCUGUGAAAUCUAUGGCAAAAACCGUGCUUUUCGAUCUUAAACAGCGAGAAAUGGUGUAUAAUUUGGUGACUUUGAGCUGGAAUUUUCGGGUGAUUUCUAGGGUUCUGGGAAUUGGUUGAUCCAGUGGGAUGCGUGGGAGAUGGCGCUCAAGGCCCCGCCGCUGAGAGCUGCUGAGGUUGCGAUCGGAUCGAUCGGGAUAGGGUACGAUCUCACGGCCGACAUCCGGCUCAAGUUUUGCGAUCGGAGCUCUUCGCCGGAGGAGGAUCCGUGCUUGAUCGAGCUCGAUCGGAGUGAGCUCCAUGAGAUCGUUCUCCCCGGAGGGUUGAGUGUUCCGAAUGUGCCCAAAUCGAUAAAGUGUGAUAAGGGGGAGAGGAUGCGGUUUAGGUCGGAUGUUUUAUCAUUUCAGCAGGUAUAUAUAUAUUUUGUUGCUCUUUAUUUGGCAAUUCUUUUCAUAUAGCCACGUUAAAUUUUAUGUUCUAGUUCAAAACAGAUAUCUUUGUUUUUGGGUGAUAUGGCAAAAGAUUAUGGCCUUUGAUUCCAGUGAUAGGUUGUUUGAUGAAGUGCUGUUUGAGUACUGCUUAGCUUCUCUCCACAUGUAACGCCCAAUAUGUAACGCCCAAUAGUCCCACAUUGGAUGGGAUACUGAUUUCGAUAAGUUUAUAUGAGACCUACCCGCAAGUUAUAAUAACUGGGUUUAAGCAUUUUGGGCCGGUGGUUUGGGCCCAAUGAGUUAUUGUUGCUAGCGGGUUGGGUCGUUAUAAUUGGUAUCAGAGACGAAUACCAGUCGGAAGUGUGAGAGCUAAGUGCUAAACCCGUAGGAGCCACCUCUAGAAUCUCACAUAAUAAAGGGAGUUUGUAAUGCGUCUCUCUCUUUAUAGGAGACCUACGCGCUAGUUAUAAUAACUGGGCUUAAGCAUUUUGGGCCCAACGAGUUAUUGUUGCUAACGGGUCGGGUCGUUAUACCGCAGCACAAUCAGAAUCUCUAAAUUAAAGCUUCUGCUUUGUGGCCUCAUGGCCUCAGAAUUUAAUUUUUUGCUUUCCACUAUAGCAAAAGCUCUAUAUUAUGUUUUCGUUUACUUACGCAGAAGCAGAGCAGUGUCAAAAAGAUGUAAAACCAGGACCAAAAGCUUUAGCAUCUGUCACUCACAGGUUUUUCAUCUGUACAUGCCGGGGUCAUGAAAACUAGAUUUUAUUUUUUUUUUAAUGCAAAAAUGCUCCUUUAUCAUUUGACUCUGUCUGCUUGAAUUUGAAUUGGCCCGCCGUCAAUUUGUGCAGAUUUACCUAGAUUUGCAUCUACCUAGUCUUCAAACAAUAUAGCUAUGUAGAAAUGUAAAAGGAGCCUCGAAGUCAGCCUCUAUCUGUGGUCUAGCCUGGAAUAAUUCUAACGAUUUAUGGACUUUAGAGUGGUUUGAAUGUUUUCGUGUUGGGACUUUGAGUGACAUAAGCAACACUAUUCGGUUUCGUUUGUAUUAAGUGAGAACCAUCUUUUUAUUCUUCCAUCUUUUUAAUGAACUAUGUGUUUCUAGAUAUACCAUAAGUACAUAAUAUUGUUAUAAUGUAGUUAGCAAAGAUCUCACCAUAACUGCAACUAUCAUAUGACAACACAUGCAAGAGGGUAGCAAAUAAAACCACACGGUUGAUUUCAUGACUUAUAUUGAAUAAACUGAAGUCUGUUAAAAGUAUGUAAUAAUCUUGUUAGAGUGUGAUCAGAAGUUUAUCAUUGGUAAUUUAGGUCUUUUAGUUUGAUACUUGGACAAUCUAUUAGCUAUUGUAUGUAGAUCUUUUAUUUGAUUCUUACUAUUAAUAUAUCAUCUACUGUAUGAUUACUAUGCUGUCUUCAAAUGGCAUCAUUUCAUUUAUGAAUUGUUCUACGUUGAUAUUCUUUUGAUUUUUCUUUGUAUAUCCUGGAUUUCUUAAAAUCAACAUUUGUUGCCGUUGGAUUUCUGCAGAUGUCAGAGCAAUUUAACCAGGAAAUUUCUUUGUCCGGCAAAAUUCCUUGUGGUCUCUUCAACCAUAUGUUUGACUUUUCUGGUUGUUGGCAAAAAGAUGCAGCUAGCACCAAAACUCUCGCAUUUGAUGGAUGGUUCAUUACCUUAUACACUGUUGCACUCUCAAAAGCUCAGAUUGUACUUAGAGAUCAUGUCAAGCAAGCUGUUCCAUCAACAUGGGAUCCUGCUGCCUUGGCAAGGUUAGAAACAUAAUUUUGCAAUUCAUUAAAGAAAGACUAGAGUUGUAUUGGAAAACUAUUUGUGUGAAACUGUCAUUUGGUAACGUUGUGGUGGGAUCCAUGAAAGUUUGUUGCGAACUGCAUGUUUCAGUUACAUUAUUUUGAUGAUUCAUACACAACAUGCAUUAGUUCUUGUGAUCUUCUCUUGGACAUACUCCUGAGAACCAGUGCCUCUCUCUCUCUCUCUCUCUCUCUCUCUCUCUCUCUCUCUCUCUCUCUCUCUAAGUGCCUCUCUCUCUCUCUCUCUCUCUCUAAGAUCUAAAUAAAGAAGCAAAGUUUCUGGAAUAAAUUGGAUUUAUCUUCAUUGUUGUAGAACUUCGGAUCUUAUCGGUUUCCAUUUUUCACACAUCCAGGUUCAUCGAAAAAUUUGGUACACAUAUCAUUGUCGGUGUGAAGAUGGGAGGAAAGGAUGUAAUUUACGUGAGACAGCAACACUCCUCGACCCUCCCGCCCGUCAAAGUUCAGGAAACGUUAAAGGAGUUGGCAGACAGGAGAUUUCUCGAUGUAAAUGGACAAUACGACAUUACUUACAAAGAUCCUUGCGGAAAGGAUAAGGUCCUUUCCCCCUCAUCUAUUAUCAUUUUCUUUUUAUCUUGGUUAGUUCUAUCUUGGUCAGUUAAGGCUACUCGAGGACUAUUUAUAUCUACACUUAUUAUUUACUUCAUGUGAUGCCUUUCAGAACUGCCGUAUUGCUAUAAUUUGAGUUUCAUUCCCUGUUCCAAACCUACAGAAUAACCGAUAACUUGUCUUGCAGUUUGAUUUCAGAGAGCAAAAGCUGAGGUUUGUUGCUUCCAACUCAUCGAGCUCUUACACUUCAAAGGAGGUAUCUUAUAUUGCAUUUGGUAAUCUUUUGCCAUCUUUGUUUUGUUAAAAUUGUAACAAGAGUUGAUGGUUUUACAAUGUUUACUUAAUUUCAGGAUUUAAUGAUAAUAUUCAAAAGGAGAGGUGGGAAAGAUAGUAAUGAUAUAUCCCAUAACGAGUGGUUGAGCACUGUGCCUUCUGAACCCGAUGUUAUCUCAAUGUCUUUUUUGCCGAUUACUUCUCUCAUGAAUGGGGUUCCUGGUAGUGGAUUCUUAAACCACGCAAUCAACCUAUAUCUACGUUGUAAGUAUGAAAAUUUAUCUGUAUUCUGUAUAAACUUGGGGGUAAAUCAUGAAUUUUCAUAUACACACCCCUCAAAAGCGUAGUUUCUUGCCAAAUACCCAUAUCAUAAGUUGGUUGGUCAUCCAAUAGAACAUACAUUUGUAAGUGAGGAAUAUUGCGAUAUAGAAGGGUAUGUAUGUAAGAAAUCUAGUUUUCAAAGGGUGUAUGUGAAAAUACAGAUUUUAGAGGUGCAUAUCUGUGAAUAGAUGAUUUUAUAGGAGCUAUAUUUGUAAAACCAUCUGAAUGAUUUUAUAGGAGCUAUAUUUGUAAAACCAUCUGAAUGAUGUUUUUGAGUUGUUGUUGCUAUCUGCUUCCUUCUUCUGUGUUCUCUGGCUUGUUAUUUACAAACUUGUUCCUGUCUCUCAGACAAGCCACAGAUCGGAGAACUUCAUCAAUUUUUGGAGUUUCAGUUGCCGAGACAAUGGGCGCCUGUCUAUGGCGACUUACCCCUUGGUCCUCAUCAGAGGCGGCAGAGCAGUGCGGCUCUACAAAUCUCCUUCAUGGGUCCAAAGCUUUAUGUUAAUACCAGUUUAGUAAGUACAAACAUUCAAUUUUACUUGUCUCCAUCUCUGUGAGAAAUAGUUUUAUUUACAUGUGACUGUUUGAAAUGACUUACUCCGAUCAUCAAUACACUUGACAUCAUUAUAGAUGAUUAUUACUUGUUAGCGCAAUUUACGAGUUGAAUGUUAGAAAAAAGAAAAUUGGCAUUAUUAUAUUUUUUGAUGGUGUUUCUCGAGGAUAAUUUCUUUUACUUGUUUCUUCGUCGUCAGUAAUUUCAUAAUCCAAUUUUUCUGAAUUUCGUUCAAUACAGGUUGAUGUAGGCAAGAGGCCCGUUACCGGCCUCCGCCUAUACCUCGAAGGCAAAAGGAGCAACCGGCUCGCGAUCCACCUCCAACACCUCUCCUCUCUCCCUCAAAUGUUCCAACUCCAAGACCACCCCAACAGCCAAAACCCGAACGAACCCUUCGACCGAAAGUACUUCGAACCUAUCCAGUGGAAGCACUUCUCCCACGUCUGCACGGGCCCUGUCGAAUCCGAUGACAACUUAGCCAUCGUAACCGGCGCCCAGCUGCACGUCGCCCACCACGGCUUCAAGAAAGUGCUUUUCCUCCGCCUCUUCUUCUCAACAGUUCUAAACGCCGCUUCCGCCAAGAGUCCUGAAUGGGAUGGCUCGCCGAACCUGUUCCAGAAGUCGGGGCUUAUUUCGACAUUGAUCAGCACACAUUUCUCUAUGGCUGCACAAAAACCGCCCCCUCGGCCCACAGAUGUGAAUAUCAACUCGGCAGUUUAUCCAGGGGGCCCGCCGGCCCCCGUGCAGGCGCCGAAGCUGCUUAGGUUCAUCGAUACGACAGAGAUGGCGCGAGGCCCGCAGGACCUGCCAGGUUAUUGGGUGGUCUCAGGGGCGAAGCUGCAUCUAGAGAGGGGUAAGAUCUCUUUACGUGUUAAGUACUCGCUCUUGACGGCUAUACUCCCCGACGACGACUAUUUGUCGGUGGAGGAUGCAUAAGAGGGUUGGAUAUUGUAUUACUGUAAUAUAGCAUCUCCUGUCUAUUGUGAUCUCCCUGUUCUUGAAGAACAUCAAGGUAGAAUCAUAGCCUUGUAGUAUUACUGCAAUCUUCUUUUUACGGUGUACGAUCAGGCUUUAUUCUUGCAGUGUGUAGUGUUGUUUGCUAAUGUGCCUAGUUUUCCGAAAGUUACUGCUAGCAUUGUUGGAAAGAAUGUAUUAUUUUUUCGAUAAUUAAUUCAAUUGUGUGAGAAAUAAUUGCCUCCACCUGCUUCGAUAAAUCAAAAGAGACAAGACUUUUUUGUGGUUGAGAUAGCUAAGAACGUACAAACACAAUAAACAAUUUUUAUUUGGGUGUGUGUGUGUUGGUGGUUAUAUUUUCACUUGUUUGAUCUGAAUGAAUGCGGUGGGUCAAAAGCCGUACACCAACUAACUUCAUUGAACUAGUCUCACAUUUUUAGAGCUCCAAAAAUUUGAAAGGGUAAUCUGAAAUUGCUUCUAUAUAUUUAUACAUCACUUUACCAAAUUAGGCCAAAGUAUGCUAAGUAGCAUUGGCAACCUUCUUUUUAAAAGCGUCUCAUGGGUUGCUUUUGCCGUGAAGGUUUUCAUUGCCAUUUUGUGGCUUUGAAAGAGUGGAGAUUAUAUAUUAGCAUAGAGCUACUAUACUAUCGGAAGCAUAAAAUAGUUGGUGCUUCUGAUUUUUCAGCCUUUAGAUCAACCCUAUUGAUCAUUUCUAACCAUUGGAUUAAUAUUAUUAAUCAAUGGGGACCACUCAACCCUAGGGAGGCCACUCAAUCCUAAGGGGACCGCUAUCAUCUCAAUCGUAAAAUCUUUAAUCAAAGGGCUAAAACAUCGGAAACACCAACUACUUUAUGCUUCCAAUAACAUAGUAGCUCUACACUAUAUAUAUAUAUAGUCUAGUAUUAUACUAUUGAUAAUACUAAGCACUUGAUGCUAUCGAGUUUUUCGCCAUUAGAUCUACCUCUUCAAUUAUUUCCACCCAUUAAAUCAUACUAUUCAACCAAUCACCUACUCAACCCAUGGAGCCACUAUCAUCUUAACGUAUAUACAAUUAGGCUACUAUACUAUUAAUAUCACCAAACGCUUAGUACUAUUAGGUUUUCGGCAUUUAGAUGAAGGGAUGUGUAGUUAGGAUAAUAGUGGUUCUUUUGGGUUACGUGGGUGGUUGGUUGAAUAGCAUAAUCUAACAGGUGAAAACGGCGAAAAGCUUGGUAGCACUAAGUGUUCGGUGUUAUUAAUGGUAUGUCUCUCUUUAUAUGUAGAGAGAAAGAGUUUCACUGCUAUACUCUUAUGAGUAUAAAUUUCUUUGUACUCGUAAAUUUUCGGCCGUUAGAUCUAUCAUUUCGGCUAUUUCCAUUCAUUAGAUCAUACUAUUCAACUAACCAUCCAUUUAAUCCUAGGAAACUAAUAUCACAAUAAUCGUGAUUCACUAUCAUCCUAACUGCACAUCCCUUUAUCCAAUGGCCGAAAAUUUAUAAAUACAAAAAAAUCUAUACUUAUAAAAAUAUAAUAGCCCUGAUCUCUCUCUCUCUCUCUGUAUAAAGCUCUAGUGAAGUAUUGUUUAAGUUAGGAAUUAAGUAAUUUGGAUUCAUAGCCAUUGGGCACUCCUACAAGGUCAUCAAAUCAUAUUGUGCGUGAACUUGAAAGUUUAUGAGAUGCGCCGUGCAUAGAUUCCAUGCGAGUCCCAGAAAAAUGUGAAAAUAUUAGAUCUUUUGAGUUCCGUAUACUCUACACAUCCGUUUUUAGAGUUCUUGAAAAAUAUACAUACUCUAUAUUAUCAUUAUCCCUAAUAAUUUCCAAAUUAGAAGCUCAAAAUUAAAGCAUUCACUAAAGCUCAAAACUUUUUUUCUUAUAUUCUAGUACAAGUUAAAGCAAAAGCUAUACUAUAAUUUUUAACAGCUAAUUAAUCCUUUUAAUUAAUUUAUUUAUACUUUUACAAGACAACCUCUCUCUCUCUCUCUCUCUCUCUCUCUCUCUCUCUCUCUCUCUCUCUCUAUAUAUAUAUAUAUAUAUAUAUAUAUAUAGAGUAAGUCUCCUGCACUUACGAAAGUACGGAGACCUCCGUGCUUGUAAGUUGUUUUCGAUGAUAGGACAUUCGAUUUGACGAUCGGUUCCGUUAAGUAUAAUCUACCAUGUUGGAACUAUCUAGAAACCAAAUUUUAUAAUUUUUUGACAUUAUUUACCAAGCGAUCAAAAAGUCUCAAAAAUGACUAUUUUAAUGGCCGAUGUAGCACGUUUUUAAGUUCAACGGUGUAGAAGUAUCCAAAUUACAUAAAAAUUUAAUAGAAAAUUCUACGUAACAUCAGUAGCAAGAUCAAUACUUCCGAUUUAAAAUUUGAGUCUUUUAUCACUAUUUUUUAUGAGAUUUUUAUUUUCAGCAGUUCAUUUUGAGACUACUCGUUCACUAGACAAACAAAGUCAAAAAAUUAUGAAAUUUGGUUUUCAAAUAGUUCUAAUAGUGUAGAUCAAGUUUAACGGAACUGAUCGCCAAAUUGGAUGUCCCAUCAUCGAAAACAACUUACAAGCACGGAGGUCUCCGUACUUUCGAAAGUAUAGGAGCCUAGCUCUCUCUCUCUCUCUCUCUCUCUCUCUCUCUCUCUCUCUCUAUAUAUAUAUAUAUAUAUAUAUAUAUUAGGCUGGAAUGCUUUUAGAACUACAUAGUCUUCCGUACUUUCAAAUCAUUUUUGAUAUUAAAACUUUUGAAUCGAUAAUCGGCUCCGUCAAACUUAAUUUAGAGUAUUUGAAGUACCUAAAAAAUUAACUUUCAUAAUUUUUCAAUAUUAUUUAUUUAAUGAUCAAGAGGGCUCAAAAUCAACGACUGAAAAUAAAAAUCUCACAAUUAUGAUGAUAUGACACUAAAAUUUUGGAUAAAAAAUAUUGAUCUUAUUUUAUAUAGCAUAAAAAAUUUUCUAUCAAAAUUUUUAUAUGAUUUGAAUAUUUUUAUACCAUUAAGCUUGCAAACAGCUUACUACGACUAUUAAAAUUACUGAUUUUGAGUCUCUUCGAUCAUUAGAUAAAUAAUAUUAAAUUUUUUUAAAAUAUUUUAAAUUAAAUUUAACUAAACUGAUCGUGAAUUCGAAUGUCUUCAUAACAAAAACGACUUGAAAGUACAAGAACUUCUGCGUUUCUAAAAGCAUUUCAGCUUAACACACUCUCUCUCUCUCUCUCUCUCUCUCUCUAUAUAUAUAUAUAUAUAUAUAUUGUACACGGUGGAAGGGUGUAGUUUCUUUUUACCAGGGCCUUGCACACUUGGGGCCUUCACACUUCGAAACACUAGGGUUUCCGAUCCGAGCGGGGGGGAAUGGAGAACCUCGUCGCCCUCGUCUCCUCCUCCGCCGCUUCCUCCACAUCCCCUUUCCUCGUGGGCGCUCCGAACCCCUCCGCGAUCCCCGCCGCGCGGCGGCGCCCCUCGCCGCUGCAUCCGUCCCUCCCCCUUCCGGCGAGGGGAAGAGUCGGCGGCGCCGCCUCCGCCGCUGCUCGGAGGAGAGCGAGGUUUUUGGUGUCGGCAGUGAGCCUCGGAGGAGGCGAUGGUGCCUCGGAGAGGAGGAGCAGCUCCCGAAACGGUAUGAGUAGCUCGAUUUUGUUGUUUGCACUGUCGAUUUUUUGACUUGCUUCCACAUUUGGCGCAGAAUCAUGAAAAGAUGUAUCGGUUUCUGUAUAAAUUUGCGCGUAGUUUGGUGUGCAAAUCAAUUGCAAUUGGAUGUGUAGGGAUCCUAGUAGGUUGUUUAUACGCAGGUUAAGUUGAGGUGAAGUGGAUAUUGGAGAUUAGGGCUAUAAGAUUCAAUGAGCGUGAAGUGCAAGGUAAAUCAGAUGAUGAAAAAUCCAAUGCAUUAGCACCGAAACUAUCGAAUUGAGUUUCGCCAAGGGUGUUAAUCAUGAGAACGAAUUAGAACCAACACUUCCCUGUGAUUCUGAUUGCUCCACUUUUAUCACUCAUUGGAACUCUAUUUUUCCGAUGUCUGAUUUUGAGAAAUAGAAAAAGUUGCAUAUUAGUGAACAGCGCAAGCACGGGGCAUUCCAUUCAUUGGUUUCUAAUAGCAUGGAUGUGUUAUAUGAGACCUGUUACGAAAUAAGUUCGUCCGUUCUUAUUUUCUUGUCCCUUCCACUAAAAUGCUAAAUAUUGAUGCUUUUCAAAGCAUGAAAACUGAUUAGUUGGAUUUUUUUAUUUUUUUGGGUCUUUUUCCUCAUUUUUCUACUUUUGUUUUCAAGGCUAUUUGAAUUGUUAGUUUGGCGACUUAGUCCGAUCUUACCUUCACAGUUCAAGGAUCGGCUGAGCUGCGUUGACCUUUUAUUUUGUUUUGGGAAUUCCACAGUGCUGGAGAGAUUAAAGAUUCAAGGUUUCGCAAGCAUAUCAUCUUCUAGCGGCAGCGAGGUGACAACUGCAAGCGGAACGGCGCCUCCUGUGCCUCCACCACCAUCGUAUAUGUAAGUUUGUUUUCUGUUUCUGGUAAUGUGGUAUCCGCAUACUCGUAGGAAGUUUUCUGCUUUUUAAGUGCACCGAAUUUCCUGGAGUUCGUUUCUUCCUUUUCCGUUUUCUCAGUCAUGUAGAAUCUUCGCAGAGGCUCUCCUCUUUUUUGGAUUGGAGUUGGUGUUGGGCUAUCAGCAUUGUUUUCAAUGGUGAGGUGUUUGGAGUUUUAUCUAAUUUAUUUUUUAGACCAGUUACCUUUUCUUUUGCUUUAUUGUUUCUUAUUUUCUAAUAUUAUUGCUGGUAUUUCAGGUGGUAACAAGGGUAAAGGUGAGCUUGUAACACUCCCACCUCCUAUUUUAUGGGGUAUGCUCUAUCUUUUUUUUUUUUCUUUAAUGCUGCUGACGCCUAAAAGCUUCAAGAUUAGCUCAAUAAGGUACUUCUUAUUGCAUGAGAUUCUUUGAGGGAUUCUCCAUGUCUGAUGUUGGAUUUAAUCACUUCCUCUUCACUGUCCAUUUCUUUAUUUGCUUGUUGUGUUAACCUUUUCCUUUCCUGCUUCCUUCAAUUUCAUUGUUCUUUAUUGCAAGUUCAAUCUUCCACGUAUGACAUAUGCUUUAUAUUCUUGCAUUUUUUUGUAUGUAUGCUUGUUUACAGAUUUACUUGCCCCUUCAGGGCAAAGCUGCUGCAUCAUGGCAAAUAUUUUAAGCCUUUGUAAAUUUAUUUUUUGUCAUGUCCUCUAACUCGAUAACACCACAAAUUUGUUGCAGAGGUAUGCAAUGCAGCAAGCCUUUAAGACAAUGAUGAAUCAAGCAGCACCACAAAGUGGACAAUUCAACAAUCCUAUGUUUCCAGGAGGAUUACCAUUCCCAUUUCCUGCCGCAACACAAGCAGCUCCUACUAGCGUUUUAUCACCUUCACUACAAACACAAAAUACUUCACAACCACCUGUCACUGUAGAGGUUCCUGCAUCUAGAGUGGAAGCUGCGCCAUCUUCUGAAGUGAUAGAAGAGACUAAAACAACAGAGGAAGCAAAAAAAUUUGGUAUGCUAGACUUGCAAUUGACACCCAUUUCUGUGUCCCAUGUUUCAUGAUUAGUGGAGCAUGUUACUUUCCAUAAUGAUAUCUUAUUAUGCUGAUUCCUUGCAACCGCUGAGGAUUUAUAGAUCAUUUCUUAGUCAUGGUUAUUCUCACAUUAUUUCAUUUCUCUUAACUCUACCGAUGGAACACCAAGAAAUGUUUUAAUUGUUCAGAACUUCAGAUGCGUUCUUAUCUCUUCCCCCUAGUUGGUGCUGAGGGUUCAGGUUUUUUCACCCUUGUUGAGAGAGUGCUCUAACCUUGUUCUACUAAAUUUUUGGUCACUAGAAGUUUUUCAUGUGUCAAGAGGACUAAUAUUAUAUUAUUGGUAUAAUAUUUUUCUUUGGCAAGACCUUUUUUGUCCUUUAAUACACUCGAUGUCUGACUAACUUUUCUAGUCUUGUUUGUCUUUAGUUCUUUUUUUUUUGGGUUUUUUUUUCAUAUGGUAUAUAAUGUCCUGCCUUGGUAUUUAGGAAAUAAGUUCAAGCUUGCAAGAUUUUCAGAUUUUUUAAGAUUGGUCUCAUCUUGACCUACCCAAGUUGAAGUUUGCAAUUUGAUAAUCCAUACCUGUCUUUCUUGCUUCAAUCCACUAUGAUUGCUUAUAAUUACUUUUAGUUGGUUCAUUGUAAUUAUUUGCUUUUUUGGUGGAGUGAAUUUAUGUUGAUGAAUACUUGGUGUCCACUGCAAUUUUUUUUUUUUUCUACCGAUGAUUCCUUUGCCACUUUUCCACAGCUUUCGUCGAUGUUUCUCCUGAGGAAUUGAUGCAAAAGGAGCACAAAUAUUCAGAGGAAUCAGUACAGGAAAAUACUGUGACAGUAGAGUAUGAGAAAAAAGUAAGAUGUCACCAUUUCUGCACUUAAUGGUAUAUCUGACUAUUAAGUAUAGCACCAACUCUGUUCGAUGAUUCUUGAAGGUUUCAACAAAUGGAGCUGCUUCUAAGCCAGACAGUGCUUCUAGUGAACAAUCUCAAUCUCGUGAGUAUCUUGAAUGAUUCGUUCUCAAUUCUUAAUGAUACCAAAAAAAAAACUUUCUGUAUCAUGGUAUAUGAAAGUCUAUUGAUGAUUGGGUCUACUUUCUUGCAGUCCUGUUAAAUUUGUUUGAUUAGUAUAUUUAUGCUAUUUACCCGUUCUGAUGUCUUGAAAGAUCAAUUUUAUAGAAAUACUUUUUCUGAUGUUCACCAAUUGUUUUGAGGGCUGCAGAUUUUGUCAUAUUUAGUUUUCUCUGAAUUAUUCAAUGCUAGGCUUUUCUUUUUUAGUUAGAUGUCCAUACUUUACAUGUAAAUUGUUUUGCCGUUUAAUUGUUUUAGAGGUACUUUGAGCUGUGCCCUUCUUCUGAAAUAUCCUUCCUUAGAUUACUAAAUCAAUGAAAUUGCAUUUACCACAAUGCUCCUAUUAUGUGGUGAAUGUCUGAAGCCUAGUUCUUAUUUCAUGUAUACAGCUAGUGGUAUGAAAUGAGUUGACAGAAACAUCAUAAUAAUUUAUCAUGUAGCUUCCCAGUCCUUAGGAGUACAUGUAUUUUCAUGGUUUUUAAGGCUUUCAAGGAGGUUUAUCUAAGUAACAAGGCGGCAGUUUUGCUUGCUUCUCUUUACUCUUGUUUACUAUCCUAUGAUACAUUUACUUCCUUAUAGGUAAAUCACCACCUUUCUUGUCAGUUGAUGCAUUGGAAAAGAUGAUGGAAGAUCCCACUGUCCAGAAGAUGGUUUACCCGUAAGCUGAUCGAUUGUUAAGAUGAUAGUUUACCAUCGUACUCAAUUCCAAUCAUCUCGUUGUCAUUUGGCUACUAAUUUAUUUAACCUGAAAUAAGACUAAUGUUGAUAUUUUGUACUAUUGUUGCAGCUAUUUACCUGAGGAGAUGAGGAACCCAACUACUUUUAAGUGUAUGCCCUUUAUUAUCUUGUUCUUUCUGCCAGGCACUACUUUCUUCUGUAUUUCUUGUGGGAAAAAUUUGCGUUUUUUGUCUGCACUAUGUUGAUACUUUUAUGCAAUUACUUUCCAGGGAUGCUAGAAAAUCCGCAAUACCGGCAGCAACUUCAAGAUAUGCUGUAAUUAGCUUUUUUUUUUCUUCUCUAAGUUUUUUAUACCUUUUCUUUUUUUCCCUAGUUUUUGGAGCUUUCUGUCGAAUGCUAUCCUUUACAAAUUUGUAUACGAUGAUAUGUUAAGUCCCUCAUUUGAAUCCAAACAAUUUGAUAGAAAAAUAUGCUUCAGUGAAAGUAUUCUGAUAUAAGCAAUGCAACUUUCCUCAUUCAAUGUGGAUUCCUUGUGCUAAAUAAUUUUUAAUUCAUGCACAAGGUUCACCGGAUUAUUGUUUUGUUUUUAAGCGAUGAUUGGGCUAUUCUGGUGAAAGUUUUUAACUGAAUAUUAUGGAUUUGCAGUAAACAUACAAAUCUGCUGUAGCUCGAUAUGUUGCUUCCUCCAGUAAAUGAAUCCAACCUAGUUUUAUAUUCUCUAGUAUCUUGAGCUAUUUAGUGUAUGGUAACUUAUCUGAAGACAAUUUAUGCCAAUCUAUCAUGUAGCUCAGUUGGGAUAGGUUGUUGUAGCUGGUGGCUUACUAUUCGCUUACCACUUUCUUAUUAUAGGUUGGUUUCUGACUCUCAUUUUUUUCCCCCUCCCAGUCUUUAGAAUUAAAAAGCUUAACCUUAAAGUUGUUCUUUGAAGUUCAAUCUGUGUCAGCAGAAGACUUCUUUGCUAGAAACAAAUGAUGCCAAAAUAAUGUUUGAAGAAAGCGCAUAGCUGCAUUAAUGUUCCAUUGCGGUUUUCCUGCGAUUAUAUUUUCAUAACUCAGUAAUGAAUAAGCACCAUCUCUAUAUGUACAGAAAUAAUAUGGGCGGAAGUACUGAAUGGGACAGUCGCAUGAUGGACUCCUUGAAGAAGUUUGAUCUUAGCAGCCCCGAGGUAAAGCAGCAAUUUGGUAAGUAAUAGUUCUUUGCAACUCUUUGCAGAAGAUAUACAUCGGAAAUAGUUAUGUGCCAAGUUAUUUCCUGUUUGCUUUCUUUGAUGAAUCACCAUUGAUUGGAUGUCUUCAACCGUGGUUUUGAAGUUUUGGUUGAAACUCUGAAUCUCAAAUUAAUGUUGUAAAUUGUUGUUUUUAUGUCUGUGCAUUAGUUACACAUGCAUGUGCCCUUUGCAUGUGUAUACACUGCUAAAUUUAUUUUAAUUAACUUUUAGUGCUUCCCUUUGUUGGCAGACCAAAUAGGGCUUACUCCAGAAGAGGUUAUAUCUAAAAUAAUGGCAAAUCCCGAGGUUGCCACUGCCUUCCAAAAUCCGAAAGUUCAAGCUGCCAUUAUGGAUGUAUGCUCUCUUCAUCACAACUUCUUGUUCUUAAAAUUGAAUUACUCAGUAUACUGACUUAUUCCUGUGGCUUACAGUGCUCGCAAAAUCCGCUUAAUAUUGCGAAGUACCAAAAUGACAAGGAGGUAAGGGCUUGGAAAUCAUAAUUUUGCUUCAUCAUAAAUGUUGCUUGUGAUUCUUACUUGGAAGAAGUGUGCUGUUUAGUGGAACUGCUAUAAGUUCGAUACUAGCACAAAUUUACAGCUUUAUUUCUCAAUAUUAAGAAGCUUCAAAUGUGGAGAAGAUGGAUGUUGAAGUUCCUCGGAUGUUUGAUUAUUCAUAUAUUCCUUUUAUUUCUGAUAUUACUUUAUCUCACUGGAGUAAUUUAUUCUGUAAGGCUUAGUUUGGUAAUGUGGUGGUCGAAAGCAUCAAUUUUUAUACUAUGAAAGAACCAAAAAAAAUCCGAAAGCGCUUACAAUAUUCCUUUUCCAAUGCUUUAAAAUUGUGGUUGCAACCGCCACUGGAUAAGUAUGUGGCUAUAUGCUUUUUCGGUUACAUGCUUUUUCAGUGGCAUUUGCAACCGCAGUUUUGUAGUGUAAAAAGAGAAAAGAUUGAAAGUACUUUUAGAUUUUUUUAGCCUUUAUAUAGUAUACAAUUGUUCUUUUAACCACCACAUUACUAAACUAGGCCUAAGUGAAACUAGGCUACACCGCAGGGUGGUCACUUUUGAAUAACACUCCUCAAUUAGAACCGGGAUAUGAGAUGUUUCAUGAUUCUCCGGUGAAAAUCAACUUAUUCCUUUCAUUUUCUUUUUCCUUACUCCUGCUAUUAUUGCUACUUAAUAACUCGUAAACCAUCAUCUGUGCAUUUUCUAACUUCCUCUUUUCCUACAUCCAUGCUCUACAAUUUUCCCAUUCUACCACCAAAUAAUCUUUUCAGGUCAUGGAUGUGUUCACGAAGAUAUCGGAACUCUUCCCAGGCGUGACAGGUUACCCGUGACCGCUUACCUCCGCAUAAUCAGGCUCACAAUUUUGAUGGUUCUACUGAACUUGUUUCUCGGCUAAGAUGGUAGCGGCGCGGAUCGUCUCCAAGAUGUAUUGUUGUUUUUAUGCCUCAGCUGUUCAUGUAUAGCUCUUAUUAAGAAGUUUUCAGAUGGUAGUGCAUCAUGUAUUUGAAGUAGAUAAAAGAGAGUAAGUAGCAGAGAGAGCUCUGUAAGUUUACAAAGAGUAGAUAAUCUUAUUCUUCUAGCUCUGGUGGUCAUAACAUUACUAUGCUUGCCUAAGUCAAUAGUUGCAAAGUACACUCAAUUAGUUAGCUUUAUUUUCCUGCAUCUUAUUUUCUCCUCUUUCAAAGUUUAUUAAUGGGAAAGCUAAAACUAGUAAUCAUUGGGAAUUGAUAUUUCCAUCUCAAAAAUUGAUUAUGGAUUCCUUUUAUUCAACCAUGUUCUGUAAUUUUUCUUUCACAAAUUGCUGUGAAAAUAUUAGUUCUCAUAAACUACAGGCUUUGUUUGGCAUUGUUGUUGUCCUUUUCUUUUCAUAAUAAAGAAAAAAAUUUCCAGGAUUUUUAUGCGUUGGGGGUGUACUUUUCCUAUUUUGUCAAUGUUGGUUAGUUUGCAAUGUAACGCAAUUUAAAUAUUGGUAAAUUUAAAGUAGCCCCUUUAACUCUUUUUUUCUUAUUUAGAUUCACAACUUUAACUUUUGUUUUUGGGGAUGAAGUAAUUUUGCUAAAUAAAUUGACAAUUUUAUCAAAUUUAAUAGUUUAAAUUAAUUUGUAAUAAAUAAAAUUGGAUUAGUUAGCUAUCAGUAGUUUAUCGAGUUAUGAAUUUAUUAGUUACAAAUGCUAAGAUAAAAAGAUAAGCCACCAAAGAGGCAUCAAUAAAAAGCAAAAAUUAAAGUUGAGGACCAAUUUCAGAAACAGUUUUAGUUGAGGAGGUUUCCAUACAUUUUGACCUAUUAAUAAUUAUAAUAAUUUUUUUUAAAAAAGAACUUUUCUUCCUGUAACUAUGGAAAGUUUUUGGCGCCCGCCCGGUCGAAUCAUCGCUCCACGUGUAUCAAUCUCCGCGCGGUUAUUGGACACGUGGCAUUCAUCAGCGAACUCUCUAUCGGUGUACCUAUGUUCGACUUGUGGGACCCACAUGUCAGUCUCAGGGAAAAAAAAAACUGUGACACACCAUAUACUGUGUGAAUUAUAAAAUAAAAGGUAAAAACGUAUGGAGAUACCUCAACUAUAGGUUAUUCUGAAACGGUCCCUUAAAUUUUACUCCUUUUUUUUAAAUUGACACUUCUUUAAUUUUUUUUUUCUUUCGAAUUGAGUCUUUAUUGUUAAUUAGCGUAAAAUUAUAUGAAAUGUAAUUGCUCAAUUAGCUACUAGCAGUUAACUAAUUCACUUUUAUUCACUAUAAAAUAGUGUCAAAAAUUAAAUAUGAUAAAAUUAUCAAUUAAUUUGAUAAAAUUUUUAAUUUAUAUGCCUAAAAUUCCUUGAUGCCCCAAAAACUAAAAAUUAAGGGGACCUCCAUACAUAUUUUCCUAAUUGAAAAAAAAACCUUUAAAAAUUAGAAUUUUUUGGUUAAAAUAGAAUAAGAAUAAAUUAUUGCUCGCACCAAGUGUACAAACUCAUACACCGCACUCUAAAAAAAUUAUAAGCACAUAAGGCAAUCACACUGAGAUUCUAAACAAUACCAAAAUUAAAUAAACUAUUAUUAUUUUUUAGAAAUUAAAUAAGAUAGUCCGUUAUUCACUUAUGAACUUAGCUAUAUAUAUAUAUAUAGAGAGAGAGAGAGAGUCUGGCUACUAAAUUUUUAGGAGUAUAAAUCUCUUUAUAUUUAUAGAUUUUUGGCCGUUAAAUUUACCCAUUUGAUCAUUUUUAUCUAUUAGAUCAUAUUAUUCAUUCCUAGGAGACCACUACCAUUUUUUAAUCCAACAGCCGAAAAUUUAUAAGUAUAAAAGAAUUUAUACUCAUAAGAGUAUAGUAGUAGUCUAACUACUAUACUUUUUACGAGUAUAAAUAUUUUUGUACUUAUAGAUUUUCGGCCAUUAGAUUUAUCCAUUUGAUCAUUUUUACCCAUUAAAUCAUCCUAUUCAACCAACAAUCUAUUCAACCCCAGGGGUCUACUGAAAAGAAAAAAAAAAAAAAAAAAUAAAAAUAAAAAUAAAAAACCCGGUGGACAGUGGGUGCACGAAAGACCGGGUGCACGGGAUACUUUCUGAAAGAGAGCGGAGAGAGAGGGAGCCUAUAAAAGCCAAAAAAACGAGAGAGCGCUCUCCCCGUUGCGAAAACGAGAAAAAACUCGAAAACGAGCGCGUCGAAGAGCCCCCCUCUCUCCCUCUCUUUUUUUUUCUUUUUUUUUUUCGUCUCUCUUUUCCCCUCCCCACCUCCUCUUCUCCCUCUCCUCUCCCCGCCGCCUCGUCGAAUGCCACGAAGGUACGAAUCCCCCCUCCCUCUCGAUCGAUCUCCCAUCUCCCUUUCGAUCCGAUUCGCCGCUCCGCGAGCUCUCGAUCGAGCCCCGCGGCGUCGGGAGCCGUCGGAGCCCCCGCGAGCUCGAGGUCGGAACCCUCUUCGACCUCUCCCUCGCCCUCGAAUUCGUGCCUUAUUGGAUUCGUCUCCGUUUUGAUCGGCUCUUUUGAGGAUUUUGUUGGAGUUUGAUGUGCGGCCGCGGAUUUCGCGUCCGAAUAGAUCUAGCUGAGCUUUUGUUCGUAUCGAAAGGAUGCGGUUUUCGCUAAUUAUUGGUUUUUUUUUUUUGUCUAUGUAGUUGAUGAGGAUUUGGGGUUUUUUCAGUUGGGGAUCGUAUUUUUCUGAUGAUGUGAGAUCUUUUGGGGAAUGCGAGGUUGUUGCUAGUUAUAGAUUGGAGCGGUUAUGCUUGGUAGGGUACUUCGCUUGGAAGAUAUCGUAUUAGGGUUUCUGUUUUGACCUCUUUGUUAGCUCAAAAAUGUUAGUAAAAUGGUUUGCGAUGCCAGGAAUUUGUUAGAUUCGGGUAGUAAUGCCUCCUAAAUGCGGCUAUGCAUUGGAUCAUUCAUCGAUGCAGCUUUGUUAGUUCAACAAAUUAGAAUUAGGGUUUCCCUAAACAGGGGUAAUAAUGCCGCAGCGAAAGCUUCCUUGCUAUGAGUUGGGGCCAGGGCUUUCUGUAAAUUGCUAAGGACAAUUAGUUCAAUUCGGAAAUUUGUAUCAGUGUUGCUUCUUUGAAUCACAGGAUCAUUCAGUUUUUUUGUCUUUGUACUUCUUAAUGGAUAUCUAGUAAGUGUGAAAUUUAUUAUAGAGCUCUUUUGCAGGCGAUAAAGCAUCUGCUACCUGAAAAACAUUGGAAGAACUUAUCAGAUCUAGAAUUUGGUGCAAAAUUUGGAAGAGUGAAGUGUAGAAGUUCCUAAUGCCUCUUUACAAGAGAAAGCCUUUUGCCCUGCUUGACCCACCACAGGACCUGGAUCCAAAUGAGCUUGUUUUCCAAAUUCGGUUUACAAAGGAGAUGUUCAGGGAUUACCAGUAUCCUAUUCUGCAGUUUUUCUUUUUCUAAAGCUAGUGAUAAAACUAAGUUUGCAUUCUAUUCUGCAUUCAAGUGAUCUAAUUUGCAUUAUUUGGUUGAAAAAGUAGUAAUAGACCAUGCUCCUUAGCAUAAUUAGAGAAAAAAGUUUUUCGCUGCUGAUUGAAUACCAUUGACAAUAUCCUUAACCUAUUUUAGAGAAUACUUGAAGAGACUGAAUCUUUACCGCAAGAGGGUUUGGACCUGUAAAACUAGUGGAAAAACUAAUUUAACUUAUGAAGAAGCUUUGGUCUCGGAGCAACGUGCAGUGGAGAAGGUUCAGCAGUUUCCUAAAGAAUUAAUGGCUCCAGUUCUUCAUAUGGUUCAGUACAGUAAGAGACCAUCUUGGCACACGUUCGCAGCAUAUUUCUUUUUUGUUCUUCUCUUGUAUCUGGGUUAUACUAGCGUCACUACUUGUUUCUUUUGUAUUUCUGUCACCGGUUUUGGAUAUCUACCUUCUCAAUUUCCUUUUACGUGGCACAUGUCAGUUUGUUUGCUGUUAUAUUUGUUCAGUUUUUUUUUUUUGUCGUUUUUUCUGCCUUUUGUUGCUACGUACACAUAUUGUAUGACUAUAUUCUUGCUUCUCAACUUGCAUUUUAGAUGCCAGAACUAGGCUUUAGGCCUUAACUGUGAAGCAUGGCCUGUGAAAACUGACUAUUAGACACUUUUCUUUCUUCUCCUCUUUGUUAAGCUAUGCAAAGUAUUCUGAUAACCGUUUCCCUUUCUUGGGACGAUGCAGAAAAUCUGCAACGAUGCUUGAGUUGUUCAAAGCAUGAUUGCUGGUCUUUUACUAGAUUGUCAUAAAUUACAGUUUUACAUAGCAUGAUACUACAGAAAGCGGAUGAGUAGUGUUAAAUUGGGCAGAGUUCAACAUUUGCUCAACUUUUAGAGAAGGUUGUUCUCAGCUUUUUUUCCCUUUUUUCUGGCAUUGCAAGUCAAUGAUUCUAUUGGCAUACAUGCCUGAUGUUAUUGCCCGAUAUGGUGCCUGUGUUGUGCUUUUCCUUUGUACAUAAACUUGUUGAAGUUAACCUCAUAGGUCCUAAUUAUGAUGGUAAAUUAGAUGAUCUUCCCACCCGCUUUGUUUUGGUUCUCAUACCUUUUGCAAAAUUCUACUUUUGGAAAGCUGUUAGUUAGUUUGACAUUUCCUUUCUGAAUAGUCUCAAACUACUCUCCAAAGGGAACAUUGCUUCCUUUGGGCUCGUGCUUCUUUGAAAUCUUUGUCCAACUUGUUCUCCUAGCAAUCUAGCCUCAUUAUUGUUGUCUUAUCUGACCAAUCUGUAUAUUUUGUUCUACUUUAAAGACUUAGAGGGUGACUAGAUUUUCAUGGCGGUGUCUAGUUAACUAUGUUACACAGAAUUUAACUGGUCGUCAAACUUUAGGACAAUUUAACAUUGUUUAUUUUUCUAGUGAGUGCUGAAACCAUAGAUGGACCAGCAUUUUCCUUGCUGUAGAAAUAUUUAUUUUUGUUUUAAGGUUAUAAAAGGUACUAAAUUUAAUUUCUAUAUUUGAAUCAUUUCGCUGGAGGUCAAGAUUGUAAAAUCACUGUACAGACUUGAUCACAAAAAUUUUAUAGCGUGAAGAUCAUCUCUGUAUUAUUUCAUUAUUAAAUAAUUUUGACUAGACAAGUUGUCGUUUUCGUUCAAGAAUUUAUUUGCUAUGAAAGAGCGAAUAUGUUCGUGGUUUUGUGUUACCAUUACUACUUGUUUGCAGGCACUCUCGGUAUAGAUAAACUUGUCAAUAAUAUAUACAGCAAGUUGCAAGAAGGUUAUUUUGAAGGCUUAGAAUUGCAUGGGAAGAAGGACGAAUCUGUGUUUGCUUGCAAAAUAUUGAAGGUUCUGGAAGAUGGAGAGGCCACUCUGUAUGAAGUGGGUUGGCUUGAUAGAGAUAAGAAAGUUACUGGAACAUCCACUGUCAAAGCUGAGGAUUUGAUACGAAAGAAACCACCACUGAGUAGGCAUAUGAUAAAAGUUUUCAUUAGGGACUCAACUUCACGAAAUUUCCCUUGGGUGGUACAUGAAACACUUGCGAAGAAACAUGGUAUUUCCACUCAGCCACCAGAGAAUUUCGAAAACAUCAAGAAAAGGAAAGGAACCGAAAAUGGGACCAUGGGAAAUAUGAAGAAGUUAAAGAGAGGUACUGGAAGAAAUUCCUAAGCAUAAUUGUUUAGUUGGCUUCUUUGAUGUAUCACACUAUCACGUCUUAAUUUAGAUUUUCCCCCCCCUUAAAAUAAAAAUAUGCGAAGCAACCACUGCUAUAUGCCAUUUCAAAUUAGACCCAUCUGUUUUAUUGGUUUUCAUUGACACCUAAUAAAUUUUUGGUCAUUUUAACUCGAAGUUAUUUUUGUCCUCUAAAUUAUGACUUUUGUUUAAGGGUUCUGGUGGCUAUCAGCCAUCAACUUUUGACCGUACCAAUAGUUCUAUUACCUAAAAUGCAGGAAGAGCUGUUAAGUUUAACAGAAUCCUUGUUAAGUUUGAUGAAACCCCCAGAUCAACUGACUGAGAUACUCAAACUUGAAACGAAUACAAGUUGAGAGGAUGUUGAUUAUUAAAGGAAAAAAAGAGAGAAGUUGGAGGAUUUAUUGCAAAAUGGACUAUAGCUUUGGGGGAUCUCCAUGCAUUUUUAUCUUUUCUAGAUACACCUUAGAAGAUUUGGCUAACCAGUUUGAUUAUUUCUAAAAUUUGCAGGUGAAGAAAAUCCAACAAAAAACGUGGUUAAAUACCCAAUUGAUGAUCUUCUAGUGCAGCCUAGUGCAGAUGACCCCAUUUUAACGAAGCGCCCUCCUCUUUCUACGGAAUUUCGAGUGCCUAUGGAUUGUGUUGGAGAUUUCCUUAUGGUUUGGGAUUUUUGUUCGUCUUUUGGCAGGUUUUUGCACCUUUCACCAUUCUCACUUACAGAUUUUGAGAACGCACUCUGCCACAAGGAGAGCAAUAUUGUUCUCAUUGUGGAAAUACACGCAGCAAUAUUCCGCUUGCUUAUAAAAGAUGAAGGUGAAUAUUUCACAGUUAUGCAGAACAAAAAGCGGAACUCUAAGGUGAUUGUUUUUGCAUUUGGACAUAUUUGUUUAAUGGCUGUAUUAAUUACAAGUUAAUUUUACCUGUGUGAAACGAGCUGAUUUACAUUUCAUCUCUAAUGUGUUUUACAUAUCAAUUUCCCCAUUUAUGCAGAUAACUCUAGUGAAAUGGACUGAAUAUUUGCUGGAUUUCUUGGAGAUGGACAAUAGGGAAAAGUUUUCAAGUCAUAUAACGACUAUAAGAAGGGGACAUUAUGGUCUUCUUGAAACUCAUGUUAAACUUGGGAUUCUCCGGGAACUUGUUGAAGAAGCUCUUAUAACUACUGAUAUAAGAGAGAAGUUAGAUGAGCGUAUUGAACAGCAGCAGGCACUUAGAGCCACGAAACGAGAAGAAACUAGGAAAAAGAAAGAAGAACAGGAGUUGGGAAAGGAUGAGUCCGAAAUUAAGGAAAGGAAUCAGAAACAUAUUUUGGGGAAUUGUAAUGGGAAGCACAAAUCCGAUAGUCUGAAGGGCGAGCAUAAAGGGAAAGAUAAGGACAAAGAAGUUGAGAAGAAGAAACCUGAAGAAACACAAGUACAUUCAGUAAUCUCUCUCUCUCUCUCUCAACAUAAACAACUCCCUUUCAUUUUUCCGUUUUAUAAGCUAAGUGAUUGAUUUUCUGCAUUACAGAAUGAGAACCUUGACAGGGAAAUUGAAAAAUUAUCAAUACGUACCAGUUCACUAGGGAAAGAUAGAAACUACAACAGGUAUUGGUUAUUCCGGCGUGAAGGAAGACUUUUUGUUGAGAGUUCAGAUUCCAAGCAGUGGGGCUACUACACCACCAAAGAAGAGGUCAUUAUUUUGCGAAAAUUUGCCACUAGCUUUUCACUCUUUUUUUUUUUUUUUCCUUUUCUGUGGACAUUGGCAUGUACUAAUUAAAUUUUGAUAUCAUCAGCUUGAUGCCCUAAUUGGUUCAUUAAACCAGAAAGGCGUGAGGGAGAGAGCCCUUAAAAGGCAGCUGGAGAAAUUCUAUCAAAAGAUAAGGUGUGUCUUUUCCGAACUAUUGUAUAGUUGUCCUAAAGUUGGUUUCUCCAACUUUCAUUUUUCCAUCAUUCUUUCAGUAUCCUUCACUGGUAGUGUUUAAAUUUUAUUCAAGUUCUAUCGAGUUGUGAGCUCAUUUUCUCUAAACCAAACCUCUAUGUCUCAGCCUGCAAGGCACAUCAAAUGGUUCUUACAAUGGCAUAUACUUUCUACGGUGAAAAAAAAGCUUUUAGUGCCAUUUGCAACACGUUUGUUAAUUAAAUUAUUUAAUGUAAAUUGAGCAAUGUAAAGGAGCUCGCUCUGGAGUCAAUUCUUCCUUUUGUAUGAAAUAAGUACCCAUGCCUGUUAAGGAGGAUGUUUAGUUGAACAUGUUGUGUUAAUUUCUGCCAUGGAUAGUACUUGUUUUGUGUCAAGUUUCUCAUGCCAAUGGCUUUUCGAAAGCCGUAAAGCUGCUUUGUAGGAUUAGCACUUAUUUUAUUGCCUCAUUCAUUGACUAAUGGUUUUAUGCUUGCUCACACAGUAUGGCUUUAGAGAAGAGGACAAAAGAUAUCGCCCAAAAGAUCCUACUCGAAGAGGCUGUGCUGCGACGGUCCACUCGUGUUCGGGCCCAACCUCGGGAUAACCCCAACAUGGCAUUCCUCAAAUACGUAAACAGGUGGAAGGAGACCUAAUUUAGCCAAUCAAGACCAUACAGUUCAGAAGCUCCAUGAGUCCCGUCAAGCCUGCCAAUUGGUAUAUAAUUAGCUAUAUUAAUAUUUGGGUAAACGUAUGGAUAGUCCCUGUUCCCUUUGCUGUCGCAGUAUUCUGACUCAGCUCCUGAAUUUUUAACUUAGACUUUUUUCCCCAUAUAUUGCAAUUCCGCUGCAACACAAAUUUUUUCUAUACAUGACCUUCUUAAUACUGUUUCAAGAUAGUAUUGAAACAAGGAAGUCAUUUUACAGAAGGGGUAAAUGGUUAUUUGAUGUGAAAAGUUAGAUUUGUUUGGCAGCAACGGAUGGAAUUCCGAGACAAGUUUCUGAGGAAGAAGAUUAGACUGCCAAUUGCAAUACAAGGACUACUCAUAGUUUGCCCAUGAGUUUAUCAUAUAAUUUUUCUAAUAAGUAAUGCUAUGGGUACCUUAUUAUGUACUCUAAAAGUGCAACUGAUGUGUUACAUUCAUGUAGUAGCAAAUAUCCAGCGCAAAUUCGGCAUUUGAAACAUGACUCAUGAAUUGCACUUUGGAGGACUUCAUUGACCCAAUGGCAUUACUGUUUUGUUCUUGCACUCAAAUCUAACCGUUGUCUCUUGAUCUUGCUAGGAUUUCCUACAGGAACUGGAAAUGAAUAUUAUUCGUUGAUACUUUAGAAAGACUAAUCAGCCACUCACUCACUAGCAAAUUUGAAUUUUGUAAUUUCCUUCCCACAAAGUUCUGAAGUUACUUUUGUUGUAACCUACGCGGAUGAUAACAAUGUAGCUGAUUGUUUCACCUAUUAUCUAGCCACACAGGAGAAAUGUUGUUUGGACCUCGUGGUCUCAUCUAGCAUUAUCCACUGUAGUUAUGUCUGAUUUGUUUUCUCCUCGUAAAAGUUCGACUAGUAUGCAGUAAUCUUGCUCGAUGUGUUCGUGGUAUUAGCUUCUCUACUCGUAACAUUGCGUGAAUGCUCUAUAUUCUGUAUUCGAAAAAGCGAGAUUGUCAUCAAGCAACUCGGGCCAAAGACAAAGGGGUUUACAAAUUCUUGUUAGGGGGAACUUCAUUCUCCCGUAGGCGUCUCAUUUCCAUCAGCUGACGAAUCCCGUCACUCUACAGUUGGGUUAGAUGCCGAUUAGUUGGGAAUCUUGCAUGAUUUUAUUACUUCUCAUUUAAGUCGAUUAUGUCUUUUCUAUAUGAGCCAUGCAGUGACCAUCUCAUUCAGAAUAUUGUAAAUAUGUGAAAUGAACACUUUCUUUGAACAGUGUUUGGGUAAUUUUCAUGUGAAUCUGAAAAUGUUAUAUUGUGUUGGCGGUGGCUCAGGGCGCAUGUGUGAAUCAAUCAACACUUGCUAUGUAUGAUUGCCUUAACCACCUUUAUAAGAAACUUUAACAGCACUCUAUUUGUAAAAAUUUGUGUACUCUGUUAUCUCUAUCUCUGUAUAUUUUUUAAGCAUAUACCUAUACUGAUAUUGCAAAAUACUCAAACUUGUAACAUGAAACCUGUUACUUCCUGUUCUCUAAACUAUUCUUAAAUCUAUCCUCUCCCUCAAAUUUGCAAUGGGCAAUGAGCAAUAAUUCGUCAUUGUAAUUUACCAUUUGAAUUUUAACACGUUAAUUUUUACCAUCUAGUUAUAAUUCGUGACAGUUUCUAAUCUCAUUGUAUUGCUCAAACAUUUAUUCAUCAUGUGAUCACAAAUAAGUCAUGGAAUAUAUCUAAUCAGCUUAUAUUUUUAUGUAUUUAGAAAAUUAUGCGUUGUAUGCCAUAGUUUAUUGUGUUAAAAAUUGCAAGGUGAGUCACAAUUUUUUUGUUUUUUUUGAGAGCAUUUAAAAAUAAACUUAGCUGAAAAUGUGAAUCAACUAGGAUUCGAACUUGGGUCUCGGAUAUCAAUCAUUAAAUUCUUUGCACUUGCUCUAGAGACGGUCUGAGUCACAAAAUUUAGGUUGUGAGAUAGCAUCAGGGCAAUACUGAGUCCUCUGUUUUUUUUUUUAAGAAAAAAAGAAAAAGAAAAGAAGAGUCGUUUCUCAAUUAGAAGUGAUCACGUGGGUAACCCGAGUAGCCAACCCAUCGCGGUAGGCCCAGGCAUUACUUUUACCCGACCCCACCCACACAAUCACAAACCCUAAUCAAUUCCUCCUGGUUACUAGGGUUUUCCUCCGCCGCUCCUCCACCACCCCCGCCACCUCCGCUAAUGGCGAGGCCGGGACGAGCUCGCCCCGCGACCCCCUCGGGCUCCGGCUCCGGAUCCUCCUCGCGCUCGCGCUCCCGCUCCCGCUCCUCGUCGGGGUCGGGCUCUCGCUCCCGCUCCCGAUCCCGAUCUCGGUCCAUCUCCUCGUCGUCCACCCCCUCGCGGAGCGCGAGCUCUCGUAGCCGAUCCCCACCGCCUCAGAGAAGAAGGUGAGCUCGCGAGAUAUGCGCUUUUUUUAGAUGCUUCUCUUGUAAUAAGCAGUUAAGCAGUUAGGCUUUGUAGUUUUAAUGCAAUGUGUUCUCCUCCAAAGAUCUAUUGGAAAAAAAUACUAGUAGUUCUCAGAAAUAUGCUUUGUUAUACUGUAAAAACCCUGUGCUAGGAGAAUUUUUUUUUUUUUUGGCCUUUUCGGAGCGAGUUCCGUGUUUACUUCAGUUUCAUCAGUGUGAACAACUUUUAGUACCAAAUGAAACCGUUAAUCGAAGAGAGUAUGAUCGAUUUGAUUGUGGUGCGUCCAAACUAGUAGGAAUUUUGUACCUACGCUUAGUUUUCUAUCUUGCAUCGUUACAGUAAACGCACAUGUAAUUUAGAUAUUUCAUAUGAGACCAAAAUAUUUAACUAUGCUAUAUUUGUUAUCUGUUUUUUUUCUUCUUUGUAGUAAUAUUCGCUAUUAUAUGGUUGUGCAUAUGCUUGCCUUUGGAAGAUAUUCAUGUGAUUUUAAUUUUUAUGCUACCGAAGAGUGGUUGCAAGAGUGAUGCAUUUGCCUGUUUGCGAUAAUUUAGUUGUAUUUGGCCUUUUGUUUUUUUGUAACGUCGAAUAUAUUGCAAAAUCAGCCUUUUGUUUUUUCCAGUCCAACUGGACCAGCUAGGAGAGGUCGUUCGCCAUCGCCUCCGCCUAAAAGAGCUUCACCUCCUAAGAGGGCUUCACCCCCGAGGUAGGAAUCUAGUAAAAAGAUCUUUUUAUUUCCAUUCUUUUGUGAUGGUUGUCAAGUUUUUUUAUAAAAAAAAUAUGCAUUUCAUGACGAUGCCACCAAUACCGGUUCGUAUUUGGUUUAAAACCUUUCCAGAUUAGCGGUUAGGCUGUGGUUUUUUAAUAUCUCUUCUUAGAGGCAUAGUGGUCUCUUCCAUUAAUAGUUCCUUGCAGUGAUGAGUCAUGUUUCUGUAAGUUUAUGAAAGUGUUAGACGGACAAAAGUAGUUGUACCCUUUUCAGGAUGUAAAACUGGAGAUUCAUAUAAUGCUACCAAAUAUUUGCAUGAAAAAUGUUGCCCUAGUGUCUUUAUUGGCAGGAGCCUCGUUCACUGCAGCUUUUAUAUGUGUGAGAUAGUUAGGUCGUUGCUGCAAAAGAAAAUAAUUUGGGUAUGUUAGGUUUAAAGUUUGUUUAUUGUGAACUUAAUUUGUUAAUUUGUUUGUAAGGUGUCUAAAUUGAUGUUGCAGUAUCUUCUGUUAUUUUUACAACAUGGGUGGUGCUGUACAUGAUAAGCUGCACUGUUGAAUGUGGAUGAAUUUUUUCCUUCCGUAAUAUCUUAUUGCCCGAGAACUUUCAGUGACAGCAUAAGUUUUUAUUUCAGGAAAGCAUCACCAAUUCCGGAGUCUGUUGUUCUUCACAUUGAUCAUCUGUCGCGCAAUGUUAACGAAGCCCAUUUAAAAGAAAUAUUCGGUAAGUACCAUUUGGAAGUACUGCUUUUCUUUAUUAUGUUGUUUUAUACUUUACUAGCAUUUUCAUCAACCCAUAAAGAGGAGAUAUUAUGAGUUUGGCUGUUCCAUUUAAGGUGGACUGUAGAUGCACUUUUCAAGAAUUCUUAGAGGGAAUCAUCAUGCCUUUCCUCUUACUUUUGUACCCUUUUUUAAUUUGCCAUAUCUAGGUCCUAUUGACAUAAGUGUUACUUCAACUGAGACAUUUAAGUAAAUUCUCUGCCAUUUGCUUGUGAAAUCCCAAAAAUUUUGAAUAUGAAAGUUGUGUGUUUGACGGGAAAUUUUUGAAUGUCUCUUACUCUUGUUAAUGAUAGGCGUUAACAUUUUACUCAAAUCGCCCAAAAUACUCGCAUCAAGAAACAACUAUUUUACCAGUUUUUCUGGAUUUUGCUGAUGGCUUUCAUUAGAAAACUUAUAUGUUAAUUUAUAACUGAGCCUUUUUGUGUGACACCACUAGAGAUAAUGAGUUUAUAGGAAGAUAGUUGUUACAUGUGCAAAACAGCUUAGAUACAUGGCACAUUCUUUUUCAAUUUUCGUUUCUUGACCGGCCUUUUUCUCCAGUAACUGACAAGAGGAUUGCUUUCUUGCAGGUAACUUCGGUGACGUUGUCAAUGUGGAACUAUCAAUGGACCGCAUUGUAAGUCAGCAGUUUGGUUUAUUAGUAUUUACAAAAAUGCCCGGAUUGUUCAUGUGAAGCUCACCUAUAUUUACCUGAUAUUUAGGUUAAUCUUCCUCGUGGUUAUGGAUAUGUCGAGUUCAAGAAGAGAGCUGAUGCUGAGAAGGCUCUUCUUUACAUGGAUGGUGUAUGUAUUUUAUCUCCAUCUCCAUAAAUCAAUUAAUUGCUAGUUCUUGUUGGUCAGCAUAUGCAACUUGACUUGUACAACUUUUUCUGCAGGGUCAAAUUGAUGGAAAUGUUGUUAGAGUAAAAUUCACUUUGGCACAACGCCAGAAAGCUUCUUCCCCUCCAAAGGUGGUUCCGGCUGCUCCGAAAAGAGAAGCUCCACAGAGAGAUAAAGCUGUUCCAAGUACUGAAAAGGAUGCUCAACAGAGGCCCAGGGAGCGUAAGUAAAUUUACGACUUCAUGGAUGGCCUGUUUUCUUUUUAGUUCUGCUAUGGGUCUUUGCCUCUUUAAAUCUUUUGGUGCCGUCUGCUUCUUUGAACCGUGUAUAUGUUUUCUACUUUGUAUCUCUCAUUUCCUUUUUGUUGGCUUGUGAUUUAUUCAUCUAAUUAGGUGAUGAAUGUGGCUUGAGCUUCAUGUUUCAAAAUAUUUAGUGGCUAUACUUCUUUUAUUAGGCCACAUUCUGUGUACUAUUCUCUAUCGUUGGCCAGCAACUUUUCAUCUGUGUUACUUAUUUUAUGAUUAAUCUGACUUAGGAUUUUUCUUAUCUUCAUGUGUUUCUUUGGAACUUCCCCUUUUUUUCUGCUUGUUGCCUCGUUCUUUCAUAUUUAUGUACUAUGCAUUUCUGUAAUAGAGUUUGAUUUUUGUUCUUAUUUUUUGUUUUACAUUAUCAGCUUCUCCGCGGAGGAAACNCUAUAAUCUAUGUUGCUUAUUUUAUGAUUAAUCUGACUUAGGAUUUUUCUUUUCUUCAAGUGUAUCUUUGGAACUUCCCCUUUUUUUCUGCUUGUUGCCUCAUUCUUUCAUAUUUAUGUACUAUGCAUUUCUGUAAUAGAGUUUGAUUUUUGUUCUUAUUUUUUGUUUUACAUUAUCAGCUUCUCCGCGGAGGAAACCACUUUCUCCUCCACGGAGGCGAUCUCCUCCUCCAAUCCGCAGGGGGGCUGAUUCACCGAGGCGUCGACCAGAGUCCUCUCCUAGACGUCGGCCAGAGUCUCCUCCUAUUCGUAGGCGGACAGAUUCCUCUCCAGUUCGACGGGGCGAAACACCACCUCCUCGGCGAAGACCAGCAUCCCCCAUUAGAAGACGUUCUCCUUCACCGGGUCCUAGAAGGAAUAGAUCACCUCUCCGGUUAGUCACAUUGACUGUGUACUUUUGUAUAUAUAAUACUGACUGUGUACUUUUGUAAAUAAUCUGUAAAUACAGACCUUACCUGAACUUUUGAAGCAUUUUUAAAUGAGUACGGGAACUUAAAAAGUUUUGAUUUCAUUACCUGACUUUACUGCAUUUUUUUUGCUCAAGUACCCAACUUAAACGUUUUUUUUUUUAAAAAAAAAAAUCUUAGUUCUUCAUGAGAGCUUAACAAUAUUUUGUAAUUAUUUGUAAUUAUUGUGAUGGAAUAUUCUUUCACUUAAUGACUUGAUUUUGACAGAAUUUCAAAAGUUGAUGUAAUGAAACUUUCAGAUAGUAAAAUGAAAAUUUUGAAGUUCAAAAGCCAUUUCAAAAUAUGCUGCAGUUCAGGAAGGGUUUGUAUAUUUUCACCUAUAAAAUAUGUAGCUUGAAUUUUAUGGAUGUUGGUGCUGAUGGAUCUUCAUAUGAAUAGGAUUUCUCCUAGAAGAGGCCGGGGAAGUCCACUUCGCAAGCGAUCACCGAUGCCCCCUAGGAGGCGGUAAGUUACUCUACAUGAAGCUUUUGACCUUGCUUUAUUUUAGAUUGUCUAGUGCAGAUUAAAUUCUGUCAUGUAGUAUGCUGUCUCAUUGUACUAAAAUGGGGAUUGUGAAGCAAUUGUAGGAGACCAGCCUGCUAUACAAAGAGGAUCUCACCCUUUUUAAUUUUAUACUUGGCAUGAUUCUCUCUGCAAAAGUUCCUUGACAUUCUUUUUCCCUUUUUUACCAUGAAAAUAGCAUUUUGUUUUCUUUAUGACCCACUGCGGUUAGACUUCAUAUAUAUUUUUUGAUUUUCUGCAUAUCUCUUGAAAAGAAAUUGAGCUGGCAUUUAUCUUAUGUCGUUUUCUUCAAUCCGCAUCGCUUGUUCCAGAUCACCACCUCCAAGACGCUUAAGAAGCCCACCAAGAAGGUCACCACCACCACCUCCUCAUCGUCGGACUCGAUCACCUCUUCGUAGGCCUGUUCGUUCCCGAUCUAGGUCAAUCUCCCCUCGCAGGUAACAGCUAAGUUGGAUGCGUCACAGCUUUUUUAGGCCUAGUUUGGUAACGUGGCAAACGAAAGCACCAUUUUUUAUACUAUAAAAGAGUCGAAACAUCUAAAAGCGCUUACAAUCUUCUGUCCUCUAUUGCUUUAAAAUUAUGAUUGUAACUACUACCGGAGAAGCAUGUAGCCAUAUGCUUCUCUGAUAGCAGUUGCAACCGUAAUUUUAUAGUAUAAAAGAAGAAAACAUUGAGAGUGCUUUUGAAAUUUCUAGGUCUUCUAUAGUAUAAACAUAGUGCUUUUAGCCACCAUAUUAACAAACUAUGCCUUAGUCGGUGUGGAUAGACAAUCAGAAGCCAUGCCCUCUUUACAACCAUUAUAUUUGAAACUGAAGUGUUUUGGUUUGAAUUGCUUUCAGAACGUAGUUCCUGAAAGUCUUUCUUUGAAGCCGAAAUUUUCUGGUUUCAUUUGUGGAAACAUUACUAGACCGAAUAUUUGUUCUUCUUGCGUAUAUUCAUAUCUAUCUCAUGCUUGUAAAAGCAGGGGACGAGGGCCGCCGCGGCGUGGAAGGUCAGAUUCAUCGUAUUCUGCAUCGCCCAGUCCUCGGAGGGUAAGAAAUUUUCCGAGUUCUCAAAACUGCAGAUUCUGAAACUUCUGCUUUCAGACUCAUCUGGAAGCACGCAAAUUCCAACAUCCUGAACUGCAUGAAUAUUGAUUGAUUUAAUACCUUUUUCUAACCCAGGGACCUCGAAAAAUAUCAAGAAGCCCAAGUCCUAGGAGGUAGCUUAUGUUCCCUCUCUUCCUCUUGCUUCUAAUUCAUCUCGAAGAGAUGUGGUAUGUUCCUCUCUUUGCUCUUCUUUUGUUUUCCGCCCCUUUUAAUGUCUUUUGGUGGUGUUUAGGCCUCCUAGAGGAAGAAGCCCCAGUAACAGCCGCAGCAGCAGCUCGCCCUCCCCUCGGCCAAAGUAAGCGCUUCGUUGGUCGUGAAUCUUCUUCAGUAGGUAAGACUCUCUCUCUCUCUCUUUCUUUCUCUCUCUCUCUCUCUCUCUCUCGCUGGUUUGUGUGUGUGUUGCUGCGAAGCGAGAUCUUAGCGAUUCUGCGGGCGGUUCUGCGGGUGGAGCUAUGCAACCGUGCGAAGGUUGAAGAGCUUAGAGGGGGUACCAAGAGUGAAAGCUUUUGUACUUUCCGAACCCUUGCAAAUGGUCUACUCUGCUUCUCGCGCACUGUAUUUGGCUUUUUAAACUCGGUCAGUGAUAUUUAAACACUGGAAAACUUUUUUAAGUAACUCGGUAUGUACUGAAACUGCGUGAAAUCUCCGAGAAGUAGCUUGUCUAACUUCUUACUCGCAAGAUGAUUAUCUACUUCGCUCAUUUAAUUUGAUCGUCUGUAUGCAUGCUUGCUUUCGGUGGUUUCUUUGGCAUUUUUUGCAGUGAACUUUUUUCUUUUUCUUUUUCUUUUUUUUUUUUUCUCUUUUACCGAAUCAGAUUAUAGAUCUUUGUGCUACCCGCGAACUAUGUUAAGUUGGCCUGUGGAACGUAGGUCUUAUUUUAUUUUAUGUUAUUUUUUUUAUUUCGGUGGAGUAUCAUGAUUUACUUCUGAAAAGCUGCUUUUUCAGGAAUUGGUUAUACCCUGCACGUUAAUAUAUGAUUUAGAUGAUGGCUUUUCAACGGACAAGUCCUAUAAAUAAUUAUACGUGUUUCUUUAAACGGAAACCAGUUUAUAGUUAAAAGACCCCCUAUGGGUGAAACAUGUUAUCAGUUCAAUCCAAUCCAACGGGUAGCAUUACAUUUCAAAUUUAAAUAAACGCACAGCAUUCACGGAACAAACCGAGAAAAAUGGCUCACUUCGUAUGAAGAGGAACUCAUCCUCCUUUGCACCUGAAACUCCACCACAAGACCCCUGUUACUUGGGGCGUCCUAAGAAAUACGAUGGACGAGUCGGUAUUUUUAUAUGUCAAAUAAAUUAUGCGACUAAGACUUCUUUUUAGCUCCUAACCAUCAUAUAAAAACUCUUUGCCUCAUCAGCAUGUACUUGAGAUGAUAGAUACCAUAUUAAGUUCUCGACCACCAUGCAAUAUUAUCCACACACAGUUCUUCCAUAUAUCUACACACAAAUGAAAGCACCCAAAUAUUAUAGCAAGGAUCUGUACCACCGGCCGUGAACCCACCCCGAUAUCGUCGCCAUUUUAACAAGAAUUUCAGCUGCCUUUGCCACCUGAUCCGUUAGCAUCCCGGCCCCGACUCGCCGUAGCGCCGCAUCAGCCAACUUUUGCCCAUCACCGUCGCCGCCACCGCCGCGGAGCACGACCGCUCGAACCGCCAAAUAUACCGACCUCGAUACCUUCUCGAAAACAGCAUCGCCGCUCUGCAAGCUCUUUAUCAGCAUCCGCGCCAUUACUUCUUUCGUGCUCUGAAGCUUUGCUUCCGGAAACAAGUCAUUUAAGCAGCUUGCCAUCGUGCCGGCAAUCUCUUCGACACCGGCGUUGGCCGCAUUGCUCAAUAAGAGUACUCUAAGCUUUUGGACAAAUUCGGAUAUUAGUCUUUCCAAAUCCGUAGCAGGGAUUAUCGCGCUCUCACUGAUGAGAAUUUGCCGAAGGACCAGGAUGCUGUAUACGAAAGCAAAUUCAUUUAAUCCUCAAGAGAUUAAAGGAAAAAAGAAAGAAGGGUUAAUCAGCCACAGUUCCAAUUACAUCUAGAGUUUCAAGUCAUUCCGGUACUUUACUGUCUAAAGAAAUAUGCCAUGUCCGCAUUAUGGUUUAAGUUACAAGCUCUUAAAUUGAGAAUUGCUAUCAAGCUAUAGAAAAUAAAUUUGGAAGUUAAAGAGCCCCAAAUGAAAGAUGAGCUACUACUCUACCUCGUAGUGAUGACGAUGAUUUGUUGAUACCGGCUCUGAAUGGACCUCAGUCUCGAGGCAUUAAGCUUAAAAGUUUCAGGCACUGAUUGCAUCGUCACCCCCUCUACGCCACUAGCGAGUUUCAGCAAUCCGAGCCUUACCAUCAAGUCGACUUUCUCUCCGUUGCAUUCCGGCAGUUCAUUAUUGCCUGCUAGAUAGAUUGCAUAAAUGUUGAAAGGUUAGAGCGAAGAGGAAGAGGAAAGUAUUGAAGGGAAAAAAAGGAAAAGGUUAGACACACCUGGAGUGUUGACAUGGGGAAGUGCUUCCUUUCUCGAGAUUCUACCACCUGUGCGGAGGGUCGUAACAAGAGGUUGGCCCUGCUAAAACAGACUGUUUAGUACCCUUGUAAUUGUAUCUUCAGAAAGAAUACUCGAAUAUAUGAACAUUAAUGAUCAAAAGGCCUUGAUUCUCACUAGUAACGGAAAUUAUUGUGUUUCAAGCAUACUGAUGAACAUGGGGGAACAGAAACUCACUUGAUCUGUCGACAAGGCAGAAAGAGACUCAAGAUGUUCAUUCCACUCUUCUUCCACGGUGUUCUUUAGCGAUGAAAUCCACUGCACAGUUAACGGGAGAGAGAUUGCCGCAUCAGAGGGAGGUCCGUAGCGCUCGGCAAAAGCUGUCUGCAGAUACUCCAAUCCAGCAGAUCCUUUUAUGAUUGGUUCCAGAAGCUGUAUUCGUGCUUUGCUUACUUCUCUUUUCAGUUCCUAUUAGGUGUAAAAAGACGUAGUAAGAUCUUAAGAUCAUAAAAUGUCAAGAAGUUACACACGAAUUCCUAAUUUUUUUAUGCAAAAGUAGAGUAAAAAUGAAGGUACUUAACCUCACAAAUGCUACUUCAAAUAUAGUAAAAUUUCAUGGUCAAAGUGAUUUUAGAUAUAAACCUGUAUCUCUUCCAGAAUAAACUGAAGACCUUUAAUCAUUGAAACUAUGCACAUGCUUUGUUUUCCAUCAUUUGAUAGGGAAAUUUCCACCAGUUCACUUAACAAUUUCUCGUGGGCCUUUCUCAUCUCAUCUUCAUUUGCAGGAGCAGAGAGUUUCUGUAGCAUGGCUAGCGAGUACUCCAAAACCUUUCUUAGAUAAUAUGGGUCUUCAAAGCCUGACUCUAGUAUCUUUUCUCAUAGAAACAAGCAGAAAAGGACAAACAAAAAUAUAAUAAUAAUGAACUUAAAUCCAAAAAAUAGGAUAAGAAACGAAUCUAAUACAAAUGAAUUCGGGAAGCUUACCUGAGACAAAAUGUCAAGGUCGAUGCUGUUGGUAAUUUCUUCUCUCCAACUCUGAGGGGCCAAAUCGCACAAUUCGUCCCUUACCUCCUUAACAAGGCCCAAAAUUCGACUAUAGUCAGGUUUAUCUCCUUUCAUAGAGUCCACAACUCCAUCCCAGAAAGCCUUCUCCAUUGUCUCCUUUACUUUUGCCUGGAAAAAACAGGGCAACAUCAUAUGAAUAUGAGAAUAUAAGUACUAAAAAGGAUUAAUAACUAGACGUGAAUAUCAAUACAAUAAAGACAGUUCUGUAAACAAGAAUUCGCACACUGUAAAGGCAGUAAUACAAAAUCUUUAAAACUUCAGUUUAUGUAGAAUUUAAUAACUUGCCAAAAUAAUAGAAAGACUGCAACGCCUCGCUAUAAUAACUUGCCACACUAAUUCUUUUAAGACCCAACUAAUAAUAGCCAACGUACAAAGCUAUACCAGCUUAUACCGAGAUCAUUCUCCUACAUCACAAAUAGCAGUAUCUUGUCACUAAUCCAGUUGCAAAAAAAUGCUCCUACAUCACAGAUAGCAGUAUCCUGUCACUAAUCCAGUUGCCUUGAAUAUACCACAUUAAGAAAUAUUGCAAGGUGAAGUAUUUAUGCUUCGUCUCGAAGUGGAUAUUACUAUCUGUAAUAGGUUCAAGCCAUAAAACUAGGAGUUGUUCUUUUGCUAAUCAAGAGUGGCGAAUAUUCUGCAAAAAGCCUUACUAACCUUGAUAAUCUCAUCAGUGCCACCGACGUCAAUGUUGUCGGGAGAAGCAUCAUCGUUCCCAUGGACGAUCUCAUUGACAAGAAGUUCAUUCUCAGCGGGCGACCUUUUUCCUAUCGUUUGAUUUGAUUGCAUAUCUGCAACUUCAGUAUCUGUACUGCUAUUCUGAGGUGAAGAAGAACUCCCAAACAAAGAACGAACAAUACUACUCAAUUUUUCAAUGUUGGCACUAGAAUGCUCCUCAGGAACAGAAGAGUUCACUUCAAAGCAUUCGGAUCUGGUGUUUGAAAGGGAAAAUUCUAUCUGCUCAAUACCCGCAUUGCCACUCAGGUGUUGUACUUUCUCCCUCGGUAGUUUCUGGCCUUCGAUAACCUAGGAUAGCGAGUAACCAAAAAAUAUUUCAAACAACAAAUCUUUGGCAAAAUAAAGAUAAAUAACAAUAAAAGGAAUGUGGAACAGUACCAAGAAUAGCACGAGAACAUACACCAACAAUUAUAAAAAUUUCAGGAGAAAAGAAUGUAAAUCGCAAAUAAAACUUUAUCUCUAGGCGAUUGGAUAGAGAAAUAGAACACGCUAAGGAAUAACAAGUACCAAUAGUCAGAGCAGUAAAUCAAGUUGUGUUCUAAGACUCGGUAUAUGAAUCACUGAUGGCCUGUUGGACCUAGGGUGUACUGUGUAGUCACUCGAUGAAGUGUUGUUUAGGUAGUGCUAUUAGGGAGACGAAAUAAACUAAAUUCCCCCAUGGCUUCUAUUUGCAGCAGAAGCAGAAGCUUCAAGUUCGAGGUUAUGCCUUUGGACUUGAAAAAUCUCAUUUCAACUUCUUGCCAAAGCAGAAGCGCAGACUUCUUUGUUUGCUAAAUGCCCUAUUAGAGGUGGUUGUAGCUGAAAACAGAAAAAGAAGCAGAAGUGGGGCCAAACAUACAUGCUUUUGGUUCCAGGCACGGUUACUGCUAGCAAAGCUUCUAGAAACCAAGGAUUUAAGUGCCAUGCCACGAGAUCGUGCCGGAAACUUGUCGGCACGGUACGGCACGGUGCGUGCCGAGCCAUGCCAAUGUGUGCCGGUCAAAAAAAUUCUUGUGUGCCGGUCAAAAAAAUUCUUAUGUGCCAACACAUAAUAGCAUGAAAUAUUUAUUUUCUUUAGCAACAAAAUAUUCUAACUAUUUAUUAUGUCUUUUUAUCACAUCUUUUGAACUUUAUUAAGAAAAUUAUUUGCAAAUUUAAAGAAUAGAGAGGUUUGAGCUGUGCCAUCGGCACGGGGUCUAUAUUGUGCCGGUAUCUUGUUGGCACGAUACAGCACGGUGGAUACGGCCCGUGCCGACGGGCAUUUAAAAUCUUGCUAGAAACACAAAAAAGUUUGGAUCUGCUACUGCAGUGGGAAGUUAAAAUGUGAUUCGGAGCAUCUAGAUUACUCAUAUUAGAACAGGAAAGCAAAACAAAAAAAGAAAUAACAUCCAACCACUGCAAUCAUAACAGUACUAUUUGUCCAAAACAAUGUUUUGUUCACCCAAGAUUUUGAACUAAAAGGAAAGCAGUUAAAAACAAAGCAAUUAGUAAGCUAAUCUAUGAACAAUCAAUAAAAUUAGCAAACCUGUGUUUGCAUGGCGUUCAUAUCAUGACUAAUGUCACAUUCCUUUCCUUCAGAAGUUAGCUUGCAUGCUCGCAUCAUCGAUAGCUCUAGUUCACACGCAGCUCGUACAAGAUCUUUCUCGAGGGAUUUGGCAUCUUUUACUUUCCAUAUCACAAAGCGGUACAAAUAAGCUCGCCAUGCUGCAUCAAAAGCUGCCAACUGGGAUCUGAAUGUCUUUUGGUGGCCACUAUUUGGUCCAUCAAGUAUAAUCGUGACCAAUAACCCGAAUUCCUGAACAAAAUUUAUAGCUGAUUCAAUCAAUAAACUCUCUCGCUUGCCGUGUUCACUGAAAACAGCAUUUGGGUGACCAAGUAUCAUGUAAGCACAGAGCACUGCUCUCAUUGGAUAUCUUAACAACUUAUUUUCUUUUGAACUCCUAGCUGUUUUCUCUGUUAUUCCUCUAGCUUUUGCUUUGCCAGCUGGCACUCUUUUAUUGGGGGAUGAUGUCAGGUGCUUGAGCAGAUGAUCGAUGUUCUCUGGAGUGGACAAAUUAGAUGACUGAGAGAGAAGAAAGCGACUCUCCAACCGAUCAAGCAAUGCUUUUGUGGUCUGAAGCACAAUGGGUGAUUCAAUGAGGAGAGCCAAUUGUUCAAAUGGGAUGGACUUAACAGAGUUCUCAUUAAUACCCAAAUCUUCAUAAGCUCUAGUCAAAGUAAAGGUAGUUCCUUUUGAUGUCACAAACUUUCUCCAGCAACUAGACAGGCAAUAAAAUGUCAGAGAAAAAAAAAUCAAGCUAACACAUAGUGAUAAAACCAUAACUACCAAGUUUAUGUAGUGAUACACACCUUGCUAACUUUCUUGCAAGAAGAUCUCCAUGGCUGAUCCAAUUAGAAUGGGCACAGCUAUGUGGGCUACCUUUCAGUCUCAGGUAUUCUGCUCUCUGCCUCUUUGCCUGAAGACACUUGCCCAAUUACUUGUUUGUUAGAACAGAAUAUAUCAACUAAGUUUAUCUUCUAAUAGGCCUUCUAGAAGUGAAGUUGAUCUGCUCUAAUCUUGAGGAUCAUUUUGUAUUAGCAACAUAUUUGAUAAAUGUUAGGUUUAAAGUACAUUCACAACAGACAUUCUUAUGUAAUCAUGUCGGAAAGGUGCCAAAAGCAUAUAGAAGCAAAAAAAAAAAAGGAAAAAUGAAAAGCUAUGAACCCACUUGGUUAUGUUCAUUUUCUAAACUUGUUCAAUAUGAAGUGGCAGACAGCAGAUUGUUUGCAAUCUAUCAGUCUGUUUUGGCAGAAAAAGAUUAAAUUUAGAUGUCAAUUAUCGCUUCUUUGAUUUCUUUCAAAGAAGAUGAGUUUGCAAGCUAACCAACAAUAACAAAAAUAGAUAAGCUCAUAUGCCGGUGCAUUCAAUAUCGCACAAAUUUAAAAGUCUAUGAAACAAAAAAAGAAAAAAAAGAAAAUAGCCAAAAGAGGACUAAAAGUUUCAUACCCUUUGAAGCCUGUUUUCUAACUCUUGUUUCAUUUUCCUCCUCUCAAGUUCCCUUUUAUUGAAUAUAAAUUUGGCAAUGCAUCGAGCUUGAAUAACUCUGGCUUGAGCCCUUCUCUUCUCAGCUUCCAACAGUCCCAUUCGUUUCUUCUCAGCUGCAGCACGCUUUUGGAGGAUAGCUGAAUAAACACACUCCUUAUACUUGUUUUCUCGUACUAAUCUCUCGAUCAAGCAUCUAGCUGUUCUCUCCUUGAGUGCUGCGCGUCGCUGCAUAUAAGCAUUAAGAAGGCGCAAACGGUUUGCCUCAGCUUGUCGAGCUCGAGAUUCAACUCUUGCAUCCAACUCUUUCCGUUCCUCCUCAAAACGGGUCUUGACACCAAUUUUAGCAGCUACCCGAAGCUCAUCUAACCUGGCUAAUCGCUUUCGUUCCUUUGCCAAUAGGCUUAAUCUGUGGUUGAAUAGACAUACAAUGUCACAAGAAAUUAAUAAUUUCAUCAUCAUUUUUCCCUUCUAAUGUACCAUAAUAAAGCAGAAAUCUUAGUUUCCAGGCGAAGAAAAGAGAAAAAUCAUCUUUACAGUGAGUUAGAACUUCAGAAGAAGGGUAACAUAUACAUCCCAGUAGAAGUACUUCGAGCCAAAGGCAUUAUCAGAAGUGAAAAAGAAAUAUGCCAAAACUCAGAUUACUGUCCAAUGUAGCAUAGGCUAAAGUACAAUCAAGUCCCACAACCCAAAUUAGUUGACUAAAUGUUGAUGUGUCGCUUAUGUGAAAAUUAUAUUGCAGUACUGUGAUAACACGACAAUAAUUAAAUAUGUCACAUUACGUCGUCAUCAGCGAUAUGUCAAUAUGUAAUCAACUAAAUUGGGUUGAGGGAUAAUAAUAGAAACUUCGAGUCAAAAAUUGCAACAACUUAAAGUUUAAGGACCAAAGUGCCACACGUCUCAUAGUUUUGAGGACCAAAAGUGUAAUUUAUCCGGGCUUAUAUGUUUUAUGGUUAACAACCUAUUCUGCUCAGCUGCAACAAGCUUUGCUUCGAGACGCUGACCAAGAUCUUCCUCUUGAGAUGUACAAGAAGAACUCCUUGGUUUAGUCCUUGCUUUGCAAGACAACAGCUCAUGGAAUCGCUGUCAAAACAUGCAAUGUCAGCAUGAUUUACAAUAUUCUAGCAACAUAAAAGGCUAAAUAAAUAAGUUAAGGAAGAGAGAUUAAAGCGUGGAAACUAGAACCGUAAUUAAUAAAACACUUAGCUUGCAGAAAUAUGUAAAGAAACAAAAAGAAACAAGGUUGUCUCGGUGUUUUCUUCCGAUGAUGGUUUCCUGCUUAUCCUACUUGGUUGGUUGUUUUAGUGCAGAUUUUGUUUCUGAGUUGAUGCAAUUUGCUUUGGCUUUUGUUUGUUAUCUACUACCGGUCUGGUGUUGUUAGGCAAUAUAUUGUGUUUGUGUGCUCAGUUGCUGUCCUGCGUAGAUGUUAUUGGUUUCUGAUGCAAAUUUCUUUUGGUCUUUCUUUUAAUAUAAUUUCUAUACUUAUGAUUGAUCACACCCUACUUGAUUUUGGUUUGAUGACAACUACAGUUGAAUUUCACACUCGGAUAAAAGAUGUGUAACUUGAUCCUAAUGCAUUACUCCAUAGAUUUAUUACAUAUAAAGGGAACUCCAUAAGCCUACACACCAAACCACAUACAACAUNUUUUUUUUUUUUUUUUUUGUAUAUAAGCAUUUUAGAUGUUGUAGAUCACACCCUACUUGAUUUUGGUUUGAUGACAACUACAGUUGAAUUUCACACUCGGAUAAAAGAUGUGUAACUUGAUCCUAAUGCAUUACUCCAUAGAUUUAUUACAUAUAAAGGGAACUCCAUAAGCCUACACACCAAACCACAUACAACAUUUCGAAACAAGCGCCUAAAUCUGUACAACUCAAAGCUCCAAAAAUUCAAAUUGAAGCCAAAUAACCUGAAGAACCAAAACAGAACCGGAUUCUGAGAACCAGAUAACCUCAAUUUAAAGUCUAAAACUAAACAUUUUGCAAAAUUGAGUAGAAAUUAGGGCUAAAUUGUACCUGUCUCCGAAGAUCUGCUUCCCUGAGCUUGGCCUCGAUCUCUCCGACGCUCGAAGCGGAGCCACUCCUCGCCUCGAGGAGCCUUCGCCGGAGCCGCCGCGGCACCUUCGCCGGCUUCGCCGCCGAUGACGACGACGACGGGGCCUCCGCCGGGAAAUCCAUUGCCACCGCCGCCGGGAAAUCCACGCCCCCGCCGGGAUCCAUCACGCUCGUCCACAACCACCCACGAUCGAAACGAGAGCGAGGAGAUUAGGGUUAUGGUUAGGGUUCGAUCGAAAUCAAAUGUGUAGGAGAAUUCGAUCGAUCGAUCGAUCAAUCGAGAGAGAGAGAGAGAGAGAGAGGGCUUUGGAGGGGAAAUGGGUGACAAAAGAGAAGGGUGUGAAAGGAGAGGAGGUUAAAAUGUAAGAAUAGUCCGUGCAUUUCAUGAUAUUGCAUCAGAGUCCCUGAACUUUUUUACUUUACCAAUUAUAGUUUCUAGAAGUUUCUCGGUUGCCAUAUUACACUACCAGUCCCUAAACUUGUAACUUCGUUCUUUAUGGAUCCACAAACGUUCAAAAAAUAUUUCACUUUGGUCCCUAUAUUCAUGGAAAAAUAUUGCACUAUUUUUAAAUAUGAUUCCCCUAUUUUUAAAAGCAUCAAGAUACCAAGGUGAAUCUAACUUGUAUUUUUAUAUUUCUCAUUAUUUUAAAAGCAUUUAUAAUUACUUGGAAAUUUGCAUUAAUAAUGCAUUAAUCUACGCAGAUCCGACUUAUGAAUCAUAAUUUAUGGACCAUAGUAUAAAAUUAUUUCAAAACAAUAAUUUAUCUUCUAAUAUAAUAAAUUUAUCUUAUGUACUUAGGGACUUUUAAUGGAGAAGUGAUAUUAACAAAUUUGGUUUCAAUAAAAACUUAUCAUAUUCAUUAAAUCGAUUCCAAGUAAAUAAUACUAAAAAAUAAUUAAUUUGUUCGUUCAUAUUGAGCACGGAAUUUACUGUAAAAUUUUAUUUAGAUCACUAAACUUUAAUUUAUUUCAAUUGAUAUUUACUUUCUAUUUUAAUUAAGCCAUUUAAAAAAAAUAUUUAUUUUUUCUAAACAUAUAACAAUAUAAUAAUUGAUUCAGUUGCCAAUAAGUUCCAUGGAAAUAGUUAUCAUCACUAUAUAUAACAGUAAAUAUAUAUUUUUUGUUUUCAUGGAUAAAUUUUUUUAAAAAAAAUAUAUUUUUGAACAAUUACGUGUGGAAUUAAUCAUCAAACAAGCUGUAGAACAAAAAUCCCCUGCAGCAUUAACCAAAGUACUUAAUUCACAAAUUUUUCAUAAUCUCCUGACUCUAUUGUCGGAUCGUUUGCGCUAACCAUUAAUCCCAAAAAACUCGCGCCGUUAAAAAUACGCAAUCAAUUUACUUAAAGCGUACAGAUAUAACGCCCACGGGUCUCAAUUGUGAUUCGGCCCAUCCGGCCUCACGUCAUUUCGAAUAUAACUCGGCCUACCCAGCCUCACACCAUUUUGAACGUGACUCGGUCCAACCUGAUCUCCCGCCAUAGAAUAGGAUGCUGGUCCAUUUAAGCCAACAUCUGCAAAUUAAGGUCCUGUUUGGAUGCAUAGCCGAAAAACUCUACUAGAUUUAUAUAUUGUGAUUUAGGCAUGGGUUAAUAAUAAAUAUAUUGCAAUUGUAAUGUUUAUAUAGAACUUCAUAUUUCGGCAGCUCUAUGUUUUAGGUUAUUUGGAUACACACUGUUUGAGGAAGGUGAGUGGAUUUUGUUUUAACUCUAUUUUUUAGCCCUUAGAUUAACUAGAUCGAUCUUUUGGAUAAUAUUGUAUCUGAGCCAAUUCUAAACUCAUUUUUUCUGUUAGAUUAUAAAUUCAGUCUCAUCUUUAAUAUUUUACCCGUUGAAUUUUCGCAGAAUAUAAUAAGUUAAAUUUCUAUUUUUUAUCUUGCCUAUCAAUUUUAGGUGCUUUCUGUGAGUGGACCUUGUCGAUUAGAUUGAAACAUAUACAGUUCCUCGCAAAUAUAGUAAAUUACAAAUAUAUUCUUGUAAAGUUCAACUUUUAUAAGUUAUUUCUGCAAAAGUUUCUAAUAUUUUCAGAUAUGUUCCUACAGUUAGAAUUUGUUGGAAAAGUUUAGUUAACCAUAUGUUAAAUGCUUUACCCUAAUUAAUUUUUGAUAUUUUUACUCCUUUUAUAUUAUACUGUUAUAAUUUUUAGAGGGACAUAUCUGUGAUAGUAAAACUGAAAAUAUAAACAGUUUUCUAAUAAUUCUCUAACGGUAAUAAACCAGAGGGACAUAUCUGAAAAUAUUAGCACUUUUGCAAAAAUAACUUAUAAAAGUUGAAGUUUGUAGUAGUAUAUUUAUAAUUUACUAUAUUUACGGGGAUCUGCAUUGUACGCAAUAGGUCAUUAAAAAAAGAAAAAAAUAAUGUAAAAAGGAAAAAUUGUAAUAACUCCCAAUUGAUUCAACGCAAAGUGGACGACCCACGGAAGCCCAAAUUUGUCAAAGUCUACGUCCUCAAUCCACUUUGAAAAUACAAGAAAUUCUAGAAGGAUUAGGUUGGUCUAGUACGUACUUAGGUAACUUUCUAUUAUGGACAUAAAUAUGAGAUAUCACAAAAGAAAAAAUGAGCUACUUGUUUAAGUAUUUAAUCUCAGGACGCGACCGAAUAGUCUAGUUGAUAGGUAUUCUAAUAUCAAAGCGUAAGUUUUUAAUUCAAAUUUUGUCUGUAGCAGCAGGGACGAACCCAUAUGUAGACCCAAAGGGGCCAUGGCCCCACUCUUUUCAAUAUUUAGUUAUAGUCCUUUGAUAGUUUAUAAAUUUUUUAGUUAAUUUUUAAAAUAUAUGGGCCUAUCUUAUAAAAAAAUUUUAGUGCUAGUAUAAAACUCUCUUUUCUUAUAUAUUUUAUAGGUAAAAAUAUACUAAAAAUCUCAUAAUUAUAGUGCAUUUUGAAAUAAGUCCUUUCAACUUUAAAUAUUUUAUUUAUAUAUUCUUAACUUUUUAAUUAUUUUUUUAUGAGCUAAUUUAUUUAACUAAAUAAACUAGUAUGCUAAAUUUAAUAGCUCUGUUAGAUAUUAGUCACCGGUUGUUAUUAUUAUUAAUAAAAAUUUAAAAAUUAAAUUCUAACUAAAUUAUUAUUAGAUUUAGUACAAUUCUUAAGUUAUUUCAAUGGAAUAAUGCAAAUAAAAUAAUUAGAAGUUAAGCGAGUGUAAAUUAAAAAAAUAAAUUUAAUAUUUUUUAACAUUAAUUAUCUAAUCAGUAAAUUUUUUUAUUAAAAGUUUAAGUAAUUAAAAUUUUAUUUAUAUGCUAAAAUUUUUAUUUGUAUAUAUUUUGGCCCCCUCAUGAUUGAAUUCUAGCUUCGUCCCUGUGUAGCAGAAAUUAUGUGUGUGGGUACACGCGCGUAUUUUUAAGCUUUUUUUUUUUGUUGCAAUAUGUUAUUGAUUUGACAUAUAUGUCAUUUUUACGAUAGUAAAACUUAAUAUUAUAUAUAUAAGAAGUUAAAUUUACUUCAAGGGGAAUAGGAAACCUAAGUUUAUAAUAUUUUGGGUGCAAACAACAUAAUUUAGUGGCAAUAAAGCAUGUAUAUAUAUAUAUAUAUAUAGAGUAGGGCUACUAUAUACUCUUAUGAGUAGUGGACCCUUACUACUCAUAAGUUGUUUUCGAUGAUGGAGCUUCCGAAUCGACGAUCCACUCCGUUAAAUAUGAUCUAGAGCAUUUAAAACUUCUAGAAAUUAAAUUUCAUAAUUUUUCGACAUCAUUUACCUUAUGAUCAAAAGCUCACAAAAUUGACAAUUUUUAACGGCCGGUAUGGGAUACUUGCUAGUUUAACGGUGGAAAAGAAUCGGAAUAGGUUGAAUUUUUGAUAGAAAAUUCUAUACACUACCUAGAUAAAGAUCAAUAACUCCGAUCUUAAAUUGAGGGAUCCGAUCAUNACUCAUGGAUCUUUUAUUUAAAAUAAUAAAAAGCUAUAGUAAACGGAUCACUAGCUUACCCGAGUUUUAGUUGUUUAAAGUUACCGGCAUCACUCGGCAAACGUUCAAAUUGCCACAUCUUUAUAGGUUUAGUGCACUUUAAAACUAUCUUUUAAGAAACAUGAUAUAUUUUGGUCUAGUUAUAGAAACUAAAUUUUAAAAUUACAGUAUAAUAAUGUAAAACAUUCUAAAAAUAAAAGUCGGCAACUAAAACUCGGGCAAGCAAGUGAUCCGUUUACUAUAGCAUUUUAGUAUUUUAAAUAAAAGAUCCAUGAAGUUUAUAAGAUCUAGUUCAAAUUGCCUCAGCUAGCAGCUAAGCUUUCAGCGUUGUAGCUUUUGCUCGACCUUCGUGCCUUCCGAGGCACGAAGACUAUCGUAUCAUCGGAGCGAGAUAUAUAUAUAUAUAUAUACUCAUCCCGAUGAUAUGAGAAUACUCAUCACCUGGGAAUGAUGAGUAUUCAACAAAAGCUACUAUCUCGAAGGCUUAGCUGCUAGGUGAGGCAAUUUAUACUAGAUCUCAUAAACUUUGAAGAUCUUUUAUUUAAAGCAUUAAAAAGCUUUAGUAUUAUUUCAGGUAGUUCGCCCGUAUUUUACUUGCCAGUUUUAGCUUGCUGCAGGAUUUUUACCUACUAGCCUAGGGAGUUAAAUUCUAGCCUCAAUAACUAGAAAUAGAUCCAUCACAUAUCUUAAAAGAUAGUUUUUAAGUUGGAUAAGGCUAAGAAAAGGUGGCAAUUUGAUCGUUCAUAGGGUAUGGCCGGCAAUUUUUAACAGUUAAAACACUCGAAAACUAGUAUUCCAUUUACUACAGCUUUUUAAUACUUUAAAUUAAAGAUCUUCAAAAUUUACGAGAUCUAGUAUAAAUUGCCUCACCUAGCAGCUAAGCCUUCGAGGUAGUAGCUUUUGUUGAAUACUCAUCAUUCCCAGGUGAUGAGUAUUCUCAUAUCAUCGGGAUGAGAGAGAGAGAGAGAGAUAUAUAUAUAUAUAUAUAUAUAUCCAAAUACUCUAGAUCAAGUUUAACGGAGCCGAUCGACGAUUCGAAAGUCGCAACAUCGAAAACGAGCUGGAAGCACGGAAGGCUCCGUGCUUCUGAUAGCAUAGUAGCCUCACUCUAUAUAUAUAUAUAUAUAUAUAUAUAUAUACAAGACCUUAACCAAGCUGGUCAUUUACCGUUCAUCACACGAGGAUAUUGCAUUUUUUUUAAUCUUUAUUAAAGAAAAUUAUUAACAAGAAAAAAUAGUCUAGACUCGGUUCAAAUUACAGUAAAUAAUUAAUAGGAAAAACUUCAAAAGCCCUACUUGUGAUUUCGCACUUUUUCAUUUUAGUACCCUGUGGUUUAAAGUGUACCCAAUUAGUACCUUGUGGUCUCGCACUUUCUCACUUUAGUAUCCUGUGGUUUAAAAUGUAUCAAGUUAGUAGUCUGUGGUUUUAUUUUUGUAUCAAAUUAGUACUCUAUAGUUUUAUUUUUGUAUCAAGUUAGUACCAGGUGAUUUUAUUUUUCUCUUAAUAAAAUAUUAAACUACAGGGUACUAAAAUGAGAAAGUAUGAAACCACAAGGUACUAACUUGAUACACUUUAAAUCACAGAGUACUAAAGUAAGAAAGAGUGAAACCACAAGGGGGUAUUUGAAGUUUUCUCUAAUUAAUAUCAGUUUUGCAUAUCAUAAUAAAUAGAUCAUAUGAUAUAUUUUUCAUGAUCUAAACAGAAAAUGAAGAAAUAGCUCUCAAUAAAUAUACUCUCAUCCAACUCUAUUGUGUCUCCUAGCGUUAGAUGAGUCUCAGGAUCUAACAUAUUGGAAAAAAUUAAAAAGAGUUUUUGAACAAGGUAAUAAUUAAUUAAUUAAUCAACGAGGAAAAAAAAAAGAUAAACUUUAAAUAUCACCCAUGUGGUUUCGUACUUUCUCACUUUAAUACUCUGUGGUUUAAAGUGUAUCAAUUUAGUACCUUACGGUUUCAUUUUUUUCUUUUCGUCAGCUCCUCCGUUAACAUUUCGUUAAAUUAUAUACAAAAAAUUUCAGACACCUUACCUAGAUUUAUCGAAUAUUCACUUUAGUACUUUCUAGUUUUAACUUUGUAACUGAUUUAACAAAAAAAAAUUAGUAGAGGGGAUAAUAAAAAAGAAAAAAAAAACUACAGAGUACUAAAUUGAUAUACUUUAAANUCACUUUAGUACUUUUUAGUUUUAACAUUGUAACUGAUUUGACAAAAAAAAAAAUAGUGGAGGGGAUAAUAAAAAAGAAAAAAAAACUACAGAGUAUAUUGAUAUACUUUAAACUACGGAAUAUUAAAAUAAAAAUAUAUAAAACUAUAGGGGUGAUAUUCGAAGUUUUUCUAAAAAAAAAAACAAAAAACAAGUCCACAAGUCCAAGGAAUCAAAAGAAUAAAUUGAAGAGAAGCUUCAAUUUUCCAGUAUUGCACUAUUUGCUUUUUGACUUGUGAUGUGUAAUUUCCACUAGGGGUGUAAACGAGCCAAACACGAGCGAGCUGGGUCGGCUCGUGUUCGGCUCGUUUAAUUCAGCGGCUCGUUUAAUAAACGAUCCGAACACGAGCUGGCUCGUUAAAGCUUUGAGCUAAAAAAUUCGGCGCGAUGCGGAAAGUAGUUAUUUAUUAUAACUAUUAAUAUAUUUUUUUUAUUAUAUAUUAAUAUUUUUAAAUAUUAUUUAUCGCAGACCUUUCGCGGGAUGCGGAGAGCAGUUCGAACAUGUAAGCGUUCUCGAUUAAUAAGUGCGAUGUGGCGAAAAGAUAAUAUAAUAGUAAAUUAUUAUAACUAUUAAUAUCACUUUAAAUUAAAAUUUUAAUUUUGAAUGCAAAUCCAAAUAUCAAAAUCAAAAUAAAAAAAUUAAAGUUCGAAAUCAAAAUCUACAAAAUUUAAGUUAGUAAUCAAAAUUUAAAAAAUUGAAGUUUGAAAUCAAAAUUUAGAUUCAAUUUAAAAUUCAAUUUAAAAUUUGAAUUCAACUUAUAAUUCAAAAUUCUAAUUACUAAUUAGUUCAAAAUUUUAAUUUUAAGAUUAAUUCUGGAUUUAAAUUUAAAAUUUUGAAUUUUUAUAUUUGGGGACUAAAGUGAAAAAUUUGCAAAUUUUGUAAAUUUUAGAGACCAAAAUUGAUAUGCAAAAGAAAACUAAAGUACUAUUUUUGGUCCCUAAAGUCUCUAAAAAUAAAAAAUUAAUUGAAAUAAAAGCACUAUUUUUAUUAGUUCCCAAAAUAAAUUAUUAUAUACUCAAUAGCACCAAGCUAUUGGUGCUAUUAGUUUUUUAGUUAUUGGAUUGAAAAAUGUGCGGUUAGAAUGAUGUGGGUCCUCUAGGAUUGAGUGAGUGGUUGGUUGAAUAGUAUAAUCUAACGGAUAAAAAAAAUCAAAGAAUUAAAUUUAACGGUGGAAAACUCGAUAGCAUCAAACCCUUGUUGCUAUCGAUAGUAUCCCAGCCAGACUCUCAGCCAGCGGUCCAGGAUGUUAAGCCCACCUCGUGGACCGCGUGCAAGAUGGGCAUGUGUGAACCCCGCCAUUUUUCGGGUGGGCCCCACUUAUCCCGUGGGAUGCGGAGAGCUCUCUUUGGUUCCCAAUUCAUAAAAGAGUAUAAAUAAGGCUUUGAGAGAGAGUGGUGCAUGCACUUCUGAUAUAUGUAUAGAAAGAGUUACUUCUUUUACUACAAUUCAGUGAUGAAGAGAGGCACUUUAAAAGCCGUGCUGGUGGCAGCAGCAGUGGUGGUGGUGGUGGCAGCAGUGCAGGCCUCGGCGGGGCUGAGCCCGGAGGCCUGCAAGGCGGAACGCACGGCCGGCAUCAACGCCUGCAAGCCGGUGAUGUACGGCCAGCCGCCGAGCCUGCAGUGCUGCCAGUGCCUGCGGGGGGCGCACGAGGAGUGCGUCUGCCCGCUGAUCACGCCGAAGCUGGCCGCCCUCAUCGAUGUCGGCCGGGCCGUCAGGAUCGUCGAGAGCUGCGGCCGGCAGGUGCCCCGCAACUACAAGUGUGGCAGUAAGUCGAAUUCCCUUACUCUCGCCAUAAUAAAAAAAUAAAAAAUAAAAAAAAAACUACCUGCGCUCUUAUAUAUAGAUGUACAUCUUACAUUUCAUUCAUCUUAAAAUUUAUUAAGAAAAAAUUAGAUACCUUUUGUGUGGUUUAAUAUGUUUCCACUUUAGUAUCAUAUCGUUUUAACUGCAUCAUUUAAGUAUCCCGUGGUUUUUAUUUUUGUUUUGUGUUAUAUCCUUCGGUACCUUCUCCAUUAAAACUGUCGCGUACGCGUGAAUCGUCGCUUUUUUCCCUUGUUGGAGACUCGCCUACAACAAUUUCAGGAUUAAGCUCUAAGGUUGUGUUUGGCUCGGGAAUAAAUAAGAACUGUUUAUUUUAGAGAUAGAUACAAGUUCAGGUAUAAACAGAAACUAGACUAAUUUUGCGUUUGAAUGAAAAUUAGGUUAUUCCUAGAAAUAAGGUAAAUAAUAUUUAGAUGGUUAUAUUAGAACAAAGAGAAUAAGAGUUAUAAUUUUAAAUUAAAAUUAUUUUAUUUAAUUAAUUAACAUCAAAUAUUACUUAAAAAUAAUUUAAUAAAUUAAUAAAUUUAUUAGCUGUGAAUAUUNUUAGCUGGAUAACUAGUAAAAAAAAUUAAUUAGAUUAAUAAAAAUAUUAAUGGUUGAUCAAUAUAAAUAUUACAUUAAAUUAUUAAUAAUUAAUUAUAAAUAAUAAAUAAAUUAAUUAUUUUAUUAUUUAAACAAUAAAUAAUAAUUUAAAUAUAUUAAUUAUAUUAAUUAAUAAUUUAAUAUCAUAAUUAAAAUUAAAUCUAGACUUUAAUUAACCUUAUUUCCAUCAAGAAACAAGUUUAUUUCAGAAAAAAGGGGGGACAAUAGUUUUAGUCUUAUAGCAGUUUAUUUCAGAAAUUCAAAAAAUACUGUUCUCGAAUACCAAACAUAGCGUUUGGGAACAAAGGGGGGACGAGGGCUUAUUCUCCCCUGAACCAAACACUGCCUAAGGAGUUUCAAGUCUUUUCUAAGAGGUUUUAUACAUUUUUUUAUUGAUUUUUUAAGAACAUCUCCAAAGUAUAUGUACGGUAUUUAAUAGGUUUAACUGUAAAAGAAAACUAAAAUAAAAAUCAUAGAGUAAUAAAGUAAUAAAAGAAUAGGACUAGGAUACGAAGUUUUUUGGUCAAAUUACGAAAACCUCCCUGUCAAAAUCCGCUUUUUCACUUUCCCCUCCUGUUAUUUAAAAACCUACACUUUGCCUCCUUAUAAAAUAAAAAAUAUUUACAAGGGGUACAGUGUGACAAAAUGACCAUUUUGCCCUUCGCCAUUUUCGUCUUCUUUCUCAUCCUCCUCAUCCGCGACGGAGGAGGCCGACCUCGGGCGGGACGCAGGCGGCAAGGCCGUCGUCGAGGAGGACGAUCUCAUUGAGGGUGUCGGCCAUGCGGCCGAUGGAGGGCGAGAUGCAGCCGCCGAGUUUGUUGUGGGCGAGGACGACGAUGGAGGCCAGGGAGUCGCCGAGGUUGACGGGGAUGGGGCGGCGGCGGCGGAGGCGGUUGGAGUUGAGGAAGAUGGCGUCGAGGGGGCGGUCGAAGAGGAGGUUGAGCUCGUGGAGGAGGGCGAGGCCGGCGAGGGCGCCGUUCCGAAAGCCAUCGAAGCAACAGGGAAGAGGGGCGGAGGGGUAUUUUUGGCAUAAAAAAAAAUAUAUUAUAACGGAACCCUAACGGUAAGAGAUGAAGUGUACAUUUUUUAUUUUACAAGCGGACAAAGUGUAGGUUUUUAAAUGACAGAGGGGGGAAAGUGAAAAAGCAGGUUUUGACGGGUGGUUUUCUGUAAUUUAGCCAAGUUUUUUUCUAAAAAGAAAAAAUUGACGAGGCUAGUAAAAAAAUAAUGGCAUUGGAACGAUAGAAUUUAUAAUUUACGCUCUAUAAAUAGGUGUACAGUAGCAUUGCUUUUCGGCCAUUUUGUAAGGAAUAUCUUUUAGUUGAUCAUCUUAUUCAAGUAGUUAGUAUUGAUUUAUUAGAAAUGAUAUAAGUAGGGAUUUGUAGCUUUUAGUGACCUAUAGCUAUGUUAUGGACUAAUUCAUUUGGUGCAAUUUAUUUAUAUUGAUUCUUCACAAAUAGUUAAACUUUGAACAUGGAUAAAGAAAUUUUGGAAAUUAUGUAUUGAGAAAUUAGAGCUUGUUUGAUAAAUGAUCUUUGAUAGUGUUUCUUUGAAAAGUUAAAAGCACUUUUUCAUAAAGUUCCUUUAACAACUUGUAGCUUUACAUAGAAGAAGCUCAAAGUAUCUUUCUAAACCACAUCUUGAACUAGUUUUUCCAUUUGAGAAGCAAAAGACAACAACUUUUUUUAACUCAACAAGCAAAACACAGUUGUUGGAUUAAAAAGCGAAAACUUGUCUUUUUUAUUUACACCAAAUUAGGAUUUUUUUUUUCCUUUCAAUUAAAGAUGUUACAAAAGUCUAACCAAACAUGCACCAAAUUUUAAUUUUAUGCCAUUCAUUUGGCUAACAAUGACUAAAUCGAAUCUUUACAUUCAUACCGCAUCAGGAUUUUAUUUUUUGGAUCGAGAAGCUGUUACAAAAGCAAAACCAAACGGCUACAAAAUUUUAGUUGUGUGCUAAGUUUGUGUUGUUAAUUUGACAAGGUCCAUCCUUUUUGUGUGGCUAAGUUUUUUUCUCUUUUUUUUUUUGACAUCUUGUAGGUAUCACCACUCCCUGAAAUCUGGAGAGUAGAAGCAUGAGCAGAGACUAAGUAUGGACAAAGCAUGCAAGAAGAUCAUGAACUAGUAGAAUGAAUAAAUCUGCAUGGAAAAUACUGGUGUAAUUUGCCUAUUUAUUAGUAUUUGAGAGAGCAUAUGAUUAAUGGAUUGAACUAAGAUUGUAUUGUCUGAAGGCCAUAAUACAGAUAAAACUGCCUGAAAAUACCGCGAUUUGCAAUUCGACCCCCUUGCGACAUUCAAAACCUACCGAUAAACUCUUAGAUGUCUAAAAUGAUCACAAAAGAUCUAAUACACUCUUGAUCUAAGUAAUUUAACUAAUCAAAAUGCAGCAUGUGGUCAUUGAAGAGUGAAAUUGUAACAUAAUUACACGAAAAAUAAUCUUCCUAUCAUUCAAAGAGUUGUUAUCGGUGUAGCAGAUAUAUUAAACCUAGUCAAAUCUAGCAUGCGAGUUUAUAACCGUAGGAAAAUAACACAAAAAUGUACUAGUAAGAUCACAAAAGAAGUACAUCAUUCUUUCUUUAAUUUUCAUGUUCGGCGAUACAGAAAAUUUACAAAAACUAGAACAGCUUUUAGUAAUCUUUUGGCAUACAAAAGCGCUUUGCUUCAAGAAGCACCAGAGGUGACCGAAAAAAGCACUUUAAGAAACAACCAUAAAGAAAGAAAAGAACCAUCAGCCUGGUUCACUAGCAAUUGCUUGAUUACCAGUACAUAGAUUGAAGGAUGUAGAAGCAUCCACAACAUCCUUUUGAUGCUCUACAUAAUUCAUGCCCCGGAUAGAUCCAGAUGCCGAAAAGUAGUUAAAAGAAAAUGAAAAUGGAAGAAAAAAGUACAAGAGAAAGUGAGCCAGUGGGAACAAAUUAAAAAUCAAACUCGUGAUAACACACAGAUGCGAUGAACGCACGCAUCCGAACUACAAGAAAGCCCUAAACACCUCCGACUGGUCGAGCAUCAACGAAUGGACGCACACGAGAUGAAGAUGACCGCCAGGUGCACAUACGCGAAAGAAAACAAAAGAUAGGCUUUUCCGUGGGGGAAAAAGUUAUUAUUAAGCCAUCCUCGUUAGUUAUUCGUCUUGGAUUGUGAUUCCAAGAUAUCCAGCUCACUUCUCGCAGCAAAUAUCUGCAGAAUAAGGAAGUACUUCCAGAGGGAGUGCUUAUGAUACGUGGGACCCACAAAACUUCAAAUGCGGAGAGGGUCGGAGACUGGGUCACGCCCAGUAUUCGGAUCUUGGUGUUUCAAAGAGAGAUUCGCAAACUGUGCGUCUAGGUCUCUACUGCUACUUCGGUUAUGAGUCGGGGCAGGUUGGGCCUGUAAAUGCUGCUGCUGCUGCUGAUAUAGUGACCGAAGACGAGCUAUUUCUCGUUCAAACAUCUCGUGCUGGACUGUACAUAUCAACACCCAAACAAGAAAAACAAGAGUAUGAGAUUCCAAGAAUUUGUCUUACGCAAUGGAUUGUCUUUGUAUUCUAAUUAACAUUUAUGAUAUAGUGACCGAAGACGAGCUAUUUCUCGUUCAAACAUCUCAUGCUGGACUGUACAUAUCAACACCCAAACAAGAAAAACAAGAGUAUGAGAUUCCAAGAAUUUGUCUUACGCAAUGGAUUGUCUUUGUAUUCUAAUUAACAUUUAAUUCUAUUGUCCUAUUCUGAGUAAGGGAUAUACUUUGGAAGUUUUAGAGCUCAUGUAGCUUUAAAGUUACGCAGCAUAGAGUAUUGAAAGGGAUUCCGGGUGAUCAGAGUUUCUUUCACAGGGAAAACAGAUGAGGAGAAAAAUAACAUAAAGUAAGCGAAUAAGUAAACAUUUAAUUGUGCACAGAGGAGAAGAAUUUGCACUCGCUACUAGAUGAUUAAGAGUUCGAAGGAGGUGAUUUAAAUAUUAUUUCAUCAAAAAAUGCGUUAAGCAGAUUACUGCAAAUGCAUGUAGCUUUGCAACUAUUUUGUUCUAGCAUGAAAUGAAGAGCACUACAAAAAAAGUAAAAGCUGACAAGGGUCAUUCGUUUAUAAAGUACAUAUGCUUUUCACUUCCAUCCAAAGCAGAUAUGUCUUAGGGGCCGAGUAGGUGGUACAAACGGGUACUACUGGAGAAAUUUCUUAUCAAGAGGUAUUGGGUGUGGUGAUCACAUACAACAUCCUUUUGUUGCAUGUAGUUGCAUCUGAAGAAAAGAACUGUUGCCCUAAAUAAAUUAGAAAUCAUUUGUCUUCAAGAUAUUCCUCAAAGUGUGGUUGGGACAAAAAUUAUUGGCUGGACCUGGACCAGGGACCAAAAAUUAUUGGCUGGACCUGGACCAGGGACCGCAACCCCCUAAAAGCUGCCACAUACCCCUGAUUUAAGGGUUUUUAGGCUUAUCGAAACCUGUUGCACCCGACCAAACAGCUUUCUCAAAAAGUGCCUGCCCACCAAACAGCUUGGCCAUUCGGGGUAUAUGUAGCUGCGAAGUUUUGUGGUCCAUGCAUGGCAUGAUGGUCCAUAUCCAGACUAUAUUUCUAUGGUUAGAAGUGACAGAUAAUGGGCGCUAAUAAGUGGUAGCACUAAUGAAAGAUUCCAGCUUAACUGGCAAGACGUAUUUCUCCUGAUCAAUCAUCGUCGGACCUAAUCAAUUAAUACACAUGCAGGAAUAAAGCACCAAAGCGCCAAUGUUAUUAUAAACAUCUUACUUAAGAGGUACUUGCUAUCGAGCUGCUACUAGUAGCUACUUUAAGUUACCAAUUAAUAUAACAUACCUAUUUUGUGUUAAACAAACCAGUCAAAAAUCUAGUAGUGCUUCGUAGAAUAGCUCUGCUUAAACAACACCUCUACAUAAGCUUCAGCUGUGCAGAACAGACCCAUUUCAUAAGUUACUUGUUUUGUAGGCAUACUUACAGCGUUUAAUAAGCUGUUCUUGAGCCAGACUUUCGAGGCGUUGCUUCAAAGCCUUGUUCUCCAAGUCCAGUAUGAGAUUCUGCUGGCUGAGAAAUUCGAUUUCAGCUGAAACUUCUAACCCUUCGGCCUGCGGAGUAAAACAGACCAAAUGAGCCAACGUUUUUAGAACCAAAACUCUUCUACAGCAUCCGCCUUCCAUGAAAUGAGAUUAACAAAACCACUUGAAGCUCAAUUAUCUGUCGCUAAGUUACCUGCAAUGCUUGAACAUUUCUCUCAAGCUCGGCAAUGUAUUGGAGCUUCCUAACUCGUGAGCGUUGCGCGAAUUGCCUGUCGUGUACGAGAGAUAUACACAUCAGCAACAGAAGGUUCUCAUGACAGAGAAGACAAAUUUUAAUGAUCUUUGCUAUUUGUUUCUUGCCAAUAUAACAAGUAAUGUGUAAAAUAACGUUAGAUUUGACCCUGAUUUUGCAUGAAGCAAAUAGUCUUAAACUAUCUUGCAGAAUACGCAACAAGAAAUAUAUGGUACUCUAUCCGUUCAUAAACGAACUUUGGAACAUCAUUGCUCAUUAGAAUACUUAGCAGAAAUGUGGUUUCUAUAAAAUUCAGAUGCCAUUAAUGAAAGAUAGUAAGUAUAGAUCCAUUAUACUCAUACUAGCGACGCAUUAGAAACAUCAAAGUGGAAUAUGAAUGUAAAUAGCAGGAAUCUCACUGUUUAGCCCGCUUUGGAUCCACCUCGGACUGCAAAUGCUUUGCAUGGGAGACUUCCUUUCUUUCAUUGGAAACCUUCGAAUCCUGCGCCGAUUCUUCGUGGACAUUCUUCUCACUGGCAUUAUUCGAAGGCGCCACAUCAGCAUUCCUCGAAACACAUGAUGACCCAUGAUGCACGACCUUCUCCUUCAUCGCGGGGCCGCCACUUGGCCGAUAAUUUACCGAGCUUAUCUGAGGUUCCCACACUUUAUUCUGCGGGUAAUACUCCUGAGCCGACGCCGCCCACGGAGGCAGCGAGUGAGCCGCCCCCUCCAAGUACGCAAAAGAGUCGCUCGACGACCGACGAUGGGCUCCCUUCCGUACAGGGGUGUCUGGCUCGUUGAGAAGAUCGUCGAGCCACGAGGGUUGCUCUUCAAUAAGAAAGCUCUCUGACGAAGUACGCUGAUGGUGGUAUCGAUUGUUUCCCUCUCUCGGCUUAUGGGUAGGGUUUCCUUUCGAUCCGAUGGAACCGUAAUCGCCGUACGACGGGGAUACGAUUGGAAAAGGGCUUUUUGGAGGAAGGAACGAUUGUUUUGCGGCAGAUGAUGAGCUUCUUACGUUAGCCACGCCUUUUGUGCUUGCCAUGGUUUUGUGUUUCAAAUCCAAAACUGUUGAAGUAGAUUACAAUGAUAGUAAGCUGAGGAACAACAAAAUACUAUAAGAAAUCAGAGGACAAGGGUUUCAAUUGGGAUUGAAUCCUCAGUCAUCUACAAGAAUCAAAUCGAUCAAAUGCAUGGCAAAUUCAUUUUCAGAUCCUAUCAACAAGCAAAUGUAGAUGGACAAAGCAUAAAUAUUGCGAUUAAAAACCCUAACAAAUAGUUUUAUAACGCAAAAGUCGAUAGAUUCCGCAUAGAAACAAGGGGAAGGAAGAAAAAAAAAAAAAAAAAGCCAUCGAAUUGAGUAAAACUGCUGCAAAGUAGGAGAAACCGCACAAACGCAACACCAAUUAAGCAUUUUUUAAGAUAAUUAAACCGAAUUAAGGAGAUUGUCUUUGAGAUCCAAAGAAGAAACCAUGCGACACCAAUCGAAUCACACGGGGACGAAAUCGACGCACCAAACGAUCGGCUCGAUCCUCCGUUUCCCUCCGAGCCGAUGCCCCCGAGAUCAAACCCUAAAAGCGGCGACUUUUAGGGUUCGAGAGAGAGGAGGAGGAGGAGGAGGAGGACGAGGAGGAGGAGGGGAGAUAGAAGGGAGAUUAGAGAGAGAGAGGGGAAAGAGGAAGGGGGAAAUGGAGGUGGUGGUGGUGGUAGUGGUGAUGGUGGUGGGGAAAAAAAGGAGAGUUUUUUUUAUCGCGAAAUAAUGUGUAAAAAAAAAAAAAAAAAUUAUCGAGAUUUUUCUAUUUUCGAAAUUAGAAAAUGGGGGUCGUAUUUUCAAAUAAACCCCUACAAUAAUACCAAAUUGUAACAUAGCCCUUCGUUAUAAUUUUUACAAUCCCAUUCCUCGCAGACGAAAUCUCAACCGUCUGAUUAGACGAUCUGACGGUUGAACAGAGAUCAGAGGACUUAGAGCAAGGAUGAAUUGUUCCGUGCACCUGGUGUAUCCGUACAUAUUGCACCGUAUUUAAUAUCGGAUUAUCAGUGCCUUAAUUCAAGGAUUAAAUAUUUUAAAUAAUUGUUGUGAAGUAAAUUCUAAUUAUGAGGGCUCUACAUGAAAUAUUUGGAAAAGGAGCAUGGUGCACCGGGUUCAUGGGAAUUGAGCGAACUACAAGAGGAAAAAUUCCGACCGCGACUUUUUCAUUAUCAAAAAAAAGAAAAGAAAAUGUUAACGGGGAGAGCACAAUUAUCACAUCAUUAUUGCAAAUAACCCCUAUACGAAUUUUAAAAUGCAAAAAACCCCCAUUACUAUAAUUUUCAAUCUAAUGAAAAUGCUACUUAUUAGCUAAUAACUUUUUGUUUAUUUAUCCACAUGAAUUUCACAAUGAUUAUUUGAAUCAUAUGAAUAGUAUAGUUAUAAAUAUAGUAAAAUUUAUAAUUUUACCUCUAAUAUCGACUUUUCAAAGACGAAGUCCUCGCUGUCCGAUUAACCGAUCCAACGGUCGGAUAAGAUCAUAGCCCUAAUUUUAAUAUGUAUAUAUAUUUUUAUGCAGGGGAUAUUUAUGCUCUCAACAAUUAAUGUAUUGGUAUUUAGAUGCUUUAUAUAUAUAUAUAUAUAGUACAAAUGUAGGAUGGUGGUAGUGGUGCCAACAAUGAAACAGCUAAGUAGUGGGUUCAAUACAGCUGCUACCACUCCUCUAUUUGGGUGGUGUUGGGUUGUUAAUUUAAACUAACUCUUCUCUCUCUCUCUCUCUCUCUCUCUCUAUAUAGAGUAGGGUUACUGUACUCUCAUGAGUACGACCGUCUUCGUACUCAUAAGUCAUUUUCGAUGAUAGAGUUUCUGAAUCGACGAUCUAUUUCAUUAAAUAUGAUUUAGAGUAUUUGAAAUUUCUAAAAAAUAAAUUUCGUAAUUUUUCGAAAUUAUAAUAAAGUCCAUCAAGCGGGUAUAAAAUAAACGGUCAAAAUCGAAACGACAUUCUAAAAAAGAAUGAUCGGAUCCUUCAAUUUAAGACCGGAGUUAUUGAUCUUUAUCUAGACAGUGAAUAGAAUUUUCUAUCAAAAAAUCAACCGAUUCUGAUUCUUUUACACCGUUAAACUAGCAAGUAUUUUAUACCGGCCGUUAAAGAUGAUCAAUUUUGAGAUUUUUCGAUCGUAAAGUAAAUGAUGUCAAAUAAUUAUAAAUUUUAAUUUUUAAAAAUUUUAAAUAUUCUAAAUAACGUUUAACGAUAUGAAUCGUCCAUUCGGAAGCUCUAUCAUAGAAAACGAUUUAUGAGUACGAAAAUGAUUAUAUUCGUAAGAAUAUGGUAGCCAGACACUCUCUCUCUCUCUAUAUAUAUAUAUAUAUGUGGUCAUUAUCAAUUUGUUUACUCAUACUUAUUAGGGUUUUUGAUGAUGAUAGGGUGAUUGAUAUAAUAUAUAAAUAUCUAAUGAUUAGUCUAUAUGGUUAGUAGUUGUCUUAAACUACAUAUUACUUUUCUUCCACUAAUAUCAAUGUGUUUAUGAGUGUGCAUUGUACGCCACGUAUUUAGAAUUAUUUUGAUUUUAGAGGAUAGAGACUAACGAUUUAUAACAUGACAGAUUUCAUAAUAAGGUACGAAAUUAUUAGGGUGACAGAUUUCAUAAUACGAUACGAAGUUAUUAGGGAUGCAAACGGGACGGCUCUGGAGGAGGAAUAUCCAUCCCGCCCCUCUCUCCGAAUCCGUGACGGAUCAAAAAGAAUUAUCCCAUGUCCUGUUUCAUAAUUAACCCACCUCCGCCGUGCCAAAUUAUAAUAUUAUUAAUAUAUUAUAAAUAUAUAUCAAUAAUUUGUUUACUAAUAAUGAAUAAUAAUAUCAAGUUAUAUAUAAUUAACAAUAUUAAUUAUGAAACUCAAAUAUAUCAAUCAUAAUUUACAAUCAAAGUCAAAAGUUUCAAAUGAGAACACUAACUUACUUAUAGUUAGAUUUUUUAGUAAAUAUAUUUUUUAAGAGUAUUUUUAAAAAAUAUAAACAGUUCUCGAGGCGGAUCACGAUGGUUCAAAUUCGGAACGGAUUUAGAUUGGGUCAAGAUUUUUUUCUGUUUCGUGUUCCGAGUCUGCCUCGGAUCAUAAAAGUCACCCGUUUUCUACCCCCGAAUUUGUUUUUUUCUUUUUGUUUAUUGCCUCAUAAAGGGCGAAUUAGGGCAUGAGCUCAACCAAUCCGGAUCUAUUUGCAUUCCUAGAAGUUACUGCAGUACUUAAGAUCGUAAUUUUGUAGCAUAGAUAUUUCAAUAAUUUUAGUGUAAUUAGCAAAAUAACCAUAGUGGCAAGUAUAUUAUUAUUAUUGAUAUUAUUAGUAUUAGUAUUAGUAUUAGUAUAAUUAAACUAUGAUAAAUGAGCAAUAAUCUCACGAUAUAAUAGCACAUAAAAUGUAAUCUCAUAUCAUAUCGUUUCCGAUUCCGGGAUGAUAAUAAUUGUUAUUGUAAAUAUUUUUUUGGGAAAACUUAAAAAAACGCUCCUGUAGUUUCGUAGUUUCUCACUUUGCCCCAUAUGAUUUACAAUGUAUCAAUUUGUCCCCCUAUGGUUUCUCUUUUCUCCUUUUUCUUAUCAAUUUCAUUACUUUUUUCUUAAAUGAGUGAUAAAGUUAAAAUUAAAGGAUACUAAAGUGAAUAUUUGAUAAAUCUAGAUGGAUAUCUGAAGUUUUUUGUAUAUAAUUUAAUGAAAUGUUAACGAAAAAGCUAUCGAAAAGAUAAAAACGAAAUCACAGGGGGACAAUUUGAUACAUUUUAAAUCACAGGGGACAAAAUAAGAAACUACGAAAUCAGGGGAGAGGUUUUUUUUUUUUUUAAGUUUUUCCUAUUUGUUUUGACCAGUUAAAAACGAACUCUAUAAAAUAAAUAAACAAAUAAUAAAUAAAUAAAUAAAGGGCGCACGAUUCAAAUCGUGCCAAGUGGGCGCACGUGGAGCCACCUCCGAGUCGAUCGCAGCCGUUGGAUUCGUCAGAUCCCAUGUGCUGCUACACGUACACAGAGACCGUGGUCAAAUGGACGGUUGGAAUCAGUCCAACCAACGAGGAAUCCUUUUCGUGAGCCCGGUGUAUCCGGACAUCUCAUGCACCGCACUUAAUAUUUCAUGAGCAAUAUAUUAAAAUCAAAUCUGUCAAAUAGAUAUAAUUUUGAAUAUUUAUAGGAUGUUUAAAAAAAGAUUUCAAAUUUUGAUAAAAUUCAAUUAUAUAUAUAAAAUAUUGCUGCUGAAAUUAAUAGUUAUUAAUAUGUGGAUCUUUGGAGCAUCAUAUAUAAAUAAAUUUUUAAUUUUGAGUUUUUUUUUAGAAAAAACUUCAAAAACCUCCUCUGUGGAUUAACACUUUUUUAUUUUAGUAUCAUGUGGUUUAAAGUGUAUCAAGUUAGUACUCUGUAGUUUCUCACUUUAUCACUUUAGUACCCUGUGGUUUCGCACUUUAUCACUUUAGUACCCUAUGGUUUAAAAACCACAGGGUACUAACUUAAUACAAAAAUAAAAUCACAGUGUACUAACUUUGUACACUUUAAAACAUAGGGUACUAAAGUGAAAAAGUAAGAAACCAUAUAGUACUAACUUGAUACACUUUAAACCAUAGGGUACUAAAAUGAAAAAAUAUGAAACCAUAGAGGGGGUUUUUGAAGUUUUUCUUUUUUUAUUAUAAUUUUGAAAAGGCCAUGUAGGAUAUAAUAGAUUUCAACAUAUAAAAAAUUGGUUCACAACUUUAAACUUUUAAAUCAUCAACUCUAUUAAAUCUAAAAAAAAAUUAUCUAAAUAAUUUAUGUAAAUCAAGGUCAUUAUUUAAGAAAAGCUAUUUUCUAAUCUAUAUAUCAUGUCAUUUUCAAAAGAGUUUUUUUUUUUUUACACAACUCCCAUAUAAUCCUCUUUUUAGAGUUUCUUGAGGUGAGGGCGUCGUAAAUAACUUCAGAAAAAAGAUAAAAAAAUUAUUAUUAUAUUAUGAGAAAUAAGUUUUCUAAAACUUUUUAAGUUUUAAAAGUUUCAAUUGAACUUAUGCAACAGAUUUUAAUUUUUGGUAAACUAUACUCUUGCUCCUGAAAUUGUACAGUGCGAUAAUUUGGUUCUUAAAAUUUGAUUUAUUAUAAUUUUUAAUUUAAUUUUUUUUUUUGUUGCUGUUUCACUAUACAAUUUAGUUGAUUGAAUGAAAACAUGUAAUUGAUACGAGAGUGUUGUGAUCAAUAUUAUAGUAAUGACUAAAAUUUUAUAUCACUAUCAUAUUAACAACACAUCAUCAUUCAGUAUACUAAAUUUAAUUUAUAGAAUUUUAUUAUAAUAAUUUAGAAAGUUCAGAGUGUUAACUGUUGCAACAAAUAAUGGUUUGAGAACCAAAGGUGCAACCAAAUUUCUUAAAAGACCGGUUCAUGGUGGACCAUGUCCACGAAAGAGUUUUCUGUUUUAUCUGUGUGCACCAAUAUGAUCCAACGGCCCAGAAACACUGUAGUACACGUGUCUCCACUCGAUGCUAUGUCCGCAACGGUGGUCGUCGACGCCGUUGGAUUUGGGGGACACGGCGUUCCAAAACGCCGUUUUGAUCAUCAGGAAUGGACGGUUCUGGAGCCACGGUGCAUCGGCGACGGAUAAAAAUAUCGCAUGGACCGAGCGCGUAGCUUCAUCUGUGGACCGUAAGAGCCCUCCGCCGUCCAUCUUUGUCUCGUUGAAUCCCAACCGUCCGGUGCAUUUCGAAGUUCCAAUGUUUAAUGUUUUCCAUGGAGACCCCUUCAACUAUAGAGCAUUUUCAAGAAGUCCCUCGGUUUUAUCAAAUAAUCUAUAAUUCCGUUAAUUAUAAUAGUUUUAAUUAUUUAAAAAUCUAAAAAUAAUAAUAAAAGUUUAACUUAAUUAACCAAAAUAACCCAGCAAAAAAAAGAAGUUAACAAUUGUUAAUGGAAAAAAUUGAAGGGGCACGGUUACGAAGUUACUAAUACUUGAGGGGUCUCGAAGCAUUUUUGGCAUGUUUGGCGGUCCACGGUUGACGUGGUGAACCCAGUCUACAAGCUUAUCGUUACCAUUUCUUGAGAUACAGAAGCACCCAAUUUAAAGCGGGGGAUAUAUUUGUCUUUUACGCAUAACUCAUUUCUUAUCAAUUAAAACCUCUUUUAAACUCCACACUCUCUUCGUUCUCCCCCAUUUUAGAGCUCCGAUCUCAUUAGGGCUUCCAUUUCCUCCGGCGAAAACGACGAUUUCGAUCGAACUUGGCUCAUCUUAAGCGAUCUCUUCAUCUAAGGUUUCAGAUUCUCCGCAUUUUCUUUCUUUUUUUGUUAAUUUUGGUUCGGAUUCGAUGGAGUUUUUAGGUUAAGAAAGUGAUAUAGGGUAAGCUUGGUUUCUCGGAACUUUUUAUUAAUUUCUGUUAAUUUUGAUGCGGAUUUGAGUCAUUUGACGGGAGUUAAGGUCAUUUUAGGUUAAGAAAAUGAUCUAGGGUUAGCUGAAAUUCCUUCCAAUUUUGAUUCGGAUUUGAGUCGUUUGGUGGAAAUUUAGGUUAAGAAAACGAUCUAGAUUUUUCAGGGAUUCUUGGGGUUUCCUUAUAAUUUUUGCUUCGGAUUUGUGGGAUUUUAGGCGGAGUGAACGAUCUAGGGUUAGGGGAAGGUGGGGUUAGCGAUGAGUAGUCAAGAAGCGGCGGUGGCGGCUGCGACGCCUGGUUUGGUUGAUCCGAUGAGGCUGGCGGCAAGAUGGAGGUCGGCGGCUGAGUGGAGGAAGGUGGACGAGGAGCUCGACGGGGAGCCGGAGCCGUCGCACCUCAACACGAUAAACAGCUCUGGGCUGUUCCACAUUGUGUCGACCGACAAAUUGUCGGUGCAGUAUGUCGGGAUCCACAAGCACGGGCACGACGUCGGUACCGUGCAGGCCAACUGCCCUGCGCCGACCAAGCGGUUCGCCUACUACUUCGAGAUGACUGUCAAGGAUGCUGGGGUCAAGGGCCAGGUUGCCAUCGGCUUCACCACGGAGCAUUUCAAGAUGCGGAGGCAACCAGGGUAAGAGGAUUGCCAGUCUCUAAAGUUGGAUGCUUUUACUUUAGAGUUAUAAAUAUUCUCGCAUGGGCCUUUAAUUGGCUAGGUGCAACUUUACUUGUAGCAAAAUUGUAUUGUUAGUCUUUAAGCUGUUUUGAAGAUGAUAUCACAAAACCUGUUUCUUCAUUGCGGCAGCAAGUACAGGACUCUAUCUUCCUAGUGGCACAAUCUGCGCUCAAACUUCUGUGAUGAAUUGUAGUCUUUACAUUGUAUAUGUUAUUUAUUGUAGUUAAAAGUGGAUAAAAUGAGAAAAGAGAGAACAUGGAGAACACAUUGUUAGCUCAUUUCUUGAAGCUUAUAAUCAUUCAGAUAUGUGUGAUAUUAGAAUUCAUAUGGAUCUUUUAGCUUAAUGCAGCUACUUGGGGUAAAUUGCACUGGUAACCUAAAGCAAAAAAUAAGUCCGAGUUGUCCCAUAAAGCUGAAAUAUCAGUUCAACUUUAAUCAGAUUUGAAUCCCCUUUCUGGUUUUCUGUGGCAAAUAAUUUUUGAAAUGGCCAUGCUCCCCAAAAGCCUUGAGUUUUAUAAAAAGGUCUCUAUAUUUCUUUGGAGCGGUCACAUCUUAUGAAGUGUCUAUUUUCAUUGGUACCCUACAAACUAUUGCGUUUUUAUUUCAUGUUUUCUGAAACCAUUGGCAUGAGCAGUUAUUUUUAUUUGAUUGUGGUGGAAUCCUUGAUAACUAAACCUAGGGUGUGAAUACUUAUGCAUUCACUUGUCUAUAUAUGUAUAUAUAUAUUCUUUUCAUUAGUCUUUUGACUCUUUACAAUGCACGGAUGCUGAUGUGUUACCUUGUAUAUGUUUUUUUGGAAAAGCACUAACAAAAUUCUGUGGUAUCUUUAUUUAGAAACCUUUAGUUAUUAUUUCGUAAUACUUGUUUUGGAUCUCUGCUUUGAAUUGCUGUUAAACGACUGUCUGUCUGCCCGUUUGUCAUACUGUACUUCCAAUAACUUGUUGGGUUUUAUAAGGGUACUUUUUCUUGCAGUUGGGAAGUUAAUAGCUUCGGAUAUCAUGGAGAUGAUGGUUAUCUUUAUCAGGGACAAGGAAAAGGAGAAAUUUUUGGCCCAAAAUUUACAACGGGUGAUGUAGUUGGUGCUGGUAUCAUUUAUGCAUCACAAAAGUUGUUUUUCACGUAAGUUGGUAGGUUACUUGUUAGUAAACAUUAAUAGUCAGUUGUUAGUGUUCAUAUGGAAUAUAGAUGGUUUGUAGUUUUACUCUGUGGCUUUGUUGUGUGCUUCUUCAUUCUUUUGGCAUUAGAUUUCCUAAAUCUCAAGUUUAAUUGAAUACUUAUCUGCGAAACACAUUGGAUUAGUUUCAACUUAGAUGAACUGCUAUGGCAACAUGUGGAAAUUUGAAAUCGUUUCCUGUUAUUUUUCUAGGCAACUGUAAACAGUCCUUUUUUAAUUUGGAAGUUGGAACUGAAACCAUUGGAAUUUCGUGUCUGCUUAGAAAUACUUGAUUGGCUUACAUUUUAUCAGUUGUAGUGCACAACAGACACUUAUCAGUUGGGGGUGUUUAUAGCGAAUUGCGGAUUGGGUCCUAUAGCGGCAACUAUGAGCCCAUAGUUGGUGUUCACAAGAAAGUACUAUUCUAUUUCCUUAUUGAAUUUUUAUCUAAAAUGUAUAAAAGAACAUAUCAGUUCUAAAUCUAGAAGCAUAACACUAUCAGAGUUCUCUAGAUUUAUGUUCUUAAGUGCAUUUGGACUUAACAGGUGAUCCUUGGUGGCCAUCGAUGAUCCAUGGUGAUCUGUUGACAAAACCUUGUGGUCGCCUAUAAGCUCUCACAGUCACUCUGUGCUUUUCUACCUAUACAAAGAGAAUCCUAGGUCCCCAAAACGAACAUGCUUGAAUAGUUUUUCGAUCCCCAUCGAGUACUUUAUUUUUUCCAACUGAAUAGUUCCUUGAAUCUUUAGUUAUUUUCGGCCAAACCAACCCUGCCUGGUAUCUUUAGGGAUUUGGGGUCUGAGGCACUCAAUAUGGACCUGCUAUAGUGAGUUCAAGGCUGUCAAAUUUCUUGCUAUUAUCCCAACCUCAUUGCAUAACAUAGCAGUUAUCAUUUGUCACUGCUAUAGCGGCAGCUAUAUCGGCUGUAAUUGGCUGUUAGUUAAGACAGUGGUUGACAAUGAGCAAUAUCAUGUGUUGUUAAGAAUCGCUGAAUUCAUUUUCCUUUUUUCUCCUAUGUGUUUACUUUUGUUCUACUUUUUCUGCUUCUGUAUCUAACUGCUGUUUUGCCUUUUCUUUUUCAAUGUUUGCUGGAAUCUUAAUUUUCCAUUCUGAUGUGCAGAAAAAAUGGAACAGUUGUUGGCACUGUCUCCGUCUCCAAGGAUGUAAAAGGUCCACUAUAUCCUACCGUUGCCGUUCAUAGUCCGAAUGAAGAGUACGCCCAUUAGUGCAAGAAAUUCAUUUAUUCUAUUAUAUCCUAUCUUUUCUUAUAUCUUAUUUCUAUCAUAUGAGCGCUUGCGUGCGCGCACACACACUGAUCAGAUUUGCACAGCAUUGCAUGUUAGCCUGCCUUGUCCAUUUUGUUUCUCCUAAUAUAUUAGCUGUAAUCAUAAUCAUCAACAAGUAUAUUAUACGAGCAUAUUAUAAUUUGUUCUCUCUUUAGUUUGGCAGUGUUUGCUCCUCCCUUCGUGUUUUAGUCUGCCAUGCACGUGACAAGAAUCAUUUUGACUAGACCAUAACAGGAAGUGAAAUUGAAUAGUUAUUAGCGUCUUAAUCAGCGAAGUGAAUGCAGUCUAUUCUAUCUUCUUCAUUCAGCAUGUCAUUUGCCUUCCUUCCCUAUUUAUUCUGAUUUUGAUGAUUGAUCAGGGUUACUGUGAACUUUGGAAAGCAACCAUUCGAAUUUGAGUUAGAGGUAUGUUGCAUGUCUUUUCUUGUGGACCAUUUUUUAUUUGAUCCAGUACAUUGUAAAUUCUCCUUUUAAGUAAUUUUUGGGUAUCAUUUCACUUCUUUUUUAUAGAGGUCCUUGAAUUGUCUUUUUAUUUGAUUUGCUCAGUCCUCUUUAUAAAUGUAAAUGCUUCUUGUAUAUGCUUUCCUUUUUUCACUAUCUUAUGUAUCUUAUAGAGAUACCAUGAAUUUAUUUCUUUGCUAUAUGUAUUUAUGGUUUACUUCAUUAGCAAUUAUUUACUCUUACAGUAUAUGAUUCUCCUUUUACCUUCCAUUCUUGUCUCUUGAGUAUCUCUCAGCUUUCGUCUUUUUUUUUUUUCCUGAUUGAUUUGCACACCUUGCCUUGUAACUUAUUGAUUAGUUAUGCUUUGCAUUGUCUUGUAACUUUGAAGUGCGAGAGUUAGUCAGUUUAGUGGAGUUGAAAUAUUCUACUGUCCAAUUGUUAUUGUGUGUGUAUUAAUCCUGAAUUCUGCUAGACUGUUGCAUAUCAUUUUAUUUACUCUUUUUUUUUUUUCCCGGAGUUGUACUCCGUAAUUUAAUGCUUUAGGUGUAUGUUAGUAUUGCAUUUUGCUAUUUCAUGUAUAUUUUGCUGCCUCUCCUAUUUAUCUACAUCUCUUGAGUUUUAUUAAGAGAAAAAUCCUGUUUAGUUGCAGACUAGGCAUAUAUCUAUGUUGCUUGGAUUUUAUCAAGAUAUAGAACCUGUUAAGCUGCAAACUAAGCAUAACUACUGAACUUGCUAAGUACACGCAUCGAACUUCUUUCUGCUUCUUGAACAUCUCAUAGACUAGAUCUCGUUGUAGUGAUCUCAUGCAGUUUCUCUUUGUGGGCAGAAUUUUAUCAAUGAAGAGAGGAAAAAACAGCUUGCGGUGGUUGAAAAUCAGUUUUUGCCUCCUCAUCUAAGUCAUUGGUAAGUUCCGCAUCAUUAAUAACCAUUUUGCAACAAAAUAAUCAAAAGGUGUAUGAGAAAAUUGUGAGGUGAAAUAAUUUUGUUUUAAAAUGAUUGUUUAGUAUGUUAAUAAUCUGUUUGCUUCUUCUCUUAUGACAUGAAAAGCGACUAUAUCUGAUGUAUAUGUCUUGAUGUUGUUGAAGUACAAAAGAUAGGAAUAAAGAUAAUCAAAUAAGAAUGGUGAAAAAGCAGUAGAAGUUACUGACAUAUGUAUAUACGCUGUGCCUUUCCCAUUGAAGUUGCUAAAUGAGCAUUGCAUUUUCUAAAUGUGCAUUAGUUUUUCUUAGAAAGGAGAUAUGAGAUAUCAUUUGAUGGUUAACAUUAGGACUUCCUUUCCAAAGCUUUUAACGACCAAUGAAAUUUUUAUCAAAUAUUGUGUAAGUAUUGGCCUUGUUAUUUCUUUUUUGUUGUGAUUAUGCAAAAACAUAAUAGGUAUGUGGCAUUUCUUCAUCACAGGAUAGUUCGUUCGUAUCUAUUACAUUAUGGGUAUGAAGAUACUUUGGCUUCUCUGGACAUUGCAACUGAAAGUAAUCCCUCUCUCACCAAAAGAACUACUGUCGAUGAGCAAACAAACAUGUAUGCUCUUAACCAUAGAAAGGUUCUGCGUCAGGUAACUGUGGUGUACUCCCCAAAAAAUCGCAAGCCAUUUCAGCAAUUACUUUGAAGUUUGAACUGAUUUUUGACUGCUAUUCUGUUACUACCUUUCUCUCUUUAUGAUUUUACAUGGAACUUGAUGAGCUGUAACUUAUUUAUACUUAUUUAGAGUGAAUAUUAUGGUACGACUUAAUCAACCAGAUAUUUCCAAAAUUUCAUCUUGUUAAGACUUAAGAGACAGAAAUACUGUUUAUACUGUUCUGUGGUGGAAUCCAGUUUCUUGAAAGCAUUCGAGAUAGUACUUUUUGACAAUUUUCAGUUUGGAUGUCUAAUUAAUGUUCCUAGAGAAAACUUCUCUGUUUGAGAUGAUUGGAACCUUAUCAUGUCUGAAGAAUAAUUGAGGUUAUACUCGUAUGAUCUGAAGUAAUUUUUGAUGGUAACCCGUUGUGUGCUAUCUAUCAGUUUUGUUGCCAUCUCUAUACCCCUGUUGGACUCCAUCUACUAUUUGAAGUUUUUAAAAAGGAACUAUCUGUUUUGUUUUCCCUUUCUCUACCUUCAAGGUGUAAAAUAUUUGUUUCUUAACCAUCUCGUAUCUUUUACUAAUGAAGCUGAUCAGGAAUGGAGAUAUUGAUACUGCAUUUCAGAAACUCCGAGAAUGGUAUCCUCAGGUAGUACAGGUAAGAUUUCCUAAUGACUCCACAAUAUGUGACUUCUAAGUCACUUACAAAAAGACGAAAAAAAUGAAAACAAGUGAUCUACACAUCAAAAUAUAAAAAAAGAAAAAAAAAAUCUAUUCUUAUGUUAAUUAUGCAAAGAGAGAGAAUGCCAUUUUCAUUUAUUAUAAAACUUAGUUGUUCGUAAUAUAUUUAUUGGCUUGUAUGGACUUUAGAUGUCAUCUGAUAGUCGUUGAAUGUAUAAUUUUGGUCAAAAUUUCCAACUAAGUUACAAUUUGUAUUGUUUUAUAGGAGAUCUGAAUUCAUCUUUAACAAUCUAAGUUUUGAUCGUGAUACUUUUUGUAUCCUUGAAGCAGCUCUACUCAAGAUUUUUCUACUAAAUAUAAAACAAAAUAAUCAACUUUUCCUGCAGGAUGAGAUGUCAGUCAUUUGUUUCUUACUUCAUUCCCAAAGGUUCAUCGAGUAUAUCCGGGUAAAUCUCUAAUAUUCUCUACGUUUAUUUAUACGAAUUUCAUUCAUGCACUCUUCUGUCCGUAUAUUCAUGUCUUGGCGGUUCAUACACUGAACGAGUUGUAACCAAUGAAACCCAAAAUCAGUUUUUUGUUCGUUUCCUUUAUUUUGAUUAACUUUUCUAUUCUUUGUGAAUUUUUAUUUUACUGUGAAUAUUUUAUGCGUGUAGGCUGGCCAUUUGGAGGAAGCUGUAAUGUAUGGCCGUGCUGAGCUGGCUAGAUAUUUUGCUGUUAAAGCUUUUGCAAACCUGCUUGAGGUAAAGUCUUGUGGCUUGUACGGUUGCAUCCGAACAUUCUAUUGCAGACAUUGUAUCUUUUUUCGCUUACAAGCUUCACGGCGGUGUAAUUGCUUAAACUUUCUUGAACUAACAGAAUCGGCAACUUAGUUAAAAUUGAAGCUCUCAAACCUUCUCCUGUUCUUGCUAAAAUUUAUCAUAUAUAAUCAUGGUAACUAGCUUAACUAGUCUUAUCUGCAAAUAAUAUUCAGCUAUUUUCUACCGUUUGCUUUCGGAUUGGUGGGAAACUUCAUGAAUAAACCAUGCUCACAAAUCUCUCUCUCUCUCUCUCUCUCUCUCUCUCUCUCUCUCUCUCUCGUAGGACAUUGCUGCACUGCUUGCCUACAACGAGCCUGCGGAAUCGUGCGUCAGCUACCUGCUCGAGCCUCCGCAGCGCGAGUUUGUCGCGGAUGCAGUGAACGCGUCUGUCCUCUCGACGAACCCUAACUCGACGGACUCGGAGAGCUGCAUGUAUUCGACCCUCGAGAAGUUGGUGAGGCAGCUGACGGUGUGCACCUUGGACUGGCGAACUCUGAGCGGCGGCCAAGGCGAGGCGUUCUAUCUCCACAGAGAAUUACGUAGCCGCGGAGGAGUCAAGCGGAGUUCAGCCUACUCGGAUUAAACUCUCCGAUCGGUACCGCUUCCUGGCUCUGUGGUAGAGUUAUUCUUUUAGGGGAAACAAAGAAAGCAUAUGAUAAAGAUAACUUUUAGAGCUGAUGCAGGUGAGCUUCCUGCAACAGAUACAGAUUUGUUCCUGUUUAGGGUUUUAGAAAGAAUCUCUGCCAUGUUCAACUGUAAAGUAGCCGCGGUGGUUAAAAAACGGUGUAUAGAGAAUUGUUGUGAUGUUAAGAGUUUGAAUCUUUCAUGUAAUAAACCCUUCGAUUACAAUCGCAAUUCCUGGGUUUGUGUGCUUGCUUCGACGCAUUCUUUAUAUAGCCUUGAUUGGUACAGGUUUCGAUGGCUUAGAUGAAUAUGUUUUUUUUUUUUUUUUUUUUUUUUUUUUUUUUUUUUUUUUCUUUUUUUCUUUUAAUGUCGGAUACUCUGUUUUGGGUUUGUUUUNUUAUUUGAUGUUUCUAAUAAUGAUUGAAGUUAAAGAAGUGAAUUUUAUUGCUUGACAUAUAUAUGCUAUAAAUGAGAGCCUAGUCACUGUUGGUGUUUGUAUUUUGCAGUAGAUUCAGUCUUUGAGAUUUAGCUAUAUGUAUCUUUUUUUUUUUUUUUUUUUUUGAAUUUAGUUUUUUUUCUUUUUUCUCUUUUAAUGUCGGAUACUCUGUUUUGGGUUUGUUUUGUUAGUCUUAUUUGGAGUGAAGGAAAACUCUACAAGCCAUACUUUUCUAAAAAAGUUUGUUUUAGAAGAGAUGUGCCGAGGUCAGCCUCAAACCAUCAUGGAAUGUUUCGUUCAUGAUUGAAAUAGGAACAAGAAAUAAAACUAAAUUCGAUUGCCUUAAAAUUAAAAAUGAAAUGACGAAUCGUCUAAAAAUAUUUGAAAAAAAAAAUCGAAAUAAAUAUUUGAUUUAUUAUUAAAAAAGAAAUUGAAAUAAAUAUUUGAUUUAUUAUUAAAAGAGAAAUUGAAAUAAAAAUUUAGAAUUUUUGAGAGAAUUUUGAUUAAGAGAGAGAAAAGUGAUGAAGGAUGGGGAGAUAGGUGUUGGUAAAAGAGGAUAUUGAAUAAUUUACUUUGGAAUGGACCAAUCCGGAAUUUAAAGCUGGGUUGAGUUAUAAAUGGAUUUGAUCAUUUUCAUUCCAAAGUGGAAUGAGAAUCGAAAUUUAAUUCCUAUAAAACAAAUGAUAACUAUCGGAAUUAAUAAAUUUCAUUCUGAUUUUAUAGCCUAAAAAUAAUUGAACUAAACAUGCCCUGAAAGACAAAGAAAUGGAAUAAACGGCAGGUCAAGUGUCAACUCAAUCACACUUUGUGAUACAAAAAGAGAUUGAACUCCGAAAAAUAGCAAAACUUGAUCCAACAUGUGUUCAAAAAGCUGUCAUAACCUUCAGGUCCAAAUUUCUGCCAUUAUUCAAUGAAGCCAACAUGCGGAAUAACUCGGACGCAAGAUUUAUAUACGCCGAAAACCAUCAACCUUGUCGAUACCAUACACGCGGAUCUGCUUAAGAUAUGGAUGAUCAAGUUUGUAAUAAAUGAAGUAAAGCUUCCCAUUGUUUUAAGCCAAGGUUCAGGUACAACUACCAAGCAAACAUGCUCCAAUGAGCAAAAUAAGGAUGCACACAUUAUUAAAGCAUAUACAAUGUUUCAUACUGGGUACCAGUGCUCGUCAGAGCUGCUACCUUAAUGUGCAUUUUGCAAGAAACCGCUGAUGUCGAAAGCAUCCUCAGCAGACUUUGUAAUGACACCCUGGAGAGAAAGUGAGAGUAACAUUGAUUUCAGAGAGAUAAUCACAUGUGAAUAACACUGGAAAGAAAGCUAUGUAAGGUUUUUGCGCAGUUUGUAUAGGAAAAGGAUCAUAGCGGAAAGAUUCGUGAUUUUAAGUUCACAAAUUACGCAACAUAUUAAUAUUAAUACAUAUUAAUAAACCCAUAAGUGCAAAUAUUAGUUCAUUGAUUCAGAAUAUAGCUGAAAUUGUUCUUUGAUUUAGUUUGAAAGAGCAAAAGUCAGAUACUCUAAGGUGCUCACUGCAUAAAAAACAUACUUCUUUCAUUAGUCUCUCUUAACUUUUAGCUGCAAAGAGCCAAAAAUAUGUCCCAUUGAUAAAAACAAAAAAAUAACCUUAUAUUUUCAUUUAAUGAGAAAAUUAUUCUGUGCCUUUUAAGACAUCAAAUUUUGGCUCCCAAUCACCCCUAGCUGUUUAAAAUACUACAUAUUUAACUGUUAAAUUUGGCCACCAACACAAAUUACACGAGAGAGAGAGAGAGAGAGAGAGAGAGAGAGAGAGAGAGAGAGAGAGACCUUUUCUGUUAUGAUAGCUGUUAUUAAGUUUGCUGGAGUAAUAUCGAAGGCAGGGUUCCAGACGGCGAUUCCUGGUGCAGCUACUUGCUUUCCUAAACCCCCUUCAGAAUUUAACAACUCCUUUGGUGAUCUCUCUUCUAUAACUAUUUGUUGGCCAGAUGAUAGACAAAGAUCAAUAGAAGUUACAGGCGCUGCGACAUAAAACUGUACUCCAUGGUGCUUCGCACAAAGAGCGACAUUGUAGGUUCCAAUUUUGUUAGCAGUGUCACCUGGGUGGCAAUUCAAGAGCCAAAUUAGAAUUGAACCAGUUUUAAAAGGUAGAAAAAAUUCAUUUAUCUUGCUUCUUUUAGGUACCGUUAGCGGCUACUCGGUCUGCCCCGACAAUAACUGCAUCGAUAUGCCUCGAUUUCAUCAGUGCGGCGACAGCUGAAUCAGCUAUUAAAGUGGCAGGUAUUUUCUCAUGAACCAAUUCGAAAGCUGUAAGUCUUGAACCCUGCAAAAUGCAAGAAAUUAUAUUUUAUCUCAUAAAACCAAAGAUAGCCAACUAUGCUGCCUUCACCACCGCAAAAGGUUAUUACAAAUGUGAAAGUCAAUAUUCUCGAAGUAGAUACUAGGGAAGAGUUUUGGUGUUUGACGGAUCAAAAGGAUAAGCCGAAACUAAAAUACAAAGGAAAACAUAGUUUCUUAUAUAACUUGAAAAUUUUGCUUGACUACUAAAGCAAUAAAAAGAGAUACAGCAGGUUUAAAUGAUUGCCUGGUUAAACGGGCGCGUUUCUGUGCAGUAGGCCCUUUCUAGAACCCCUUCAGCAUGUAGAGCACGAAUAACCCCAAGGGCGGUUCCAUAUCCAGCAGUAGCAAGACUACAGACCCAAAAAGAAAGAUUAGUACCACGAAAAGAAAAAUAAAAAAAAAAAACAAAAAAUGAAUGCAAGAAUACAAUGAAAAAUACUAGCGGACUCGAGGUACCUUCCGGUGUUGCAAUGUGUCAAAACAGAGAGCAGUCUGGAGUCUCCUGACUGGCCUUGAAGAAAUUUGGCUCCAUGGUGGCCAAUUGCUUUGUUUGCAGCAACAUCAUCAAUAAGCAUGACUUCAGCAGCAUCAAUGAAAGCCUUACGGAAAAAUGAGGGAAAAAAUUAGGCACCAGUCCACAAAAACUAAAUAGGAAGUACCAGUUUUUUCUGUAAAAAUUUGCAAAAUAAAGUCAAGAGUUGCAGAUAUUAGGCUUCAAAUGAGAAAUAAGUCCCUCACAUAGAUCAGAGAAAAAUAUAUUGGAUAUUUGCACGUAAUAACCAAAAGUAUUGCAUAUUUUGAUAAUACUACUACACAUGCGAAGGCGCCUUGAACUGGUUCAACUGUGAAAACAAGGAACUCCUUUUCAUAACAUUAACCUACCCUCAACCUGGUUACUUCUACAUAUAUUAAACGAGUAAUAAGAUAUCAAAAAUAGUUCUAGCUAAGCAUCGAUAUUUGCUAGGGCAUCAAAACAAGAUACAGGACAUUAAACUACUAGAAGUGAGAUCAACAGUUCUUUAUGAGCCAAUACCUGGAAAACUGCUUUGGCCUCGGUAGCACUCUCAGCCGUCUUCAGUGCUAAAUUUUGAAGCUUUGUCGCGGCCUCUGAAAGAUUCACAGCAGUUGGUCGGCUGCCAUGAAAUGAAACAUAAUUAGCAGCAAUUAUACACUUUAUAGAACAAUAAUGAACUGAUAAUAUAUCGUGAAAAUGAGUGCCAUUUUAAAAUUAAAAGAAAUGUAAUGAUAAUCUUGAUGUAAAUAGAUUUAAGUAAUAGUACCUAGAAACAAGAUAAUCCAGCUUCCUCACAAGGAGAGAAGCAGCGUCACCGGGUGUACCAUCGAAGUCGAGAUUGAAGACUUCUACAGCAAGUGAAAGGGCUGCUGCUAUAGCAAUUGCAGGUGCGCCACGAACCACCAUAUCCCGUAUUGCGUUCCUGAGAAAGUUUAUACCGAGGGAUGAAUUAAAUGCUUCAGAAAAAUCUAAAUCGAUAAAGUUUCUUAAUCGAUUGCAAAACGGAACUCAGAAUUUACAUGUUCAUGUGCCACAAAUCUAAAAGUAAAACUUAAACCCAUCAAUUCUCCACUCCCAUCCUUCCUCAAUAGCUUUUUCCUAAUUUGCUAACAAGCGUCCAUUUCCUUUUUCUGAAGCUGAAUUUAUUGUAAUUCAUUGGUUUCUAAGCAUUCUUCAACUCAUAAUCAUCAAAACGCAACACAAAAUCAUAUUUUUAUCCUUUUUUUUUAAAACAAACACCACAAACUCUACUUCAAAACCUAGAAAACUCCCAAAAACACCAUGAAAAUGGAAAUUAACCAAAGAAAAAAAACGCAAUAAAAAACAGGAGAUUUUAAAGGCUCACCAUCCAUCCGUGGCAUUCGACACAUCCAAAUACAGAGUCUCCAGCGGAAGCUUCCUCUGUACAAGAACACAAACACUCCGUUACUACAACACGAUCACAAUUCCCAAAUCCAAAACAAGUGAAAAUUUGUAUGUUGCAACCACACAGACCUGAUCGAGGAGGCGAAGGGACCCGCGCUCGUAGCAGAUCGAUUGCAGGGAAUCGGAAACGCCAUUAGUCUCCACCAUCGUCGUCGUCGGAGGGAGAACACCCCAAAUCCUAACCCUAACCCUAGAGUUCGAAUCGAUCUAGGGUUUAGUGGAGCCUUUUAUUAAUUUAAUUAUCCACGAAUAUGGCGGCCAGUGGGAGAAUAAGUUCCCGGAAUAAAUGUCGGAAUAGCGUCGCGGUUUUUGUAUGUGUGCGGAAUAAGUACCUGUAAUUAUACCACAAUAAUUAGGCUAAAUUACAAAAAGGCCCCUGCAUUUUAGACACGUCUCAUUUAGUCAUUUAUCCCUUCAUACCCCCUACACGUUGCAGUUUCUUACAUAGGUCCAAAAUUUGGAUGACGUGGUAGACCUGGUCCAGGAAAGAUACACACACUCUCUCUCUCUCUCUCUCUCUCUUAAACCCUAGUAGAGUAUCUUCUCCCCUUCCCUCUCAGCCUCAUCUUCGAACCUCCUCCAAACCCUAGCCAUGGCGCUCGCCCUCCGCCUACGCCGAUCCUUCUCCCUCCUCAAACCCCGCCUCCUCAGUCCGAUCUCCACGUCUUCUCCUCAAUCCCGGCUCCCUGCUCCCUUCCCCGCUCUCUCUCGUCUCGAAAACCUUACCCCUCGAUCCCAAUCCUUCACCCGAGCCCUCUCCUUCCACUCCUCGGCGCAUCUCUCCGAUCGCCGAUCCGACUAUGGCGGCGGCGGCGGAGGAGGAGAGCAAGAGAGGAAGAUCUCCCCCGACGAGAUCCUCUUCGAGGGUUGUGACUACAACCACUGGCUCAUCACCAUGGAGUUCCCUCAGGAUCCCAAGCCCACUCCCGAGGAGAUGGUCGAGACCUACGUCCAAACCCUAGCCAAAGUUGUGGGCAGGUCACCGUUCACCACCCUCUUCUACUUUGAUCUUCGUUGGGUUCGUGUUGCUUUGUAUCCAAAUCUCUAGAAUGGAUCCUAUUGUUGAGUAGAUUAGUCUCUUGUAAUAUUUCAUGAUGUUUUAGUAGUACUCAGAUGUUCUUAUUGCUCGAAAUGGUAUCUGUUGCUUUCUAAUAAGCUGUUUUUGACAUAAAUUAGUGUUACCUCGAAGACAAUUUUUUGGCUUAUUUACAUUUUAGAAAAUUUGUUGUAUUUCAUCAGUAAGAUCAUGUUUGUUUGUGGCCAUUCGGCGUUCGUAUGGAUCAUUGUAAAUCGUACUGCUUGUUUACAGAUUUUAGAUGAUAGAGCUCAGUUAACUUGGAUAUCUAGGUAUUGUGACAUUGGGAAAUGGAUGCGAUGUGCUGGAUUUCGUUUGUUCCUUUUUUCUUCUAUGCAUUUCCCAUGUAUAAUGAGUGAUUAAUUGGUAUGUAUUGAUUCAAGGCUUAUGUAGAUUACAUGAACAUGGUACCAUAUAUCUAGUGGAUAUGAUAAUCUUUCUGGCGUAAACUAAUUUUUUGCUUGUUGUGGACUUUUAGCGGCUUGUAGUUGACUUUCUAGCUCCAAAUAGUGCUAUGAAACAGUCAGAGCUAUGCAAGGUAGUGGGUAAUUAUUGCUGAUAUUUUAUGGCAACUGAGGAAAUGAUAAAUUGGCAAAUAUUCUGGAUUUGGUCAGAUUUCAGCAAUUUCAAUUAAGCUUGUCAGUUUCCGAUUAAUGAUUUUGUACAUUACCAAACUGUAGUAUGUGAUUUCAUCUAAAACAUGGUAAAGCUUGAAAUUUAUAUCCUUGAGUGCGUUUCUUUAUAUGUAUAUUAAUUGUCCUUGAUUGAUUAGAAGUACUUGCAAACCAGUAGAUCUCUACAUCAUAAAAGUGAUCAAACUAGGAUUUAUGGCAGUUUGAUAUUAGAUUUAAUAUCUGAAGCAUAUCUAUCGGCUGCUAUUUAGCAUCUGAAUGGACCUAUUGGGAGCAUUGUGAUGUUUCACUUACAUCUAAAGGAUUUAGGCUGAUUCAUGGUUGCUGAAUGUAGUGUGGAGGAAGCUAAGAAGAGAAUGUAUGCAUGUAGCACUACCACCUACAUAGGUUUUCAAGCUGUGAUGACAGAAGAAAUGUCCGAGAAAUUCCGGGGUGAGUCCUGAAGCAUUCUUCUUUUUUCUAUCUUUUUUUCUUUUCUGAGAUUUUCUUCGGUUUUCUUUUUGGCGGAAGAUGUGGGGUGUCUUUCUAUUUUGGAUAGACUCUUCGUGAAUUUCUUACCAUUUAUGUCAUGUUGAUCAGGCUUGCCUGGUGUUGUCUUCAUUUUGCCUGAUUCGUACCUAUAUCCUGAAACAAAGGAGUAUGGAGGUUUGUCCAUUUCUUGUUUUAGUGUUUUUCGUUGAUAGCUAUGAGUCUUAGGGUACUAUAUAUGCUGUCUCCGAUUCAAACUAUAUCAUACACCUCUCUGUAACUUCUGCUGAUAAUGAUAUGCCAUGAUAUUUUGUCUUUAUUCGGGCAAAAUAAAAAAAAAAAAUCACAGGAGACAAGUAUGACAAUGGCGUUAUCACUCCCAGACCUCCCCCUGUUCAAUAUGGGAGACAAACAAGACCGAGGAAUCAAAACAGGUUUGAUCGCCCAAACUACAACAACAGGCCACCCCCAAAUAAUUAUGGUGAGAACUACAAUGUGCAGCAGAACUAUGGCCAGCCUGGCCAAGAUGGAAGGGUAUUCGGCCCACCUGGCGAGAGGGGCGACUUUGGGCAAGGGGAAAGGAGAGGUCCGAUGCCUAAUUAUCAGGGGACUUCUAACCAAGGAGCUCAAAAUAACUUUCCUCCCCAAGAACAGAGAAACUUCUCGCAAGGUCAGGGAAGAGAUUUUAGACCAGGUGGAUCUUACGGUCAGGGAGAUUAUAGGCAAGGCCCGCCCCAUGGCUACAAUGCUGAUUAUAGACAAGGUCCGGCCCCCGGACCUAAUUUCAAUAACCAAGGGGGAGGCAUGAGUUCCAAUUAUGGCAGAGGUAAUGUACAAGACGGAGGACCCGGAUAUGGAGGGGAUAAUCGGCAGGGCGGAGGAUUUACUUAUGGUGGGCAGAACGAUGCAGGUCCUGUGGAUGGACAGCCGGGGUCAUGGCAGGUAUGACGUUUACUCGCAAUUGUUAUUUGGAAGUUUGAAAUAGUUAAAUCUUGUCGAAAGGUUUAAGUAGUAAAUUUGUUAGACAUCCUGAAUGAGAAUUGCUGUUAAACUACAUUAUUAGGCAUGGACUGUUAAUAUCUGUAUAAUGAUUGCUGGUUGGUUGGUUGUGUGUAUUCUUUUAGUCAGUCAUUCACCAGGUUUAGAUUCCGAGGUGCUCGAUGGUUUAUAGAAAAUUAGUAAGGCUAUACCCUUACCACUCACAUUGCUCUAGAGUAAACUGGAUGGAUUGUCGUGAUUAGUGCAAUCAUCGGGGUUAGUGCUAUCCCCACAAAUCUGCAAAUUGACCAAUCUAGAGCACCAUCCUGCCACUCUUGAGUAAAUCAAAGUAGGCAAAGCAUUUUCCAUAGAAAUUAUAAAGGCACUUUAUAUUUGAGCUCUAACAGUAUUUGGACACGCCAAAGUUUAUCACCAAUCAAUUAAAUUGCUCUUCUACUUCAAUUUGCCCUAACUGUUUUAAUUUUAUAUACAUUCCAUGCUCUGGUUGAAUGACUUAGUCUUAUUACUUUGUUGAUAAUAUAUUUCUUGCUCUUUACGGAACAGGGGGGGCGAUAAGCUGCUGAUUGCGGUUGGAGUUGAUGUUCUCCGAGCUAGAGAAGAGCCAGCCAUCCGAAGACACUAUUUAGCUUUUGUUUUAGUGUAUAUUCGCGUCUCGAACAAUGCAUCAAGAACUUAGUUUAUUUUAAGUUUCUUGUCUCUACCAAACUGCUUGUUACUUGAAGCGCGUCUUUUGAUGCUUGCUUGGAGAAUGUUUGUGUUUACUUCGUUUUCUUUCGACAAGUAUAAUAUUAGAGUUCAAAUAAUUACUACUACAUACAAUUUUGCUAUUGUGUUUUGUCCGUCUAUUUCGUUAUGGUUUGAUUUGUUGCUUAUGCUUUAAUUUCAGAUGAAGCGGUAAUUAUUAACUUUUUAAUAAUUAAGAGCUUGUUUUGGAGUUUUUGCCAGUUGAGCUAUUUGCGGAAGCACUAGUAGCUUUCAUUGCUCGAGCCUGAUGAUGCCGCCGCGUUGCGGCAGCUCUCCUUCUGACGUAGUCGUCUGUCUCAUUUCAUGUCGGAUUUUCAAACUUCGGUGCGUCUAUUGCUUGUGUGUUCGGUUUUGUUUGGAAUUAUAGGAAAAUUGCGUUACGUGCUGUACGAAACGAUGAUGGAAAAAUACUCUAUUUGUUUCCGUAUAUAAUGGUUAGUCGGUUAUGGUCUAUUGGAGAACAGAAGUAUAAUACUCUAUUUUAUCUAAUAACAUUAGAUUCACCUCAAUAUUAUUAAACUAAGCCUUAGAUCUUCUCGGUGUUUGCAGUGACCAAAAAUUUAUGGAUUUAUUAUGAAUAAAAAAUGAAAGAGGAUAAUUAAUAAUUGGGGAUGUAGCUCAAACGGUAGAGCGCUCGCUUUGCAUGCGAGAGGUACGGGGUUCGAUACCCCGCAUCUCCACCUUUUUUUUUUUUUUUUUUUUUUUUUUUUUUUUUUUUUCUUCUAGUAAUCCUAAUUUUCUAAUGCGUUUUAUCAUAAUUGAUUCUUUAAUUAGGAAAUGAAACACCAAAUAGUAGCUACUUGAUUCUCUGCCACACAAGAUUUGUGAACAUGCAAAAUCUACAAUUUCUAUUUUCAUAUAGAAAUUUAGAAAUUAUUGUGGUCAUCUUUUGCAACCCCACAUUUCUAGUGCUACAUGUAACAUGUGCCACAAAAUUUGAAACUGUUCCAUUCCACUAGAGAGAGAGAGAGGAGGGACCAUGCCAUACUAACAACAUCCAUCUCUCUCUCUCUCUCUCUCCACCUCUCAUUUCUCUUCCCUCUCUAAUCCUUUUUUUGUUUUUUUUUAAUUCUGUAUCUUAUAUCUCACAUUACUUCUACUUCUUCGCCGAUGGCGUUGACCGCCUCCCGGCCGUUCUCCCCGCCGCUUCUGUGUGGCGGGUCGGCGUACCGACGACGGAGCUGCCGUUGUGACUUUCGCGCCGUGGCGGCUUCCGAUACGUCCACCGGAGAGGAACCCGCGACGCGCGAGAGGCGGAAGCCACGCGUCGACACGCGGAUCCACUGGUCGAACCCCGACGAGGGGUGGAUCGGCGGCAAGAAGUCGAAAACUGAGGCUGAUGUGCAAGACAAGAAAGACGAGUAUGUUGGCGGGAAAUUUGCUGAUUUGAUCAGCAGAUCAACUGAAUCACACUACCAGUUAAGUCCAUGAUGCUUCUUGUUACAAGCUCAUUUGAAUUGUUGCUCUUUUUUUUUUUGAAACAACAAAAUUUGUUGAAAAGUUGAGAACUGUAUACAUAGUUUGAAAGUUUCUAGAUAAACAUAGCUAAGAGAAUUUGGAAUUAAAUGAGUGGAAAUUGACUCCUUAUUUAGCACGACUAAAACUUCUGUAGAAGUGCUGUUUCAAUAGAGCAAUUUAGAAAAAGCACGAACGUUUAAGAAAAUUUUUUUCGGAGUAGAGGAUCCAUUUUAGAAGUUAGAUACUUAGAUGAGAGCGAGAAAUUGAAAUGUAUACAAAUUUUAAGCUGACAGAGAACGAUAGAACUAUUGCUCAGAUUUCUGGGAGUACUGCCGAAGGCAGAUACGGAGGAAAUCAAAGCUGCGUACCGAAGGCUGUCCAAGGAGUACCACCCGGACACGACGACGCUCCCCCUGAAGACAGCCUCCGAGAAGUUCAUCCGGCUGCGGGAGGCGUACAACGUGCUGAGCAACGACGGCAGCCGGCGAUUCUACGACUGGACCCUGGCCCAGGAGGCCGAGAGCCGGCGGAUGCAGCAGAUGAGGGCGAAGCUCGAGGACCCAUACAUGCAGGACCUGCGCAACUGGGAGUCGGUCCCCGACACCGUCGACCGGCUCGGGGGGAAGAACAUGAAGCUCAGCGACCAGGCGAUGACGGCGCUCACGAUCGAUGUCGCGAUCAUACUGUUCUCCAUCUGCUGCAUUAUUUAUGUGGUAGUGUUCGAAGAACCUUAUUAAAUGCUUGUGUACAAACCUCUUCAGUUUUAAAACAGGAAAUUUAAAAUAGAUAGUUCAAAGGAAUUCUCUGAUGCAUCAUAUGAUGGAUCAUUUACUGAACUAUGCAUGAGAAAAGAUCGAAGACCGAAUAUAUCGAGCAGGAAAUUAGAAAUCUCACAGAGUUGAAUUGUUUACAAGCCGACCGAUCUAGGUCAAGCAACAUGGCGUGUUUUUUUUUAUUAAAUCUCUUGCAGAAACUGCAGAGGUAACCCAAAACUGAUACAGUUCAUCAUGCUACUGCUUUAAUGUGGAAAUUAGAAGAAUCUGUUUGACAAAAGUGAUUCUUUUUGUGUGCAAUGAGUAGUUAAUUUGUGUUCAGGAAUCUUCAAACUCGAUGAUCUUAACGACGGAGGAGUCACCAAUCUUCUCGAAUAUGACGGCACGAUCGUAUGGUUUUAUCAUGCCAAUUGAUUUCCCGUAAUUUAGCGCAAGUUUUAGGCCAAACUCCUCCUUCGAAUUGGCGGAAUCAGCCUGUUAUGAUACAAUGAAAGAACUGUUAGUAUACCACCAAUCUACAACUAGAAAAUGAUUUCACUUUUGUACUUUAAGAACAACAAUGCUUUCCCUGAGUGUCCUAAGCUAAAAUCAUUAAUAUCAGAGCCCUUAACUUGAUGAAAUAGUUAAAUUCGUUUCACCAGAUAAAGCUUUUCUUAUAUUAGUUCUACCAACUGCAAUAAUUGUCAUUUCAAUGUAUUUUUUUUCCUUUAUCUAUAUAUAUAGUAAGUUAUAUGAAACAACCGUUGUUCUUCAAAAGCUUGAGCUGUCAAAAAACAGUAUUUUUAAUAUUUAUAGAAAAUUAAACACAGCAAGGAGUCUAGCUAAACUCGAGUGUUCUUUCAACAUCUAUUCUGUGACACCUCAAUAAUCUCAUAUUCGGAAAAUAUGGAAGAGCGAGAGAACCUUAAAUAAAACUAGCACAUUAAUUGGGUUUAAAUAUUUUAGGUCGGUGGUUUACGCCCAACAAAUUAUUAUUGCUAGAGAAUUAAGUCGUUAUAAUUAUAUUCUAAGUUAGAUAUCCACCACCUUUAUUAUUGCAACAUGAUAAAAAAAAGUACUCUUUUAAAGCAGCAAUACCUCAUGCUACUUAUAAGUAUGCCUAACAGUAUAAGAUUCAACAUUACAAACUAUUAAUUUUUACAGGUAGAUUAUUUCAAAAUUUAACUUGAAAUUUAAUUGCAUACCUCACUAUGAUUUGCCAGUACAGGAUAGAUUCCUCUUACAGCAAGACAUUGCCUCGCCUGCAGUUUAAGUAACUCUUCAAUAUCUUAAAAAAAUAUCAUGCUUAUAAAAGUAAAAACUUAGUUAAGCAAACCUGUAUAGUGCCAGAGGAAUCCCAUUUUAGUGCACCUGAUUCUUGCCGUGGGAAGAAAACAGCUAGCACAGGCAUUGGAGGCCUAUAUUUUGCAACCAACCUGUUAAAAACAAAUUAAGUGUUAAUGCAACCAUCAAAAUUUUUAAUAAUAAAUAAAUGAGUGGAACGAAUUGCUAAUGAGAACUAGUGUAAAGUACUUUGCAGCUUUGCCUGAUGAAGUGAAUGCAAUGAUGACAGCAGCCUUGACUUUGAUAGCCGCACGCACCUGAAGAAAUGAGAGACCACUUUUCCAGUGUUUUGUCUAGAAACGAAAAAAAGAAAAAUUGAAAUAAUAAAGGACAAAUUUUACCGCUGAUGAUGAAACAGACUCGGCAUGCGACAUUGGUUCACCAACAUGUUUGAUUAUUCUCUUGAAUUGAAGAGACUGAUUAUACACAGUCUCAGCCUACAAAAGAGAAAUAGAGUUAUUGCUCACGAAAAGCAUAUCUAGAACAUGCAAAACUUCUCCCAUAUGAAUGGAUUCAUACUUCUGCACAUAUUCUCCCCACUGUCUUAACUGCAUCAACUGGAUAGAGGCCUCGAAGUGUCUCGGCACCCAACAAAAUACCAUCAGUCCCUGUAAAUUGAGCAACCAACAUCAACCAGAAAAUCUACGAAUGUAAAAAGUAGAAAAUAGAUAUUAUGACAUACACCCCCAUGCAACAUUUGUUAGAUGCAUCCCAUAAAAUUUGAAUUUUUAUAUGACCUUCCAAAACUUAAUUUUCCAAAAUAUGAUGAUUCCCCAACUUUCAGGUAGACUACAUAUUUUACAAAGGUAUACAUGUAAAUAGAUGAUUUUGCAUGGCUAUAUAUGUAAGAGCACAAACAUAACACAUUUGAGCAUAAAUUACAAACCAUCCAGGACGGCAUUUGCAACAUCAGUGGCCUCUGCACGUGUGGGACGUAAAUUGUCGGUCAUGCUAUCCACCACUCUGGUGACUAUGGCUGGUUUCCCAGCUAAAUUGCAUUUCUGAAUAGCCGAUUUCUGGGACAAAAAUACCUGCCGCAUCAAGAGAACAAAUACUAAAAUAAAUUAUUUCAGAACAAAAUAGUUAAGUGGCUUCAAUGUAUAGAACCCAGCCAAGUUAUAUAUAUUAUAUAUAUAUACACCUGGAGGAACCCAUAACGCAAAUUAUAAAUGGGUCAACAUCAGCCAAAGUAACACUUAUAAAUAGGACAAUUGCCACUAAAAGUAAGAAUCUGUAUGCAGAUGGAGUGGUAAGAAAUAUUUUACAUUUUCUGGUGGAAGGUCUAUUCCUAGGUUCCCUCGAGAAAGAAUGAUGCCGUCUGCUUGUUCAAGAAUUUCAUCAAAAUGCUCCAGGCCCUAUACAGCAAGAUAAAGUAAGAUUAGUUACGAAAGAAGAAGAAGAUUUAGUAUUACCAUAACUCCAUACUUAUUUGUCAAAGAUGUAUUCUCACCUCAGCAUUUUCAAUUUUAGCAUAAAUUUGAGUGUCUUGCAGAUUUUGAGACUUCAGAAACUCUUUAAGCUGAUAGAUGGCAGAGCAAGCACGUUUAGUGAAAAAGAAAAAACUACAUACGCAAAUUAGAGGGAAAAAAAAAUUCAAAUAAACUCACCUCUCUUACAUCCUCAGCAUGGCGGGUGUAAGAAAGAGAAAUUAUAUCAACGUUAUUAGAGGAUCCCCAUGUUGAAAUGACCUAUCGACAUCAAACCCAAAGAGAUAAAUUUUCACUUCAGAAUGAACAGAGUAACUCAACUUAAUUCACCAGCAUUACCGACUUAUAAAGUGACUAAGCAGUCGAAUAAAGAACCUCUCGAAAGCAAAACAUAGAUAAAUUUUAUGAUUUACAUAGUAAAGAAAAAAAAAUAGCUGUUAUCAAAUAAUGGUAUAAUGUCACUAGUAGUCAAAUGACAACAGAAUAAUCAAAUGACAAUAGGAUUACUACAAAUUCAUUGUCAUCUUGAAAGUUUUUAAUAGGGUUGAUAGCCUCAACUUCAUUUUAGUUCUAUAGAAUCUGAACAAUCAAUCUUUUCAACUACAUACUACAUCUGUAUUUUCGAAACCAGGUUUUGCAUAUGAAAUGACCAUGUAAACUCUCUCAUAAAACUGACUUAUCAGUGCUAUGUAAAUAUGCUCUUCUAAAAAGGCUGACAGAACUUCAUAAGGUCGUGCAACAAAAGUUGACAGUAAAAGACCACUAAAAAGAUAUUCAUUCAAUUCUAUCAAGAACAGAGCACAAUUUGAUGCUUUGGAACAGUUUUGCAUAUGGCUAGUUAGGAAUUGAUGAGAAAUAAAAAUUACUUGCUUAUCAUAGCUACUCAGAGUAGGCAAAUCGAUGUGAACUUGAGAGACGUGUAUGGUGAAGAUGGAGCCAGCAAGUGUAGCACUGUUCUUUAUGAGGCAACUUACAUCUUGAUCGACAGUCCCCAGAACCUGCGGAAAACUGACCAUGAAUAUAAAAAAGAAACAACAAAGUUAUGUAAUUUCUAGUGUAAUUCAACUAGCACCAAUAAAUAUCUCUACCUCAAGCCACACAGAUGUUGUUUCACUUCCAGUGAAAAGAUACUGCCCGACAAAAAUAGUGUCACCUUCCUUCACCGCCUACAGUCCGAAAAGAAGAAGGAUAUCAAGAUCAUAUGAAGACUUGCAGAGAAAAGAUGUUAAAAUGAUGAUGCAAAGAAACGAAUGCAUCAGAAUGAAGCCCGAAGAUGCAGAAAUGCAGUGCUACAUAUAGUGCGCUAAUCAAGAUUGUCUUUAGAGAAAUCACAGUAGGAUGCAAAAUCACACUAGCAAAGAUGAUCUAAUAAGAAGAAUGGAUCUAAAAAAUGAAUAAGGCUGACAAUUUCAAUUGUCUUCUUAGUGCCACUCAUCACAAAUUGCUGUUACAGACAAAUGGAUGCUUGAUUGUCGGAUCACUAUAUAACAUGACAAAAAAAAAAAAAAACAGACGAAGAGCUUCAGUAUGAAUAUGGGUAUUGCACUAUAUUCAGGUUCACCGCCCCAAAUAUCAAAAUGCACCUAUAUGUGCUCAUGCCUCCAUUUCUUUGCUACCUUAUAACAUACAUAUGUCAGGAGCAAUGCAGAAAACAAAAUCAUCAUCACAAAGACAUGCUUACCACAAAUUUAUGCCAUACCACAAAUCUUACAAAUGGAUUAUCAUGCUUACCUUGGCAAGAUGAGCGAAAUUAAUGGGUAAUAUCUCAGCUGAGGGAAUUUUCGAAAGGUCUGGGGUUAUUGUGACAUGAUUUCCAGCCUUCAGCUCAAUUGAAUUGCCCGUUGUAUUUUGAACCUGUAUCUCUGGACCCACGGUAUCCAGCAUUACCUAAAAUCACAUCUUAUUAGAUGUUAUCAGCCAAAUUAUUCACAGGAAACAUGAACUUACUAAUAAUAAGACUAGUGCAACCACAUAAAUAUGCAGAAAUAAAUCAUCACUUUGAUGUUAUAUAAGUAAAACAUUCUAAACUAUUUUGACAAAUGUUGGAUCUUUUAAUAAUAUCGGAAUUCGACCACUGCAGUGAGUUCUUAAGACCCAUGGAAAGAACAGAGUCUCUUGAUGAUAUUCAACAUUAUAUGGUUUCACUUACAGCACACAACUUCUUGGCAUUAGCAACAGCCGUCCUCAAAUUAUUGAGAGUCUCUUGAUGGUAUUCAGCAUUCAACCCGGAGAAGUCGAAGCGUGCAACUGCCAAAGCCAAGACACAAGAAUGUCAGACCAAAAGUUUCAUGCACAUGCACAGGCGAUCCAAUGACCCACCAACAAACCUGCCAUUCCAGCUGUAAGGCAUUGCUCAAUGGUUUCUACAGAACGUGACUUUGGCCCAAGCGUCCCAACAAUUUUCGUCAGUGACGGAAAGAAUUUCUGCAAUUCCGCAAAACAACAAUAGGUGGCAAAAUAGAAACACAUCAGAUGAUACAGAAUAUUCCGGCAAUUAAUUUUUCAGACUCUUUCUCCAACUUCAAUAGGAUUACAAAGCAUUUAAAAUUUCUUUUUUAUUUCUCCAUUAAAAUGAAGACACGAUGAGGACUUUAGUAGAACAUACUUGUGUACAAUCAUUAUAGCUAGCGUAAUUAACUAUCUUUUCCAUUCUGGAUCGCAAAAUAAAAACACAUCAGAUGAUACAGAAUAUUCCAGCAAUUAAUUUUUCAGACUCUUUCUCCAACUUCAAUAGGAUUACAAAGCAUUUAAAAUUUCUUUUUUAUUUCUCCAUUAAAAUGAAUACACGAUGAGGACUUUAGUAGAACAUACUUGUGUACAAUCAUUAUACCUAGCGUAAUUAACUAUCUUUUCCAUUCUGCAUCACUCUUUUUUGGAAAUCAACUGAUACAACAGUUAAAACCAUUGUCAUCUUCUCCAGUUUAUAGAUCUUGCCUCUUCUACAGUAUAAAUCGAUCAAACAGUAUCCAAUUUAUCAUUCAAAAUCUGCCCUUCUCUUUAUCACCAACAUAUAUCACACUCGCAUAAAGCAUUCCUACGACAAUUUCCUAUAUCGACUCCCUCUGCAUUGUUCCCGUACAAGUUGACUUCCAAUAAAUCCGCAGCAUAGUUCACCAAAGCAUACGCAAAAAUCAAAUUUUAAGAUAUAAAUCGAAUUCCACAAGUAACACGAACAAACACAUAUUCUGAUUUCAGCUGAUCCAAUCACACCAAGGCUAAAAAAAGCAUCCAAAAUCGAAACUAAAAGUAAAAAAAAAAAAGAAAACAAUAAUGAAAACAAUACUGGAAUCUGCAACAACGGAUCACGAUUCGAUCAUCCACAAACAAAAUCGGAGAUGUUAUCAUCGUUCCGAUCAAAAGGGGGGGGAGAGAGAGAGAGAGAGAGAGAGAGGGAGUGAGAUUGAUCUUACGGUGUUGGAGGGGCAGAGAACGGAGGCGAGGCGCACGGGCUCCUCGAUCAGCAUGUGGCCCCCCUGCAUCGCGAAUCGAGAUCGGGGGGUUUCUAGGGUUUGGAUCGAGAGAUUUAGGGUUUCGAUUUGGGCGUAGAGGAGGGAGAGAGGGGGCGAAAGAGGAAGAAGCGGAGGUGGAGGGAAAAAGCGCGUGCGAAUACGCGACGGUUUUUUUUUUUUUAAUUUAUUUUUUUUAAAAGCUUGGGGCCGAAGCCACAGGUAUUUAUAAGGGGACGGAGACAAAUGAGGAGGCCGUUGAUAAUUCUUUUAUUAGGAAAAAUUUCAGAUACCCCCCUAUUAUUUACUCUUUUUUAAAUUUGAUCCUAUGUAAUUUUGCUCAUAUUAUUUAAAAGCGUUAAUUGCAUAUAGCUUUAUGUAAAUAUAUCAAAUUAUAAAUAUAUCACUAUAAAAUUCAAUUUUUUAUUUUUAUUUCUACAAAAGUCUAAUGAUAUUCAUAUUUGCCGUUCUGAUUUGUUAUUAUUAGAGCACUGUUUAUUUCUUAACAGCAAAUAAUUGAAAUACUAUUUUUGUCCUUACAUAUAUGUAUAUAUAUUCCUUUAAAAGCUCUAACUGUUAUAAUUAUGCAGAAAUAUUCUCUAAAAAAAAUAUUUUAUUUAAUAAUAUAAGAGGGAUAAAAGCUCAAUUUAACUCAUUUAUUAAUCAGAGUUAAAUAUUUUAUUUAUGGUUAACUAUAUUUUUCUAAUAGAUCCUACUAGCAUAAGUAUAUUUGAAAAUAUUAAGACUUUUGUCAGAAAAAAAAUAAAAAGUUGAACUUUGUAGGAACAUGGAGCUGUAUGCCGUCGGAUCGUUGACACUAACCAUUAAUUCCGAAAGCUCGAGCUGUUAGAAAAACGCAACCAAUUUACUUAAAGCGUACAGAUACAGCGCCUACGGAUUUCGAUUGUGACUCUGCCCAAUCAGCCUCACGCCACAAGACAGGAUGCUAGCCUAUUUAAGCAAACAAUACCCUCUUUAGCACCUGUACACAUUUGCAGUAUGCGGGAAUCGAACCUGUGACCUCUGACUCUAAUACCACUUGUCGGAUCGUUGGCGCUAACUAUUAAUCCCAAAAGCUUGAGCUGUUAGAAAUACGCAAUCAAUUCACUUAAAGCAUACAGAUACAACACCCGCGGGUCUCGAUUGUGAUUUGGCUCAACUAGCCUCACGCCACUUCGAACAUAACUCGACCCAUUCAGCUUCACACCACCUCGAACAUAACUUGGCCCAACAUGGCCUCCCGCCACAGAAUAAGAUGCUGGCUUAUUUUAGCCAACAUAUGCAACUAACGCUAUUAUGCAAAAUCUACUUUUGAUUGUUUUGGAAUAAUAUCUAAUAUGCUCUCCAAAACUUAUUGACACUACCAUCUUAAUCCUUAUAUGUCAUAAUUAAGUAAAAAAGUGCACAAUUUAAGAAUUAAAUUGAGCUACACUAUUAUUCAUCAAUAUUUUGUGAAUGAUGUUGUAUUAUGAUGCUAACUUAUGAAAAAUAAUAAUCAACAAAUAGGUAGCUACGAAGCUCAUUCCAUAGAGAGAAAUUUUCGUCGAAUUGCUCAUGUUAAAGGGCAAAGAUUACAACAUGUUUGCAAAUGAUAUUCACAAGUUAAUCUCAUUGCUUAAUUAAAUCUCUCCAAGAGCAAAUUCAUAGCCUUGUGGUAAGUAUAUAUAUUUAUAUAUCCACACAUGACACAUGCAAAUCAUUUAUAGUUUCUUGAAUAUGUAAUUGAUUUUUUUUAAAAAAAUUUUCUCAACCAUUUUAUGCAGAAGAAGUUCAGGUUGGACAGGUUGAAAUCAACAUAAUGGAGGUAUAUUUUUUUUUGUAUAUUUAUCUGUGUACAAAUUUAUAAUAUUGUUCCACAAUGAAACUAAGAUGUAUGUUCAUUGAAGAAGCAUCUUUAUUAUGUAAAUAACUUUGGUUUAUUGUCCACAUCAUAUUAAGUUAACAUCUUUAUUGUGUUUGCUUCUGUAGUUUUCAAUUGAUCAUGUGGUUUGAUUUGGAUGCAUAAAAAUCAAUCUCUCUCUCUCUCUCUCUCUCUCUCUCACUGCACACAUAAUUGAAGAUCUAUUUUAUUGAAAAACACUUAGAGAAAGAUUGAUAUUAUAAGAAACAAUCUCUCUCUAUUUUAUUAAAAAUGACUUAGAAAAAGAUUGAUUUAAUAAGAAACAAGCCUUCUUUCUCUCUCAUACACACACGAAGAUCGAUCUUAUGCAAAACGACUUAGAAAAAAUCGAACUUAUAAGAAACGAUCUAGAAAUUAAUAAUCUUAACAAUUCCGUCAUAAUUUUUUGUUUUAUUACAAUGAGUCAAUUCAAAAAUCACAAUAUUUGGGAAUGUAACAUCUCCCUUCAAUAUCCUUAAUUCACUUCCCUGUUACCACAAAUUCCAUGAAAAUAAGAUUCCCUAAUUUAAUAAAGAGGAUUUUUUUUUAAAUUUUUUGAGCAAGAGGAAUUGUAUCAGUCAAUGUUGGUGAGAAACAUACACAUCCAUCUUCACAAUUCCACCAUCUUUAAGGUUGUAAUCGUAAUUUUUCGACAAGAGGUACCCCUUCGCGAAUCGAAAAUGCCGAGUCCCGCCGACCACCACCGACUCCCGCACCGGUUGGUCCAUGGCAAUCCGGCCGUGCACGGCGAGCGAGCUUCCUUUUAAUGGCCCGUCCUCGAAUGCUAGGUGUAAGCUCAGGUCCGACACAAUCCCGUCCUCCGCCACCCGAACAGCAAAACCCUGACGCACUAAAUAUAAAUGAUUAAAUCACCAUGCUCUAUCAGCUUAAAUAAUAUUAGUAAAUGAUUAUCCUAAAAGGAUAACUUUCGGUUUUCUCUACAACAGAGGCGAGACAGAAACUCUAUGAUGGAGAUUUUGCACUUUUUCGAAUGUUCAACUCGAGUGUUUAGCAAAUAGUUUAAGUUUUUGGAGAAAAAUAUUAUUGUUUUGGACCUGAGCCUUCCCGAUGGCUUGCGAGUCCGGGCUUGGGUCUUCAGUAAGCACGUUGUUGAGCACGACGAUAUCACGAAAGCGGCGGGGGGAGGAGGAUUCACUGUUCAUCGACGGAGCGGUUAUGACCCGCAUGGCGGUCGGGUGCGGGCUGGUGUAGUCGUCGUGCAUGUAGAAGUGCAGGUGGGCGGUGCCGUCGUCGUCGGCAUCACGAACGUAGUAUGAAGCCGAACAGGUAGCUACGAAGAGCAGGACAGAGAAAAGGAAGCAAAAAGAGAUAGUAGGAACAAAAGAACCCAUUAAUGUUUUUGAAGUGUCACAAUGUAUAAUUUGUUUUGCUAUACUUCUCCCUGAGCAUUGGUAUUUAUAGAUAGAAAAGGUAGGCUAUAAUGAUUCAAUCUAAUCAGCCGUUCAUUUUAUCACUUAGUUUGAUGAAUCAAUCAUUGCAUUAUAAACAAAAAAAAUAUUCAUUAAAUAAUCAUGUUAAAUAAAGUAAGCAAUUAAUAAGCUACUAAAAAGAAAGGCUAGGUAAACAUGUUCAAUCGAAAGAAAAAAAAAGUACGGAAUCCCCUCAGAGUAAAACAGUUUAAUCAAUGGUUCACCUAAUUUUUAUUUGUCAACAUCAUCCAUAAAUGAGAAAAAUAAUUAUUAAUUAUAUUAAUAAAGUAAAUAAUCAGCUACUAAGAUCAGUAGCCCGAGCUUUUAAUUAACCUUCAAUUUGUCACUGCGAGCUUCACUUGAGCGAACUUCUAGAGCAGUUUCUUUUUAUCGUCGAUAUGGAGCAUAAAUUGCUUAAGAAUUUUAAAUAGCUAAGAUUGUGCUAUUAUUGUAUAGAAAUAUGGUAUAUAGAAAAACGCAAGUACAAGUUGCAUUUGUUUGUACAUAAUUACAUCUUACAUUUGUACAUGUUACUUCUUUUCGAUACUAAACCCUUUUCAUUCCGAGAAAUUCUAUUACGUAUCAGUCACACCACAUUAUUUAUUAACAACUAAUAUCUAUUUUUUAAAGUAAAAAGUAUGAUUUUUUUUUUCUAACCCGAGGAGAACAAUCUAAUUGGCUGAUGACGUUAUAUCAGUAAUAUAACUAGUGCAUUUUAGAAAUUUUUUUUUCUCAUUUCGCCCAGAAAAAUAAAUAGUAAUUCGUACGAAAUCAAUCCAAUUAAGCCAUAUGAGGUCAAAAUAAUAUCCAAAUACACAACACAAUAUGAAAAUUUUAAUUAAUCAUUACUAUAUAAUAUAAAAAAAGAAUUGUCAUGCCAUAAAUAGAACAUCGAUCAUAAGCAAAUAGAAACACAAAAGAUAUGAUAUCUAGAAAUAGGGAAAUGAAAUUAAAAUAACGACCAAGCCAAUUCAAAACAAAACUUUGCAACGAAUUACUAGCCCCAAAAAAGUGCUAAAUUUUGAUUGAAUAACUUUGGAAUGCGUUUACCAAUCCCUAACAAUUGAAGAAAUUAAAUGGUAUUAAUUUGUAUGAUUGCGAACUUAACCAACCGUAUUAUUUUGUUCUUUUACUGAUUCAAAACAAUGAUUGAAAAUUAAAGAUGAUCUCUAUAUGAUUAUGAACUUAACUAAAUUAUUUGGUUUCUUAAAACAUAGUGGCAAUAUUGUUGUCAAUGAAAUUAUAUUCUAUCAUGUUGUGAAUUUCAGCCACAUUUUUCUUCAAUGAUCGAUUCCCUUAGUAUGAAAAAUUUGUUAAGAGUCGUGUUUCUUUUUCAUUCGCAUAUUUCUUUCGUACAUGCGUGUAACAUGAUUCACAAUUGGGGAAGCACCAUUUCAAUGUUGUAGCCAACACGCGAAGCAAAUGACGACACGCAAAUAUAAAUUUUAAGAAAAGAAUCAAGCGAUAAAAAACAAUGAGCAAUUAUCAAGCACAACGUCAUGUAUUACUAUUAUGCGAUAUCAUGGUGUUAAUAGUUUGCAUAUUCACUUGGGAUGGUCGGAAACAGUUGUGGGGAUUAGCUGUCGCCCCGCGGGUUAAAACUUUUCUCUGGAAGUAUUUUUGGGAGAGACUCCCCACUAAGGAUUUCCUGCAGCAGAGAGGCCUCACUCAAAGUAAUUUAUGUGCCUUAUGUGGAGAGGCUGCUGAGAAUAUUCAACAUCUGUUUUUCCAAUGGCUAUUCCAAAGAGGUAUGGCACAUCUUUCAGUUAGAUUAGGGCAAGGUUAUUAACGUCCAACAGUUGCAUGAUGGGUGCUGGCUGACUUCUAAGGUGCCGAAUGAUCUCAAAGCUAUGAUUGCUGCUAUUUUAUGGUGCAUUCGGAAAAGUAGAUGCGCCACUCUCUUUAACUGUGAGAGCUUUAUUGCUCCUACCAUUUUUAGAUGUGCAAUGAUGGCCUUCUGGAGUGCCUAUAACCCAACUAACAAGCCAACUAACAAGUUUGCUAAACAGUCUACAAUGGAUGUCGAAACCAUUGUUAAAUGGGACCUUCCACCUCCUGGAUGUUUCAAAAUAAAUUCUGAUGGUGCUUUUAACAUGCAAAUCUCAAAGGGAGGUGGGGGUUUUAUUAUUCGUACUGAGAUGGAAAAUUUAUUCUGUGCAGGGGCAGCCCAAUUCAUGGCUACAUCGGCCUUGCAUGCGGAGGCCACCGCUCUGCUCGAGGCGUUGAAGGAGGCAAUCAAGCGUGGAAUCUCUAAAGCUAUAGUUGAAAUAGACUCUCAAAACUUGUUCUCUUAUGUUAGUUCACAGAUUGAACCUCCUUGGCGACUCCAAAAUAUCAUUGACCGAUGCACAUCUCUGGCGAAGCAUUUGCAGCAGUGUAUUUUUGUUAAAAUAUAUCGUGAAGCCAAUAGGGCCGCUGAUUAUUUAGCAAGUCAUGCGCUUAAUUCAAGAAGUAAACUGGUUUUUGAUCCUACCAGUGACCUUUCCAUAGACUUUGUUAGGAUUCUUUUUGAAGACUCUGCAGGUAGAGUCUUUUUGCGCAAAGUGUAAUCGAUUUUUGUUUUUAAUAAAUUAGCCUGUUGGCUCUUUCGACCAAAAAAAACAAAAAAAGAAAAGUUAAAGGUGAUCCAUCAUUUCUACACAUAUUGGCUAAUAUAGUCAACCCAAAAUAAAUGCACCAUUAAUGUUUAACUAUGAAAUUUCAUUGUCAAUUGUUGAGCCAAUAAGAGAAAACGAAGAAGAAUACAUAAUAAAAAUGACUGAUUCCAUGAUUUUCAAUGUGAAUGAUUUCGACUUAAUUAAUUGUCAUGUUAAGUUAAUGAAACACAAUUACAUGAACAUCAAAAACAAUCUCACAAGAAAAUGUUAUGCUAUGUUCUUAGAAUAUUAUCUCUUGAUGUUUUUCCUUUCAUUUUGAGGCUAUAUUUUCAAAAGUCAAGAUCACAUAUAUCUACUUUUCAAAACUUGAAGAGAAAAGAGAUUAAUUCUUUGACAUGUACUUAACCAAAUUAUUUUUGUGGUGGAGAUGUUGAUCACAUUACAAUUUCAACCAUAUCCACCAAGCUAUGAGCACUGUUUUUCUUUUUUUUUAAUAAACUUAGCUGGAAAUGUGAAUCAACUAGGAUUCGAACUUGGGUCUCGGAUACCAACCACCAAAUCCUUUGCCACUUGCUCUAGAGACGGUCGGUAUGAGCACUGUUUUUCAAUAUUGUAAAAAAAAAGAAAAGUCCAUUCAACUCAGAUCUCCUUUAUUUAACACACACAGGAUUUGGCAACUAAGAUAUAUAUUUUCUUUUUUCUCAUCACUAUUAAAAAGUUGAAUAAAGAAGAGGUAUAAUAUUUGUCAGGUCUCAUCUCCAUGAGCAAUAGCAUUUUAUGUAUAAAACUAAUAUAUAAUCAGCUCAUAAAUGUUUAUUUCUAUGCAGUUUUUUCGAUAUCACUCAAAUGUAAUUAGAUGUGCAUAGGAAUGUGCACCUAAUUUUAAAAUAUUUUAGAUUAUAUGUAUUAAAUAUUAAUUUUAAUUUUAUAAUUAUUUAGAUAUAACUAAUACAUUUUUAUAAAAAAAACACUACAAUUAAGUUUUUUUCAAAAUAUAUUUAAUUACAAUAAUUACAUAAAAUAUACUAACUAAAUAUAUAAAACUAAGCAACAAAUUCAAAAAUCAUAACACUCUAAAAUAAGAAGGAUUAGAAAAGAAAAAAAAAAAAUCAAAAAAGAGACAGAGAUAGGAGUGGGUCUAAAAAUAAUAAACCAGUUAAAAUAAAUAAAAAUCUCAUUGUAAUAUUAAAAAAUACAUAACAUUUUUUUAUUAUUAUCCUUGUAGAAUUUAAAAAUAAAAAAAUAAGAAAAUCAAUUAAAGUAAAAUAUAUAUUUUUGUUUGAUUCUCAAAAUAAAUUAUUAUUAUAAUAUAUAUAUAUAUAAUAUAUAUAUAAUCUCAAAGAGGAACUCUCUCUCCUCAGGCGGCAUCACGUGCUCACUCGUGGACCGCUGCAAAAAGAGAAGUGAGCUUGAUUUUUUUCAACUGUAUUUUUUUUUUUUUUUUUUUCGGCUCGCGCCCCUGCCAGCGCCGGCUCACCCCAUCUCCGCCGCCGACGUCUGCACGCCCGCCCGGCCCCGCCCCAGCUCGCACCGCCCGCUCGAGCCCGCCUGCGCCCGCGCCGCCCGCUCGCGCCCGCCCUCGCGUCCCUCGCACCCGCCACCACGUGUCGAGUCAGGAAAGCUCAGGUUCUCAAUUCAUAAGUUUAUAAAUGCCAUAAAUUGGCAGAUAAAAAAAAAAGAAAAUACAAGAAUUGUAAUGCCAUAAAUUGAUUGGUUGGGAUCAUUUAAUAAGAACAUAAAUGGAGUGUCCCGAACAUUAAAGCACGGAUACGGAGACUCAUGGGCCAAAUCUUAUCCAUUACUGUGAAUUGGUUGUAAUUAUUUAAAUACGCGUGAAUACGUGGUAUGAAUUACAUCGUAUGAAUACGUAUUCGUACAUGCAUAAUUGCAAAUUGGUUCACCCCACUGCUUUUGAGUGUUAUAAUUAACUUAUUAUUUAAUAAGUAGUUAAACAUGCAUGAUUUACAUUUUAUGAACUUUCUAAAAGCCAAAAUUCUUGAUUUUUUAAAAACAAUUGAUCAUUAAAUAAAUAAUAUCAAAAAAUUAUAAAAUUUAUUUUUAAGAAGCUCAGGAACGUAGAUGAUGUAUAUGUAUAUGUAUAUGUAUAUGUAUGUAUGUAAAAAACGAAUAUAUAUAUAUUUUUUUUCAUUCUCAAGGGAAUAAAAGAACAUUCCAUGCACAUUUUAAACAAAAUUAAUUAACUAACUAAAAACAAAUUAGAUUGAAAAAAUACAAUGGUUUAAAAAUAGACUUAACGAAUCAAUAAUUGUUAAAUUCAAAUAAUAGAUUCAAAAUUGAAAGUUGGGUUUUUAAAUUAAUUCAAAUUUUUAUAGUUUAGGUAGGUAUUUAAAAAGAUUGUAUAUUAUGGAAUACAUAUAUAAAGUAUUUACGGUAUAAUUAAUUUGGAAAUAUACUUAGAAACAACUCAAUUUACAAAAGAAAUCAAUUGAAAAUAAACUCUGCUACUAAUAGCCUAAUUCAAAAUCUAGAUUCAGAAUUUAUUUUAACUUAAAAUCUAAAUCUAAAUCUAAAUCUAAAUUUAAAUUAUUUUUACAAAAUUGUUACAAAACGAGGCUUAAAAGGUUUAAAACCUUACAAUGGCAAUCACCAGGGCCAUAUACUUCAAAAUAAAAAAAAGCGAAUCGGAUCCUAAUUGAAUCGGGUUCAGAUCAAAUUCGACCCGGUUCACAAACGUCUCGUCCCCUCUCCGUUCGAUCCCUCCUCAUCCUCCUCCUCCUCCUCCUCCUCCGCUAGGGUUUUGCUAGGGUUUCUUCUUCCUCUCUCUUUCUCUCUCUCUCUCUCUCUCUCUCUCUCUCUCUCUCCACCGUCGCGGCGACGUUGAAGCUGGGAGAGAUCGAUGUGGUUCCUCUGCGUCUUCUACCACAGGCUCCUGGACUACAGGCGCCCGGAGGUGGAGGCGCUCGCGGAGCUCUUCGGCGCCUUCGGCGGCGGCGGCGGCGGCGGCAACGGCGGCGGCGAGGGUGGAGGAGGAGGUGGAUGGGAAGCGAACCCUAGAAAAUGGUCGCUGGAGUGGAAGCUCCCGGAGAACCACCACGUCGACUCCCCCUUCCACUUCGUCUCGCUCCCCUCAGAGGAGAUCGCGCGGAAUAUCGCCAAUCGGAGUGAGCUCCUCUCUCUCUCUCUCUCUCUCUCUCUCUCUAGUGAUUUGUUACCAAAUGGAGUGUUAAAUUUGUGAUUGAAGUGAAAUGCACAUCACAGUGCUUUAUUGGUUGUGUUAGUGAUCAGAUCAGUUAUCAGAAUCACCUCUCUAUGUGAGAUUUCACUCCUAUUUGGGUGCUAAUUUGAGAAAAAUUAGUACUUUUUGAGCUUUAGCUUUUAAUCUUCAACUUUAUUUAAUGGAAAGAGUUUUUCCUUAUAUUUUAAGUAUCAGCUAUUAGUAUAUUGUUAACUGAAUCAAUUUUUUUUUUUUUGAUAUAUAUAUAUAUCUCAUAUUGUUUACAUGUAGUAUCUUGAAAGCCAAAUGGGCGAUGAAUCGAACAUUAAUUGGAAUAGUUUAGAUGGUAUUGCAUUAUUAUAAACAUUAUAUUGAGGCCUUUUUUUAAAAAUGUAUUUUACAUGAUCGAGCACACUUUCACAUACUGAUACUUUUUAGCAUUUAUUUGAUUGUAGGUAUACUUGUUAAGGGAAUAUACGAACUUUGGGGGCAGGGGAUUAACUAUGAAGAACUGGAAAAGGCUGUAAGAGAAUUUCCAGAUGAAAGGAAGCUGCCAUAUCUGACACCAGAGAGCACAUUCCGAAUUGUCGUGGACAGCUUUGGCAAAGUGAUUAGUUUCGAAGAACAAAAUGAGCGGAUUCAAGGACUUAGUUACAUACCAUUUCAGGUAAUUAAUUUUUUGCUUCUUUUUUUUCCCUUCUUCACUCUUUUGGUUAUAACCAUGCUUACAUUACCAACUUCUAAGAUAUAUUAGCUUUUCUAAUGGCCAAUCUUAAUAAGUUAUGUAAUGCUGCAUAAUGAAAGUAGAAAUUCACGUGGAAUAACAUCUAAUGAAAACAAACUCGCCAAGUUUGAGAAUGUAUCUUUUGCGUGCGAAAGGAGAUUCUCACCCGCCCCUUUUUUGGCUCUCUCUAUAUAGUUCAUAUGGGCAUGAUAAAGUUCAUCUUGCUAGAGAUAAAAUACUUACCAAGCUUAUAGCUUUUCGAUACCUAUCGCUACACAAAAUUUAACUUUCAUCCGCUCCAUGAAAAGAGUAAAAUACUAUAUGCUCUCGCCUUGCCAGACUCUCUAAGAAAUUAUAGGAUGAUCAGGUUGUUGCUUUGCAUAAUCAGUGUCGUCCUUUUUCCAGGGGCGGGUCGAUUUGAAGAACCCUGAACACAAGUUUUGGCUCAUUGAAACCGAUGAUUAUGGGGCGAACAACGGACUCCCCCCAGUUGUUCAGAGGACAGUAUUUUUUGGUCGAGAGGUUGGGGCAGCUGAUAGGAAGCUUUUGCCUACAUAUCAGCUUAAGAGCCGUAAAUACUUGGGGCCCACGGCCAUGGACGCGGAAAUGGCCUUUAUCAUGGCCAAUCAAGGGUUAGCUCAAAAGGGAAAGCUUGUCUACGAUCCUUUUGUUGGCACUGGGAGUAUUCUCGUUGCUGCUGCACAUUUUGGAGCGAUGACGAUGGUUUGUGCUUGCUCGGAGAAUAUUAUUUUCUUGCCCAUUUUUUUAUUAGUCGUUUAAUAUUCUUCUCUGCAUUGAGAUUCUGAUAGAGAAACUUCAGGGUGCAGAUAUUGACAUAAGGGUUGUGCGCGAUGGGCGUGGGCCUGAUUGCAAUGUUUGGAGCAAUUUUAAGCAGGUAGUUCUUUGGCACAUUUUUUAGCAAUUUUAGAAAGUAAUGUCUUGUUCUUUCUUUUUUAUGUUAAAUUUUCUUUUUGAUUUUUGAUUUAAUUCCAACUCUCUUGCCAAGUGCCAAUUUCACUGGAUAUUAGCUUUUAUAUAUCACCUAUAUGUAGGAUGACACCUGUAGAUGACUGGCGAAAAUGUCGUUUAGAACACCUCUGAGAUUUCUAUAUCUGUUAUUUUAUUCAAAAAUGUUUAAUGAGAUAAGAUAACCAUCCCUUCCUAAUGAUUACGCACUAUGGGCGUGUUUGGUUCGAAGUCGGAGUCGGAAUCGGAAUCGGAAUCAAAAUAAGCUGGAAUCGGAAUCAGAAUGAUUCAUUAUCUAAUUCCGUUUGGUUCAUCACCUAAAUCGGAAUCGGAAUAAAUCAUUCCCAUUAUCGAUAUUUGGUUCAGAUGGAUAUAAAAACAUAAUCAAAUUAAUAUACUAACAUUAUCUUUAUAAUAUACUAAUUUAAAUUCAAAUUAAAUAUUAAAUAUUAAAAAUUUACAUCAAAAUUUUGAAAUAAUGUCUCUAUUUUUUUUAAAAAAAAAUUAAACUUUAAUUUGAAUCCAUAAAUUUAAUUUAAAGUUUGAAAUAAAAUUUGAAUGAACUUUAUAUAAAUUAAAAUUUAAUUUAAAUUCAAAUUCAUAAGUUAGAUUCGAAAUACUUAAUUAAAUUUUAAUUUUUAAUUUAAGUUCAAAUUAAAAUUUAAAAUUAUAUAUUUAAUUUUUAAAUUUUAACUCAUAUUUUAAUUAAAAAAAUUAAAAAAAUAAAUUUAAUCCGAAUAAAUAUCCAUUCCGUCCGGAUUCAACUUCCAAUCCGGCCUUCUAGGCCGGAUUGAAAAAAGGGGUGAUUGAGCGAUUCCCAUUUCACUCGGGAAUCGGAAUCGGAAUGGGACUCCCACGUACCAAACACCCACAAACGGAUUCACUCAUUCCCAUUCCAAUUCCAUGGUAAAAAAGAAGCGAACCUAACACGCCCUAUAUAUAAUGUUAGACUCAUACCACUACGCUAAUCAACCAAAUGAUGAUCUUUGUCAGAGUUCUUUUCUUGACGUUACAAUAGAGUAUAAACACUAUGUGAUGAAUGGUUCAUGGUAAAUUAGCAUCAUUCUUUUGAUGCGCAACUUCAGUAGUUAACUUGUUACAGCCUAUUUUUGCUCUCCGGGACAGUUUAUAUAUUGUGUGCUUUCGUGGUUCUUGUUUUUAGCUGAUUCCUCUACUAACUGUAAUUUCUUUACAGUACAACUUGCCAUCGCCAAUAUCUCUACUGAGGGCGGACAAUAACCUGCCUCCUUGGCGUCCAGGAUUAAAGGAGGUAUUUUCAUUUCUCUGUAUGGUUCAUUAUGGUAAAUGCUGGUUCUUAUGGUUGCAGACGUACUAUUUUUGUAAGUUUUAUAGUCGGGCGCUUGCUUUCUUUUUUUAAUAUUUGUUGCGGAUUAAAAUUGUCUUAGCUUGCUUAGAUGUUGACCUAUCUAUAGCAUCAAAGCAUACUUGUAGACAUAUAUUGAUGCGACCAAAGAUGUGUAUGAUGGCAAUGAUUAAUGUGAGCGAAAACAAGAAGAAAAUGAGAGAACCUUUCUUUUAGAUUUCAUUAUUCUGUUCUUUAUUGAAGUUAAUGCAUGUUGAACAUUUCCUUUCUUCUUUUUUUUUUUUUUUUCGGUAACUAGGUGUUUGACGCGAUAAUCUGCGACCCGCCCUAUGGGGUCCGUGCAGGGGGUCGGAAAUCUGGCGGUCGAAAGCUUCUUAAAGGUGCCGUGGGCCCCUACACAGUUCCGGAGGAGAAACGGUUCGACCACAUACCGUCAACUGCUCCUUACAGCUUAGCGGAGUGCGUGCACGACCUUCUCGACCUCUCCGCGAGAAUGCUAGUCAUGGGGGGCCGGCUCGUCUUCUUCUACCCCGUGGUGAGGGAGGACGGCGUGACUAACAACACCCAGUUCCCGGAGCACCCGUGCUUCACACUUAUCGCUUCUUGCGAGCAGAUCCUUAGCUUUCGCUACAGCCGAAUUUUGCUUACAAUGGUUAAAACCGGCCUCUACACCGCGGAGAUCGAAGAAUCAGCAAAGAAGCAGCACUUGGAGUUCAAAGAGAACCAUUUAAAAUGGUUGGAGGACGGAAAUUUACACUCUGCGGUUUUUAGUCCCGCAGAGUCCCAAAUGGCAUCUCUCAAGCUCGAGAGAGACUCGAAGCCGAAAUAUAGAGGGAAGUAUGUGUAGUGAAAUGCUAAUCUUUUUUGUUGUAGCAUUCAUAUUUCAGGCCCCUUUCCCGAAUUCUGUUGGAAAUUUUGGUUUCGAUUAGUUAUCAACCAAUUUCGCUAAUUACGGAAAGUAUGAUUAGUUUAAGUUCGGUGGUGGGGUUAGUGGCGCAUUUCGCUUGUAAACUGAAUGAGGGAGCUAAUGAGAAGGUUGUUUCGGGACCAUCUUGGCAUGACACUGAUGUACUACUUAAACCCUAAUGCUUUUUGGCAAAAUUAAGAUUUUAUAUGCUUUUGCGUGGAUUGCUCGCGAUUUUUUAUACUUCUCUGAAUUGCUAUUGACUUAAUGUUGUUCUUAAACUGUGAAUGAAGCGCAAUGUUUGCAUGCUGUGCAUUAAACUAGAAGCUUGUGAUCAGAAAUUUUGUUUUUCCCCGUGUAAUCCAGUGGUAUGAUUGUGUAUCUACUGUAUCCAAUUUUUUUUUUCUUUUUUCAGUAAAAUUAGGUGUGAAUACUAUUACCGAAUGAAACUUGUUUUAUUAUUAAAUUGAAAAUGUUAAUUGCACAUGUGUGUUUUUAUACAAUUUUGGAGUAAUAAAAGCUCCAGAUUUUGGAUAUUUUUGUAACUCUGGGCAUUUGUUUAACAACAGAUACGGCCAUUGUCUAGUGCUGUUGGUUGGUUGCAUGAAGAGAUAUUUUGGACGAAAGAUGCGGGUUUUUUUUUUUUUUUUUGUAGCAAUUGGUGGUGUCUUAAUGUGAGUAAAAAGUGGCAAUGAGAUAUGUUCGCUUUAAUUUUUAUAUUGAACCACUGUCUAGUGCAGUUAGUUGUUAUUUUAAAUUAUUGAUUGAGUUGUUGCGAAUGCGAUAUUUUAUUUCUACAAAUAGAUAAUUUAGCCCCUGAUUUUUUGGUAAAAUAAGAUGAGUGAUUUGUCUAGGAGGAUUUUUAGAGUGGAACAUGCAAGGGAUUAUUUAAUCUAGCAAUUAGAAGUGUCUUAAUGUGAGUGGAAAGUGGCAAUGAGACAGAUUCAAUUCGGUUUUUAGGAUUUUUUCAAUCGUUUAUUUAUCACUGCUAGAUUGGUAGGUUGAUUAGAAAAAAAGGUGUAUCUAAUUUAAGAGUUUCUCCAAGAUACACACACAAAAAACUCUACUAUCUCAAGCAUUUUUUGUACCACUUAGUUAGGGACAAAAAUUUCGUGGGCACCAUGCCCAAACAAUUGAGUAAUGCUUCAUUAAAUAACACUAUAUCUAACCGAUAUUACUGAUCACGGCCUUACAAAACUUAUUAUAACUCAAUAUUGUAUUUUAUUUUUUUUUUAAAAGAAAUGCUAAAAUAUCUUCCCUUAGUCAUCUCACUACACCACUAAAGACUCCCUCAUUAAACAGCAACACUCCAAUAUCAUGAGGAUUUCAAGUUGGUAGGUCUAAUUUGGCAAUCACAAGGUGAUUCAUUCCAAUCUCAUGUGCUACACUUCACCUAAUUUUGUUGUUGUUUUAUUUUAUUUUAUCUUUUUAUGUCACUCCUCUCCCUUAAUUGGUAGCAUGUAAAUCUCAAUGUACAAUUACUUUAUUAUGAAAUUGAGAUCAUUGUCAUUACCAUACUCUUUAUCUUAAUGCUUUUUUUUUUUAAAAAAAAUUCUUUUUUAAUAGCAUUAAUGUUUUCUAGUUUACAAAUUGUCAUUAAUUAUUUUUUGACUAAAUUACAAAAAUCUCCCAAUCAAUAUCAGCUUUUCACUUUUUCUUUUUGUCAUUCAAAAACCUACACUUUACCCGCUUAAAAAAUAAAAAAUAUUCACAGGAGGUUACGUUGUGACAAAAUAAUUAAAUUGCCCCUCAUUUUCUUAGGGGUGGUGGGCGUGGACAGAGGGUGGGCGAGGGCGAGGGUGAAGCAGCGGAGGAGGAUGAGGGCGUGUGUGUCAGUAUAGACAGAGUGGCGAGCGAGGACGAGGCAGCACGGCCGAGAAUGAGGAAGGAGAAGGGUUUCAGAAAUAUUUUAGGUAUAAAAAAUAGGAUAUAAACGAAACCCUAACGGAACACUGACGGCGGAGGUCAAAGUGAAUAUUUUUUAUUUUUUAAGAUAGCAAAGUGUAGGUUUUUAAAUGACAGAAAAAAAAAUAAAAAAAUAGGUAUUGACGGGUUUUUAUUUGUAAUUUAGCCUCUUUUUUUUUUUCUUAUUUUGUAAGUAGGUUACAAUAUGCAACUUUGCAUGGAAGGAGUCAAGAGUUUGGUUUGCCAUAUUUGGGUCCUUGAUGAUUCCAAGAGAGUUAUUGGGAUGAUUAAAUUGGAAAAGUAAUUGGAUCUAUUUCUUUCACACAUUUUUAAGAGCAAGUCCUUCCUACUCAUGAAUGUUUUUCUUUUUCAUAUACUAUUAUUAUUCAAGUCCUUCCUACUCAUGAAUGUUUUUCUUUUUCAUAUACUAUUAUUAUUCGAAUUUGAGACCCAUUAAGCUAAAAAGUGGUAAAAUUUUUGUAUGAACAGAUCAUAUUUGUUAUGAGAGAGAGAGAGAGAGAGAGAGAGAGAGAGAGAGAGAGAAGUUGGGUGAAGAAGUAUGUUGAGACCUAGGACAUGAUGUGAAAUUUAACCCUAUCUUAUUCCCUCUCUCCCAAAUGAGAUGUGAAAUCUCUUCCUUGCUUAUUUACUACAAAAUUUUGGUAGUUUCAAUAGUUUAGGUUGUACUUCAAUUUCUUGAUGAAAGGAAGGUUUUUAUUGUACUUUGGCUUAUUCUAACCUCACAAAAUAGUCCCUUUCUAGAUCCAACCAUUUAAUUUUUUUUUUUUUUUUCUGUUCCCUUCCAAUAGAUAUUCAAUCAAUUUGAAAACAAAAAAUCAAAGAUUUAAGUACCCAUCGGCAUGAAUCAUAUCCAUAAUAUCGUAUCGUGCCAAUAAAAUAUCAGCACGAUACAACCUCCAUGCCGAUGGCAAUAGCUCAUGCCCUCUAUUCUUUAAAUUAGUAAGUAAUUUUCUUAAUAAAGUUUAAAAAAUUUGAUAAAGAUAUAUAAUAAAUAGGUAGAAUAUUUUAUUGCUAAAGAAAAUAAAUAUUUCAUCACACAUGUACUGUUGUGGUCGGCACGCGUCGAUAUGAUUCGGCAUGCACUGUGUCGUAUUCUGCCAGUAAAUUUUCGGCAUGACUCCAUAUCACGGCACUUAAAUCCUUAAAAAAAAAAAAUUGAUAUCUUCUUGUAUAAUUUCUUUUUAAACUAGCCUUUUUUAAAAAAAAAAUUUUGUUGCCCCUUAUCUCCACCCUUAAUCUUAAACAAUAAGACACUUUAUAAGAUAACUCUCCCUCACCUCACUCAUUUUUUAGCCAAAUGUGCUUUGCUUGGGAGCAAAGAGAUGGUUUGAUGUAGGGCCCAAAUUUUUGUGGUAGUUGGAUUUGGUGACUACAAAAGGGAUGAGGCAUUGAGGUAGGCUACCUACAUGCCAACAAAUUCCUUUUUUUUUUUUGUUCAAAAAAAUAAUUUUAACAAAAACAACACCUCUUAGUUUUAACAUAAAUACCAUCUAUUCAAAAAAAGCAAAAAAGAUAUACCAAAAUUAGAUAAAUUGAUGUCCAAACUUAUUGUUAUGUACAAUGGUCAUGGAUGGUCAAAAUAUUUGGCAUGUAUAUUACCAUCUUAUUUGAAAUUUUCAUAGGAAGAGUCUAUUUCACCCUUCUAUCACUAACAAGAGAAAAGUUAAAAGGGACAAUAGAUGAAGUACAACAAACAACAACAAUGAAGAGAGUGUAGCAGUGUCACUGUUGCAAAACUAAGAAACUGGAAAAGUUGGUCUUUUUGAGUUUUUGAGUUCUCUUAACAUUUUUUUGUUUCUGUAACUUAUUUUGGAGCUUACUUUUUGUAUCUUGUUCUUCUUUUUCACCCCUUUGUUUUGAUCAUCACACUUUAAAAAGUUGCUUCAUCCCCUUGUCAUUUUGGUUUUGCUCCUUGUCCACUGCAGAAGCAAUUCUCUAACUAUUAAUUUGGUCCUCAUAUUUCAUCAUUCAUGUUCUAUCUAAUCUCACUGUGUUGAAGUGAUCCAUUUAAGAGACCUUUUCUCCGAUGCUCUCGUGAUCUCGUGUAAAUAUUUUCGAGUCUCUGAGUUCUUAAUCUGUUAGGAGAAAUAGGAAAUGAGGGUGUAAAUCGCCGAAGCCGAUUGCGAUGAGGGGCCUCGCAGGCAUUGCUUCAGUCCAUGCGGAAACCAGGCACCGGUUGGCGCCGUAAGUUUCAUCACAUUAUGCUUCUCUUUUCUCUCUUUUUUACUUUUCUUUUUCAUCUCUCCGGACAAAGUAUCAGUAUUGUUACUGCAAACCAUAUCACCUGCAACUUUUUUAUCUGAUUCUUCCAGUUUUUAUUAAUCCAUGUCAUAAACAAGUUAGUUAUUUCAUGUUUUUACUCGAAUUACUUUAAUCAUUUUCUUCGAUUAUAUUACUGUGUGGUAUAUGUCGCAGAAUCACCAUUUAUGCUCUUGAUUCUUUAUUUCUUUUUGCUGCGAAAUUUUACGUUAUUUCUUGAUAAAUUGUGCAUUUCUUCAUUUUCUUUCAAAUCCUCUCUUUUUUCUUUCUUUCUUUUUUUUUUUUGAGAAGUUUAAAGAACAUUUGUGGGAGAACCUCUGUUACCAGCGACAUUUUUGAUGCAUUAUCUUUCGGUUUCAAUCACAGAGCAUCAUUUGCCGCUUUUAGUGAAUCCCAAAAGAAAAACCUUUUACACAUGCGACGGCAUGAAACAUAAUCUACAAAUGCGAACAAAAAAAAUCGAUUCGCGUAACACACUCAAUAUGCGGAAAACCGUAAAUAAUCCUUUAGAAGACCAUUGAUAGAGAACUACACUUCUUAUCAUAACUGAAUCUCAGAAUUACUAAUACAUAAAUCAAUUUAGAAGCACAAGUGUUUCAGAAUAUUGGGAAGGUUCGUUUGGUUAUCGCAAAUUCCCAAUUCUACACAAGCUUUACAACUAGUCGAACAUACAUAAUUUUCGCAAAUACAUUUACAUGAAUACAUUUCCUCUUCCCAAUUCCUAGCUGUGUUACGGACCGAUAUAACUAAGUUGGCUUCUUUCCAAUUUCAGCACCAAUUCGAGCAAAAGGAGGUUCCAAAGAAGCAGCAAUCUCAAAGACGGCAGCAAGCCAUUCAUCAAACUGCUGCUCGAGAGCUCGGGUUGCAAAGUACGGUUUCUGAGAUUUGUUCUCGUCGUUCUCACAUGUGGCUUCUUCCUCAUGCUCAUGCACUCUCCGACGGUUCAUUAUAAGGAGCAUUUCAUGUACACUAGUUCACGGUACUUGCCUCAACAUCGCCGCUAGAUAGUCUCUUCUUCUCUGAUAUUUUCUCGUAGCUGUUUCAUGUACACUAGUUCAUAGUACAGACUGACGAAUCUUUCUCAAAGAUGUUGAAUAACUUUUUUGAAUUCGAAUGCUCUGAGCACAGAUCCAGGUUUGUAACUGUCGGAUGGAUGUGGAACCCGGAGAAACCAGACACAGGCUACAAAUCGAACUUGAUCAUCGAUUGGUCGCAGAUAUCGAAAGCAAUUGGAAAACUCAAUAGCCAAAAAGUAGACCUUAAAACUGGUUUGCUGAACUUCAACAAAGAAGAGAUUAAUACAUGGCAGAGCAUUCUACCACGCACUGACGUUUCCGUAGUUCAUCUCGAUCAUGUCCAAAAGAAUGUAACUUGGGAGGAUCUCUAUCCCGAAUGGAUCGACGAGGAAGAAGAAUCUGAAGUGCCCUCUUGCCCUAAUUUUCCCAACCCGAAGCUUUCCAAAAAGGCCCAUUUUGACGUCGUGGCAGUUAAGCUUCCUUGUAGGAGCUCAAAAAGCUGGUCGAGAGAUGUUGCUCGGCUGCAUCUGCAGCUCGCAGCAGCUAGAAUCGCCACGGAGUCUACGAAUUUUCAAAAGCCAGUGUUUGUGCUUGUAGUAAGCAGAUGUCUCCCUAUUCCAAAUCUCUUCAAGUGUAAAUACCUUGCGUUUCGUGAAGGAGACGUAUGGGUGUACAAGCCGGAGCUGAGAGAGCUCAGGGAGAAGCUACAGCUCCCUGUCGGGUCUUGCAAACUAGCACUUCCAUUCAAAGCAAAAGGUCAGCUUGGUUCUCUUAUUUAGUAAAAACGCAGGAAGGAAUUUCGCGCACAUACCCUUGGGAAUGUGCGGAGUUGCGCAGACAUCCCAGUAGAGUUGGUGUUUUCAUGCGUAAACCUGAAAACCUGCCUAUUUGUGACCUUGUCCCUGUCAGGGCAUCAAUGCAAAUGUGGUUUUCUCUAUGCACCUUCAAAGGGGCAUGAAUGCAAAUAACUUGUGGUUUUGGGGCACACAUGCUGAUACCAACUUCGCAGGGAUAAUUGUGCAAUUUCACCUAUUUGCAAGGGGGUAUAUGUUGGAAAAAGUCCUUCCAAGAAACCCCAUACAAAUAUUGUAUAGCUUCAAUUUUGACCUCUGAAAUAUUAAAACCUAUAUAUUACCCCCUAAAAUACAGAAUUCAUCACUUUGCCCCUGAAAAUCCAUCACUUUGCUCGCAAGUUUAAUAGGGGUGCAAUGUAGAUUUUAAAAAUUGACAGGGACAACGUGAAGAUCACAAUAUUUAUGGGGUUUGAUUAUAUAUAUAUAUAUAUAUAUAUAUAUAUAUAUAUAUAUAUAUAUAUAUAUAUAUAUUUCUCCCCCCAGUUCAGGAAAGUUCCACUUACCGCUAUUAAAAAAACAAAUGCAGAACACCCAUACUUACCUUCAUCUCACCGAGUAGCUUACGCGACCAUACUUCACUCUGAGAGCGUAUACGUCUGCGGUGCAAUAACUGUGGCUCAAAGCAUCCGACAAGCAGGAUCCACAAUAGACCUAAUAAUCCUCGUCGAUGAAAAUAUUAAUAAUCAUCACCGAAGUGGCCUCAAAGCGGCGGGUUGGAAAAUAAGAACUAUUAAAAGGAUACGGAACCCUAAAGCAGAACCCGAAUCAUAUAACGAGUGGAACUAUAGCAAAUUCUGGCUCUGGCGUCUUACCGAUUAUGAUAAAAUCAUAUUCAUCGAUGCCGACCUUUUAAUCCUUCGAAACAUCGAUGUUUUGUUUUCAAUGCCCGAGAUCAGCGCAAUUGGCAAUAAUGGAACUCUUUUCAACUCUGGUGUGAUGGUAAUUGAGCCUUCAAAUUGCACAUUUCAACUGUUAAUGGACCAUAUAGGUGAUAUUGAAUCGUAUAAUGGUGGUGACCAAGGUUAUCUAAAUGAGAUAUUCACUUGGUGGCAUAGAAUUCCUUCACACAUGAAUUUUCUGAAGCAUUUUUGGGAAGGAGAUGUGGAGGAGACUAAGGCAUUGAAGACUUACUUAUUUGGGGCCGACCCGCCGACUUUACAUGUGCUCCACUACUUGGGACUAAAACCGUGGUUGUGCUUUAGGGAUUACGACUGCAAUUGGAAUGUGGAUAAUUUGCAGGAGUUUGCGAGUGAUGUGGCGCAUGCCAGGUGGUGGAAGGUGCACGACAGAAUGACUACAUACUUGCAGAGCUUCUGUCUUCUGAGUGAGAAGCAGAAGGGCCAAUUGGAGUGGGAUAGAAUACAGGCAAGGAAGGCGAAUUCUAGUGAUGGCCACUGGAAAAGGACGAUUACCGAUCCGCGACGAAAUAUCUGCAAUGAGGAGAUCUGUAACGGGAAGAAAAAGGAAAAGCUUUCAGACGAUCGAAAUCGGUUAGACCAUGGAUUUAAUGCAUCCAGUUCCACUAAGAUAAUUUCAAAGCUGUAAUUUUUCUUGGUUUCAGUCCCAUUCCUUGAUACAGAUUCUUGCUUCUGAAGAAGAAUAGUGCUUUAGGCUUCCAAUAUAUACACAGAUGCUGAGUGUAAAUUGAACAUUUUAGGACCCUAUACUGAUGCCAUUGUCUAAUGCAUCUCUUGUUUAUAGAAUUUUUUGUGUGAAAAUAAAGCAUCUGUUAUCAUAUUGUUUAAGAACACCUAGUUGUACUUUUCUUCAGAAACAAGCUGUCUUUACAAAACUGGAAUGUGUUCAUUAUUGAACUUCUAAAUAUUUAAUACCAAAUUCAUGUACAUUACAUAAGUCGGACCACUAGAUAUCAUAACUAGAACUAGAACAAAUAUGAACUGCUUUUCUUAGACCUGCAUUGGUUCUAUUUGAGGGGGAAAAAACACUGAAUUGGGGCUAUUUUGGCCCUCGAUACUAAAGCUUCUACAGAAGUAUUGUCUGAAUAGAACUACUUAAAGAAGCAUCGACAACUUUUCCGUCAAAAAUCCCAAGGAUUUCCUACUGCAGUAGAAGCAAAAGCUUCAAACUUAAGCUCCUACAAUGGGGCACCAAAAGCACAAUUCAGCUUGAGCAGAAGCAAAAGAUCCAAACUUUUUCUUUGCAAAAGCCUAAAUGCCGCCUUUUGGAGUGAGCGAUGCAACUUAGGAGACAAAAAGUUUUUAAAUGAGAAAAUAUUUGCAUUACCCGCAUCUAAGUAAUGUAAUUCAUGCACAUUAACAUAUGCCGAAAGAAUGCAAUUUGUCCCUUAAAUCCAAGUAAAAUCAAUUGAAUACUAUUAGAAAACAAAAAAAAGGAUUGAAAUCCUUGCUAACAUGAGACCUCAGCCACUUCUUUUGGAAUUAAAAGAAUUAGUCAUAGUAACUCAAAUAAUUAAUUUGCUUUAGCUUGAAGUAUCAUCUACAAUAGCUUAAAGCUCAAACUUAAUAUUGCUGUGUCUAUGUCCAGUAAGGAAACAUUGCUUUCUUAUAUCCUUUUCAAGGGCCAAUUUCAGUAACACUACUUUAUAAGAGCUCUCUCUCUCUCUCCACCCAAACCCAUGUUACAUAUUUUUGUUCAAGAAUACAGAUAUAUGAAUCUAAAUCAUGAUAGAAGUUAAAACACAAAAAUACCUAGAGAUGAUUAUCUAAAACAAAUAUAAAUCCAGAUUAUAUUUUCAAUAUAACUUUGUCCAAGCAAACUUGGAGAAGAAACUUAAAUUUGCUGCACAAUAUCCUAUUCAGUGUUGCUUUAUAUUACAACUUGAUCAAGUAACUUAUAGCCAAUCAUGCUACCAUAAAGUCAUUAAAAAUGGUUCAUUUAUAGCCGUCAAGAUUCACGAUACAGGUUAGAUGCAAAAUUGGAUUUGUAGAUGAGCAAAAUAAGGAGAUAUGGAACUUGCAAACUCGGUAAAAAAGAAAUAAAAAAGCAAACAUAAGAAUUGAACCUAAAAGAAUGGAACUAUAAGCUAAAAUCUAUGUAAUGAAAGAAAUACAAGGAAAUUAAAAAAAAGUAAAAAAUGGGAAGGUAAAUGAAGGAUCUGGGACUGUCGCACCAAAUCUAGGCAUGGUGACUUAGAUGAAUUUCUUACUUGCAAAGCUUGCUCAUGCUUCCAGAGUACCAUUUCCGUGCAACCAUCUAUGUUGGCGAGAACAACUCAGCAUUUCAUCCAAGAGACCUAAAAAAUGAUGCAUAUCCAUCAAUCCAUGAAUUAUCUCAAUUCCCUGUAUAUUGCUUUCACCUCAUUAUAAUUCCUGAAAGUCCAAUAAAACAUUUCCAGCAACAUCUCCCAUUCAUCUGCCACCAACACCCACACCAGAAACAUCACAAAUCGGUGUCCUUUUAGCUGCAUGAUUAGUAAAUUAUCCACUCGAAUUCCCUAAAGGAAAUUCUUCAAAAACUCUCGGCAUCAAUGAAACAUUAUGGUAACUAUAAUCAAAACUCAAUAGGCAACCCACUCAUCCCCUUGAAUAAAAUUCUCCGGAGAGUAAACACCCAAAUGCUCCUCUUCUAUUUGGCUGCUCCACUCCACUCUCGCACUAGCAUUCGCCCCAGGUCCCAAACUCCCGUACUCCCCAUAGAAUAGCGUUUUCAGUGCAAAAUCACCCCGCCACGGCAGCCACCCCUCAGGUCGCACUACCUCCCCAAAGUAACACCUCACAAACACCGUCCGUGAGUACUCUUUCCACGGCCUCCCCAGAUACACUCUGUGAACCCGCGGCUUCUUCCUGUACAAUUCCAAGUACUCCGCGCUCCCAGUAACCGUGCAAUUGUAGAACACAAAGCCUGUGGGCUGGGACGGGUCGGUCCGCCCGUGCGCCGUCACGGCAUUGCGCUCCCCCUUCUCCGGGUUCUCUAGACGUGGCACCACCUCAAUAAGACAACUGUCCAUAGUCACAGGUUCAACAUUAUAAAGGAAUUCGAAAUAGUUCAGUUAGUAAUAAUAAUAUCCAAACUCCAUUCUGGCUAUAAAUAACCUAGAAAUUUCAUAGUUCCUUGAUGAUUUUCUUGCAAACACUCUCAGCCUAGUGAAUUAUUACUAACAUAGCCAUCCAAUCCAAUAUUCAUGAGCUAUUUGCGAAUUCGUCAAAGAAUCAUAAAUUUUUACAACAAUGGCCGACCUAUCGAACACCGCGGCAGCAUUUCCGAAGAUGAAGUCGACGGUGCCGGAGAUGCGGCAGUGGCGGUACAGCUGACGGAGGGAGCGGGCGUAGAGUGUGUCCUGGUGCCCGCGGAACUCGACGUGCUCGAGGACCGACAUAUCGCUGUCGGACCGGAAUGCGACGGCCUGGUGCGCCCCGGGGCCGGCGGCGUUCUCGAAGGUGAGCCCCCGCGCCCGGAACCCGUCGGCGAGGACGGCGACGGUGGCGGUGUCGUAGGUGGUGAGGCCCGGCAUCUGGGCGUGGCGGGCGCCGGUGACGACGGUGGCGCCCAUGCCGUCGCCGGCGAAGACGAGGUUCGUCUUCUCGAAGGGGACUAGAACGUUCUCCUCGUAGAUCCCGGCCUUGAUGUGGAUCACGAAGCGGCCGGAUCCGCGAUCGGGGGCGGCGGAGACGGCGUCCUGGAUGGAUCGGAAGUCGCAGGGCCCGGAUCUGCACACGGUGGCGUCGGGAACGGGGAGCGGGGUCGGGAACAGCGGGGAUCGGGGCAGGGUUAGGGUUUCGCCGCCGCCGCCGCCGCCGCCGCGGUGCUCCGGCUCCGGGGGCUCCCAAAAGCCGUCGCGCUCGGUUCUGGGAGGGGACCAGAGGGCGGGGUCGGGGCCGAAGCGGAGGCGGGCGGAGACGAGUGCGAGGGCGUUGCUGGUGAGGGCGGCGGCGGCGGAGACGGAGACGGCCUCGUCGGAGGAGUUGAGGCGGCGGAGGAGGGAGGAGCAGUCGUGGAGGUAGACGAGGGCGGCGGCGGAGAGGGCGCGGGCGCCGCGCAGGGACGGGGCCGCGGCGGCGGCGGAGAGGCGGAGGGAGGNGGAGACGGCGAAGGUGGGGCGGUGGGGGCGGUAGAGCACGUAGAAGAUCCCCCCGGCAAUGGCCGCGAGGAGGACGAGGCCCACCAGCGCCAGCAGCGUCCACAGCACGCACGAGCAGCAGCAGCUGCGCCCGCUCCGCCGCCGCGACUUCGGCGCCUGGGGCCGGUANGAGGAGGAGGAGGAGAGGGGAAUGGCGAUGGGGAGGAGAGGAAGAGGUGGAGGAGAAGGAGGGGAGGAGGAAGAGGAGGGAGAGGGAGGAGAUGGUGACGACGAUGACGAGGAGAGAGAGGAGGAGGCGGAGAGGCUUCCUCAUUUGUGAGAACGAAUACUCCGUGCAUAGAGUUAGCGUUGAGUUGAAAUAUUAUUAUAAUAUUUUAAAAUAUUAAAUUUAAUAAAUUACAACGCCAAAAAAAAAUUCAAUCGGUAAAAAUUGAUUAAAAUAGUUUGAAACAAAUUCAAUUUAAAAAUUAAAAAAAAAAUUGGGCUUUUUUUGCAAAUAGUCCCCUGACAAAUUUUAUUUGUAAAAAUAGCCCCGUCCAAAAAUUAUUUACAAAAAUGGCCCUGCUCCUGCCACGCCAGCGCCACGUCAGCGCCACGUGGGCAGGGCAGGCCCAGAUGUUUAAGUUGAACACGGUAAACCAUUCACUGUAUUCAAUACAAAAUUUUUGUAUUGGACACGGUGAAUGGUUCACCGUGUCCAAUACAAAUACCCCAACAAUGACUAAGUUGGAGGUAUUUGUAUUAGACACGGUGAACCAUUCACCGUGUCCAAUUAUUUGUAUUGGGGUAUUUGUAUUGGACACGGUGAACCAUUCACCGUGUCCAAUUAUUUGUAUUGGACACGGUGAAUGGUUCACCGUGUCCAAUACAAAUAUUUCGAUCUUAGCUAUUUUGUAUUGGACACGGUGAAUNAUGAUUCACCGUGUUCAACUUAACCAUCUGGCCCAGCCCCGCCCGCGUGGCGCUGACGUGGCGCUUGCGUGGCGGGGCCAGGGCCAUUUUUGCAAAUAAAUUUUUGCCAGGACCAAUUUUAAAAAUUUUUUUUGUAAGGGGGCUAUUUGCAAAAAAAGCCCAAAAAAAUUUGGUAAAGAUCCGCCGGAGCGGGUAGCCUUAACCGUGUGUGUCAACAGGUAGAGCACGAAUGCUCGGCUCCCGUCCCUGUCAGGGGAGAUGCCAACCGUCUCUCCUUUCUACGAACACAGCAGACAAAGCAACAAAGAGAAUUUAUAAAUCAUUGUGUUUGGACGUUGAUAUCCGAUGUGGGACUAAUUUUGCCAUCAAAUUAAAUGUCCUCGUCGGGUCUGACUAGGGAUGUAAAACAGGCCGGGUAGCACGGGGGCCGCCCGGCCAGGCACGGUCUCGAACUGGGCUACAGCAUAGCACGGGUACUGUAACAUCCGUACCGGUACAGCCCGACCGGAAAGCACCUCUGUGGCCCAGCAAUUUUGUUAGUCCGGCAAUCAAUAGUACCCAGUGCGCGCUUGGUACUGUUAAGUUUUUUUUUUUUUUCGCCGAGACCACUAUUAUUCGAAACCGCACAUUUUUUUAUCCAAUGAUCGAAAAUCUAAUAGUACAAAGUGCUUUAUACUAUUAAUAGCCUAGAGUUCGUUUCGAAUUACAGGAAGAUUGCAUUAUAUAUGGUGAGAAAAUUUAUUUGUUUCCGCAUAAUAUUGCAUUUCGCAUAUCGCGAUAAGUCGGUUACGAUAUAUUUUUUGUGAUCCCACCGAAAAACGCAGAAAUAUAUUCCUAUAUGCUUUUAUCCCAAUUUUAUUUUAUCUAAUAGCGUUAGAUAGAUCUCAAUACAAAACUAAGCGCUAAUAUACUAUUAAUAGUACCAAACGUUUUGUUCUAUUAGGUUUUCGAACCCUAAAUGGAGAGACAUGCGGCUAGGAUGAUAGUAAUUUUCUAAGAUUUAGUGGGUAGUUAAUUGAAUAGUAUGAUCUAACAUAUAAAAAUGAUCAAAAGAAUAAAUCUAACGGCGGAAAAUUUAAUAGAACCAAAUGCUGGGUGCUACCAUCAAUAGUAAAGUAACCGGACUCUACAAAUUGUAUGAUAUUUGGCAUAAAAAUUUACAAAAAAUUUAUAUUUUCACAAAACCUGAUCACCUUGUAUGAUGUUAUACACCAAACCUUUUUUAAAACUGAUCAAAAUAUUCCUACUCUCUCUCCUCGCCCUCCUCCUCCACCGUCUACACGUCACUGCCACACUCGACCCCAUACCUCACUCACAUCGCCACUACUGCUGACGGCGACGGCGCGGGCUCUAACGCCGCACGGGAUGUGAAGGUGAGGGUGUGGGUAGCUGCACAGUUCGAGACGACGGGACGCGGCAGGGUGCCGGAGCGAGAUGAGGUGAGUAGGCUGGGCAUGCUGUUUCGGGCCGUCUACGUUACUUUAGACCAGGCCGGUAUCUAGAAAUUUUCGGGCGGGCCAUGUUUACUUUGGUCCGGGCCGGCCGGGUCGUGAACCGAACAUAGCGUGGUUCGGGAACGGUCAGAAUGAUGUGGCCCCUAGGGUUGAGUGAGUUAUUGAUUGAAUAGUAUAAUUUAAUAGAUAAAAAUAAUCAAAGGAUUAAAUUUAACGGCGGAAUUUAACUAAUAACUAAAUUCGAUAGCAACUUUUACAACCCAAAUCCAGCUUAGAUUUUUCGGGUUUGAUAUUUUAGGGUUUUUUUUUUUUUUAUGUCGAUUUCGUUUUCGAAUUUUGAAAUUUCUAAUAAGCGGAAGGAGCUGUUGACUUUGUUCUGAAAAAAUAAUUUCUAUAUAACUGAUUUUAGUUUAGAGAAUUGAUUUUGGUUAAAAGUUAUAAAGCGUUUGACUCAAUUUAGCAUGAAAGUAAUUUUUCUAAAGUGAUUCUAUAAAGCUGUUUAACAAGUAUUUUUGACGUUUGCAAAUAACAAAUUUUUUUUGCUAAAUUUUAUUUUAAAAUUUAAAUUUAAAAUUUAAAUUUGACUUUAAAAUUUUAAAAUUUAAAAUUUAAAAUUUAAAUUUAAAUUUAAAUUUAAAAUUUGUGUCCAAAAUUAAAAUCAAAUUUGGAGAAGCAGAUUUUAACUGAUUUUGAGUUUGAGCCUCUAAAAUCAGAAAAUUGAUUCUGAGAAUCAAAAUCAGAUUUUUAAAAAAGCGGUUACCAAACACUUUACUGUUGAAGGAAAAAAAUAUUAGUGACCCUAAAAUUACUUUUCAAAUUAAAGAUCAAACACUCCGGAAUUCAAGUACAGCUUCACAUUAAUUUCCACCUUUCAUUCUGUUUCAAUUUUGAAUUUUGCAAAAAUCACUAGGAAACCAAAGAGAUUUCAUUCUGUAUCAGUCACACCACACCAUCUAUUACCAGGUGAUCGUACCUCUCCAUUUGAAGUCUAAUUAUAUUUCUCCUUUUGAAUAAAAAAUAUAAAAAAUAUUAUCUUAAUAAUCAUAAUGAAACGGAUAAAUUGAAUACAAAUAAUUAAUUAAUGACAUCACAUCAGCAAUAUAGUGUUAUGUCACAUCACAUAGCUUUGGAGUGUUGCAUCAAAAUCCGGGAGGUGACUUUCCUUUUUUAGCAAAAAUGGGAAAUUAAAGUCUCUAAGCAGCAACAACAACAACAACCAUCUAAUUAAAUUCUAGAGAAAACUUCAAAAACCCUCUUGUGAUUUCGUAGUAUCUCACUUUGCCUUCCUGUGAUUUAAAAUAUAUCAAAUUGCCCCUUUGUGGUUUUAUUUUUAUCUUUUUGGUAGCUUUUUCGUUAAUAUUUCAUUAAAUUAUAUACAAAAAACUUCAGAUACCCAUCUAGAUUUAUCAAAUAUUCACUUUAGUAUUUUUUAAUUUUUAACUUUAUCACUGAUUUAAGAAAAAAAAAAUAAUAAAAUUGAUAAUAAAAAGAAAAAAACGAAACCACAGGGGGGCAAAAUUGAUACAUUUUAAACCACAGGGGAGCAAAGGUUGAAACUACGAAACCACAGGAGGGUUUUUUAAAGUUUUCCCUAAAUUCUAAGGGUGCGUUUGGUUCGAGUUAUCCUGGCAGGAUUACAGGCAAUCCUAUCAGGAUAACUGUGUUUGGUUAAUCCGCUAUGUAAUCUAGUCGUUAAUGUGGUAUUACAAAUCGAGUAGGAUUACAUCGAAAAAAUUAACGGGAGGGGGGUCGUGUAUCUUGUAUUACUGAAAUCCGUUAAUACUACAUAUUAUGUAAAAUGAUAAUUGUACCCUCCAACAAUCCCAAAUCUAAUUAGCAGCAUUAUUUUCAUCUCUCUCGCCUCCCCCCCUCUCUCUCGCACGUCGCUUUCUCUCGCUCUCUCUCUCUCGCACGUCUAUCUGUCUCUCUCUCUCUCUCUCUAUCUCUAUCUCUUUCUCUUUCUCGCACUAACAUCUAUCGUCUUCCCAGGUAAUCAUCACGAUCUCCUACCCUCCAUUCGUCAUUUUCGCAAAAUAUAAUAUUUAAAUGACCACAACAAGGGCAUUUUUAGAAAAAACUAUACUUUUAUGUCAGGAUUACUAAAUUUUAUAAACUGAACCAAACGUAUUAAUGCUAUAAACACUGUAAUCUAGUAUUACAUUACUGCAUUAAACCAAACGCGCUAAUGCAGCAUCAGUAGUAAUCUCACGCUGAAAUCCAAGAUACCUGGAUAUGUCGAGAUACUUUGUAAUAUUACAUAACUUGAACCAAACGGGCCCUAAUAAUAAUGCUUUUGUACAGAAAAAGUCAACCACAUGAGGUGCUUUUAGAUAAACUCAGCCAACAAUACCCUACCCCACUUUUCGAAAUUCAGUAUAUGUUUGCAUUGCUCGAUCGACUAAUGGGUGUGAACAAAAAGCACGUCCCUUCACUAAAAUGGGUUGGAACGUCUGUAUGUCUAAUCUAUGCCAUCUCCGCACUUGGCUACCCAGCGUUUACGGUGGGCACGAUAACUGGUACACCAGAGGCCCAUCAAGCGAAUCACUUUUUCGAGAAAUACGAGACAUCUAAGCCGUACAAAUAAAAAGAUCUAUAUAUUCAUUGAUAAGAAGAUAUCGUUCGAUUCUUUUUCUAUUGAUUCUUUUUCGAUCGGAGGUGUAAUUUUGUUUAUAAAAUACCAUCUAAGAAGUGCUUUUAGAAGAAGCGCAGCAAUCACUCUUGAAUACGAUUUCGAUGCUUCAAACCAAGCGGUUGUAGUAGCUCAUCGUGUGCACAACAAUUCUUGCAAGCGAUGCGAGAUGGUCGUAGCCGAAAGGCGAAGUAAAAGUGAAGUAAGACAGACACCUCUGCUCGUUUUAUUUAAUUAAAAUAGUCGUCUAGUCUCUGCCAUGCACGUACGCAAGGAUGUUAAGUGUACCGAUUUUUAUUAUUAGAUCGAGCAACCUGAAAUUUGGGUAACCACACGAAAGUGAGAUGUAUGGCUUCGAUGGAACCUUCACAAUUUUACUCAAAAGAUUGAGGUGUAAAACCAUACCGAGUUUAUCCGAACUGUAUAUAGACUAAUUUGAAUCAGCUAUCUAAACUUUCAAAAUUUUGAUUUAACUAUCCAACCUUUCAAUGUAUUUGAUUUGAUUUGAGUCAGUCAACAAAACUUUGAGUUUAAAAUUUAAGCAAAUUACUUACUUUAAUAAAUUUAUAGUUGCAAAAGUUAUAUAAACUAUAUUAAUUAAAUUGUAAAGAUAAAUGACACAUUCAAAAUUUGAAGUCAAAUAAACUAAAUUAAAAGAUUGGAUAGUAAAAUUAAAAUUUUGAAAAACUGAGUAGCCAAAUCAAAAUUGUCAAUUUAAUUCAGAUAAAUUUUAUACGUUUUUACCUAAGCGAAGGUUUGAAAGGUACACUUAACUAUCCACUUCAUAAAAACCACUUCCCGAUCGCAGAAUCUCAUUUUUAUUCGUUUCAUUACUAUUCGUGAAACUAAUCUAGAAUUACGAUGCGAUCAGAUAGAGAUCUAAUUCAACGUCAGAUGCACGUACAGUUGGAAUAGCGCGUUCAUAAAUAGUUUGUUAAUGUUCACCUCACUUGAGUUUUACUUAAUUUUAUUCGAAUUAAUUUGGUGGGAAAACGAUUCGGAGUUAUCUUAACAAUAUGAAUGCAUACAUAUAUAUGUAUUGAUCCAUCACUAAGUCAGAUGCUUAUCUAUAUUAUUAUAGAAUUAAUUAGUACAUGGUCAAAAGAAUGUUCAUAAUAGAAACUGCACUACGUAAGUAGUGCAAAAAUACUAUCUAUAUGUGUAUACACUUAAUUUUUAUGUAUGAGGACGUAUAUGACUCGGUCUUUAGGGAUAUGGUUGAACACAUGGUCUACGAAAACUUAGAUAAUACGCACAUGGUUGCGUGUACGUACGUACAUCCAAUAAUAUAACUGCUAUAUACGGUUAUAUUAUACGCAUGGAAUCACAGCUUAAUUAAAGUGGAAAUAUAUAGAGACCCCCUCAACUAUAGCAGAAUCUGAAACAGCCCCCCAAAACUUUUUUUUUAAAAUUUUUGGGUUGCAUUGAAACUCACUCAACUUCUAUUUUUUUAUUGAGUUUUUAUACUUACUUGGGGUAAAAAUUUUAUCCGAUGUUAUUAACCGUUAGUUAAUCUAAUUUAAUUUAUUAUGUAAAAAUUUUGAUAAAAUCGCUAAAGAACGUGAUAACAUUUCUAAAUUUGUCCACUAAAAUCACUUAGAAGUUGAAGAGUCUCAAUAAUAUUAAUAAAAAAUAGUUAAGGGGGUUAGUUCAUAAAGUCCUAUAGGUCCGGGGGUCUCUACACAUUUAUUUUUCCCUAAUUAAGGCAUGAUGUGUGUUUUAUAUAUAUAUAUAUAUAUAUAUAUAUAUAUAUAUAUAUAUAUAUAUAUUUGAGCUGGAAUACUAUCCUUAGCAAACGGGCUCCGUUGCCACCCAUUUGUUUUCGAUGAUGGAACCUCCAAAUCAACGAUCGGCACCGUUGAACAUGAUCUAUACCACUUGAAGUAUCUAGAAAUCAAAUUUCAUACUUUUUCGAUAUUGUUUUCUUAUCCAUCGAGUGGACACAAAAAUGAACGGCUGAAAAUAAAUAUUCUUUAAAAAAUGAUGAUAGGAGUCUUGUAGUCAAGAUCAAGAGUAUAGAUCUUGUUUUAAAUAGUUUAAAGAAUUUUCUAACAAAAAUUCAAUUGAUUUGGAUAUCUUUACGCCGUUAAACGAGAAAACGCCUCAUAUCGACCAUUAAAAUUACAAAUUUUGAAACCCUUUGAUCAUUAGGCAAAUGAUGUCGAAAAGAUUUGAAAUUUGAUUUCUAAACACUUCAAGUGGUAUAGAUCAUGUUCAACGGUGCCGAUCGUCGAUUUGGAGGCUCUAUCAUCGAAAACAAAUGGGUGGCAACGGAGCCCGUUUGCUAUCGAUAGUAUUCUAGCCCAACUCAUGGGUGGCAACGGAGCCCGUUUGCUAUCGAUAGUAUUCUAGCCAAACUCUAUAUAUAUAAUGAUCUUGUGUGUGUGUGUGUGUGUGUAUAUAUAUAUAUAUAUAUAUAUAUAUAUAUAUAUAUAUAUAUAUAUAUAUAUAUAUAUAUAUAUAUUGUUGAGUUGGAAUGCUAUAAAUACCAAAGAGGCUUCGUUUCCACAUACUUAUUUUUAAUGAUGGAGCCUCCAAAUCGACAAUCGGCACUGUUAAAUAUGAUUUAUAUCACUUGAAGAAUUUAGAAACUAAAUAUUAUAUUUUUUCGAUAUUAUUUUCUUUUCCAUCAUGUAGUACUUGGUCACAAAAAUGAAUGGCUGAAAUUGGACAUCCUUUAAAAAAUAAUGAUAAGAGUCUUGUAAUCAAGAUAAAGAGUAUAGAUCUUAUUCUAAAUAGUUUAUAGAAUUUUCUAACUAAAAUUUAAUUGAUUUCGAUAUCCUUACGCCACUAAACGAGAAAAUGUCUUAUAUUAAUCAUUGAAAUUAUAAAUAUUGAAACCUUUGAUCAUUAGGCUAAUAAUGUCGAACAAAUUUAAAAAUUUGUUUCUAGAUACCUCAAGUGGUGUAGAUCAUAUUCAACAGUGUCGAUCAUAAAUUUGGAAGCUCGAUAUUUGAAAAUAAAUAGAUGGCAACAGAGCCUAUUUACUACUAAUAACGUUCCAACUAAACUCUCUCUCUCUCACACACACACACACUCUCUCUCUCUAUAUAUACACCAACUAAAAGAUGUUAAUUAUAACCAAGUUACUUGAGAGAGAUUUAUUUUGAUUAAUUUACACCAAAUUGUUAAUUAGUAAAUAUUUUUCUUAUUUGUUUAUUUAUAAGAGCAAACCCAUAAUACUAAGUCGAGUCAUACACAAGUAGCCAACUAAUUAAUUAUUAUUGACAUCGUCAUCCUAAUUAUGUGUUCAAAUUGUCCCAAGCAAUAUCCAAAACCCUAACCCCCUCAUGCACUAAUGGAUCCAUCACACAAAUUAAGCCCACACAUAAAUUGGGAACUUAGGAUGCAAAUGGAUCUGGGUUGGUGGAGAUCCUAACCCAAUCCACCCCGAAUAGAGCAGUAAGUAGGAGCCAAACAUAUUAAAAAAACAACUCACCCUGAAUCCGCACCAAUCCGCUCAGAAAUGUGCAAAAAAUUUUCUUUCGUCAGACUUGCCCUGAAUGGAGCAGUAAGUAGUUGAUGCUAAUUAUUUAUCCCUAAAGUUCGAGUUGUUAGAAAUACGCAAUCAAUUCAUUUAAAGUAUAUAGAUACAGAACUCACUGAUUUUAAUUGUGAUUCGGCCCAAUCCACCUCAAGUCAUUUCUAGCUAGCGUAACUCGUCACAACCCAGCCUCACACUACAGGACAGUAUAUGCUAGCCCCUUUAAGCCAACAUGAAGAAAAAUAGGAUAAAAUCCAACCGACACCAAAUCCGGCCCGGCUUGCCAAACUUGGGAUCCGCCCCGUUUGCAUUCCUAGACACAAAGCUCUAUAAAUACCAACUUUGUAUACUCCUCUUUAAUACCUCAUGCACUCUUCAUACAAAGUAAAGCUAUCCAAUAAUUAACAUUAGUGAUCCAAACUCUGUAUUUCUCUUGCCCUAAUACACAUAUCACAAUGCCUUAUAACCGCAUCCAAAGCUUCAACUACUACUCACCACCACCACCACCACCUCCACCACCUCCUCCUCCUUCUCCUCCUUCUCCACCACCUCCUCCUCCUUCUCCUCCUUCUCCGCCGCCGCCGCCGCCGCCGCCGCCAACAUCACCACCACCAUCGCCACCCGUGGUCGUCAUCGUGUGCGUCUCGAUCGGCGGGCUCUUCUUCCUCGCGUUCCUCGCGGGCGCGCUCUUCUGCUUCAGGAAGAGGCUGAGGAAGGGGGUGGCGGAGGAGGCGGAGGCGGUCGCGGUGGUCGAGCAUGUCCGCAUCCACGAGGAGAUCGUUCCGGGCCCCUGCGGUGAGCCGGAAGUCGUGGCGGUGUCCGUCGACGAAGAUAUCGAAGUCGUGGAGAUUGUCGAGAAGAGCGACGCCGUCGUCGAGGGCGAGUACUCCGGCCUCGCAUUCGGUCGGAAGCCGCCGGAAACUUCUGGUGGCUCCCCUAUUCAUAAAGGAUAACUUUGCAUGCAAUAUAUACAUUUAUACAUAAGCUAGGGUUUCGCAUGCAUGCAUGCAUAUAAUAUAUGCUCAAAAAAAUGUUUGGAAAAUUAAAUAAGUAAGGAGAUCCCUCAAUUAUAGUCCAUUUUCAAAUGUAGCCUCAAUUGAAUUACACAUUUUGUUGAAAUUAAGAGCUUUGUUAGGAAUCAGCUAGCAAUUUUAUCAACAAAAACCGGAUAAUUAAUGUUACGAAAUUUACCAUAAUAAACUUAAUUAACAACAAAUUAAAUAAUUAAAAGUUGGAGAGGCUAUUUCAAAGUGGCCGGCCUAUAAUUGAGAGGGUCUCCAUGCAUUUUUACCUAAAAGUUUCGUUGAAAUGGUGCAAAUUUAAAUUAAUUAGUCGUGUGUUCAAAAAAUGAAUCAAGUGUUGUUAAUUAAUUAAGGUUUGGACGUGUUUAAUUUUGUUGCUUGUUUAAUUGUUUGUAUCGAUUCUUUUAGAAUGUAUGUAUACUUUAUGUUCGAAUGGGAUAAUUAAGUUAAUUAAGUUGUUUCUCCCUCAUAAUUUUUUGGCUUUAUAGUGAUGUAAACUUAUUUCUUGUUUUCCUUUUCAUGUUAUUAUUUUUUUUAAAAUAGCAUAGAGUUGUUUUUAUCUCGCAUUUUUUGCCCACAGAGCUAAAUUUUGCUACUCGAGCUCCCACCCCGAUUCAUUACGAAUGGGACGGUAAGUGAGAACAAAAAAUAUAAUAAAAAUAUAACCAGCUCUGAACCUGUCCCGAUCUAUCAAUAAAAUAGAGCGGAAGAUGGGAGACCCUUCUUUUUUUUCAGUCCACCCUGAUCCGCUAAAAAAUUCACUCCCUUUCUGAUUCGUCCUGAAUAAAACGAUAAGUGAGGAUAAAAAAAUAGAAUAAAAAUUAAUCUGUUUGAAUCUGCCUGGGUCAUCACAAUCUAAUAAGUGUCCAAAUUUGUGCUCUAAACAUAUUAAGAUUUUGGUAAUCAAAUAAAUUAUUUUACAUUUCAUAUGACUCAAUAUGCUUUACAUAAAAAUUAUUUAUUACUCGGGCCGGGCCACAUUCGGCCCCAAUGGUGGCAAAGAGAACCCAAUUCUUGUCGUUUAUUGGGCCGGCCAAUUGAUCCGAUUGUCCGAACCGACCGGUUCUAUAUUGGGACAUGUUUGAGAUUGCUGAGAGAUUCUGUUACGUACAGUGAAAUAGUAUAAUAAGAAAAUAUUAUAUUUGUUUCGAUACGUAAUAUCACGUUCCGUAUAUCCUAAUGAAUAUAUAUUUUCAUCGAAAAACAUAAAAGUAUAUUCCUAUAUGUUUUUCGUCCCAACUUUAGUUUUUGUAUUCUCGUUAGAUCGGACUCAGUACCAAAUGAGCCCUAAGAGACUCGGCUCGAACCUUUUCGAUGCCAACCCAUUAUUGUGAAGGUCCGACCCAGUCGAAAAUUCUUCAAUGGGCUUAAUUUGGGCCCAGUUAAUAAAAAAAAUAAAAAUGCUACAUUUCUACAUUCUAAACUUUGGAGAAAUAAAUAAUAAUAUGGAGCAGGUGAACACUCCAAUUAAGAGUUGACACAAUUAGACCAUUAAAUUAUGUUACAUUGAUGCAUGGUUUUAUUUUUUUUUUUUAUCCUAUUCCUAAGUUGUUUUGUACUAAAUAAUUUUAUAUAGUAAUCAUAAGAGACUUGCAACUAAUUAAUAAUGGAAUUAGUAACCUAGUCCGUAUACUUACGUAUGCACUCUACACUUUUUAAUGUUGUUAAGUGUUAGUUUUGUCUCAAUCUAAUAGCUUGUUGAUUUUUUUUUUUUAAUAGAAAAAACUUAAAAAAUAAUUUUAAACUUUAGAGAAAAGGAUUAUAAUUUUUGAAUAGACAUAAAAAUGACCUGUGACGAGCGAAUUGAGACUUCUUAACGAGGCAUCAUUGGUAGUGAGCUUCCCACUAAAGUUUUUUUUUGGGAAAAACUUCAAAUACCCCCUGUGGUUUCCUAGUUUCUAACUUUAGUACCUUGUGGUUUAAAGUGUAUCAAGUUAAUACUCUGUGAUUUCACACUUUCUCACUUUAGUGCCCUGUGGUUUAAAGUGUAUCAAGUUAGUACUCUGUGGUUUUAUUUUUUUAUUUUUAUUAUCUAUUUUUGGGGUAUUUUUUUCGUUAAAUUAGUGAUAAAGUUAAAACUCAAGAGUACUAAAAUGAAUAUUCGAUACACUUAGGUAGGGUAUCUGAAGUUUUUUUGUAUAUAAUUUAACGAAAUAUUAAACCACAGGGUACUAAAUUGAGAAAAUGCGAAAUCACAGGGUACUAACUUGUACACUUUAAACCAGAGGGUACUAAAGUUAGAAAGUACGAAACCACAUGGUACUAGCUUGAUACACUUUAAGCCACAGAGUAUUAGAGUGAGAAAGUGCGAAACCACGGGGGUAUUUGAAGUUUUCCUUUUUUUUUUUUUUUUUUUUUUUGUCCCAACUAUGCAGUAGAUUCAAAGACUCUAAAUAAGAAUUUUUUUACUUUAAGUUUUAGAUACUUUUACUUUUAUUCAUUUUAAUCCAUGUAGGACAAGGUAACAGCUCAUUAUCAUAUUAAUAGUAAUAAUAAUAAUAAAUAAUCUUCUAGAUCAUUAUUAUUAGCCCUUAAUACACUUUUUAUAUGGUUCAACCCAUGGCCCAUGGGGAUUCAAAAUAUAUAUAAGUGGUUCUACCAAUGGGAAUUCAAAUCCAGCAUGCUAUACAAACCAGGUGGCCAUUGAUUCCUGGUUUUGGCUUCUGGGAAAAGCUGUUUCAAAUUGAAUAUUUAGGCUUAGUUUGGUAUUGAGAUCUAUUUGACGCUGUUAGAUAAAAUGGAGUUAGGAAAAAAAUAUAUAGGGAUAUACUUCUGCAUUCUCCGAUUAGACCGUAGAAAAUAUAUUAUAACUGAUUCAUCACAAUAUACGGAAUACAAUAUUACGUACGGAAAUAAACAAUAUAUUUUUCUAUCGUACUUUUUUAUCAUCGCACGUAACACAACCUCGCCGUAAUCUCAAACAAAGCCUGACUAUAACUAAUCUUACCCCACAACCAAUACAAAAAAUGGAAACAGGGAAUAAACUUAACACAACCCUGGUUUCAAAAAGAGCCGCAGUAUGGGAAUAAAGAAAAAAAAAAGUUGACCAAAACAAAGACUCUCUCUCUCUCUCUCUCUCUCUCUCUCUCUCUCUUUUGGGGUGUAUAAAUUGAUGUGUCAAUCACUUGACAUUCCACAACUUGGAAAAGCACUUUUAAGGAGAAGUGAUUUGGUUUGAGAGAAACAUUGAAGAGAGGAGGAGAGAAGAUGGCAAGCACAGCUGGGAAAGUGAUAAAAUGCAGAGGUUAGUAAUCCCUCAUGAUUCAAUCAUAUCCCCCAUUUCCUCAAUUAGAUUUGUUAAGAUCAUUAGAUUUGUUAAAAAAAGUUCUAUGUGGAUUUUUCCUCUUCUUAAUUGUUUAGAGAGUAAAGUAACUUUUCCAUAUGUUUCUUUUCUUUUUUUAUGGCAAUGGUUGGUUAUUUUGGGUUUUUAAAGUGUAUCAAGUGUCCUGUGAUUUUAUUUUUAUUUUUAUUUUUUUUUGUUAGCUUUUGUAUUAAUAUUUUGUUAAAUUAUAUACAAAAAAUUUCAGAUAUCUCAGAUUUAUCAAAUAUUCACUUUAAUACCCUUUAGUCUUAACUUUGUCACUGAUUUAAUGAAAAAAAUUAGUAGAAUCGAUAAUAAAAAUAUAAAAAUAAAACAACAUGUCACUAAAUUGAUACAUUUUAAACCACAGAUUACUAAAGUGAGAGCGUAUGAAACCACCGAGAUGGUAUUUGAAGUUUUUCUUAAAAUUAGUAGAAUCGAUAAUAAAAAGAUAAAAAUGAAACAACAUGUCACUAAAUUGAUACAUUUUAAGCUACAGUGUACUAAAGUGAGAGCGUAUGAAACCACCGAGAUGGUAUUUGAAGUUUUUUCUUUUUAAAUGUUAUCUGUACAUUCAAAAGUAGGGUAUAAUUUUUUCUUUUUUUUUUUGGAUCUUUAGUAUUAAAGAAGUAUAGCAUUUCUCAGUGCCUUCCAUAUUGUUCUUAUUGAAUGCUAUGGGUUGUGAAUAAUGUAAUGAAUAUUAGAUUAUAGAAAACAAUCGUUGAUCUUCACAAGGUUAAGUUGUCAGAGAACUGUGUUUUUAAUAUUUAUAUUCAACAUUUUUUCUCGCGUCUGGACUAGAAAUUUUUUGAUAAACUCAAAAUAUGAAUUUGAAAUAAAUGAUAGAAAAUUAAAUGAGACUAGUGGUCCGACGGGACUUAAAUAAAUGCGGAGACACUAAGAUGUUUGGUUUCUCAGAAAAUCGUGGAAAACUAUAUAUUUUUUUUCCCUGAAAAACACCUUUUCCAUAGUUUUUCUUUUGCAGAUAAAAAUUCCGAAAACCAAAAACUCUAUCAUUCCAUAAAAUAUGGAAAGAAAAUUUUUUUCUAAGAAAACUACUUUUUCUUAGGAAGCAAACGGAUGCAAAAUACUUCUUUUUUCAGCCCGAAAACUAUUUUCUGAGAUAAUUUCCGAAGAACCAAACACCCCCUAAUAAGUGACUAGAAUCCAUUUUGAAAUAGGUAUCUGAACUUCAAAAGUUUUGAUUUCGCUAUCCAAUGAUUUGAUUAGGAUUUACUGGUGCUUGUAUUUGAUACAGCACCUGAUGGAAAGUUACUGAACCAAAAUUACUCUAAAAGAGUUAAGUCACAAGUUUUAAUGUUCAGAUACUGAUUUCAAAACGUGCUAUGCGAUUAUCCGAAUGAGAGAAGCUGAUAUACUGAUCUUGUAACAUGGAGGAUUCAUUUUUCCUUUGCUUUUUGCGGAUUAAAUGUCAAUGCAUGUAAAUUACUUCAAAAGAGUAAACAUUUGAGAUCAAAAGUUUUAAUGUUCAGAUACUCAUUUCAAAACGCGCUAUAGAGAUCGCGCGAUGUUCAUGCGAUUAUUCGAAUGAGAGGAGCUGAUAUACUGAUCUUGUAACAUGGAGUAUUCAUUUUUCCUUUGCUUUUUGCGGAUUAAAUGUCAAUGCAUGUAAUAUCUGCUUCGUCGAUACAGCUGCGGUUGCGUGGGAGGCGGGGAAGCCGUUGGUGAUCGAGGAAGUCGAGGUGGCGCCUCCUCAGGCGAUGGAGGUUCGGCUGAAGAUCCUCUACACUUCCCUUUGCCACACCGAUGUCUACUUCUGGGAAGCUAAGGUAUAUAUAUAUAUUCAUAUUGCGAAAGUCCAUAACUAGUUCUGUUUUUCUUGUGCAGCAGUGAAACCAUUUCGCUGAAAAUGCGCACAAUUUUUAUGUUCUUCUGAAUCAGCUCAAUGACUGACAUGUCAGAAAUUACCACAAUCUUGCAGGGGCAGACUCCUGUUUUUCCUCGGAUUUUCGGCCAUGAAGCCGGAGGGUAUGCCAUCGAAUUCGACACAUCAUGUUUAAUUGUUUGUAAUGUUUAGUUUGAUAUAAUCUUAAUGCAUAAUUCUAGUUAUCUACUGUGUAAAAUCUUUCUUCUUUUUCUUCUUUUUUUCUUUUUGUUCGGCGUCUUCUCAGCGUUGUAGAGAGUGUAGGCGAGGGCGUGACCGAUCUAGCACCGGGAGACCACGUCCUCCCUGUGUUCACCGGCGAGUGCAAGGAAUGCGCUCACUGCAGGUCCGAGGAGAGCAACAUGUGCGACCUUCUGCGGAUCAACACCGACAGGGGAGUGAUGAUCAGCGAUGGCAAGACGAGGUUUUCGAUCAACGGAAAGCCGAUAUAUCACUUCGUCGGGACCUCCACGUUCAGCGAGUACACUGUCGUCCAUGUCGGAUGCGUGGCCCAGAUCAAUCCUCUGGCACCGCUCGAUAAAGUCUGCGUUCUGAGCUGCGGCAUUUCAACAGGUAAGGAUGUGUUUCGUAACUUGAUACUUAACAUGGUAAGGACUAACACUGUGGUUGUGCCAGAAAAACUAAUAGUGAAUCAAACGGCAGAAACAAAUUUGAACGUAUCAGAACUUGAACAGAAAAUCCCUUCAAUGUAUUGUGCUCAAAACUUUUUGUUAUUCAACUAAAUCACUUUGAUGUUUCUUUAGGUCUCGGUGCGACUCUUAAUGUUGCCAAACCACGAAAGGGUUCGACGGUGGCGAUUUUCGGUUUGGGAGCUGUGGGUCUUUCGGUGAGUCUCUUUCGGCGUUACCCGUGCUUAAACUUAUAGUUCUUAAAAAGCAAGAUUGAUUCAAUUAACGAAGUGAUUUCGAUUACCAAUUAGUAAUUGCAAAACAUGCUUUUAGGCUGCCGAGGGAGCGAGGCUUGCAGGUGCAUCGAGGAUUAUCGGCGUCGAUUUGAACUCAAGGCGAUUCGAAGAAGGUAAAAAAAAAAAAAAAAAAAAAAAAAAAAAAAAAAAAAAAAAAAAAAAAACAUAAAAACCAACCUCAUAAAAUUCCGAUUUAGCGAGGUUACAUUCUGUUUCAUUCAUUUUGCAGCUAAGAAGUUCGGCGUCACCGAUUUCGUGAAUCCUAGCGAAUACAACAAACCAGUUCAAGAGGUUUGUUUCUACUGAAACAUACCAAAAUGAUGCAUGAUAUUUCAUGUUUAUGACUCUAAUAUGUUAUGCCAGGUUCUUGCUGAGAUGACAAACGGCGGAGUCGAUCGCAGCGUGGAGUGCACCGGCAAUAUAAAUGCCAUGAUAUCAGCAUUCGAAUGCGUGCACGAUGUACGAACACUAAAUCGCUAAAAUUCUAUUGAUUCAGGCGCGAAUUUAUGCUGAAAUAUCAACCAGUGUUCUUGUUAUCAUUAUUACUUUCAUUUCUCUUUGUCAGGGCUGGGGUGUAGCAGUUUUAGUCGGGGUGCCGCACAAAGACGCGGUAUUUAAGACCCCCCCUGUGAACUUCCUCAAUGAGAAAACACUGAAGGGCACCUUCUUUGGCAACUACAAACCGCGCUCCGAUCUCCCUUCAGUUGUAGAGAAGUACAUGAAUAAGGUAAAUCGGCAUUCAAUUUGUUUGACCUCACAGUUUAAGCUAAUUACUUAUUUUAAUGAAUUUAUAGUUGCCGCGUGAAUUACAUGAAGUAUAUUAACUAAUCCUGUAAAGAUAAACGAUAUUGAUUGACUCAAAUCAAACAAAUUGAAAGAUUGGAUUUAAGUUUAUGUAAGUUUUGUACGUUUUUACCUAUUCUUGUUUCAGUAACUUUAUUUUUGUUCUGUUGAGAAAUAUUCUAUCGACAAAACCGUUGCAGAUUUUGGAAAACCAGAACCAAAUUGUAAACCAAAUGAACACUACUAAAGAGUUUACAAAGUAGUCCUAAGUUUGGUUCUGGAGAACUUCAGUGGAAGUGAUUGUGGAAAUAUCGACUAAACGGUGCGUUGAAUGGCGCAGGAGCUUGAACUGGAGAAGUUCAUCACGCACACCGUGUCGUUCUCGGAGAUCAACAAGGCGUUCGAGUACAUGCUCACCGGGGAAGGCCUUCGAUGCAUCAUCCGCAUGGCGGAUUAAAACAGUCGAAGUGAUCAGCAUUUGCGCAUGUAUCGACUCAAAAGAGGCCCUUUUCUGAUGCUUUCAAUAAAAUGGCCAAGUGUUUUUGGUAUCAGUUGAACUCAGUAGCAGUCACUCUUUUGUGCUUCUUAACUCAUCUCUUAUGUAUGUAAAAAGAAAAAGAAAAAUGUGGUCCUUUGUUUGUAAUUAGCUCACAAGUAAACACUAAAUUUGUGCUUUCGCGAUGUUUCUUUUGUUGGUAAUCAAUGAAUGAAGUUCGAUUUGGAUUGCGAUUUUGUUAUCUAGGGUUUUUGUUUUCGUGCUACACUUUGCUAUUGAUGUUCCUGGUCAAAACCACCAUGGUUAAGAAGUAGUUAGGGUUUGACAAAUUAUGCAACAAUCAAGGAUUUCAUAAGUACACUUAUUAAGGCAAAUUUUAAUAUGCAUGAUACAUGCUAUAUAUGUCCUCAUUAGUUCACAUUAUUGCAUCUAACAAAAGGAAUAUAUAGUUGGUUAAUCUGCAGAGUACUAGUACUAGUUUUGUAAUCUAGAAUUGUUACAAAAUCAAAACUAAAACUUUGAUUAAUUAAUUAGCGUGUAAUUGAGUUCAAAGAGUUAAAUCAAUAUGAUGAAAAUGUACAGAAUUUUCUUAAACUAUGGACAAAAAUAUUCUGAUUUACUAACCAAUCUUUCAAUUUGUUUGAUUUGAGUCACUCAGUAGCGUAUCGGGUUUAAAAUUUGUGGUCCUCUUUUGAUGGAGGUCUAAACCGCAUUAAAAGGGGAGAAGUACAAGGAUAGAAAAAAGAGGGAUACACGAAAAACUAAUCUUUUGACAAAGACAAAAAUAUUAUUAAUUAACUCUCAAAACUCUGAUUACAUUAGCUAAAAUGUCAGAUCUGUAUUUAGAGGCGAUACCUAAAUUCUACUAGAUGAAGUAUAUUUCUAAAUCUAAUCAGAUUAGAAAUAAUCAAAUAACGUGACUCAAAAUAGAAAAAAGUACAUACCUUUUUGAAAAUAACCUAAAGAUACAAAACGGAGGCCGAAAUAAUUGAAUUUGGAUUCCAAACAUCGGCCAAAAUGGCAUUGGCUAUUUGACGCGUAGAUCUUGAAAAGUAUUUUUCGAAUUGGGAUUGUGCCCUGAAAUAAGAUACUCAAGCGAAAAAUUAUAAUCGUUUAAAGAUAUCUUGCACCAAUUGUAAAAAUUACCGAAUUUAAUAAAAUUUUCGACUUAGCUUGUUUAUGUCACUUUUUUUCAGAAACUCAAACGCUAAAUUGGUCGCAUCACCCUCUCCAGCUAAAUGUACUAACAAGUUAUUAUGUAUCUUUAGCAACAGAAAUAAAUUUAGGCACUAGAACACUCUUACCCCCAAAACCAUGAGCAUGUACUCCUAUUAAUUAAUGGCUGCUAAUAAAGAGGCUUUGAAUUUUUGGCAUCUCUCUUUCUUUCGAGGAUUAAUUGCAUACAACUCUUUUUAAACAUAUCGAAUUGCAGAUAUAUUCUUACAAAAUUCGACUUUUUAUUUUUAUUCCUAUAAAAGUCCUAACAUUUUCAAAUAUACCUUUACUGUUAGAAUCCAUUAGAAAAAUAUAGUUAACCGUAACUAAAAUAUUUAACCUGAAUAGUAAAUGAGUUAAAUUGACCUUUUUACCCUCUUAUAUUAUUGGAUAAAAUAUUUUUUUCAGGGAACAUUUCCGCAUAAUUCUUUUGAAGGGAUAUUUUUGUAAGGAUCACAAAAAUGUCAAUUCAUUUAUCUGCUGUUAAAAAAUAAAUAGUAUUCUAAUGAUAACAAAUCAAAGGAUGGACUUUUGCAAGGAGAAAAAUAAAGUUAAACUUUGUAAGAAUAUAUUUGCUAUUUGAUAUGUUUACAAAGAGUUAUAUUCAAAUAACACUUCUUACAAGUUUCUCUAUCUCAUGUUAGCAAAUGUGGCACAAAAUUUGCGAUUAACAGCGUAAAUGCUUUAGGUGCCUUACAAGGUCUCCUUAAAUACUGCUGAUAGUGAUUGAUAAUCUUAUAUAUUAUCUGAAAGUGUCGAAUACCAAAGUGUAGAAAUACUGAUGUUAAGUAACUUGACUUCUCACAAUUCGAUUUUGUCCAAAUCUCAUUUGGUGCAAUCAAGUUUUCUCGAAACAGUUUCAUCGUAUUCUCAUAUAAUUGCACUGGAUUCGUGCUUGUUGCAAACUACUAAUUGAAUUUAAUUUACAAUGAUAACAAAUUAAGGAGAAAACAGAGUUGUUAGAAGGUCUAUUCAUCUAAGUAUAUUAAAACACAAACUUGGAGAAUGUCAAAUUGGUGUGCUUUUCCCUUUAGAAAUAGCAUUUGACCUGCAAUUGAUUAGGCUUAGUCGACCACUAUUUCCACCCAAGGCUAUAAUUCUCACAUAUAUAUAUAUAUAUAUAUAUAUAUAUAUAUAUAGAGAGAGAGAGAGAGAGAGAGAGACGACGAGGAGGAGAGAGGUUCAGGAUUACACUUAUAAUGGGGUUUCUGUGCUAUAGUUGUUUCGUGUAAAUAUUCCAAUUGACGUCCGCUUUGUUAACAUGAUUUCGCCAUUGAAGGUAUUUAGAAACUAAAUUAUAUAUUUUUAUAUUAUAUAUAUUAUAUAUUAUAUAGUUAUAUAUAAUAUAUAUAUUAUAGUUGGACUGUGGCUAUUGUAGACCUACCUAUGUUGCUCAGUUUUUUAGUUUGGAUCAACUUCUUUCAUUUUUUUACAUUUUGGUUAAUACUAUAUUCAGUGGGGGACUAUUCACCAUUAGGGGACCACUCACUCUAACCGUAAUUAUCAUAUGCACCUAAUAUUUUAUCAAGGGGUUAAACUUGAUAGGCAAAGGAGGUUUUAAUUUUAAUAGUAUUCCAGAUAUUUUCUUUAUAUUAUUAUAUAUAUUAUAAUUAUAUCAUAUAUUAUAGUAAUAUUAUUAUAUAUAUGUUAUUAUUUGCUACUGAUUAAAAGUCCCAACGAUUUUUGAAUGACAGUAGAUUUGUUUAAGCUUGAUAACUUGAAGAUUCAAUGUAAAUUUUGAUAGAAAAUUUUUUUUCAUUAUUUAGAAUAAGAUUAGUAGCUCUGAUCUAAAAUUUAAAUUUUUUAUCAUUAUUUUUUAUGAUAUUUUUAUUUUCAGCUAUUUAUUUUCAGAAUAUUUGUUUUAAAAGUAAAUGACAUUAAAAAAUCAUAAAAAUUAAUUUUCAGAUACUUCUAUUAGUGUAGAUCAUGUUAACAAAACAUAUCAUCGAUUCAAAUAUCCCAUCAUCGAAAACAGUAUACCCUUCAUGUUACUGAUAGUAGUAGUAGUGUGUGUGUAUAAAGAGAGAGAGAGAGAGAGAGAGAGAGAGAGAGAGAGAGAGUGUGUGUGUUGGGGUGGAAUACUAUUAAUAGUAUUUGGCCUCUUUUGCUAUCAAGUUUUUAAUCCUUGGAUGAAAAAUUGUAGGGUUAAAAUGAUAUUAGUUCCUUAGGCUUAAAUGGUCCCCGUAGGAUUGAAUGGUCUAUAUUGUGUUAUAAUAUUUAACCAAUAGUUAGAAAUGAUCAAAAAAAUUUAUCUNAUAUAUAUAUAUAUAUAUAUAUAUAUAUAUAUAUGAAAUAGUCUGGAAUAUUAUCAAUAGCAGAAAGCUAUUAGUGCUAUUAAUUUUUUAGCCCUUGGAUUAAGAAAUGUGCGGUUAGGAUGAUGUGGGCCCCUUAGGGUUGAGUGGGUGGUUGGUUGAAUAGUAUAAUUUAACGGAUAAAAAUAAUCAAGGAGUUAAAUCUAACGGUGGAAAACUCGAUAGCACCAAGCCCCUGGUGCUAUUGAUAAUAUCCCAGCCGGACUCUAUACAUAGUAGAGCUACUAUGCUAUCGGAAGCAUCUGAUGCUUCCGACUUUUUGACUCUUAAAUUAACCCCUUUGAUCAUUUCUAACAUUUCGAUUAAUAUUAUUACCGAAUAAUGACCACUUAAUCCUGAGGACCACUUAAUUCUAGGGGAUACCGCAAUCAUCCCAACCGUAAAAUUCUUAAUUCAAGAAUUAAAAAAUCGGAAGCCAGAUCCUUUAUGGUUCUUAUAUCUCGGGUGCUUAACUUUUUGGUCUUUGGAUAAAAAAUUAUACUGGUGAAAUGAUUGUGAUACUCCUUAGAAUUGAGUGGUCCCUCGGGUUCAGUGAUCCCUAUAGGAUAAUAAUAUUAAUCGAAAGAUUAGAAAUGAUUAAAGGGGUUAAUAUAAGGGCCAAAAAAGUUGAAAACAUCAAGUCCUCUGUGCUUCUGAUACCAUAGUAACUCCACCAUACAUUUCCCUCCCUAAACUCACCUAAGGAUCCUUAAGUUCAAAUUUUAUUAAUUGAAUCACCUUAGAUACAUUUUUGGGAAAAUUGUAUAUAUGAAUGGUCCUUCCUACUAUUUCCUUACACUAUUUCCAUGUGAUACAGUUUCAGUUUCAAAAUUUUAGUUCAUAAUUAAACUCUUACAUAUAUAUUACACUUAACUUAUAUUGAGUCUAAAAUAUAAAAAUUUAUUAUCAAGAGGCUCAAACUUUUAGAUAUAAAGGUUGUUUUACAUUAUUUCAUAAAAUUGGAGAUUCUGAGUUUGAAUUUCUCCAUACUUCUAGUUUCAUUUAAUUUAAUUUUAUCUUAUUAACAAAAAUCUACACCUAAAAUAUAUAUUACUUUUUGAAAAUAAUAAAUUUUUAAAAUGAGACUGAUUAAUUUAUGACUUUUAGAACUAAAGUGUUUACGUGUGAAAAGUACAACAACCAAUUCGAACUAGUUUAUAUCAUAUACUUUAAUAUGUAAGGAUAAAUGUUGUAUAUAGAUAUAUGAUCCCUAUGUUUAUGAGAACAACAACUACACACAUAUAUACAAGCACCAAAUAUAUAUAUACAAGAAUAACACUCUUUAGCUCUUCUUCAACAUAAGAUCUUGCCCUGCCUUUCAUGCAUCCAUGGAUUUGGUUCAUGACCAUCACCACUGCGGCGAAGAGAACUCGAAAGAUCGCGAAGAUUACGCGCACGUCGCGAACUCCGACCUCCUCCGUUGCCUCCGCGUGGAGUCCUCGUCGUCGUCGUCGUCGCAGAGGAGCCUUCGCAAGGGCGAGGAGCGGAUCGCGUGGCUCCGGUCGCAGCUCGUCGGGUCGGACGUCGAGUUCGAGACCCCGUUUGCGGGUUGCCGCCGCCUCGUCUACGCCGAUCAGACGGCGUCCGGGAGGUGCUUGCACUACAUCGAGAACUACAUCAUCCAACAUGUUCUCCCCAUCUAUGGUACACACUCCUCCAAGGAUCAAUAUAUAUAAACCAAUUUUGAAAAAUUUGAAAUUCUUUCUUGUUUCGGAAUUAUUUACAUUCUGUUUGGUUUGAUGUAGCUGUAAUUCGAUCGUAAAUUUUGUAAUAUAUAUUUAUUUAUUACAAAAAAAAAUAUUAUUGUAACUAAAACUGAUCAAUAUAUAUGUACGUGUAUACGCAUGGAGGGAACACGCACACCGAGGAUAGUUUUGUCGGGAGCAAGAUCACGCGGAUGGUGCACGAGGCGGCGGCGUACGUGAAGCGCUGCAUGGGCGCGGGGCCCGAGGACGCUCUCGUCUUCUGCGGCGCGGGCGCGUCCGCGGCCGUCAAGCGCUUGCAGGAGGUGAUGGGCAUUGCUGUCCCGUCAACGGUGCGCAGCAGGAUGGUCCAGGCCCUAAGGGACGAGGAGCGGUGGGUCGUGUUCGUCGGGCCCUACGAGCACCACUCGAACCUCCUCUCGUGGCGGCAGAGCACGGCGGAGGUCGUGGAGAUUGGAGUCGACGGCGAGGGGCUGCUCGACGUCAGCGCGCUGCGGCGCGAGCUCGCGCGGCACGGGCGCGCCGGCCGGCCCAUGAUCGGGUCGUUCUCGGCGUGCAGCAACGUCACCGGGAUCGUCACCGACACCCGCGCGGUCGCGCGGAUCCUCCACCGGCACGGCGCCUUCGCCUGCUUCGAUUUCGCCGCUAGGUAUGAUUCAAUGUUCCUGCACCACUAUCUCCAAAAUUGUGAAAAUUCAUGUAAAUAUCAUUUUUUUUUUCUAACAUUCAAAAAUCUAUAUUUUGCUCUACUAAAAUUUUAAAAAUAUUUUUAGAGAAUUACGAUAUUAAUGGAGAGAACGAAAUGAUCAAAUUAUACUUACUUAUAUAAAUGGUUGCUAAAAUAUUUUACAGAGUCUUUCAUAAAAGGAUAAAAUGAUUUAUUAGUCAACAUCUCUAUAAAUAAAUAAAGGUAAAUAUACUAAUAUAGUCAUUUAAUUUAAAGGAUAUAUAUAUAUAAAUAAAUAUAUUUAUAUGUUUAUAUUUGUGUAAUUUUACAAUUAUGUUUUCUGAGUGAUGCUUUUUUUUUUUUAAUUGUUGAAAUCUCGUUUUCUAGUACGCAUAUAAGAAGGAAACUUCUGAAAGAGAGACACUAUAAAUUAAGAGGAGUGUUUUCACACUCAAAUUGGUCAAAUUAAAUAUAGUUAUUAUGAUAUANAUAUUUUUUUUCAGGGAACAUUUCUGCAUAAUUCUUUUGAAGGGAUAUUUUUGUAAGGAUCACAAAAAUGUCAAUUCAUUUAUCUGCUGUUAAAAAAUAAAUAGUAUUCUAAUGAUAACAAAUCAAAGGAUGGACUUUUGCAAGGAGAAAAAUAAAGUUAAACUUUGUAAGAAUAUAUUUGCUAUUUGAUAUGUUUACAAAGAGUUAUAUUCAAUUAACACUUCUUACAAGUUUCUCUAUCUCAUGUUAGCAAAUGUGGCACAAAAUUUGCCAUUAACAGCGUAAAUGCUUUAGGUGCCUUACAUGGUCUCCUCAAAUACUGCUGAUAGUGAUUGAUAAUCUUAUAUAUUAUUUGAAAGUGUCGAAUACCAAAGUGUAAAAAUACUGAUGUUAAGUAACUUGACUUCUCACAAUUCGAUUUUGUCCAAAUCUCAUUUGGUGCAAUCAAGUUUUCUCGAAACAGUUUCAUCUUAUUCUCAUAUAUAUAAUUGCACUGGAUUCGUGCUUGUUGCAAACUACUAAUUGAAUUUAAUUUACAAUGAUAACAAAUUAAGGAGAAAACAGAGUUGUUAGAAGGUCUAUUUAUCUAAGUAUAUUAAAACACAAACUUGGAGAAUGUCAAAUUGGUGUGCUUUUCCCUUUAGAAAUAGCAUUUGACCUGCAAUUGAUUAGGCUUAUUCGACCACUAUUUCCACCCAAGGCUAUAAUUCUCAUAUAUAUAUAUAUAUAUAUAUAUAUAGAGAGAGAGAGAGAGAGAGAGAGAGAGAGAGUUUGUGUUGUUACUAUAUAUCAGUAACACGGAAGUUCCUAUACUACUAAGUUGUUUUCAAUGAUGAAGUAUUCAAAUUGAUGAUCGACUCUAUUAAACAUGAUUUACGCCAUUGAAAUUUUUUUUUUUUUUGAGAGAAAGGUAGCAUGCAUGCUAUCCAUUUCGUUUAUUUUAUUUAGAAAAUAAACUUAGCUAGAAAUGUGAAUCAACUAGGUUUCAAACUUGGGUCUCGGAUAUCAACCACCAAACUCUUUUGCCACUUGCGCUAGGAACGGUCGGUGCCAUUGGAAUUAUUUAGAAACCAAAUUUUAUAUAUAUAUUUAUAUAUAACUAAUGAUUAAAAGGUCCCAAACUAACAAUUUGAAUGACCAUGCAACGCAUUUGUAAUUAAGCUUAAUAGUGUAGAAGAAUUCAAAUUUAAUAAAAUUUUGAUAGAAAUUUUUUUUCAAUAUUUAGAAUAAGAUUAGUACUUUUGAUAUAAAAUUUAAAUUCUUUAUCAUUAUUUUUAUGAGAUUUUUAUUUUUAGCUAUUUAUUUUGAGAAUAUUCGUUUUAAAAGUAAAUGAUGUUGAAAAAUCAUAAAAAUUGGUUUCCAGAUACUUCUAUUAAUGUAGAUCAUGUUUUUUUUUUUUUUUUUUGAGAAAUAGGUAGCACGUUACCCGCUUCGUUUAUUUCAUUUAGAAAUAAACUUAGCUAUAAAUGUGAAUCAACUAGGAUUCGAACUUGGGUCUCGGGUGCCAACCACCAAGCCCUUUGCCACUUGCUCUAGGGACGGUCGGUUUAAUGUAGAUCAUGUUAAUAAAGCAUAUCGUCGAUUCAAAUGUCUCACCAUUGAAAACAAUAUACUCUCAGUGUUAUUGAUAGUAGUAUAUAUAUAUAUAGGAGCUACUAUACUAUCGGAAGCACAAAUUAAGGAUAUGAUGUUUUCGACUUUUUGGCUCUUAGAUUAAUCCCUUUGAUCAUUUCUAACAUUUCUAUUAAUAUUAUUACCCGAUAAAGACCACUCAACUCUAGCGACUAGUCAAUUCUAGGGGGUAGCACAAUCAUCCCAACAGUACAAUUUUUGAUCCAAGAAUCAAAAGUCGGAAGCACCAUAUUUUUUAUAUUUCCGAUAUCUGGUGCAUGCUUCCAAUUUUUUGGUCCUUAGAUCAAAAAUUGUAGUGUUGGUAUGAUUGCGCUACCCUCUAGAAUUGACUAAUCCCUAGAGUUGAGUGGUCCAUAUCGGGUAAUAAUAUUAAUAGAAAGAUUAGAAAUGAUCAAAAGGGUUAAUCGAAGAGUCAAAAAGUCGGAAGCAUUAUGUUUUCUGUGUUUUCGAUAGCACAGUAGCUCUAUUAUAUAUUUCCCUCCUAAACUCACCUAAGGGUCCUUAAGUUCAAAUUUUAUUAAUUCAAUCACCUCACAUACACUUUUGGGAAAAUUGUAUGAAUGGUCCUUCCUACUAUUUCCAUGUGAUACAGUUUCAAUUUCAAAAUUUUAGUUCAUAAUUAAACUCUUACACAUAUAUUACACUUAACUUAUAUUGAGUCUAAAAUAUAAAAAAUUUAUUAUCAAGAGGCUCAAACUUUUAGAUAUAACGGCCAUUUUACAUUAUUUCAUAAAAUUGGAAAUUCUGAGUUUGAAUUUCACGAUAUACUUCUAGCUUCAUUUAAUUUAAUUUUAUCUUAUUAACAAAAAUCUACACCUAAAAUAUAUAUUACGUACUUUUUGAGAAUAAUAAUUGUUUAAAAUGAGACUAAUUAAUUUAUGACUUUGAACUAAAGUGUUUACGUGAAGAGUACAACAACCAAUUCGAACUAGUAUAUAUCAUAUACUUUAAUAUGUAAGGAUAAAUGUUGUAUAUAGAUAUAUCCCUAUGUUUAUGAGAACAACAACUACACGUACACAGAUAUACAAGCACCAAAUAUAUAUAUACAAGAAUAACACUCUUUAGCUCUUCUUCAACAUAAGAUCUUGCCCUCCCUUCCAUGCAUCCAUGGAUUUGGUUCAUGACCAUCACCACUGCGGCGAAGAGAACUCGAAAGAUCGCGAAGAUUACGCGCACGUCGCAAACUCCGAGCUCCUCCGUGGCCUCCGCGUGGAGUCCUCGUCCUCGUCGUCGCAGAGGAACCUUUGCGAGGGCGAGGAGCGGAUCGCGUGGCUCCGGUCGGAGCUCGUCGGGUCGGACGUUGAGUUCAAGACCCCGUUCGCGGGUCGCCGCCGCCUCGUCUACGCCGAUCAGACGGCGUCCGGAAGGUGCUUGCACUACAUUGAGAACUACAUCAUCCAACAUGUUCUCCCCAUCUAUGGUACACACUCCUCCAAGGAUCAAUUAAUAUAUAUAAACCAAUUUUGAAAAUUUGAAAUUCUUUCUUGUUUCGGAAUUAUUUACAUUCUGUUUGGUUUGAUGUAGCUGUAAUUCGAUCGUAAAUUUUGUAAUAUAUAUUUAUUUAUUACAAAAAAAAAUAUAUUAUUGUAACUAAAAGUGAUCAAUAUAUAUGUACGUGUAUAUGCAUGGAGGGAACACGCACACCGAGGAUAGUUUUGUCGGGAGCGAGAUCACGCGGAUGGUGCGCGAGGCGGCGGCAUACGUGAAGCGCUGCAUGGGCGUGGGGCCCGAGGACGCUCUCCUCUUUUGUGGCGCGGGCGCGUCCGCGGCCGUCAAGCGCUUGCAGGAGGUGAUGGGCAUCGCUGUCCCGUCAACGGUGCGCGGCAGGAUGGUCCAGGCCCUAAGGGACGAGGAGCGGUGGGUCGUGUUCGUCGGGCCCUACGAGCACCACUCGAACCUCCUCUCGUGGCGGCAGAGCACGGCGGAGGUCGUGGAGAUCGGAGUCGACAGCGAGGGGCUGCUCGACGUCCGCGCGCUGCGGCGCGAGCUCGCGCGGCAUGGGCGCGCCGGCCGGCCCAUGAUUGGGUCGUUCUCGGCGUGCAGCAACGUCACCGGGAUCGUCACCGACACCCGCGCGGUCGCGCGGAUCCUCCACCGGCACGGCGCCUUCGCCUGCUUCGAUUUCGCCGCUAGGUAUGAUUCAAUGUUCCUGCACCACUAUCUCCAAAAUUUUGAAAAUUCAUGUAAAUAUUUUUUUUUUUCUAACUUUCAAAAAUCUAUAUUUUGCUCUAUUAAAAUUUUAAAAAUAUUUUUAGAGAAUUACGAUAUUAAUGGAGAAAACGAAAUGAUCAAAUUAUACUUACUUAUAUAAAUGGUUGCUAAAAUAUUUUACAGAGUCUUUCAUAAAAGGAUAAAAUGAUUUAUUAGUCAACAUCUCUAUAAAUAAAUAAAGGUAAAUAUACUAAUAUAGUCAUUUAAUUUAAAGGAUAUAUAUAUAAAUAAAUAUAUUUAUAUGUUUAUAUUUGUGUAAUUUUACAAUUAUGUUUUUCUGAGUGAAGCUUUUUUUUUCUUUUGAAUUGUGAACAUUGUUUCCUCUAGUGUAGGACCAUAAGAGGAACUUCUGAAAGAGAGACACUAUAAAUUAACGGCGUGUUUUCACACUCAAGAUUGGUCAAAUUAAUUAUAGUUAUUAUGAUAUAUAUAUAUAUAUAUAAUAUAUAUAUAUAUUAUAUAUAUAUAUAUUAAUAUAUAUAUAUAUAUAAAGUGAGCUGUAUGACUUCUAAAGCAACGGACCACGCUUCCGUCUUCAAGAAUCAGUGUUCACGAUGUGGUACUUUCGAACCAGACGAUCGCUCCGUCGAAUUUGAUUUAGAUAGUAUUUCGAAGUACCUAGAAAAUAAAUUUUGCUGUUUUUUCGAUAUGCAUUUGCCUAGUGAUCGUAAAGAGCUCAUCAACAAUUUUUUAAUAGCGUAAGUGAGCUGUUUGCAAGUUUUAACAGUGUAGAAAUAUUCAAUCACGUGAAAUCUUGAUAGCAAAUUCUUAUGUUAUAUAGAACAAGAUCAAUAUUUUUGAUCUAAAGAUUUAAAUGCAAUAUUAUACAAUAUUUUGUGAAAUUUUUAGUUUUUAGCCGUUGAAUUUGAGUCAUUCGAUUAUAAGUAAUGAUAUAAAAAAAGUCGCAAUAAUUUAUUAUUCUACAUACUUAAAAUACUGCUAGAUAAGUCUAACGAGAUGAUCGCAUCGUCUGGAAAGUCCUCAACAUCAACAUGAACCUUGGAAAGUACGAGCACAGAAGCAUACCAGCCGCACUCUUAGCAUAUAUAUUAUAGAAUAGACCGAAUACCUAUUAAUAAGUAAAAGCACGUUUUUUAUGCUAUUCAGUUUUAAUCCUUAGAUCAAAAUUAUAGGGUCAGGAUGAUAUUAGUCGGUGAGUGAUGUGGUCGCCCCUAGGGUUGCGUGGUCUCCACGGGUUAUAGUAUUUAAUCCAAAGUGGUGAAAUAUUCGAAAAGAGUUGAUUCAAAAGGCUAAAAAACUGGUAACAACAAUGGGAUUUUGCUACUCCACAGUAGCCCAAGUCUACACUCAUAUAUAUAUAUAUAUAUAUAUAUAUAGUUGAGCUAGAAUACUCUCAAAACCAACAUGAAGGUGGUGCUUUUGAGUUUUUAGUCAUUGGAUCGAGAGAUGUGAGAUUGAGAUGAUGGUGGUAGGUGGUGGUAGGUGGAAUAGUGUUUGAUCCAAAAACUAUUAGUAAUCAAGGAGUAGAUACAAAGGCUAGAAACCUAGAAGCACCAAAAGGGUGAUAUUUCUAAAAAUAUUCUAGCUCAAUUAUAUAUAUAUAUAUAUAUAUAUAUAUAUAAGUCUAAGGAAAUGAUGUAUGAAUUAUGUAGAUAGAGAAUUAAUAUGUCAGAUAAGAGUAUACGUCAGCUACAUGCUAAUUGUAAAUAGCUACAUGUAUUCAUAUACUUAAUUAGUAAUUAGGGUUUAUCACAUAGUCAAUUAACCUCCUUAAUUAUAUAUUCAAAUGUUCUUUUUCCCCAGCAUUGUUUCAUUAAGUUUGACCUUAUAAAUCAUGCCUAGUUAAUUAAUUAGUUAUGUAUUACUAUAUGUUUUAGUCCCAACUACCACGAAAAUUAACAAGUGAUUCUCACAUACCAUUUUCAAUGUUUAUAUAAUAAAUUACACAUUGUUCAUUCAUUUUUAGGUCCAAAAAGGUCUUUAAUUUCCUUAUUCUUAUAAAUAUUUUCAUAUUUCGGGAAAUGACGGGGACAAUGAUAAUUGAUAAAUGUACACGAGUGCAUGCGAAUUAAUUAACGCAUUGAUGUAAACGCUUUUAAUUAUUGUUAUUGAUAUCAUCAACUAAUCCCACCUACAAUUCAAGUACUCUUAAAUUAUUUAAAAUUGAUCUUGGUUCACAUAUAUUAUUAUUAUUAUUAUGCUAUUUAAAGUAAACAACAACAACAACCACGAGGCUACGUACUCUAAUUUGCUAUUUAAAGCUAAAUUCCCUAAAAAAUUACUUCUAAAAAAAUAUAAAAUAAAAUUGUAUGCUCCACCCACCAAAUUUCGUGCUCGAUUAAUUCUGAUCCACAUAUAACACAUCUAAUUAUAAAACAUAUUCAAUUCAAAAAUUUAAACUCAUUAGAUCAAGAUCCCAUUAAUAAUAUAUAUUAACUCUCUACUCCUUUAUUUAUCGAUUAUUUGUAAUAUAUAAAACUAUAUAUGCACAUGUAAAUUUCUAAAAGCAACUCAAAAGUGCAAUUAAUACGUAUAACCAAAGUAUAUAUAUAUAUAUAUAUAUAUAUAUAUAUAUAUAUAUAUAUAUAUAUAUAUAUAUAUAUAUAUAUAUAUAUAUAUAUAUAUAUAUAUAUGCACGUAAACUAUCGAUUCGACAAAUUAAUUUCCUCAAAAUAAAAUCUCAAAAUAUUAUAUUUCAGAACUUUCCACUUAAAUACAUUUAGCGUGUUGUUCUAUACAAUACUGUUACGUACAAAAAUAUGCAACAUAAAAUAAAAAUAAAAUAAUUAUAUAUUUUUAUUAUCUAAUUUAACUAUUAAUUAUUAAUUAUUAUUAUUAUAGGACACGUUGUACUAUGAAAGCAUCGAGGAGAGAGAAGAUGGUGGGACCCCACCCAUAAUCCAAAAGAUCCGCGUGGCGCUCGCCUUCUGGGUCAAAUCCUACGUGGGCUGCCACGUCAUCGGCUGCCGUGAGCGCCUCCACGCUGAAUCCGCGCUCCGAUUCCUCCUCGCCAAUCCUAACAUCAUUAUCUUGGGUAACGUGAAAUAAUUCAUCGAUUACUUUAAAAGUUUAAGCUGGUCGUAAAUAAUAUUAAUUUUGAAAUUUUGCUGUUCGGAAAUGUUAUUUUUAGAGUUAAUUUCAUGCAGAUAUAAAUAUAUUUUUUCAAAAUUCAACUUUUGUAUAUUAUUUUUAUAAAAAUUUUAGUAUUUUAAAAUAUAUUUCUCUGAUUUAUUAUUGUUAAAGCACUCUUUAUUUUACAAGUGAAAUGAUCUUUUUACCAUCACAAAUAUGUCCUUCUAAGGUCCCAACUGUUAAUUGAAGAGGGGUGAAAAGGUCAUCAUCUCAUUAACUAAUUAAGAUUAUGUAUUUUACAUAUGAUUAACUAUUUUUUUAAAGGAAUAUAUUUAAAAAUAUCAGAAUUUUUGAAAGGACAAUAUAUGAAAGUUGAGCUAUGUAGAAAUAUAUUUGUAAUUUACUACAUUUACAUGGAACUGUAUGAAAUUAACCCUUAUUUUUAUUAUUACUCUGGUUACUACUACCUAUUUAGUUGUAGAGAGGUAUUACUUUUAGAUAUUUUUACUUCAUAAUAAUAUUUAAUAUAUUUUUUAAAAUAUUAAAAGUAUCUAAUAUAUUUCUUAUUGAUCAAAAUAUUUUUAUUGAGUUUCAAAAACGAUCAAAUAUUCUCAAAUUUUUAAGAUUUACUUGUAGUUUAGAAGAGUAUUUUAAUAAUUUCAGAAUAAAUUUGCAAAUUUUGAAUAAUAAAUAAAUAAAGGGCCUUUUUACUUACGUACAUAUGAAACAAAAAACAAUGUUUAAAUUCAUAUGUGAUUUCGAUAUAGCUACUGCAGUUGAAAGCCACACUCAAAUUAAAAUUGGCUGCGAUUACAACUGCAGCAGCAAAUUGGCGAAAAUUUGGAUCACUCGAUUUUUUUUUUUUUAAGGAUAUUUUAGGCUAUUAAACCAAAAAAAAAAAAAAAAAAAAAAAAAAAAAAAAAAAAAAAAAAAAACCUCUAUUAGCUGCAAUUGCACAAAAUUAUAGAAAAUGAGUAUAGUUAUAAUUGUUCUAUUUUUAACUAUGGACUUUAACUCAUAUGACCUUUUGCGACUAUUCAAAGGUUUUAAAUUUACUCUUUAUUUUUCAAAAUAUUAUUUUAAACCACAUACUUUAUUAGUAAACCCAAAAGUAGAGAUAUAUUUGAAAAAUAAAAUAGUUGUAACCAAUAAAGACAUUUCGGUCAAUCAAGAGUGUGAUAGAUAUUUUUGAAGUUUUAUAAGGCAUAUUAAAUAUUAUCCCUCUAAAUCACUAAAAACUUAAACGGAUAUAAAACAAUAUUUUUAUAUUUUAUAUUCAACAGGUAACACUCAGGUUAUGCGCCUUCCCAUAUUCUCCUUCCUCGUAUUCCCCCGAGAUGAGAAUACGGAUGAGAACGAGAAUAAGAAGAAGCCGCUGCACGGAAGAUUUGUGGCGAAGUUGCUGAACGAUCUUUUCGGAAUUCAGGCGCGCGGCGGGUGCGCCUGUGCAGGGCCGUACGGGCACCACCUUCUCGGGGUGGAUCGGGAACUCUCCCUCCGCAUUCGAUCUGCUAUUCAACAGGUACAUAAACGAAUCUUAAAGUAGUGAUGGACGAUUCAUUAGACUGUCUCUCUUCAGAGGCUCUCCACAUUACUUUUCUUUUGGAUUAUAGAACAAAAAAGUUCUUAAAUAUCUACACCAAAAAAAACUAUUAAUGAGAUUUUAAUAAAUUUAUUUAUGGAGUUCAAUAAAUUGCUUCACUUUGAGAUCAAUCUCUGAUCUUUUCCAAAAAUUUCUUUUCUAAAUCCCACUAGCUAAUUAAUGAACUACAAAUGAUUUUUUUUUUUUUGUGGUGGUAAAAACAUACAGAACUUAUAUGAACUAUAAGCCAUUUUGAAUUUGUCACUAAACCUUUCAAAAUUUUAAUUUUAUUAUUCACUCUUUCAAUUUGUUUAAUUUAAAUCAGCCAGUGAACACUUUAACAUCAAAAUUUGAAUGCGUCGUCUAUUUUUUCAGUUUUAUUUAACAUACGUUAUAUAAUUUUCGCAACUAUAAAUUUAUUAAAGAAUAUAAAGAAUUAUAUAAAGUAUAAUAAAUAAAUUUGUAAAAAUAGACGACGUAUUUAAAUUUUGAUGUCAAAGUGUUGUUGACCGACUUAAAUCAAACAAGUUGACCGACUGGAUCGUAAAAUUUAAGUAUUGAAAGGUCAAAGUAAUAGAUUCAAAACGACACAUAGUUCAUGCAAGUUCUUUACGUUUUUACUUUUUUCUUUUCUUUUUUUUUUUUUUUUCCUUUAACCUAAAACAGGGCUACACUGGAUUGAAACCAGGAUGGACCAGGGUCAGUUUCUGCUACUACAUGUCCAAAGAAGAGUGCUCAUUCAUCCUCUCGGCGAUCGACUUCGCCGCUUCGUACGGCCACCGCUUCCUCUCUCUCUACCGCUUCGACUGGCUCACUGGCGACUGGACCUUCCGACGACGAUGUGUGUCGAAGCACCGCACAAUGCCGGAGUACGUAGCCAAAGUUUUCGAUCAGGGAGAGAAAAUAAGAGGAAGCGUUACAUCCCGCGAAAUAUUGACAGAUAAGGAGAAGGAGAAGAAUUCGGCGGAUGCUCGAUUGUUCCAGACCUAUCUGGAAAGCGCUAAAAUGAUUGCAUUUUCAUUGCCGGAAUUUUCAGAGCCUUGUAUUGACGUGCCAGCGGAGGUAGAUCGCAGUUUGAUCCUUUUCAGAAUAUAAGUGUUUGUGUAGUUGAAAUACUACUUCCAGAAGUAGAUAGGACUGUUUACUUCUAUCACAGUAAACAUGUACAUAAAAAAGAGAGAGAGAGAAGUUAAGUGGAAUACUACUUAUUUUUCUUCUGUUGUUUGUUUGUAUAGCUGUGGAAGUGAAGUUUUUCAAUUCUACUGUUUGUUUUGUAGAAAUAGAAACUGAAGUUGUGAGAGAUGAACUAAUAUUUUUUGUUUUCUCGCUUUUUUUUUUCGUAAUUAACUUGAGUCUAUGAUGGACCGAAGCCAAUUACACUAUUUGAGAAGUUUGAGUUUCGGUCGGAAGUGAAGUUACAGUGAAUCAAACAACGGAAGUGAUUAUUUAUAGCCAAAAAUUAUGCCACUUUUUGUGAAACAAACAUGUAGCGCCAUUUACUUCUAUUGCAAUAAAAUAUAAAUACAUAGAGACUAGAGAAAAUGAGUGAGAAGUGUAAAGAGUAUAAUAUUAAUAACAGAGGUUAAGCAUUUCGUAAUAUAUGCACGUAAUUUUGUAAAAAUAGCAAUGAUUUAAAAAUUGGGUUGUGCUGGUCGCUCUGACCAAUUCGAGCGUUACCUAGUCUAUGAACUGGUUCGGUUGAAUCCUUUGAAUAGGAUAAGUGAAAAAAAAAAAAAAAAAGCUUUGAACCAUUUGAAUCGAUGGUUCAGUCAUCAAACCAAUAAACAGGUCCCGCUUUAAUUAAAUCGGUCGAAUUUUUUUAAUAAAGUCAUAUUAUCUAAUAAAAAGAAAAACUUGAAAACUUAUAUUUAUUUAAUUUUGUAUAGAAAUCAGUAUUUUAUAAUUAAGUAUAACACUAGAAUAAUAAUCUAUAUAAUUUUUUUGUAUAAUAAAAUUAAAAAUAAAUAAUAAUUAAAUAUUUAUGAUUGAACCAGGCAUCUUUAAUCCUACAACAUCCUCGUCUCACUAACUGAUUUGAUUUUUAAAGCAUUAAAAAAUAGAAGCGAAACCAUGCAGGCCAGAUACCAUGAAAUACACUUUGGGGGGUACCCAAAGCAUGCACAUGGCCUGCUCUAGCCUCUAGGAAUGUCAACUGGUCGGAUUCUGUGUGAAUUUAAAAAAAUUUAAAUCUGAACCCAACUCCCAAACUGAAAUUCGAACCUGAAUCCGAAGCCGGCGGAUUGUAAAAAUCCAUAUCCAAAUCCCAACCGGACGAAAAAUCAAAAACCCAAACCCGAAUCCAAAUCCGAAAAUCCAAACCCGAAACAAUUAUUUCACAUUUCAAUAUUUCAAAAUAUAUCACAUCAAAUCUAAAUUUUUAAAAUACAAAAAUCAAAUACAACAUCAAAUUUUUUACAUACAUAUUAUCUAUAAUGUAAAAUAAAUUCGGGUUCGGGUUUGGGUCGGGUACAGUCAAAAUCUAUAUCCGUUGGAUUUUUAUUUUUGAUAUCCAUAUCCGAAAUCAUAUCCGUUUAGCAUCGAAUAAAUUCGUUCUGUUCGGAUUCGGAUUCGGAUAAAAUUUCUGGUAUCCGUACACAUCGGCAUCCCUAGCCUGCUCCAAGGAUGAUUGUGCCAGAGCCUUCCACUCCAAUCAUCUACACCACCCAUUUUUAGUGGCCCUAAAAAUCUCAGCAGAUACAACAUAUAAACUAAUGAAAAAGCAAACUAAACCUUCAGGUAAAGAGAGAGAGAGAGAGAGAAAGAGAUCUAGAGAGUUGUUUAUGAUCAGCCUCAGCAACCAAAAGAAGCUAUAAUUCUGUCUAGCUCCAUUUCAUCUCCUGCAGUGAUUAGAGGAGAAGAGGUUAAUUAAAUGGGGAGCACCCUCUUCACCAGCUCCUGCUUCUUCUCCCUGAGAGGAGGAUCAGACCCACACCAUCUUCAUCUUCUGAGGGCUUCUGGGAAGAGCUACUUCUGCAGAGCAGCAGCAGCAGCAGCAGCUCAGAAGGGUACUGAAUGUUCCACACAAGAAGCAGCAGUGGAAGAAGGUGGUGGUGGUGGGGAAGGAAGCACAACAAGCACUGGGGUGGUUUCAUUUUCUGGGAGGAGGAGGGAGGCUUUGGCUGCUGGGCUUUUCUUAGCUUCUGGGCUGGUUCUGGGGGUUGUUCCUGGAACUGGGCUUGCUGUCAAGCAAGGGCUCUUGGCUGGGAGGAUCCCUGGCUUAUCUGAGCCUGAUGAAAAAGGUUAUUUUUCUCUUCUCUUUUGUUGCUGUUGUUGUUGUUGUUGUUUUUUUUCCUCAUAAAUUAUAUGAGUUUCCUUUGAUUUGUUUAAUGAAAUAAUCAACCAGGGAUUAGUUAGUUAAGAAGAGGUGAAAUAUUAGAGAAGUAGAAUUAUUUGUUAGGUGUAACUUCUCCAUGAAUUCUAGCACUAAAUUGGCUGCAUCAAAAGAGAAUAAAAUGGUGGAAAAGGAGAGGCCAGUUUGUUGUGGUGUGUGUUGAAUUAUUGUACCUAGUUCUUUUUUAUAUAAUUCGAAUUAUUGUACCUAGUUCUUUUUUAUAUAAUUCGUGAAGGCAUACUUCUGAUGAGAAACAUGGUUGACGAUUUGAACUCAGGAUCUGGACCUUCUCCUCUGAUACCAUGUAAAGUAACUGAUUAAUUUAAAAGCUUAAGCUAUGCGAGAACGACGUUUUUAUACUAUAUAUGUAUUCCGCAGUUUGGAACAUCCUAAUUUCUAAGAAAAGUUGUUUUAGUAAUCUUCAAACUUGGUCACUGCAUGUUCAUAUAUAUAUAUAUAUAUAUAUAUAUAUAUAUAUAUAUAUAUAUAUAUAUGGACUAAUUUUCUCUCCAAGAACAGUUUAAUGAUCCUUUUCUGAUGGAAAAUGUUGGUUCAGACAGGUUGGAGGACAUACCGUAGACCGGACGACAAAUCCGGCGGGCACGGAGUCGGGUGGAGUCCGAUAAUCCCUUACACCUUCAAAGUUCCACCAGGGUGGGAUGAGGUAAAAUUUUUUCCAAAUAUUAUUCGACUCCACGUUGUGCUGCGUAAAACUGAAAAUGUUUCAGAUCAAUAAUGUAUCCAUUGUAUUCUGAGAGACCGAAACUCGGCAGAUCAUUCUAAAUUUGGUUGGUUUUUGAUGGUCUUUCGUAGGUUCCUGUAUCGAUUGCCGAUCUCGGUGGCACGGAGAUUGAUUUGAGAUUCGCGAGCUCGAAAGAAGGCCGCUUAUUCGUUAUUGUAGCUCCUGUUCUUAGAUUUGCAGGUACAAAAUUCCUAAUACUGCUUGUUUUCCGAAAAUUUUCGUGGUGGUGAUGAUAAAAUAUAUAACAUGUUAAUGAUUUGUAUGUGCUUAUUGAAUUUAUCAGCUUCUGACAAACUAAAACUUCAGAACCAAAGAAUUAUCUUGAUGAACUUCAAUACCUGAUGAGCAUUCCCCAAUAUUUCAAUCUUAAAUAUUCAUGAAAAUUUUGAGCGUAAAAUAUGUUUGAUUUAAGUAUCCUUUGUGACGGAAUAUUUUGCAAUCUUAUGUAGCAAUACUUUUGUCGUAAACCAUUAGAUACGAAAAUAAUCUGACGAAAUUACUAAGAAGUUUUCUGAAAUCAAAAGAACGGACGAUUCGGUAGUAAAAUCAAAAGCUUGAAGUUCAGGUGGUAGAUUCACGGUGUUGUUAACAUUUCAUUGCGUAGAUCUCGAAGGGGAGGUGACAAUCGAAAUGAUCGGGACGCCGGAGAAGGUGAUCAACGCUUUCGGCCCCGAAGUUAUCGGCGAAAAUGUGGAAGGCAAAGUUCUAACUGCAGAGACAGUGGAACACUCAGGAAGGACUUACUACCAGUUUGAGUUGGAGCCUCCUCAUGUCCUGAUCACCGCGACGGCCGCAGGGAAUCGACUCUACUUGUUCAGCGUAACCGCGAGCGGUAAUAAUAUAAUAAUAUAAUCCUUCACCUUUCUUCUUACUAUCUUACAAUUAUUAUCUGAAAAUUGAAUGGAAUAAGAGGUCAUAUGAUUUUCAAACUCAAAUUGUUUGGUUUGAAUUUUUGCAGGUUUGCAGUGGAAGAGACAUUAUAAAGAUUUGAAGGAAAUCGCAGACUCCUUCCGAGUCGUUUAGAAGUUUAAAUGGGAGAGUUUCUGAACAUUACUGGAAAAAGAGAUUAUAUUAUAUCCAAGAUUACACAGAUACAAAUAUUAGCAUCUUUCUGAAGCAGUUGAAUGUGAUAUGAUUGAUUCAAUAUUUGAUGUUGAAUGUUAAGCAUUUGAGAGAGAUUUUACUGUAGGAAUUUCUGAAAUUAUACAAACCUUAUUCUUUGUUCUGUUAGUUGUGAAAACAUGUGCACAGUAACACUGUAAACCCUAGUCAGAGGAUGGGAAAAAUAUGGGGAAAAAAAAACAAAAAGAAAAAAAACCUGUUUUCACAGUGCAAAAUCACACUACAAAGAUGAAACUUUGCAGUUGCGCGGUUAUGCUGAUAAAAUGAAUUUGCUAGAGACUAAUAAUAUGACACAAAGUAGAAAACAAGGAAAAUGAAAAUCACCAUGUAAUCGCAUAUGGGACAACAAUAGCAGUUACUAAUUAAUCAGGUUUAAAAAAAGAUCAACAAGUACAUAAGCCCCUCAAAGAAAUAAAUGGCAUGGGGGCCCCAAAAUUGAUAUCUACAUAAUUUACACAAAGCUAUUCUCUUUAUCUUUCAGAUAAAACACAGAGAGUUUGACCUUAGAGAAACCAUUUUAGAGAAACUCCAUUAAAAAGAAAAAAAUUCGAUCCAAUGGAGAAAAUGUUAUCAGUACUUGGUUACACAUCUUGUGUCGCUCCCUUCGGAAAAUUGUGUCGUUCGACUCAAUUUCGAGAGCAUUGCAGAUGCGACAACUCUAUUAUUCUCCCGAAUGAUCUUAACUCGUUGAAGUGUGUCGAGGUACUUCAUCAAGCAUCAGGUUCACUUAAAUCCUGGGCUAAAGUAAGGAAAAAAAAGAAUUUUCAACUAGUCUUCCGGCAAACGUAGUUGAAAGCAUCUGCUUCGAGAGUUGGGCGAACUGUAUCCUUCAUAUACGAAACUACUCGGGAUCGUGUGCAUGCAAAACACUGAAGCAAUUGGAACAUUUAUGGCAAUCCAGAUUCCUGCAGUGGAAGAACCCAAGCAUGUUAUGGUGUUAGAAGCCAAAUCAACUUCAGAAUAUGGCUAGUUUCUCUUCUUUAAGGUUUUGCAUUUUUUGAAUUCAAAUAAAGAAAUCCCUUAAGUAUGAGUAUCGUAGGUCGAAACGUAAAUAUAAUAAAAGAAAUGUUAGGAGCGGAGCAUUUUCUUUUGAAGCAACUGAAAAUUGAUUUUGAAGUAAUUCAAUUUUAAAUUUUUAUUUAGAAACAUCUUACGAAAAUGAAGAUCAACUAAUGUGAGGGGAUAUGCGUUUGUACCGAAAUGAAAGAGGCUCAACUCCUAAAGAAAGUAAUCAGCCAAAAGCAGCUGUGGCUUUUCGGUGUCUUCCUUGAUCUCCUGCGAGACUUCGUCUUUAAUUUCUUUUAUUCUCCUGUCCCAGAUGUCGUCUACCAGCUUCCAUGUCUCAUCGCUGAUUAUCUGCGUCUGUAGAGAUGAAAAAUAACAGGAAUCAGCCCUAAAAGAGCGACUCCUGCUAAUGAAAUAUGACUAAAUACAUGCGAAUGCGACUGUGCAUACCUCCAAAGGUCUGGGUGCGCCAAAUGUAGCAAAUCCCACAUUCCCUGGUGCGAACGUAACUCUUCCGGGAAGGGAGAUACCGUGAAUACCCCAUCUCCCAGCAUAAAUAAGCACGCCAUACUCAUCGACUGGAUUCACAGGUGGCUGGGAGAAGGAUACAAAGUUUUUGGGAUAUCAAUUAAUUGUCAAGAAAUUGUUAUGGAGCCAGACCAUCCAAAAGGAAUUGCAUGAAUUUUCUGGAUGAUUCAAUGGUAGGAUACAUUUCUAAGGGAAAAGAAUGAUAUACAUACUUGAGGUAUUCGUGGAGAUUUCUUGUAUAUCUCCCGAAUCUCCUCCGCGUUUAUUACUCUUUUUUCAAGCAAAAUAUCUGAUCAAGCAUAUAGUGCCAUAUCAUAUUAGAUAUGCUGUAAUGCAUCUUAAAUGUCUAUCUUUGCUAAAACAAACAUCAUCAUUAAAUAUUGAAUUGAACAAACCUGUAAUAGUUUCAACAGCUGAACGAUACUCUCUUAACACAGCUGAACAUUUCUCCACUGCAAAGCGCAUGUAUUCAUUUCUAAGGGCUUCCAAUUUUGCUGCAAGCUGCAAAACUCGCACGUCAAAACAUUUAAUUGAGAGAUUUUGAUACAUGAAAUAAGAAAUUGAGCAAGUUGCUUGACACUUGAGGAGAUAAAUAUACAAUAAGAAUUUGAUUAAAUUUGUUGACCUACAUUUGGUACAAGAUCACCCUGAUUUCUAUAGUAGGCUUUGCCAAAUGCUGUCAUCCCUGUCUGAAGAAUCAAACGCUCGGCACGCCUCGAUGCGUCUGUUGUUGCUGUUGCUGAAAUCCAGCAUAAAUUAUCUAUUCCAAAUAUCUCCUCCUCGAUAACUCUUGCUAUUCAUUCAAGAAUCCAAUAAAUGUAUUAGCAGCAAAUUUUGGUCUUUUUAGUUACAACCAAACAGCCUUUCGCAAAACAAAGAGAACCCAAAUAACCAUAUAGAUUCCAGUAAUAUAUGUUGAUUAUUGCAAGUUUGUCAAGAAUCUUUAAUAACAAAAGGAUAGCGGAUGCCAAACCACAAUUGACAUGCUUGAAAGAACAGCAGAAUGAUACUAAAUAUCUACGAGUGUGUUAUUUCCAUAAAAGCGUCCAAUGAAAGAAUACAAUGAAGAAAUAGGACUUACGUGCACAAGCUCGCACAAUAGAAUUAAUGUAGUCAGAUUUUCUCAGAAAAGCUCUUCCUGAGGUUUCAGCAUACCGCAUAUUUGGCUUGCUGCGGAUCGUACGGAUAUCAGUCUGCAAAAAUACGAAAAUUUGCUAGGUUUAGUAGGAAACAGAAGAGCUGAUAAAAAAAAAAAAAAUCUUAAAACUUGAAUCUUUGGUCAACCUCCACAAAAGGACAAUGUGGCUCCGGAUAGAAGCAAGCAAGAACUGCCACAGCGGCUUCUCUAUACGCCAACCUAAGCUUUAGUUCUUCAGGGAUCUCAGUACUAUCUUCCUGACCUGUUUCGAAGGUCCCUUUUUGCUGCAAAAAUGUAAAUAUACAAGAGCAUAGAAGUAAAAUAAAAAGUUAAUCUAGUUGCCUACAUGCACAGCAUAUCAAGCAAUAUCUAUUAGGGGCUGUUUGGUUCACGGUUUGUGGUAUUAUGGAAAUGUAGUAUAUUUUAUAUUUGGAAUGACAAGUUUGUUACUAACUUAUCAAGCCACUUCGAUUGGAGAUUGUUAAUAACUAAUAUAUUCUUAUUAAUAGAUUACUAAUGAUUCCCAUCAAGUAUGAAAAUGAGAAUACCUCCUAACCCAUAAUAAUCUGGUAUUCUUGCUACUUCGGAAACUACAAUCAUUCCACUACUUUACUAACACCUUUUAUAACUACCCAACUUGAGUUGAAAGAUAAUGAUUUAAUUAUUUUCAAUAGAAAAUAUGAAGGAUUACCGAAAUAUUACAAAUCUUGAACCAAACAUCCCAUAGAUUAAUCAAAUCAGUAAUGUAAUAAUACCCUCUUUAGAGCCUCCAACAAUUCCUCUCUUCCAAUGUAGUCUUGAUCCUUUCUCGCAGUCAAAAUCCCAGCCUCAUUCCUGAACAUUAUUUGCAUUUAUUGUUUGCUGCUUAUAGAUGGAAUUUAUAUGCAUAAAAAAGAUUCUCCAAAUUAUUACAGUAUAUUUUGCAGCUCUGCUCCAGUGAAGUCUACCGUAAGCUCUGCAACUUCCUGCAGAAGAGCCUCUUUCUCAGCUUCGGAUCUGAAAUACUUAUUCCUAGCAUGUACCUGAAAAAGAAAUUCGAGGAGCAAACAGGUUAGAAGUAUUUAAAUAUAUCCAUAAAUAAUUAUCCACUUACAUGUAUAUCGCCAUAAAAUCUGAAUUUUCAUAUAAAUAUAAACAUAGUUCUCACAUCUACCCUUAUUUUUACGAAAAUAACCCUCCAAAGUAACUCUUUUAUAAUAGAAUACAAACUUUGCCCUUGAAUUGGAUGACACCCCAGCAUAAAAUGAGGGUCUUUCUUCCUAAGAAACAGCAAGCAUGUGUGUAAAUAGAUGUUUUUGCAAGGGUAUUAUGUUAAAUAGUGAAAGCCCAACAAAGUAUUACUUGAAGGCUAAAAUAUUGAUAAGCUGAAUAUUUACAAACCUACCCGCAAUAUGGCCAAUCUUCCAUCUUUAGAUGGAAGGCCAACCCUUAUAAUUUUGUCGAAGCGACCCUUCCUGAGGAGAGCCGGGUCCAAUAUAUCCAAACGAUUAGUUGCACCUAUAACUAACACCUGUUGAGUUCAUUUUGGCAGCAUUUAUCAGCAGCAUUGCAUUUAAAAAUGAAAAUCUAUACAAAAAAGUAGAGCAUGCCUGUGCUGUCGACUCUUUGAACCCAUCCAUCUCAGUCAAAAUUUGCAGUAAGCCCUGCUCCCUCUCGGCACCACCCUGAUCAAAGACUGGAAUAUUUGAGUCAUGCAUGUAUGAUGCAAGCAAGAGGCAACAGAGGAUAAAACACAAAUAUCACCUACAUAGGAAAAUAAUUAAACACAGUAGAUUAUCUCACCCCACCAAUGUCAGGUCCUCCACGUUUGCUGCCAAUUGCAUCAAUCUCAUCAAUAAAGAUAAUAGAUGGUGCAUAUGACCUCGCAUUAACAAACAGGUCCUUGACACGAGCUGCGGCAACACCUACAAACAUCUGCAACAGCAAAUAUCUCAUUAUAAGUGGAUUUACUCAGUAAAAUGAAUAUAAAAUCUGAUCUAUACCAUAGAAGAAUCUAACUUCUAGCCAAAUAUAGUGCUAACAGCCUAACAACUUGUUAGAUGUCAAACAAAACAAUACUGAGCAUGCUCACUUUCGCAAUGAUAGUCUGAUCAGGUACCUUCCUUCCGACCAAUGGAAAGAAAAAAAAAACUGCUUGUUAGAUAAAAGGAAGAUCAAUUCUCACCUCAACAAAAUCAGUACCAUUUGCAGCAAAGAAAGGAAGUCCUGCUUCACCCGCAAUAGCUUUAGCAAGAAGAGUUUUCCCAGUUCCUGGCGGUCCAUGAAGAAGCACUCCUUUUGGACAGUAUAUUCCCUUAUCUUGAAACUCCUCCUCAUUUUUAAGGAUUCGCACGAUCUCUUGCAAUUCUCUUUUUAUGUACUCUUGGCCAGCAAAAUCAUCAAAUGUGACGCCGGUGGUUUCUUCUGCAGAUAUGAACUUCGCCCUACGACAAACCAAUUUCAAAAGCUUAAAAGAAAUUAACAAACCAUUUUUUUUUUCCAUCAGAAUUAACAGACAGCUAGAACAGAUGCUACAUUUGGCUAAGCUGUUUUGUAUACCAUUCAGAAACAAGAGAUAAAAAAUCAGCAAAGAUAAUGAAUAUUCUGACCUUCAGAUUCCUCCCUUCAUAUUGACUGAAAAAGAGGCAAGGACACUGACAUUGCCGAUUCCUACAGACUUUUUUUUUUCACUGGUGAUUCGUGCAAACUUGGAUAUUGACAAGAACGGUUGCAGUUCAUACAUUUCCCACAAAAUACACAAACCUAGUCGCAUAAGGAACAUACAUGGCAGAGGCAAAGUGACGAAAAAUGAUAGUUUAUGUACAAUUACAAACCUACAACUUUCUUGUAAAUAAAAAAAGAUGCAUUCUAGCAUUUCAAAACCAUAGUUUACGUACUAUAAUCAUGCAACAUAUAAGUCACAAAUUCACGUGCACUUCAAUAUGAAGUCUAGACAGCCAUGAACAUGAGUAUAAGCUGUUUAAUGAAAGUACACAUUUUCUAGUGUGAAAAUUUUUGCCCCUGGUAAAUGAUUCUAGGAAUUAAGUGCUGAAACUAAAUAAACAAGCUGAUAUAUAAAAUACUUCUGUAGAUUACCUGCUUUUACCUAGGGAUCCAAGAGCACGACGCUUGAGGGGCUGCCUUGCCUUUUUUUCAGGUUUUCCAAGGUCACAGGGAAUCAGCUUGGCAUAAAUUGGCCUUGUCACGCUAUCGAUCAAUAGGUAUAUACCAACUGAAAGGGCAAAACGCAUUGACCAUACAACAGCAGUUGCAAUAGUAGAGUAGACUUCAGCAGGCACAGCAUCCACGUUAAUAACAUCAACAUUUACCAGUUGUUCAUGCAGCUUACUCCAAACAUCAUUCCAUCCAUCAACAGGCAUUUUAUCAACAAUAUGACGGCGAAAUACUAUUUCUCUAUUGGGAUUGUUUUCUUUUUCUCCUCCAUCUUUGUAAUAUGGUAAAAUAACUGCAGAAGAGAUAGGAAGUCAGUGUCGCAAUACAGAACUUUUAGGGAUGCAUCAAUGAAAUCUAUGUGUCCCCUAACAGCCUUGCUCGAAAUAAAAUUUCCGCAUAUUUUGCACUUUCCAACUGUAGUCUCAAGCAGAGAGCUUCAUUAAUAUUUUCAGCACCUAUCUAUUUGCAAAUGCUACCCACACACAUUUAUAUUUGUCAAACUACAAAACGAGGAUUAUAAAAGUAUGCUCCAAGGCAGCAAUUCAAAUGGAAGCAACUAAUAAGUUCUUAUACAUGUGAUGUAAUAAGAGAGAGCACAUACCAGAAAUGGUCUGGCCAAAGUUUGAGUAUUCCAUGAACUGAACAUUAUUCGAAUUAAGAAGUCUCCAAAAUUCACUAAAAUCAAUUCUAUGAGAGUUCUCAGGAUCCCACUCUGUACCCUUCAAUUUUCCCUGUAGAGUGAGCAAAGUGCGGCUCCAGCAGGAAGCCAUGAUUAGCUGCCUCUCUAGUUGCAUAUCUGCUUUCUUCUCAAACUUCUCCAACUUCUCUAUCCGCUGCCUCUCUGCUUCCUUCAACCUCUGAAAACAAUAGGUUUGUGACGUCAUAUGGGACACAAGCAAGAUAAAUGGAACAAGAGCCUAUUUGGAUACAGCAAUAAGUUAAAUGGUAAGUAAUUACAACUAUAACCAGGAAAAAUGACUUGCAGAGCAUAUAUGUAUACAGUUUAAGAACGUCAUCUUUCUAUACUCCCUAUGGAUCAUUUAAUGACCCAGCCCAUUAGCACUAAGUUCUUAAAUUCCAUGCAUAAUUACUUUCUCACCCAAUUUAGAAUUAUUGGGGUAUUUCAAACUCCCACCGUUCGUACUCACCAAGUCCAAUCACACACACACGUAGUCCAAGAUCAUUGGGCGAUGUGAGAAUUGUCUCGCAUUUUUGACUGGUAAUCGACUCCGAUACCACAUUUAACCAGUCAGCCCAUUAGCACUAAGUUCUUAUAUUUCCACAUGCAAUUCUCCAUUCCCAUCCAACACGAUGUCGGACUAUUAGGGCGUCACAGAUCAACAACCACAUGACCUCGAGUAAAUAACAGAGUACGCUGAACAAGAUACUGAUGCAUCAAAAGAUGCUAUUGAAUGAGACAAAUUUUUGAUACAAUGAUCAAUUAUAAAUGGAAACACAUUUUACUAUGUAAUUUACAGAAGCAGCAUAGUAUGUUUAACUGGAAUCACUUGCUACAUAGUUAUUGCCUAGUUCUAAGGGCAUUUAGAAGCUACAACCCUUCCAUUGCUUCUUUUAAACCCCGCACGUAAGAACCCUACAGCUACGAAUUCUGACGAAACGCUAGAAAAUAAUUAAUUCAUUACACAAUCAACACCUCAAUAGCGCGAAGCAAAACCGCACCUCGAAGAGCCGAGACGACUCCACAUCUUCUUCUUCCUCCACUGCAUCUUUCCCCGUCGUCUCUUCCGCAGCAACAGCUUCGCUAGGGAUCGAUCCCGAGCUCCGUGCUACAAAACCGCCCCUUCUGAUCCCAAUCCCCGAUCGGAUGGAGACGAAGAGGUGGGGUUCGAAGCGUCGGCGCCGGAGAUCCGAGGCGCGAAGCGACCAAGGGCGUGGGCGAAGAAGAAGAGGAAGCGAGGGUUCGGCGUGGCGAGAGAGGAGGCAAGAAGAGGAACGUGGAGACGUUGACGCCAUUGUCGCCUCCCCCCUUCGUUCUCUUCGAGCUCGAGCUCCAGCUUCAGCUCCCCCGUUUUGGGGUUUAUCCGAAACGGAAGGGGUUGUAAUAACGGGUCGGAUCCGUUUUAUCUUGGGUCGGGGUUUUUCCUAGCGCGGAAAUUGAUCCAUUUGUUGCGAACAGGGGUGGCAAUCCAGCUUUUUUCAUAAGCCAUUUUUUGUUCGGCUCAAAAUGAGUUUAAGAUCGAAUCGCUAAUUAAAUAAAUGAACUGAAUUUUUUAACUCGUCUAAUAAACAAGCCGAAUACGAGCUGGGAUCAGCUCGUUCGUGUUCAGCUCGAUAACAGGUCGAAUACGUAUAUUUUAUAUUUAUAUAAUUUAUAUAAUUUAUAUUUAUAUAUAUAAAUAAAUAGAGUCCGGCUACUAUGCUAUCGGUAGNCGAUGUCGGACUAUUAGGGCGUCACAGAUCAACAACCACAUGACCUCGAGUAAAUAACAGAGUACGCUGAACAAGAUACUGAUGCAUCAAAAGAUGCUAUUGAAUGAGACAAAUUUUUGAUACAAUGAUCAAUUAUAAAUGGAAACACAUUUUACUAUGUAAUUUACAGAUGCAGCAUAGUAUGUUUAACUGGAAUCACUUGCUACAUAGCUGUUAUUGCCUAGUUCUAAGGGCAUUUAGAAGCUACAACCCUUCCAUUGCUUCCAUUAAACCCCGCAGGUAAGAACCCUACAAGCUACGAAUUCUGAAGAAACCCUAGAAAAUAAUUAAUUCAUUACACAAUCAACACCUCAAUAGCGCGAAGCAAAACCGCACCUCGAAGAGCCGAGACGACUCCACAUCUUCUUCUUCCUCCACUGCCUCUUUCCCCGUCGUCUCUUCCGCAGCAACAGCUUCCCUAGGGCUGGAUCCCGAGCUCCGAGCUACAAAACCGCCCCUUCUGAUCCCAAUCCCCAAUCGGAUGGAGACGAAGAGGUGGGGUUCGAAGCGUCGGCGCCGGAGAUCGGGAACGCAAAGCGACGAAGGGCGUGGGCGAAGAAGAAGAGGAAGCGAGGGUUCGGCGCGGCGAGAGAGGAGGGAAGAAGAGGAACGUGGGGACGGAGACGCCAUUGUCGCCUCCCCCUUCGUUCUCUUCGAGCUCCAGCUCCAGCUCCAGCUCCAGCUCCCCCGUUUUGGGGUUUAUCCGAAACGGAAGGGGCUGUAAUAACGGGUCGGAUCCGUUUUACCUCGGGUCGGGGUUCUUCCUGGUGCCGAAAUUGGUCCGUUCGUUGCGAACAGGGGUCGCAAUUCAGCUUAUCGUUUGCAAGUCAACUUAUCGACCAGCUCGAAAUGAGUUUGAAAUCAAAUUGCUCGUUUAGUAAAUGAGUUGAAUUAGGAUCGGCUCGUUUGUGUUCGACUCGAUAGCAGCUCAAAUGUAUAUAUUUUAUAUUUAUAUAAUUUAUUUAAUUUAUAUUAUAUAUAUAUUUAUUAUUUUAUUUUUACUAAAAUAAAAAUAUAAAUUCGAGCUCAAUUAUAAAAAGACUCAUUUAUAUAUAAACUGUCAAUCAUUUGACCAAAGCCUAAUGAAUAAAAUUUUAUAAAUUUAAUUUUUAUACGUAUCCAAUCUAAUCCUUUUAACUUAUUAUUCAUUGACCAGCUCGUAUUCGCUUCAUUUAUUAACGAGUCGAACACGAGCCGAAUUUUUCAGCUCGAUACUUUAACGAGCCAAUUUGCUCGUGUUUGGCUUGUUGACACCCCUAGUUGCGAAGUGCAUCGGGUUUAGGUCGGACCAGUCUAGACUGGGUCCUAACUAUUUGAGAACCGAUUACACUAUUUUAUUCUUAUUGAUUAUAUUUUUACUCUUUUAUUUUUAUAUAUCAGAUGAGAGUACAAUUUUAGAAAAAUAAAGUGGGAAAAAAAGAGAAAAGAAUAGAAACAUUUUAGUUACUUUUUAAAAUAUUCGAUCAAAAUCUGCAAAUUUAAGAGAAUACCGUCCGAAUUUACGAAAAACGCAAAGCCAAAAAAAAUUCUUCAUACAAAUUACAAAGGGGCCUUAUUUAAUUUAUAAAUAAAGCGUACGAAUACGAUACAAUAAUAUAUGAAGGGAUCAAACAUUGAGAGGGCCGUAGAGAUAAUCGCUCACCAUCUCCUCGUACGUGCUAUCAUUGACGGUGCUCAGCCCAUCGGCCCUCUUGUACAGAAGGCUGGCGGCCCACGCGUAGUUCGCGACGGCACGCGCGUAGCGCGCGGGUGCGACCCCUGCAGACUGGAACAGCUCCCACUCCAGCUCCCUGCAGUCUGCUUCAAUCAUCGCUUGUAUUGCUUGCAAGGCCUGCUGCUCGGUGCACCCCCCCUCGCGGCGGCUGCGGCGGUAGCAGCUGACCGCGGAGGCCAGCUCGCCGUUUUCGGCCUCCCGGUCGGCUGUCAUGACGUCGUUGGCGAGGCGGGCGAUGCGGCCGACCAGAAGGGUCAGCCGCGAGUCCUUGCCGAUCCGGCGCAGCGCCGCGUCGGAGAUCGGGGGCUCGCCACAGCCGAGGAAGAACGCCGACGUCCAGGAGACGACGGGNCUUGAAUUUAAAUCUUUUAUCAUCAUUUUUUAUGAGAUUUUUAUUUUCAGCCGUUCAAUUUUAGACUACUUGUUUGAUAGAUAAAUGAUAUCGAAAAAUUAUGAAAUUUAGUUUCUAAAUACUUUCAAUAGUGUAGAUCAACUCUAACGGAGCCGAUUGUCGAUUUGGAAGUCACAUCAUCGAAAACAACUUGGUAGCACGGAGCGCUCCGUGCUACCGAUAGUAUAGUAGCCUAGCUCUAAAUAAAUAAUUAUAUAUAUAUAUAUUUAUUUAUUUAUUUAUUAUUUUUUUUAGUAAAAUAAAAAUAUAAAGCCGAACUCAAUUAUAAAAAAACUAAUUUAUAUGAAGACUUUCAACCAUUUAAUCAAAGUCUAAUGAAUAAGAUUUUAUAAAUUUAAUUUUUAUGUAUCAAAUCUAUUUUUUUUAAUUUAUUAUUCGUUGGUCAGCUCGCAUUCGACUCAUUUUUUCAGUUGAAUUUUUUAGCUCGAUACUUUAACAAGUCAGCUCGUGUUCGGCUCAUUGACGCCCUAGUUGCGAAGUGCACCGGGUUUGGGUCGGACCAGCCUAGACCGGGCCCUAGCGAUUUGAGAAGGGAUUACACCAUUUUAUUCUUAUUGAUUAUUUUUUACUCUUUUAUUUUUAUAUCAGAUAAGAGUACAAUUUUAAAAAAAUAAAGUACUGUCGUUACAGUUGUCUACUUUUCAAAGAAAAAAAAAAAUAGGAACCUUUUUGUUACCUUUUAAAAUAUUGGAUCAUAAUCUGCAAAUUUAAAAAAUGCGAUCCGAUUUGGGCAUGUUUGGUUUAUUUCUUUUUCACCCUGAAAUCAGAAUCGGAAUUGGUGAAUUCGUUUAUAAGUGUUUAGUAUACGAGAGUCUCAUUUCGAUUUCGAUUUCCGAGUGAAAUGAGAAUUCUCCAAUAAUCUGUUUUCCCAAUCCAGUCUAGGAGGUCGAAUUGAAAAUUGAAUCCGGACGGAAUUGAUAUUUAUUCGGAUUAAAUUUAUUUUUUUAAUACUUUUAAUUAGAAUAUGAGUUUAAAUUCAGAAAUUAUAUUUAUAAUUUUAAAUUUUAAUAUGAACUUGAAUUAAAAAUUAAAAUUUAAUCAAGGAUUUCGAAACUAACUUAUGAAUUUGAAUUUAAAUUAAAUUUUAAUUUAUAUAAAAUUUUAUUCAAAUUUCAUUCAAAACUUAAAUUAAAUUUAUGGAUUCAAAUUAAAAAUUAAAUUUAAAAAUUUACAUUAAAAUUUUGAAAUAAUGUCCAAAUUUUAAAUCUAUUUUUUAAAAAAAAUAGAUUUAAAAUUUUGAUGUAAAUUUUUAAUUUUUAAUUUUUAAUUUGAAUUUAAAUUAAUAUAUUACAAAGAUAAAUUUAGUAUAUUAAUUUAAUUACUUUUUUUAUAUUUACCUUAACCAAGCACCUACAAUGGGAAUGACUUAUUCCGAUUUCGAUUCAUCGAUUCUAACUUAUUUCGAUUCCGAUUUCGAGCCAAACACGCCUACCGAAAAUGCAAAGCCCAAAUAAAUUUCUGCAUACAAAAAGACCUUAUUUUAAUUUAGGGGCAAUUGCUUAUAUAUUUCUGAAAAGUUUCCGACUUUCCGAUUUACCUUUCUUAAAAUGCUAAUAUUGAAAAUACCGUUUUUACGUUCCAACUUAUUUCUAAUAUAUCUUUAGAGUUAAAAUCUAUUAAUGACUCUAUUAUCUCUGUAAAAUUACAAUUUCGCCCUUUCAAAUAUAUCCUUCUACCAUCACUGACUUUCUUAUUUGUCCUUGAAGUCAAUGGCACAAAAAAUAUUUUGACUUUUGGUCUUUUCUAAUAUACCCCUCUACCGUCACCAAUAUUUCUUAUUUGCCCUUAAGUUAAGGACAAAAGUGAUAUUUUAAUUUUUUUCAUGUUUAACCUAAGUUAACUUAAUAGGAGAUAAUUGAAAGGAUAUUUUACAAUAACAGUGGAAUACAUAAAAAAUAUUUUAGAAAGAAAAAAAAAGAAUAAAUUAGAUAUUUUUAAACGUAUGAGGGGAGGAGUAUACAGGCAAUUAUUCAUUUAAUUUAUAUACGAAGCGUACGUACGAAUACGAUACAAUAUAUGAGUGGAUCAAACAUUGAGAGGGCCGUAGAGAAAAUCCCUCACCAUCUCCUCGUACGCUGUAUCAUUCCCAGCGGGGAACCCAUCAGCCCUCUUGUACAAAAGGCUGGCGGCCCGCGCGUAGUUCGCGACGGCACGCGCGUAGCGCGCGGGUGCGACCCCUGCAGACCUGAACAGCUCCCACUCCAGCUCCCUGCAGGCUGCUCCGAUCAUUUCUUGCACUGCCUGCAGAGCCUGCUCCUCGGUGCACCCCUCGCGGCGGUAGCAGCUGACCGCGGAGGCCAGCUCGCCGUUUUUGGCCUCCCGGUCGGCCGUCACGACGUCGUUGGUGAGGCGGGCGACGCGGCCGGCCAGAAGGGUCAGCCGUGAGUCCUUGCCGAUAUGGCGCAGCGCCGCGUCGGAGAUCGGGGGAUCACCACAGCCGAGGAAGAACGCCGACGUCCAGGAGACGACGGGGGCGCCGAUGGAGACGCACGCCGUCGCGAGGUACUCGUCGAGCGGCGGCACGCGGCCGCGGUCGAUCCGCCACUUGGAGAUUGCCGCCGUGUACUCCUUCCACUAGUUUACGUCGACGGCGCGACGUGCAUGGUUAGUUAGUCCGUUUGCUAUGUACGAAUAUUACAACAGUAAUGAAUGGUCGAUUAAACUGUCUCUGCACGCAGAUGCUCCUAAUAAACUUUUAAACUCCUUUUUUUUUCUUUUUUUCUUUUUUUUUGUUUAUUUGCAAGCAGGCAUGCAUGAUCGAUAAAAAGAACUUUAGAGAAGCAUUAUUAUGGGACAAAAAUUUUAAGGGACAAGACUCAGCAAGCUGGCUCCCUUCAUCAAGGUCUACUGUCUGCGUGCCAACUUCCGGCAAUGUUUUAAUCUAAACUGCAAAAGGGACUGGGCUGUCAGUGGCCCGGCUCGCCCUGGCACGACUGCAUGCCAUGCUGGGCCAAAUCUAGCCCACUCCAGUCCAUCGAAGAGUCAAAAAAUAAAUAGUAAAAAACGAAUAACCUUGUAAAAUUAAAUAUUUAACUUUUUAAUUCACGAUCGGAAUUAUUAAACAUUACCUAAAUGGUAUAAAAAAUUUUCUAUAAAAAAUUCAAACAGUUUGAAUUGGCUCUACAUCGUUAAACUCCGUUAAACAAACAAACGGUUCAUAUAGGCCGUGAGAGACAGUUGAUUUUAUGAAAUUUAGUUUCUAAAUGAUAUUAAUACUCUAGAACGACUUAGAUUAUAAAAAAUUCAAAUAGCUUGAAUUGGCUCUACAUCGUUAAACAAAUUUAGUUUCGAUUAUCGAUUCGGAAUUUUUAUAAUCUAAAACGACUUAGAUUAUAAACAAGCAAACAGCUCAUAUAGGUUGUUAAAAACUGUCAAUUUUGUGAUUCUUUGAUGUAGUUUGUAAAAUUUAUGAAAUUUUAUUUCUAGACACUUUAAAUACUUUAGAUCAACUUUAAUGAUUUCGAUCAUCGAUUUGGAAUCUCUAUCAUCUAGAAUGAUUUGCGAGGACGAAAAACUCAAUCCUCCUAAAAGGAUAUUAGUUGAAUAUAUAUAUAUAUAUCUAUAUAUAGAGUCCGGCUACUAUACUCUUAUGAGUAGGAUUGCCUUCAUACUCAUAAGUUGUUUUCGAUGAUAGAGCUUACGAAUCGACGAUCCAUACCGUUAAAUAUUAUCUAGAGCAUUUAAAACUUGUAGAAAUCAAAUUUUAUAAUUUUUCGAUAUCAUUUACCUUACGAUCAAAAGCUCACAAAAUUGACAAUUUUUAACGGCCGGUAUGAGAUAUUUGCUAGUUUAACGGUGAAAAAAAAUCAGAAUAGGUUGAAUUUUUAAUAGAAAAUUCUAUUCACUACCUAAAUAAAGAUCAAUAACUCCGAUCUUAAAUUGAAGGAUCCGAUUAUUCAUUUUUAGGACGUCGUUCGAUUUUAACUGUUCAUUUUAUACUUGCUUGAUGGACUUUAUAAUAAUUUCGAAAAAUUACGAAAUUUAUUUUCUAUAAGUUUCAAAUACUCUAGAUCAUAUUUAAUGGUGUAGAUCGUCGAUUUGAAAACCCCAAUAUCGAAAACAACUUAUGAGUACGAAGGGGUCUAUACUCAUACUCGAUACUCAUAAGAGUAUAAUAGCCCUAAUAUAUGUAUAUAUAUAUAUAUAUAUAUACUAUGAAUUAUGCUGGAAUACUAUUAAUAGUAAAACGCCCGUCUUUUGCUAUCAAGUUUUUAAACUCUUGGAUGAAAAAUUGUAGGGUCAGGAUGACAUUAGUCGGUUAGAGUUGAGUGGUCCGCUAGGGUUGAGUGUCCCCACUGGGUUAAGUAUUUUAAUCCAAUGGUUUAGAAAUAAUGAAAAAGAGGUUGAUCCAAAGGCUAAAAAACUGAUAGGCAACAAUGGAAUUUUGCUACUAAUAGUAGCCCAGUCCAACUCUAUAUAUAUAUAUAUAUAUAUAAUGAGGCUACUAUGCUAUCGGAAGCACGGAGCCUUCCGUGCUUCCAACUCGUUUUCGAUGUUGUGACUUUCGAAUCGUCGAUCGGCUCCGUUAAACUUGAUCUAGAGUAUUUGAAGUACCUAGAAAAAUAAAUUUUAAUGAUUUUACGAUAUCAUUUGCCUAAGUGAACGAAGGGGCUCAAAAUCAACGGCUGAAAAUAAAAAUCUUACAAAAUGUAAUAAUAUGACAUUAAAAUUUAAAUCAAAGAUAUUGAUCUUGUUUUAUAUAGUAUAAAGAAUUUUCUAUCAAAAUUUCACGUGAUUUGGAUAUUUCUACACCGUUAAACUUGCAACGGCUCACUACAGGCAUUGAAAUUUGUUGAUUUUGAGCCCAUUCGAUCACUAGGCAAAUGGUAUCGAAAAAUAAUAAAAUUUAUUUUCUAGGUACUCCAAAUACUCUAGAUCAAGUUUAACAGAGCGAUCGACGAUUCGAAAGUCGAACAUCGAAAACAAGCUGGAAGCACGAAGAGCUCCGUGCUUCUGAUAGUAUAGUAGCCUCACUCUCUCUCUCUCUCAUCCUCUCCGUGCCCCACCCUCGCUCCUCUCUCUCCUCUCUCCUCAUCGCCCGCCCCGCCGGCACCCGCCCGCGGCCCCCGCGCGGCCCAGCCCGCCCAGGUCUCUCUCUCGUCCAUCGCCUCCCUCCUCGCAGCGGCAGCCGGCCUCUCCUCUCGUCUCCUCUCCUCUCUCUCCUCUCUAUAUAUAUAUAUAAUAUAUACGUAGAAGUUGAGCUAGAAUACUCUCGAUAGUAAACGAGCCCGUUUACUAUCGAGUUGUUUUCGAUGAUAGAGCUUCCAAAUUGACGAUCGGCUCCGUUAAAUAUGAUCUAAACCAUUUAAACUAUUUAGAAAUCAAAUUUCACGCACUUUCGAUAUUAUUUUUUAUCCAUCUAGUGAACAGAAAAAUGAAUGGCUGAAAAUGAAUAUUCUUUAAAAAAUGAUGAUAGGAGUCUUGUAAUCAAGAUCAAGAGUAUCGAUCUUGUUUUAAAUAGUUUAAAGAAUUUUCUAACAAAAAUUCAAUUGAUUUGGACAUCUUUACACCGUUAAACGAGAAAACAUCUCUUAUCCACCUUUAAAAUUACAAAUUUUGAAACCCAUUGAUCAUUAGGCAAAUGAUGUCGAAAAGAUUUGAAAUUUGAUUUCUAUACACUUCAAAUGGUAUAAAUCAUGUUCAACGGAGCCAAUCGUCAAUUUGGAAGCUCUACAAUCGAAAACAACUCGAUAGUAAACGGGCUCGUUUACUAUCGAGAGUAUUCUAGCUCAACUCUAUAUAUAUAUAUGAAGUUGAGAAGAUAAGUAUGAAAUAUUUACCCUAAAAAUUUGUCUGAAUGCACAAGAAACAUAGUUGUCAACCCAUAAUUAUUUUAUACUAGAAAACUUAAAAGAAGAGAAAAAGAAAAAGAAAAAAAAAAGAAAAAAAAAGAAAAAUGCAUACCAAGGUCUUAUCAAGAGGAAGCAGCUCUCUAUUUUGAAGCCUACUUGCUUCUCGUGCCAUGUCUUCUACGGAACGGCACAAGCUUGUGAAUAUUACCGUGUGUUCUUCCGCAUCAGCCAAAAAUGAAGGAUCCCAUCUAUCACACGAAUUAGACAUGACGAUUAAAUCAACAAAGAGAAUCAAACAAAGUUAAUAAAUUGGAUCCCUCUGUGGUUUAGCGUAUUUACAUUUUAUCAUUUCAGUACAGAUUGAAAAAUGUAUGCUUUACGUUUCGUGGUAACAUUUUGAUAUAGAUUACAAACUACGUACGGUAAAGUGCAGUUGGUACUUCAUUGCUGCUAGGGCUGGCAAACGAGCGAGCCGGCUCGCGUUCGACUCGUGUUCGGCUCGGUAUUCGGCUCGCUCGAACUCGAUUCAAAAUUAAAUGAGCCGAGCUUGAACAAAAUAAAAGACUCGAAAUUCAUUUCAAGCCGAGCUUGAGUAUUACUCGGCUCGUUCGAAUUAGGCUCGAAAAGCUCGAAAAGCUCGAAUAUAUAUAUAUAUAUAUAUAUAUAUAUAUAUAAUGUAUUUUAAUUAUAUAUAGGCUUUAAUUUAAUUUGGGCCAUUAUUGUUGGCCCAUAAAAUAAACUCAACAAGUACAACCGUGUAAUUGAGCCAAACUCUAAAUUUACAUAACACACUCUCUUUUUCAGACACAUAAUACUAAAACAUGAUAACAUUCAAAUUUUCAAAUCCUAUUUUUUUUUCCCUCUCUCUUUACUCAUCUUUCUCUCUCUCUCGUCUCUCGUCUUCUCUCAUUUCUCUCUCUCAUCUCAUCACAGACCUCACACAGUCAGGUAGUCACCCUAGCUCACAUUUUUGCAAAUUAUUUGUAUUUUGAAAUUAUGGACUAUAUGAUCAAAAAUUGAGUAAUUCUAUAAAAAAUUAAACUAUUGAUUAUAUAAUGCGAGAAUUUCAAUCGGCUCGUUUAAGUCAGGCCGCUCACUCGAAAUAGGCUCGCUCGGAAUUUCGCUCGAAUAAUUUCAAUCCGACUUGAUCAGAUUUAGCUCGAAUUAAAUAUCAAGCCGAUUGAGCGCACGAUAACUCGCUCGAGCUCGGCUCGUUUCCACCCCUAAUGCGCACUUAAUGUGAUUCUUUGUGCGAUAAAAUUAUCCUUAUUUUAUACAUCACAUAAACCUAUAUAAAAGUACUUAAGAAAAAUCACAUCAUCCAAAGUGCAAAUGUUGUAUAUAUAUAAUAAUAUAUAUAAUAUAUAGAUAUAUAUAUAUAUAUAUAACAAUAUAAAAGCAUGUAACUUUGAACUGCCAUCCAUUAAACGUGGAAAAUUAUCAGACAGAACUUGGGAAUCAAAAACGACAAUAUCAAUCCAAUAUGGUGGCCUAAGCAUGCGCUUAACAAAAGCUAGCUACGCCGAAAAAGCAGAAAACUGGGGCUCAAAAUCCGCGGUGCGGCGGCCACAAAACACUUCGCAGCAGAUACAAACGGCGAAGACACAUUCUUUAACCUUGGACCUCCACCACUACCGCACAUACAAAGAGAAAACGUAAAACAAAAUAAAAUAUAUAUUUAUAUAUAUAAGCGUAUAGAAAUUCUUAUAAUGACGAACAGAAUAAAAAAAAAAAAGGAAUAAAUGAAUAUAUAUAGUAUAUGUUAGUAAUGCAUAUAUACAUGUAUAUAUCACCUAUUUAGGCAAAUGUGUUGAUAAUUAUUGGUCCCUAACCGUCACUUCACUUUUUUUUAGUUGGCUAGAGUUGUGCGGAAAAGCCCAAUCAUUUUUUAACAAGUAAAAUGGCUGCGCUUCGUUGCGAUUUUUUUAUCUUUCAAUAAUAAAAUAGAUAAAUUGUGUUUAGUAGGCUAUUUAUAACGACAUCAUUUUUUUACUAUAUUCGAUCAAAUAAGAUUCAUGCAACUAAAAUUAAUGUAUUUUUAACUGCAUGUAUUUUGUAAUUUAUUUAUAAUUAUAUGCAUCCAAACGGUCUUUUAGUUUUAACUGGGACGCCAACAUUUAGAACCCUAAAACCUUUUUUCGGCUAACACUACGUGUGUAGUAAUCUUGGAGACUUGUGCUAACAUACAAGCUAUUCUAUAAUAAGUGAGACCAAGGCAAGUAUUAAAAGUAUAAAAAGAAAAGGAAAAAAAAAGAAGAAGAGAGAGUAAUUGAUAGAUAGGCCAAGUUAUCUUAACUCUUCAAGGAGUUGCAUCUCUUGUUGAUGGAGCCUUUGGAGCAUCUCCAAGUCUAUUUUGGCAAGUUCUAGGCACCAUUUUCUCCACCCAUUGCUGGGCCACAAUUGCCUUAUAAUGCUUCUUGACUCCAAUCUUGGCAAAAGAUAUCUCCUUGGAUACUCCAAAGCAAAUUUUAUCUUCAUUUGUCCAAGUAAUUUGAUCUCAAUAUUGAUACCAUGAUGAUAGAAAAAACAGAAAGUAAAAUGCGCUGAUAAUUCUGCCACUAUCCCUAUAUCACGGCUUGAUAGUUUAACUUUCUUAUGUGAACACUUUAAUUUUUAAAUAAUCAAAUGGUUAAAUAGUGAAAAAUAGAAAGUACAAAAGCCUAGUCACAAUAUUGAGAUAGUACACUAAAAAGGAAAAGGAACAGGAAAAGAAAAAGAAAAUUACCUCAAUCUCAAGGUUGUUUGCACUCAAAACAGUUGGGUUACCCACAAGAAGUGCUUUUUGGAGUUGGGACUUUGCAAACAACUCCACACCUUGCAUGGUCUCUAACUCAUGGGGAAAAGCUACUUGGGAGCACUUGUAGAGGUUUAUCAAGCUUGUGAUAUCUUUAGGUGAGUCAAUAGACAAAGAGAAGAAGCCUCCAUUCUCAUCAUCUUUAGCUCUCUCAAGUACUUCUACAAUAGUAGUACAAGAUCUUCAUGAGGAUUAUUAGGGAGAGAUAGAACUACACUGCCAAUUAACUUUGUUGCAGAGGAUUAACAAAAGCUUAAGAUACGUAAUUUAGACUUAUAAUUAAUUACAAAGGCAACAUGGCCAUGUAGAUGUAGCAACCCUACGCCAAACAUAAACAUGUAACAAGGCAUGAUAAAAGCGAAAAAGUGCAAUCAUUACAGAGUAGAGUACGUGUAUAUGUAAGAUUUACACUUUACGCAUCCAUAGAUCUACAUUCCUUGACUAGUCUUAUAAAUCUUCUUUUAUAUUAAAAAUUUAAAAGAAUUAUUUUAAACCAUACAAUAAAAAAAAGGGUAUUAGAUUUACAUCUAUAUGUAAGUGUAUAGGUAACAUUUUCAUAAAAAGAAAAAGAAAAAAAAAAGCCAAGUACCUGAAGAUACAGAAUAACCAUGGAGCCUAAGCAAGUGAAAUGCUAUUACUGUGGCAUCCUUGUCCUUUAACCCCAAUUGCUCAUCCCAUUCCCUGCCAUUAAUUUUUCACAAAUAAUAAUGCUUCAAAAUGUAGUAUUUAACUAAGAAUAACUAAUCUACGAUCAAAAUUUUUAUAUAAAUUUUUAUUCUAGGGUUAAGUAUAUAUAUAUAUAUUUUUCUAUUUUAGGGGUUAAGUGCAACAAGUGAUAUAUUGAGAGAGCUAAUCUAUAAACCUUUUAGCGUUUAUUAAACUGGCAAAAAUUUUAGAGAUGUAUAUAUUGUUUCACUAGUGAUGUUCAAAAAAAUACUAACAAUAAUUUCUUUCAAAUCCUUCAAACUAUUUAUACAAAUGAAGCAUGCACUAUUUAGAGGCUUUCAGCAGAAUCAAGAUCAUCAGCAAAAAUUAAAAUAUUUUUGAUGAUUGAUUUGAUUUUUUUAUGGAAAGAAUCUCUAGUAACUUAAGAUUUUAAAAAGUAAUGAUCACUUUAUAUUAUUUAAUAUCAUAAUAGAGUAUGAAAUUUUGAGUUUGAGUCCCCACAGACUCCCAAUAUUAUUUUAUUCAUCCCAUUCAAUUCGGUUUGACCUCUUUAACCUCUCAAAGUCUCGAAACCAAACUUAGAAAAUAAAACUUAGGAGUACGGAGGCCUCCGUGCUCCUAAUAGCACACAAGUCCUACUAUAUAUAUAUAGAGCUAGGCUCUUAUGCUUUCGAAAGUAUGGAGGCCUCUGUGCUUGUAAGUUGUUUUCAAUGAUGCAGCAUCCGAUUUGGCAAUCGGCUCCGUUAAAUAUGAUCUACGCUAUUGGAACUUUUUAGAAACUAAAUUUUAUAAUUUUUUGACUUCAUUUGCCUAGUGAACAAGUAGGCUUAAAAUGAAUGGCUGAAAAUAAAAAUCUUACAAAAAAUAGUGAUAAAAGACUCAAAUUUCAAAUCUGAAGUAUUAUUUUUACUCUUGAUAUUAAGUAGAAUUUUUUUAUUAAAGUUUCAUUUAAUUUGGAUUCUUCUACAUCAUUGAACUUUCAAACAUGCCAUAUCGGGCAUUAAAAUAGUCAUUUUUGAAACUCUUUAAUCACUUUGUAAAUGAUGUCGAAAAAUUAUGAAAUUUGGUUUUUAAAUAGUUCUAAUAGCGUAGCCUAACGGAGCUAAUCGCUGAAUCAGAUGCCUCAUCAUAAAAAACAACUUACAAGUAAGGAGACCUCCGUACUUUCGAAAGUAUAGGAGACAUACUCUCUCUGUCUCUAUAUAUAUAGACCUAGGCUGGAAUACUAUCAAUAGCACCAAGCUAUUGGUGCUAUUAGGUUUUUCGGCCCUUGGAUGAAAAAAAAUAUACGGUUAGGAUGAUGUGGGCCUCCUAGGGUUGAGUAAGUUAUUGGUUUAAUAAUAUAAUCUAACGGGUGAAAAUAGUCAAAGGGUUAAAUCUAAUGGCGGAAAUUUGAUAGCACCAAACACUUGAUGCUAUCGAUAGUAUCUCAGCCGGACUAUAUAUAUAUAUAUAUAUAUAGUAUCUCAGCCAGACUAUAUAUAUAUAUAUAUAUAUAUAUAUAUAUGAGAGAGAGAGAGAGAGAGAGUUCGGCUACCAUGCUAUUAAUAGCACGAAGCAUUUGAUGCUACCAAGUUUUUCGCCGUUAGAUCUACCAUUUUGAUUAUUUUCACCCGUUAAAUCAUACUAUUCAACCAGCCACCUACUCAACCCUAGGGGGCCCACAUCAUCCUAACCGCACAUCUCUUAAUACAAUGGCGGAAAACUUGGUAGCACCAAGUGCUUCGUGCUAUUAAUAGUAUAGUAGCCGGAGUGGUUGUUUGUGAGUUUAACGGUGUAAAACAAUUCAAAUGGAUGAAAAUUUAUAGAAAUUCUUUUCACUAUUUAGAGUAAGAUCAGUAUAUUGACUAUCGAAUUUAAAUCUUUUAUCAUCAUUUUUUAUGAGAUUUUUAUUUUCAGCCGUUCAAUUUUAGACUACUUGUUUGAUAGGUAAAUGAUAUCGAAAAAUUAUAAAAUUUAGUUUCUAAAUACUUUCAAUAGUGUAGAUCAAGUCUAACGGAGCCGAUCGUCGAUUUGAAAACCGCAUCAUCGAAAACAACUUGGUAGCACGGAGCGCUCCGUGCUACCGAUAGUAUAGUAGCCUAGUUCUAUAUAUAUAUAUAUAUCGUGAAGCUACUAUGCUAUCGGAAGUAUAGAGGAUCUAAUGCUUCCAACUUUUUGACCAUUGGAUUAAAAAUUAUACGGUUAGAAUGAUUGCGGUCCUCCUAGGAUUGAGUAGUACCCCUAGGAUUGAGUGGUCCCCACAGGUUAAUAGUAUUAAUCCAAAGGUCAUAUAUAUAUAUAUAUAUAGAGAGAGAGAGAGUUUUGCUAGAAUACUAUCGGUAGUAAACGGCUCGGUUUGCUACCGAUUUGUUUUCGAUCAUAGAGCUUCCAAAUUGAUAAUCGACACCGUUAAGCAUGAUCUAAACUAUUUAAACUAUCUGGAAAUCAAAUUUCACACAUUUUCAAUAUUGUUCUUUUGUCCAUCAAGUGAACAGAAAAAUGAAUGGCUGGAAAUGAGUAUCCUUCAAAAAGUGAUGAUACAAUUUUUAUAUUUGAGAUCUAGAGUCUAGAUCUUAUUUUAAAUAGUUUAAAGAAUUUUUUAACAAAAAUUUAGUUGAUUUGAACUCUUCUAUACCGUUAAACGAGCAAACGCAGCAUAUCGGCCAUUAAAAUUAUAGAUUUUGUGACUCUUUGAUCGUUCAGUUAGUGAUGCCAAAAAAUCAUGUAAUUUGAUUUUUAGAUAAUUUAAAUGGUCUAGAUCAUGUUCAACGGUACUGAUCGUCGAUUUGGAAGCUCUAUCAUCAAAAACAAAUCGGUAGUAAACCGAGCAGUUUACUACCGAUAGUAGCCCAGUCAACAUAUAUAUAUAUAUAUAUAUAUACUAGUUGAAUGUACGUGCAAAUGCUCAUAAUAAUUAUUAUAAUAUAUUUCAAAUCAAUAUAAAUUUGUACAUUAUAUAUAUGCAAAAUUUUACAAUGAAAAUUAUAUUUAUAAAUUAAUAUGUUAUAUUUUGUUAGAAAAUAUUUACAAUAUCCUACAGUGUUCUUUUUUUUUAUAUACAUCGAACAUUUUUAUAUACUUCUUGAUUUUUGAUGAAUUAAAUUUAAAUAUGUGUUUUAAAUUAAAAGCAUCAAAAUUUAAUUCACCUUUAUUUUAAAAUUUAAAAUUUAAUUUUGAGCUAUUAUAAUAAAAAAGUUAAUUGUUAAUUCAAAUUUGAUAUCAAAAUUAAAUUUAAUUCAUAAUUUAAACUCAAAUUUUAAUUUUAAUGUAAAAUAGAUGAAUAAAAAUAUUACUUUUUAACAAAUUGGUCAUAACCGUUUGUUUUCAUUUGAGAUAUUUUUUAAGAAAUUGAUUAUAAUCGUUCGUAGGAUUGAAUUUAUAAGUGCAUAGGAAUACUAUUUUUUAAUAGAUUAGUCAUAACUAUUCUUAUUUGAAAUUUUUUUUAACAAAUUGAUUAUAACCAUUUGUAAGGAAUAGAUUUUUAUAUAUAGUGGAGAUUUAAUAGAUUGAUUAUAACCGUUCGUUUUUAUUUGAAAUAUUUUUAACAAAUUAAUCAUAACUAUUCGUAGGAAAUAUUAUUUUAUUCCGUUUUGGAUAUAGUAGAGAUUUAAUAGAUUGAUCAUAACCGUUCGUUUUUAUUUGAAAUAGUUUUAACAAAUUAAUCAUAACCAUUCUUAGGGAAUAUUAUUUUAUUCUUUUUUAAAUUUCGUAUGUCAUUGUCGGAAUUCCUAUACACUUUUAUAUAUAAUACAGAGUAUAGAUAUAGAUAUGAAAAGCACCAUUAGUUUAUAUAUUAUAUGUAUGAAAAGCACCAUUCUCUAAUAAUAACUUAAUUAACAUUUUAAAAAUUAAUAAGUAUUUUAUAUUUUAUCUAAUAUUAUCUAAACAACACUUAAUCAAAUCGCACUAUAUAUGCUGCAUGGAGCUAGCUCUUUGUAAGGACUGAGAUUUUUACAGUGCAACUAAACUCUCUGUUGAUGAUGUUUAUGUGUGCAACUAAACUCUCUGUGGCCAAAAUUGCUCCAAAAGGUGAGCACGGUCUCCGGCACGUCGAAACCUGUCAAUGGGUAUCUUGGCUCGGCUGAUUGACCUCUGGUUUGCAUGGACGGACCAUAAAAGCGCCGAAGUCGCAUGAAAUAAUGCGAUUUCGGGUAUUCGGAAGGGCUUUUAUGCAACUUUGUCCGUCGUGGCUGCUGUUGGCAGCAAGUAUGGGCUGAGGAUAACCUCCGGACUGAUUGUCCAAGGUCCCGGACCUUUGCGAAGAUCGAAAAGGGCAUUCCGGUGCGUUUGUCGGCAAAAUCCGCCGACGGAACGCGGUUUCGGUUCGGAAUUAUUCCGACGGUGUCUCGGGAUGAUUUAUUGUGUCGCUGAGCCUAGUUGGCCGGUCACCCGUGUCAUUUCGAGGGUUCGGAAAUGACGGGUGAGCGACGGUGGGUUCCGGUGUCGAAAUAGACACUUCCGGGAACCUGGUUCGGAACGAUUAUCCGACGAUAAUCGUUUUGGAGUGAGUUAAGGUCUUUGCUGCCAAGUCGCAUGUAAAUUGUAUUUAGUGGCAGCGGGUGACUCGUAGUACGAGUCGGUGAGUUCCGGGACAGUCCGUGGGUCCCGGCAGAGCCUCCGUGCGGUUUUCGGGACUUCCGUUUUGUUCGGUAAUCGGUUUUGGGAAACCGAUCUCCGUGGUUUAUUUGUGGGGUUAUGCUUUUAGGGUUUCUUAGUUGUGGGUUAGAUGCUAACCCGAUGGACCCUCUAUAGGUCCGGUUGACAUUCUUUUGCAGUCAGGAGACAGGCGCGACAAUUGUACAAGUGGGUACUUCGAUUCGACGUCAGUACAGUGGUGCACGCUCGGUGAUGGUUUCUUACCUUUGCUCUUUCGUUAUUAUCUAGCAUAUAUAUAUCUUGAUAUAUAGUAUUGAGCCUAGCACCAUGUUGUUCAGUUACACUCUACUCGGUUGUUCUCUUUGUUCUCUUUAUAUCAUGAGUAGGAGUAGAGUAGUUAUACCAUAUUUCUUUGUUGCUCUACUUAGCUAUUCUGCAUACCCUGUUUCAUAUUUAUAGUAGAGCGAUUCUGUGAUUAUCUGUGAGAUUAGUGAUCUAGUCGGUCGAUUCUAGUAUUCAGUAUUUGUGACCUAUUCGGUGAGUUUCUCGACCUUUGUUGUCUGAUGACCGUUGAGGUCGGUAUACCCUGAGGGGUGGGAUUGUCGGUUAGUUGCCGACGGAUGAUUAUACUUUACUCAUAUCCUAUACUUGUGACGUGAUUGGUCGAGUUUCAUAUCCUAUACUUGUGACGUGAUUGGUCGAGUUUCAUAUCCUAUACUUGUGACAUGAUUGGUCGAGUUUCUUAUCCUGUACUUGUGAUGUGAUUGGUCGAGUUUCAUAUCCUAGUUGAUCUGAGUGGUCAGUCCUUGUGGUUCAUUGAGCAGUAUUUGCAUAUGUUUGAGAGGAUGUCGAUGUUGUCCCAUCCUAGUUGACCUGAGUGGUCGGUUCUUGUGCUUCUUUACAGUUGACGACCUAUGCGGUCGAUGGGCCCUGGGGGGCAGGAUUGUCGGCUGGUUGCCGACGGUUGAUCAUUGAGCAUAUUGUACUGAUCGCCCGAUACUCGUCGCAUUUCACGAACACUGGCGGUCUGAUCCACCGCAAGGAGUGUUCUUUUCCGGAAAAGUGGUUGAAUGGUGACAACCCGUGAGCCCUAGAGGGGUUAUAUGCACUGGAGAGUAGUAGUGGCACUGGCUUGAGGUCUGCGGUGCUGACCAAGAGAGCAUUGGUUUCAGAUUGGGUACUUUUGGACUUCUUGACCGAUUGACGCAUAUGUCUAUAGUAGCAGUCAUUGCAUGCAUACUUACAGUUCUUACUUUAUAGUUGUCUUGCUGCUAUAGUAGAUAUUCAUGUAUGCUUUCGGUUCCAGUUACAGUAGCGGUAGCCGUUAUUCAGUCUAGUUCUUUCUGUCUUUCAGUUUAUUGCUACUGUAUUCGGUAUAUCUACUCUUUACCUUAUUAUUGUUGCUACUAUAUUUCCACUGACCCUUGUUGUUAUUUAGCUCUUCCUGAUCCGGUGAGUACUCCUCGCCUUCAUCGGCUUGCGGUACCCACUGGGAGGGGAGACAUGUUUACAUGUUCUCACCUCCCCCACAACUUUUCAGGUAUUGCAGGCGAUGAGUAGUGAGACGAGACGUGAGGUACGUGUGUAGCGGUCGAUAGAGCUUCCGACCCAGGUUAUUUCGGUUUAGUUAUUAUCCUUAAUAUUUCUGUUGAUAUAUAGCUUAGAUAGCUUAUAUGGUUCAGUAUUUAUUUACAUUUGAAAAAUGUGGAUUUCUGAAUUUUUGUAAANAGGUAUUGCAGGCGAUGAGUAGUGAGACGAGACGUGAGGUACGUGUGUAGCGGUCGAUAGAGCUUCCGACCCAGGUUAUUUCGGUUUAGUUAUUAUCCUUAAUAUUUCUGUUGAUAUAUAGCUUAGAUAGCUUAUAUGGUUCAGUAUUUAUUUACAUUUGAAAAAUGUGGAUUUCUGAAUUUUUGUAAAUUAAAAGGUUUUCUACCCCUCGUGGUAGCGUUUUUAAAUAAUAAAGAUUUCCAUGUAGGAAACAGCUUUCAAAAGGUUUUCUGUGAUUUUAUAUCUUAGUAUUUCAAAAUCUGUUUCUGUGGUUGGAAACAUUUUAACUGAUAGGUGUGGAUUUAUGCAUAAAUGUGAAUCUGUGGUGAAUGGUGUAUGAAUAUAUAUAACGGUUGGUUAUCUGUAUGUUCAUUUGUUGUGGUUGUGCCUGGAUGACUUCUUGUACUCGUGCGACGUCGUGCAAAUAUAGGAGAGACUCUGUCCGUGUGAAUAGUGGAUUCUCUGUAUUUGUGGCGGAUCUGGCAUACUCUGGAGUCAGGUUUUCAAAAAAAAAAUUUCAGACGCUUUUCCGCUUUGUUUUAAACUGAAAAGGAACCCCAGGGCGUGACACUCUUACGCACAGGGAGGUCUUAUGCAGGAUGCUUUGGAUUUCGUGCUCAAAGAAUCUGGCAAUCCCUAGCCGUUGGAUCAAAUCCACCAUUGAUAGAGCUUCGUACGCAUAACAUGCUCCAUCUCCCCUCGCCAUUAAUUCUCUUUCCAAGUACCCGAGCUCUCCCCUUACUAACUCCAUCAACUCCUCUACCUUUGGAUCCUCCUGCACCAUACAUACAUACAUAUAAUAUAUAUGUAGUCUCUGUUAGUUAAUGGUAUAUAAUUAACAUUUUUUUAAAAAAGCAUAUAGCUCAAUUUUCAAAUUAGAUGGCUGACGGCUCGUAUAAUAUUGAAACUUAUCUAAUGCUAAUAUAUAAAAUGGAACUAGAAACUAAGAAAGCAUAUAAAAGCAUGCUUCUGUGUUUUCGGUAAAAUUGUAGAAUAUUUAUCCCAAUUAACUUAACUUAUUGCGAUAUACACGGAACGCAAUAUAUUUACGAAAUAACGAUAUACGGAACGCAAUAUAUUUACGAAAUAAGCAUAAUAUUUUUUUAUCGUAUUUUGUUAUCAUAUGUAGUGCAAUCUCCUCGUAAUCCCAAACGAGUUCAGUUCAGAAUAUUUCGAAAUUGAAUGAGAGAGAGAGGGAGAGAGAGAGAGAGAGAGAGAGAGAGAGAGAGGGAACAAACCAGUAGUAUUGGGUCCUUGAUCUCCUUCAGUUGUGGAACAUGUGAGAGAGCACAUGAAGGAGGGGGAUGUGGGGAGAGGGUGGGUGCACAUGAAUAUUGUGAGUACCAUAGUGGAUGGUGGUGAACAUGGUUUGCACCACCACCAUUAAUGGAUGAGCUCAUGAUGAUCCUGAGCCCAGUACUGUGGGAAUGCUUAGGACCAUGAAGUGGAUGAACCCUAGUUGUAUUCCUAGGAGAGAGGAUGCUCCCCUGGGGAGGAGAUGAGUGGAUCAGAAGCCAUGGGGAGGAAGAGAGACACAGGGCCAUUAUUAAUGUUGUCGAGCUAAUAAAUUAACUCACAACUGUAGUAUAACUGUAUCCAUGUAUGCAUAGCUUGGUUUUUAUAGGCUGAGGAGGGGUUAGUAAUUAAUAUAAGAGGCACAUUAACAAAUUAAAGAUUCACAGUUCAAUUUUAAUUAUUUGUGAAUUCUAAAAUAAAUAAGGUAGAAAAAGGUUUGAAGGAAUUGACUGAAAGAGAUCGCGAAUUAAUGACAUAACCAAGUGACAAAAUCAGGGGUUAUUUAGUUGCGUGCAGUUGUAAUUAUUUACAUAUUUAAAAUUUUCUGUUUGGUUCAAUGCAAGUUGAGUAAGAUUGUUAUGAAUCAGCGACUAAUUGUGAUACUAGCUAGAUUUGCUCUGGUACCAGUUUAUUGUAAUAAAAGCAGAAAAGAUAGAGUUCGUCUUAGGUUCAUGGGCGGAAAUAGAGUGAAGGUUUUUAUUAUAAUCAACAUUUUGUACAAAAUAUACUUCUAUUAUCUGUUGCAUUAAAUUUACGAAAUAAAAUAGUACAUUUAUAAUAAUGGUUAAAUUCUAAUACUGUUAGAAAUAAGAAUCUAUUGAGACUAGGAAUAAUCUUAGUAUAUAGGAUUAGUCAUAAUCUAAACAUUACUUAAUAGGAAAUCUGAAAUAGAAUAGGUUUAGAAAUCUUGCGGUUUCAGAAUUUAAAACAUAUCUAAAGAGUCCAAUUGAUGUAGUUAGAACUGCACAAAGAGACCAAAAUAUGCUGCAAUUAGAACUACACCCAAAUUGAAUAUAGUUUCAACUACAACAGUUGGUGAGGGAUCGGAUCACCGCUCCGUCUGAAAGUUGAUAGUAUUCACAAAGAUGAUUGCCAGCUUCAGGUUAGGAAAUAUUAUAUCUGCAAUAGUUGCAUCUAUACAAGACCGAACAAACAAGAUAUAGCAAUUGCCGCACUUUCAACUGCAUAUUUUUAAUUACACUGUGUUUAUAACUACAUCCAACUAAUUGGCACUAGUACUGAGUUAUAAAUGAGCAUCUUAUUCGAGCCAUUAAGGCCUGUUUGUUUCACCAAAGAUAAAGUUUAAGUUGAAAUAGAUUUUUGGGUAAACUAAACUAAACUUUAGGUGAAAAUUUUUUCGCUACUUAAUUAUUUGUAUAGCUGUGGAAUUGAAGUUUUCCUGGUUUUAUACUUUUAUCAUUUAUUUCGCAGGAAGUGAAUUAAAUAUAGUAAAAAUAGAGGUUUGAGAGAUUAUUUUUUUAUAGAACAAAUAAUGAUAAUUUGGUAAUUUUAUCCUAUCCAUUAACAUUGUAACCCUUCGAAAAUAUUUUUAAAAUUUUAAAGAAAUAAAACGUAGAUCUUUUAAAGUUAGAAAUAAAAAAAGGAAUAUUUACUCAGAAUAUUUUUGUAUUUUAACCUUACUCAAAAGCUCCAAAAUUUUCCCCAAAAAGAGGGAAAAUAUUUCACAUGUAGGCGUAUAGCUUAAUAUGCCUUUGUACCAUGUAGGUGUCUCUUUUUUUUUCUUUUUUUUUUUUCCUCUUGUUGUAGUCAAAGAGUGACCAAAGAGUGAGGGGAACGUAGGAUGUCGAUGGAUAUGGAUGCCUGAAAUUUUAUCUGAAUUUGAAUCAGAAUUCAAACUGAGUGAAUUUAUCCAAUUCUAAAUAAAUAUAGUUUCGAAUAUGGAUAUCAAAAACGAAAAUCCGUAGAAUUUGGAUUCAAGUAUGAAUUUUGAUCGCACCCAACUCGAAACUGAACCCGAUCCAAACCCAAAAUUAUUUUACAUUAUUUAUAUAUAUAUAUAUAUAUAUAUAUAUAGAAUUAGGCUGGAAUACUAUUAAUAGUAAAACGCUCUUUUUGCUAUCAAGUUUUUAACCCUUGGAUGAAAAAUUGUAGGGUCAGGAUGAUAUUAGUCGGUUAGAGUUGAGUGGUAUAUAUAUAUAUAUAUAUAUAUAUGCAUGAUGUUAUAUUUAAAUUUGUAUUUUAAAAUUUUAAAUUUAAUAUAAUAUAUUUUGAAAUAUUGUAAAAAGACAUAAUUGUUUCGGGUUGGGAUUUUUCGGAUUCGGAUUUCGAAUUUUUGGUUGGAUUCAUGUUUGAAUAUAAACUUUUAAGAUAUAUCGGAUUCGGAUUCGGAUUUGAAUUUUGAGUUUAGUAGUCAGGUCCCAUUCAGGUUCUUAUAAAUCCACCACGGAUUGUUGACAUUCUUAGGACCACGAGAUGUUUCCAUUCAUGAACCGUACAAGAACGUCAUGCACGUGCUCGCUCCAUUCAGGAUAUGGAGAAAAGAAAAUCCUGCACUAGUUUUACUUUUAUAUGCCAAAUGAGAGAUGCAGUCUCAAAUCCGUCUUGAUCUGCAAAGAAAAUAGGGUUUAAAACUAGAGAUUCUUUUCUGUCCCCGCACGGCAUCCUGAAUAAAGCGGUAAAUAAGGUCAAAAAUGAAUAAAAAUUAAUUCAUCUUGAAUCCAUCCCGCUCUGCUUGAAAAAAAGGGAGAAUUAACGGGGCAAAAAAUCUGUUCUUAUCCCAACUUGCCCCGAAAAGAAUUACAGGCUGUAGUAUUAAAUAUAUAACUAGACUUAAUCAUUUUUGGCCGGUGUUUUAGGCCAAACAAAUUAUUAGUACUCGUGGGCUAGAUCAUUGCAUUUGAUAUCGGAAUCAAUUUGCACAUAAAAAGCGCGAGGGUGGUCUCAUAUAACUUGGUAAUCGUAAAUUACGAAACGAGACCUAACGAGAAUAUCAGGGUCUAAGCACAAAUUAAAAAUCGCAUUCCACAUUAGAUGGAAAAGAAAUUUUUGCGAAAAAUAUAAGGAUUAUGGACUCUAAUUAUAAUUAUUGAAUUUAAGCAUUUUAUUCUUGUAGUUUGGACCUACAAAGUUAUUAAUGAUAGUGAGCACGAUGAAUAAUUACAUUUGAUAUCAGAGCCAAUUUACCGAUCAGAAGUAUAUGAUGGUCUCACAUUGGCUGAUAAUCAUAGGUUAGCGAUGGAACCUAGUGAGGAUAUCAACAGUCAUAUCGAUUGAGAAAAAGGUUGUGAAUGUUUUUUUUUUUUCUUUUUGAGAGAGAGAGGGAGAGAGAUAGAGUCACACAUCGAAUGAGAAAAAGAUUAUGAACAUUUUGUUUUCUUUUGUUUUCUUUUUUUUUUUUUGAGACAGAGACAGAGGGAAAGGUAGCAAGCUACCUAUUUAGUUCAAUUUAUUAGAAAUGAACUCCAACUAAAAAGGUGAAUCAGCAUUUAGUCAAUUAUGAAAGGUACAAUAAAUUAAAGACUUUAUUAGCGAUUAGUCAUUAAUUACUAACAAAAUAUAACUAUCUUCAAUUGAAAUUGAAAUUCUAAUUACCAAAAAAAGGAGUUAAUUUCACACGACUCCCUGCAAAAGUGUCAAACGUGAAAUGACCACUUCACUCUUAUAAAUUUAUCCAUAUAAAAAUAGCAGAUAAAUCCAUACAAAACUUAAGUAAUCAGAUUUAUUUCUCUGAAAAUUUUAUGGUUUGCAAAUAUAUUCCUCCAAAAGUUCUGAUACAUUUAUAUUUGUUUCUGUUGUUUGAUCCACCGUUAAUUUUUUAAUGGUGGGGUGCGUGAAAUAACCACUUUAUCUUUAUAAAUUUGUCCAUAACAAAAGCUAUCUUCUUCCUCUCUCUCCUUUCGUCUUCGCCACGGACCGCGCAACAUAAGACGCUGCGACCAAGGGUCUCACCUCUGACGCCGUCGCCGCUGUAGGCCUCACCGCCACCACGAGCAAAGAGGUGGAAAGAAAGAUACGAGUUGUACACAUAAGAAGUAAAAAGGUCAUUAUGCCUCUUUCCAAACAGUGGUUAACUUUUUUAAUUCAUGGUUAUCCACAUAAUCCACAUUUUCAUAACAAAAGAAUAUAUUUGCAUACAGAAGGAUUUUUGGAAGAACAAAUUUAAUAUCUUCGAGCGAAGCGGUAUGCAAUUAUCUCAAAACAAAAAUAUGGGCCAUACAAACCAGGUUAUGUUUGGGCCAACCCAUCAAAAUGUUGGGCCACACAAACCAGACUAGUAAGUCAGGUCAAAUCGGGUCAGGUCGGGCCGGGUCGGGACGAAUAUGUUGGCCUUAAUCCCAUCAAGGCUUAUGGACCCAACAUUCUCUACACUUAUAUACAAAUUCCUACAACUCUCAUAUUUGAUCCCAUUCUCUUUACCUCAUGAGCAUCACCAACUUGUGACAAAAAAUUGUCACACAUAAUAUAGGUAUAAAUAUAUAGAACUUAUCUAAACUAUGGACGGUUUUGAAUCUGCAACUCAAUCUUUUACAAUUUUGAUUUUACUAUUCAAUCAUUCAAGCCAGUCAACGGUACUUUGACUUCAAAAUUUAAACUAAUCACUUAUUUUAAUAAUCUAAGUUGUGAGAAUUGUAUGAAGUAUACUAAGUAAAUUUGUAAAAAUAAAUUAUGCAUUUAAAUUUUAAAGUCAAAAUACCGUUGAUUGAUUCAAAUCAAACAAAUUAAAAUGUUUGACAGUAAAAUCCAAAAUUUAAAAGAUUAAGUAGCCAACUCAAAAUUAUUCGAAGUUCAGGUAAGUUUUGUACAUUUUUUACCCAUACUCGUAAAAUUUUAUGUGCUUAUUAUCCUGUAUCUUCAUCCAAACCCAUUGGAUCAACCCGACCUAAUCCGGUUUGGGUCGGCUUCGGAUAAAGGCGGGUUUAGUUUUGGGUUGAAAGAUAUGAAUCCAAAAAAAUUUCGGGUCGGUUUCGAAUUGGAUUUUCAGUCCAUUUCUGGACGAAAUUGAUCCGGCUCACAAGUUAGGUCAAGUCAACGGGUAGGGUUGUGUCGGCUUAACGGGUUGGAUUGGGUUACAACGGAUUGAUGGAUUUAACUUGACACCUCGGAUGAGAUUUACGAAGUUAAAUGGACAUUCCUGGAGGGCCCGUCAACCCGAAUUUCAAAUGACCCAAUAGGUCACCUAGGACUAACAUUAAUUUUGAGUUGGCUAAACCCUAGUCUGAAACGGGUUGGAUCGGGUCGGGUUGGGUCGAUCAGCUUCAGAUUUGACCUGUAGAGGUGUUAAUACCUAAUUUCAACCCGCACCGAAACCGACCUGAUCCAUUGCAUAGCACUAAUGAUCAAAAUACAAUCUCCAUGCCCAAAACUUAGUUUUAUAGGAUGGAUCAUCCCGCAAAGCCAAACUUCCUUUAACCAAACUCUAAACCAUGGAUUAAUCAAUCACCUUAAUUUUCACCGAAACGACAAAUACGCGUCGAUCGCAUAACUCCGAGCUUUUUCUUUGGGGCCUAAUGAUAGUUUCUUAUUCCUUAUUCCUAAUUCUUCAAUGGACCCCAUUUGGAUUAGUUAGAGAUCAUGCCCAAAACUGCUUGUUAGAUAAAAAGAAGAUUAAUUCUCACCUCAACAAAAUCAGUACCGUUUGCAGCAAAGAAAGGAAGUCCUGCUUCACCCGCAAUAGCUUUAGCAAGAAGAGUUUUCCCAGUUCCUGGCGGUCCAUGAAGAAGCACUCCUUUUGGACAGUAUAUUCCCUUAUCUUGAAACUCAUCCUCAUUUUUAAGGAUUCGCACGAUCUCUUGCAAUUCUCUUUUUAUGUACUCUUGGCCAGCAAAAUCAUCAAAUGUGACGCCGGUGGUUUCUUCUGCAGAUAUGAACUUCGCCCUACGACAAACCAAUUUCAAAAGCUUAAGAGAAAUUAACAAACCAAUUUUUUUUUUCCAUCAGAAUUAACAGACAGCUAGAACAGAUGCUACAUUUGGCUAAGCUGUUUUAUAUACCAUUCGGAAACAAGAGAUAAAAAAUCAGCAAAGAUAAUGAAUAUUCUGACCUUCAGAUUGCUCCCUUCAUAUUGACUGAAAAAGAGGCAAGGACACUGACAAUGCCGAUUCCUACAGACCUUUUUUUUCACUGGUGAUUCGUGCAAACUUGGAUAUUGACAAGAACGGUUGCAGUUCAUACAUUUCCCACAAAAUACACAAACCUAGUCGCAUAAGGAACAUACAUGGCAGAGGCAAAGUGACGAAAAAUGAUAGUUUAUGUACAAUUACAAACCUACAACUUUCUUGUAAAUGAAAAAAGAUGCAUUCUAGCAUUUCAAAACCAUAGUUUACGUACUAUAAUCAUGCAACAUAUAAGUCACAAAUUCACGUGCACUUCAAUAUGAAGUCUAGACAGCCAUGAACAUAAGUAUAAGCUGUUUAAUGAAAGUACACAUUUUCUAGUGUGAAAAUUUUUGCCCCUGGUAAAUGAUUCUAGGAAUUAAGUGCUGAAACUAAAUAAACAAGCUGAUAUAAAAAAUACUUCUGUAGAUUACCUGCUUUUACCUAGGGAUCCAAGAGCACGACGCUUGAGGGGCUGCCUUGCAUUUUUUUCAGGUUUUCCAAGGUCACAGGGAAUCAGCUUGGCAUAAAUUGGCCUUGUCACGCUAUCGAUCAAUAGGUAUAUACCAACUGAAAGGGCAAAACGCAUUGACCAUACAACAGCAGUUGCAAUAGUAGAGUAGACUUCAGCAGGCACAGCAUCCACGUUAAUAACAUCAACAUUUACCAGUUGUUCGUGCAACUUACUCCAAACAUCAUUCCAUCCAUCAAUAGGCAUUUUAUCAACAAUAUGACGGUGAAAUACUAUUUCUCUAUUGGGAUUGUUUUCUUUUUCUCCUCCAUCUUUGUAAUAUGGUAAAAUAACUGCAGAAGAGAUAGGAAGUCAGUGUCGCAAUACAGAACUUUUAGGGAUGCAUCAAUGAAAUCUAUGUGUCCCCUAACAGCCUUGCUCGAAAUAAAAUUUCUGCGUAUUUUGCACCUUCCAACUGUAGUCUCAAACAGAGAGCUUCGUUAAUAUUUUCAGCACCUAUCUAUUUGCAAAUGCUACCCACACACAUUUAUAUUUGUCAAACUACAAAACGAGGAUUAUAAAAGUAUGCUCUGAGGCAGCAAUUCAAAUAGAAGCAACUAAUAAGUUCUUAUACAUGUGAUGUAAUAAGAGAGAGCACAUACCAGAAAUGGUCUGGCCAAAGUUUGAGUAUUCCAUGAACUGAACAUUAUUCGAAUUAAGAAGUCUCCAAAAUUCACUAAAAUCAAUUCUAUGAGAGUUCUCAGGAUCCCACUCUGUACCCUUCAAUUUUCCCUGUAGAGUGAGCAAAGUGCGGCUCCAGCAGGAAGCCAUGAUUAACUGCCUCUCUAGUUGCAUAUCUGCUUUCUUCUCAAACUUCUCCAACUUCUCUACCCGCUGCCUCUCUGCUUCCUUCAACCUCUGAAAACAAUAGGUAUGUGACGUCAUAUGGGACACAAGCAAGAUAAAUGGCACAAAAGCCUAUUUGGAUACAGCAAUAAGUUAAAUGGUAAGUAAUUACAACUAUAACCAGGAAAAAUGACUUGCAGAGCAUAUAUGUAUACAGUUUAAGAACGUCAUCUUUCUAUACUCCCUAUGGAUCAUUUAAUGACCCAGCCCAUUAGCACUAAGUUCUUAAAUUCCAUGCAUAAUUACUUUCUCACCCAAUUUAGAAUUAUUGGGGUAUUUCAAACUCCCACCGUUCGUACUCACCAAGUCCAAUCACACACACACGUAGUCCAAGAUCAUUGGGCGAUGUGAGAAUUGUCUCGCAUUUUUGACUGGUAAUCGACUCCGAUACCACAUUUAACCAGUCAGCCCAUUAGCACUAAGUUCUUAUAUUUCCACAUGCAAUUCUCCAUUCCCAUCCAACACGAUGUCGGACUAUUAGGGCGUCACAGAUCAACAACCACAUGACCUCGAGUAAAUAACAGAGUACGCUGAACAAGAUACUGAUGCAUCAAAAGAUGCUAUUGAAUGAGACAAAUUUUUGAUACAAUGAUCAAUUAUAAAUGGAAACACAUUUUACUAUGUAAUUUACAGAAGCAGCAUAGUAUGUUUAACUGGAAUCACUUGCUACAUAGCUGUUAUUGCCUAGUUCUAAGGGCAUUUAGAAGCUACAACCCUUCCAUUGCUUCUUUUAAACCCCGCACGUAAGAACCCUACAGCUACGAAUUCUGACGAAACGCUAGAAUUCGUAAUAAAUUAACUCACAACUGUAGUAUAACUGUAUCCAUGUAUGCAUAGCUUGGUUUUUAUAGGCUGACGAGGGGUUAGUAAUUAAUAUAAGAGGCACAUUAACAAAUUAAAGAUUCACAGUUCAAUUUUAAUUAUUUGUGAAUUCUAAAAUAAAAAAAGUAGUAAAAGGUUUGAAAGAAGACUGAAAGAGAUCGCGAAUUAAUGACCAAACCAAGUGACAAGUCGCCGAGACUUGAAUCUACAAUCUCUAGUUAUUAUAUAUAUAUAUAUAUAUAUAUAUAUAUAUAUAUAUAUAUGCUCUUUGUCUACGCAGCUGCGUCCUACUUCUUAUUAGGGAUUGUUUAGUUGCGUAAAGUUGUAAUUAUAUACAGAUUUGAAUUUUUCUGUUUGGUUCAAUGCAAUUUGAGUAAGGUUAUUAUGAAUCAGCGAUUUAUCAUGAUACUAGAUUUGCUCUGAUACCAGUUUAUUGUAAUAAAAGCAGAAAAGACAGAGUUCGUCCUAUGUUCAUGGGCGAAAAUAGAGUGAAGAUUUUUGUUAUAUAUAAUCAAAAUUGUGUACAAAAUAUAUUUCUCUCACAAAACCUAGUCUAAAAAAUACUCGUAUAUGCUUCUAUCACAAACCUUAGCCUAAAAAAUACUCGUACCUUCUCUCAUCUGCUACAUUAAAUUUACAAAAUAAAAUGGUAUAUUUAUAAUAAUGGUUAAGUCCUAAUACACUUAGAAAUAAAAAUCUAUUGAGACUAGGAAUAAUCUUAGUAUAUUAGUCAUAAUCUAAACAGUACUUAAUAGGAAAACUGUAACGAAUAGGUUUAGAAAUCUUGCAGUUUUAGAAUUCAAAACAUAUCUAAAAAGUCCAAUUGAUGUAGUUAGAACUGCACAAAGAGACCUAAAUACUGCAAUUAGAACUACACCCAAAUUGAAUAUAGUUUCAACUACAACAGUUGGUGAGGGAUCGAAUCACCGCUCUGUCUGAAAGUUGAUAGUAUUCUCAAAGGUGAUUGCUAGCUUCAGGUUAUCAAAAAAAGGAAAUAUUACAUCUGCAACAGUUGCAUCUGUACAGGACCGAACAAACAAGGUAUAGCAAUUGCUGCACUUUCAGCUGCAUAUUUUUAAUUACACUGUGUUUAUAACUACAUCCAACUAAUUGGCCUUAGUACUGAGUUAUAAAUAAGCAUCUUAUUCGAGCCGUUAAGGCUUUUUUGUUUCACCAAAGAUAAAGUUUAAGUUGAAAUAGACUUUUGGGUAAACUAAACUAAACUUUAGGUGAAAUUUUUUUCUUUUCUGCUACUUAUUUGUAUAGCUGUAGAAUUAAAGUUCCCCCAGUUUUUAUCAUUUAUUUCACAGGAAGUGAAUUAAAUAUAGUAAAAAUAGAGGUUUGAGAGAUUAUUCAUAUANGGGCCCACAUUAUCCUAACCGCCCAUUUCUCAAUCCAAGAGCUAAAAAAUUAAUAGCACCAAUAGCUUGAUGCUAUUGAUAGUAUUCCAGCCUAGUUCUAUAUAUAUAUAUAUAGUUGAGCUAGGCUGGUAUUCCAGCUCAACUAUAUAUAUAGAGAGAGAGAGAGUGAGGCUACUAUGCUUCCGGAAGCACAAAGUCUUCCGUGCUUUCAGGUCAUUUUUAAUGUUGCGACUUUCGAAUCGUCGAUCGGCUCCGUUAAACUUGAUCUAGAGUAUUUGAAGUAGCUAGAAAAUAAAUUAUAUGAUUUUUCGAUAUUAUUUGCCUAGUGAACGAAGGGGCUCAAAAUCAACGGCUGAAAAUAAAAAUCUUACAAAACGUGAUAAUAUGACAUUAAAAUUUUAGAUUAAAGAUAUUGAUCUUGUUUUAUAUAGUAUAAAGAAUUUUCUAUCAAAAUUUCACGUGAUUUGGAUAUUUCUACACCGUUAAACUUGCAAACGGCUCACUACGGCCAUUAAAAUUAUUGAUUUUGAGCCCCUUCGAUUACUAGGCAAAUGAUAUCGAAAAAUCAUAAAAUUUAUUUUCUAGAUACUUCAAAUACUCUAGAUCAAGUUUAACGGAGCCGAUCGACAAUUCGAAAGUCGCAACAUCGAAAACGACCUGGAAGCACGGAAGGCUCCGUACUUCCAAAAGCAUAGUAGCCUUACACUAUAUAUAAUUAGGCUACUAUACUAUCUAUAGUACCGGAGCUCCGGUACUAUAGUCUUGUUUUCAAUCUUAGGGUGUUCAAAUUAAUGAUCCACACCGUUAAAUAUGAUCUAGGGUAUAUGAAAUUCUUAGAAAUAAAAGUUUAGUUUUUUUCGACAUCGUUUACUUACUAAAUAAAUUAUGUCAAAAUGGACGGUGAAAAUUGAAUAAUCUUUAAAAUUUGAGCAUAGGACUUUUAAAUUCAAGAUCAAGAAUGUUAACCUUAAUCUAGAUAGUUUAAAGUAUUUUCUAGUAAAAUUUGAAGAAAUUUAGAUUCUUCUACACCGUUAAACUUCAAACUCGCCAUAGAGGCCAUUAAAAAUUGAUAAUUUUGAAAUUGUUUGAUCAUAAAGUAAACUAUGUCAAAAAAAUAUAAAAUUUUAUUUCUAAAAACUUUAAAUACCCUAAAUCAGUUUUAAUGAUGUGGAUCAUUGAUUUGAACACCCUAAGGUCGAAAACGAGACUAUAGUAUCAGAGCCCCAGUACUAUAGAUAGUAUAGGAGACUAGCUCUCUCUCUCUCUCUCUCUCUCUCUCUCUCUCUCUCUUUCUAUAUAUAUAUAGGCCAUGGCUACUAUACUAUUAUGAGUAUUGGAGCCCUUGUACUCAUAAGUUGUUUUCGAUGCUGGAGCUUCCGAACCGACGAUCCAUUCCGUUAAAUAUGAUCUAAAGUAUUUGAAACUUCUAGAAAAUAAAUUUCGUAACUUUUCGAACUCAUAAUAAAGUCCAUCAAGCGGGCAUAAAAUGAACGGUCAAAAUCGAACGACGUCCUAAAAAAGGAUGAUCCGAUCAUUCAAUUCAAGAUCGGAGUUAUUGAUCUUUAUCUAGAUAGUGAAUAGAAUUUUCUAUCAAAAAUUCAACAAAUUCCGAUUCUUUUACACCGUUAAACUAGCAAGUACUCCAUACCGGCCAUUAAAAAUUAUUAAAUUUGUGACCUCUUGAUCGUAAGGUAAAUGAUAUCGAAAAAUUAUAAAAUUUGAUUUCUAGAAGUUUUAAAUGCUGUAAAUAACGUUUAAUGGUGUGGAUCGUCGAUUCGGAAGCUCUAUCAUCGAAAACAACUUAUGAGUACGAGGGUGAUCGUACUCAUAAUAGUAUAGUAGCCGGACCCUAUAUAUAUAUAUAGUUUGACUGGGCUACUAUCGGUAGUAAACUACUCGGUUUACUACCGAUUUGUUUUUGAUGAUAGAGCUUUCAAAUCAACGAUCGGCACUGUUGAACAUGAUCUAAACCAUUUAAAUUAUCUAAAAAUCAAAUUUCAUGAUUUUUUGGCAUCACUAACUGAACGAUCAAAGGGUCACAAAAUCUAUAAUUUUAAUGGCCGAUAUAGUGCGUUUGCUCGUUUAACGGUAUAAAAGAGUUCAAAUCAACUAAAGUUUUGUUAAAAAUUUUUUUAAACUAUUUAAAAUAAGAUCUAGACUCUAGAUCUCAAAUAUAAAAAUUGUAUCAUCACUUUUUGAAGGAUAUUCAUUUCCAGCCAUUCAUUUUUCUGUUCACUUGAUGGACAAGAGAACAAUAUCGAAAAUGUGUGAAAUUUGAUUUCCAGAUAGUUUAAAAUAGUUUAGAUCAUGUUUACAGCGAUGCCGAUCAUCAAUUUGGAAGGCUCUAUUAUCGAAAACAAAUCGGUAGCGGUUUACUACCGAUAGUAUUCUAGCAAAACUCUAUAUAUAUAUAUAUAUAUAUAUAUAUAUAUAAUAUAUAUAUUAUAUAUAUAUAUAUAUAUAGAGCCGACUACUAUACAAAUCGAUAGUACCAAGCCCUUGGUACUAUUGAGUUUCUACCGUUAGAUCUACCCUUUGAUCAUUUCUACCCGUUAAUUAUACUAUUAAACCAACCACCCACUCAACCCCUACGUGACCACUAUCAUCCCUAACGCGCACAUCCUUUCAUCACGGCCGAAAACUCAAUAGUACAAGGACUUAGUACUAUUGAUAGUAUAGUAACAUAAUUCUAUAUAGUAUUACAUAUAUAUAUAUAUAUAUAUAUAUAUAUUUUCGAAAUUCACUUUUUGCCCAGUGUAGACCAAAGUCAAUUAUACCAUAUAUUUUUGAGAAAUUUGAGUUUCGAACAAAGAUAAUGGUGCAAUGAACCAAACAACAAAAAUGGACAUUGACAACCAAAACUACUUCGCCCCUCUUCACUUUCGGUUAAAACAAAAGCAGUCAUUGUGCACAAUAAAGAGCAACAAUCAGCAUCAUGUUCGUGCUCAUCCAAAAUUGCACCUAAAUAUUUACGAGUUGAUUCAUAAAUAUUUCGAGCGUACUAUUCUAUAUGAUAAGUAUAUCAGUUCGUGUCAUUUUUAAGUAAACUAAUUAAGGCUUCUUUUGGUAUUCGGGUCCAUUGGCAUUAUUAGAUAAAAUAAAGUUAGGGUAAAGACAUACAGGAAUAUAUUUUUACAUUUUCCGGUGGGACAAUAGAAAUAUAUCGUAACCGACUUAUUGCGAUAUGCGGAACGCAAUAUUACGUAUAGAAAUAAAUAAAAUAUAUUUUUAUCGUACUUUCUUACCACACGUAACGCAAAUAUCUAAAUCGUUAUACAAACGCAAAAUAUCUAAAUCGUUAUACAAAGACAAGUCAAUGAACAACCUCACUAAACUACAAUAAUUCAAAUGUGACAAAAUUAAUUUCUCUACCAAGUAGAAUAUAUGUUACAUUUUCUUCCACGUGUCCAAAUUUUCCACUAGCAAAAAGGAAAAAACAGAGAAAUGAGGUCACAGUUGUAGCUCCAAAAGUUUUUGAAACGUCGGAUCCAUUAACAAUAAUAAUUUGUUAGGUCUACACUAUCGAUCCAAAAUAUUUAAGCCCAAUUAUUAUUACUAAUAUAUCUGUCACUUCUAAAUCUAUCAGGGUCGUGGGCCUUCGGGACGUCAGCGUACCAGGGGAUCCCGUCAGUAGGGGCAGACUCAGAGGACGCCACAGUGUGUGAUCUGCGGGGGACCACACUGGCCCCGGCAGUGCGAGCAGAGAGAGGGCAGGUGCUACGGAUGUGGUCAGCCGGGACACAUGAGGGCAGCUUGUCCCGGAGCAGCAUCUCCAACACCAUCAUCAGCCUCAGCACCACCAGCACCACAGCAGUCUUACGGAGCAGUAUCGAGUUACCGCCAGGAGGACAGAUCGUCUGUGCCGCGGUCAAGUGAGCGGCAACAGCAGGCUCCGAGUGGCAGGGUCUACGCAGCUCAGGUGGAGGACUCUACAGCAGCCGACCGAGUGGUAGCAGGUAUCACUUUGAUUUCUGGCAUUAGAGUUCGCACUCUUUUUUAUACCGGUGUAUCGCAUUCCUUUGUUAGCCGAGCAUUUGCACAGUUACAUGGUCUAGAGUUAGGAGCGUUAUCUCAGGCACGAGAGGUGCAGAUCUCAGACCAUGUUUUGCAGGUUGUGGAGUGUUGUUGGUCGUGUCCAGUGCAGCUAGACUUGUGGAUUAUGCCCGCAGACCUGUUGGUGGUAGGGCAGCUGCAGGACUUCGACGUCGUGCUCGGUAUGGAUUGGCUGGCGCUGUACUAUGCUACGAUCGACUGUGGAGCGAGGACGGUGACGUUCCGCAAGCCAGGCCAGGAGGAGUUCACUUUCAGAGGCUGCAGGAGUACGUUGUUUGCCACUUGGAUAUCUUCGGCGAGGGCUCAACAGAUGCUGAGUAGCGGGUGUAUCGCUUUCUUAGCGACAGUUGUGGAGAUACCUACGGCGGCGCCAGAACUCGAGGAUAUCCCUGUAGUCCGCGAGUUUCCAGAUGUAUUUUUCCCCUGAGUUGACGUCGUUGCCGCCGGAGAGGGAGAUUGAGUUUGUGAUUGAUGUAGUUCCUGAAACUCCACCAAUCUCGAAGGUACCUUAUCGGAUGGCGCCGGCAGAGCUGAGAGAGCUAAAGGCGCAGCUGCAGGAUUUGAUGGAUAGAGGGUUUGUGAGGCCUAGUGUGUCGCAUUGGGGAGCGCCGAUAUUGUUUGUGAAGAAGAAUGAUGGUUCACUUAGGCUGUGCGUGGAUUACCGGGAGCUGAAUAAAGUGACCAUCAAGAAUAAGUAUCCUUUGCCGCGCAUUGAUGAUUUGUUUGAUCAGCUGCAGGGAUCUUAUGUCUUCUCGAAGAUUGAUCUCCAGUCAUGUUACCACCAGCUGAGGGUGAGGGCCGAGGAUGUUCCCAAGACGGCUUUUCGGACUCGGUACGGGCAUUAUGAGUUCACGGUGAUGCCUUUUGGAUUGACGAAUGCCCCUGCCGCAUUCAUGGAUUUGAUGAACAGAGUGUUCAAGCCGUUCUUGGAUAGGUUUGUGGUAGUCUUCAUCGACGAUAUCCUGAUUUACUCCCGGAGUGAUGCUGAGCAUGAGGAGCACUUGAGGAUUGUGCUACAGCUUCUGCGCGAGAAGAAGUUGUAUGCCAAGUUAAAGAAGUGCGAGUUCUGGCUACGGGAGGUUGCUUUCUUGGGCCACGUGAUUUCAGCUGAGGGCGUAGCAGUGGACCCGAAGAAGAUUGAGGCGAUUCGAGAUUGGCCUAGACCGACGACGGUGACUGAGGUACGGAGCUUCCUGGGACUGGCAGGAUAUUACCGUCGGUUUGUGGAAGGCUUUGAGAAGCAUUCCACACCCCUCACACGCUUGACGCAGAAGGGGAUUCGUUUUGUCUGGAGCGACGACUGUCAGAGGAGUUAUGACGAGUUGAGACUGAGGUUGACGUCGGCUCCUAUCCUUGCCCUUCCGGUGAUGGGGGAUGGAUUCGUGAUCUACAGUGAUGCAUCGCACAGUGGACUUGGUUGCGUGCUGAUGCAGCAUUGUAGGGUGAUUGCUUAUGCUUCACGGCAGUUAAAGGAUUAUGAGAAGAAUUACCCCACGCAUGACUUGGAGCUUGCCGCGGUGGUUUUUGCUUUGAAGCUCUGGCGGCAUUAUUUGUACGGCGAGCACUGCGAGGUCUUCACCGAUCACAAAAGUCUUAAGUACCUGUUCAAACAGAGGGAGGCCUAUCCCUAUCUGUUUAAUACCUGAGCUGAGGUACGUUUAAGUUUCGGGGACGAAACUUUUUGUAAAGGGGGAGGAUGUGAGGUCCCUGGUGUACAGCUGUGGUGGCUUGUCGGCAGCUCUGGAGAGUGUCGGGACAAGUCCGAGUCGCGUUGGUAUCAAAUAGACGCAAAACGGACUCCGUGCGACGCGAGGGCAGCUUAUAGCGAAGAAAUCUGCAAAACAGCAGAUUUCUCGACUUGCUGUACCGGUACAACCAGCGUGGCUGUACCGAUACAACCAGCAAGGCUACGCACAAGUUGCUCUCGGGUUGGCUCUUGUACCGGUACAGUAGCCCGUGUACCGGUACAAAAGGGUAGGUAGAGGGCUAAUUGGGUAAUUUUAUCCCUCGUUUGUAUCACCAACUCUCUUUCUCUCUAUAUAGCUUUGCGUAGAGAGAGAGAUGAGCCAUUUUGCUCCAUCUUCAUCUCUCUCUCACUCUCAUCCGGUUGAAGGAAAGGAAGGGCUCGGUUGGAGCUUUCGUCGCCGACGUCGCGCCGCGGAGCCGUUCGAGGAUACAGUUGCCGGCGUUGCAUCGCAAGGAGGACGAGCGAGUGCGGAUUUUUGCCGUUUGUGACGUCGCACCAGUGCUAGUUGCGGUCGAGGUUGGUUAUCUAGCACUUCCUUCGUUUUGGCUAGUUUUUACUUCUUCGAGCUCCAGGAUGCUGUUUUGCUGAAAUUCGCCGUCGACCGUUAGUAUUUCAGCUCGUACUCGACGUAGGGGCAUCGGAUUGCGACGAGACUUGAUUUGUUGGAUUCGGAACUGCGAGAGGAAUCCACGAAGCCCUUACUUGUGGAUUUUGGUGAAGGUUAGCUUGGUCGAAACCCUUCUCUUCUCUACUACUGUGUAUUUGGACUGAAUUGUUGAUUUUCGAUGUUGAUAGCUUGGAGAUAGCUGAUUUCGAGACUCGGACAUUUUCAGUCGAUCCAGUAGGUUGUGCCGCAGCCGAGGGAGUUCCGUGCUGCCAGGGAUUAGCUUUGAGGUGGGUUACAUCGGUUUUGACUUCUAAGUUCUAAUCGUCGACAUGUAUAAAUUUCGAUUUUUGGUAUAAUCUAUUCUAACUCGAAUUCAUGGAUUAUAUUAUAGAUUGCAAAUCUCAAUUUGGAGCAUGUGGUAAUAAAUUGAGUAGUUUAUACAUGUUGGACUUGGUAUUGGAAUUAGGAGAAAACCUGCGAUUUGGACCUGUCACUUGUUUAAACUGCCUGAUUUAGCUCUAGGAGCCGUUAUAAAAUUAUACUAUCGCAGUAUCCUCGAGACGAGUACUCCAAGUAGUUUAGCAUACAUUUACACUCGUGUUGAUACGCCGAGUGAAUUUUUACAGGGUCGUUUGGGCUGUUCCGAACUGUUGGGUGCCGUCAGGUUGACGGUAGACCCGGAUCGCCUUUUUGGCGACAGAUUGUGCCGAGGGCACGUGAACGGUUGGUUGUUAGACCAGUUAGAGUCGGUUACUUGACUUUGGCUUUUCAAAGCCUGUUUGAGCUCGACAGAGAUACGCUGCAUACUCGGUUGGGUAGCGCCCACGAGUGCCACUCCGGAGACGAGCUUUGUGCUUUCGCGUUGGUGUCGCUCAUGCCGGUUGGACUUACUCUCCACGGACCAGUUAGUGUGGAGGUAGCUGGAUAGUCACAACUGGGCAGGGACGGGUGUAUUCACAGUCCCCGGGACGGGUAUGUUUACAGUCCCGAUUGGAUUGGGUCAGUCUUGACAUUUCCUACAGUGGGUUAGUAUAGAACAGGAUGGUGUAGUGACUAGUAGCUGUAGAGUUCAUUCCGGCAUUUUACUUUUACCAUUGCUCCCUUCUGUAGACUUAGUGGAUGGACCGAUGUUGUUUUGGGCGGCACCCACUGAGGACUACUUGUUUUUACAGUAGUUCUCACGCCCAGUUGUUACCCCUGUUUUGCAGAGCCACAGGUUUCGGCUGCUGCGCCUUCCGCGGAUCAGGAUCGAGGCAAGGGCGUCGCGAGUUAGAGCCCUACCCGCCGAGCAGAGCUAGAGGCACCCUACUGCAGGUAGUUGUUUUAUUUCGAGCUUAUGUACAUAGUACUUAACUCGCCAGUGCGAGUAACUCUGUAUUUAAUUUUUUAACUAUGUAUAUGAAGCUCAGUUUGUUUAGCUUUUGUUUACUAGAGCAGCUCUACACUACUGUUUGUAGUAUUGUAUGUUUACAGAUAUAGCUGUCGCUUCGUAUACAGGGGAAUCUCUUUUGUAUACGGCGGAUUUGUCGGCGUUCCCGGGGAACGUGUAAUCCGGAGAGUGACACUCUCUCUCACUCUCUCUCACUCUCUCUCACUCUCUCAUACACUCUCUCUUUCACUCUCUCUCGUACACUAAUUUAUUUAGUGAGGUCCACAUCAAUUUUAAAAAAAUUAAUUGCACAUUGGCCCUAAUUUUUUCACUCUUUUUUAUUUUGAUCCCUAAUCUACCAACUUUGCAUAUUUUUUAUUUUACUCCCCAAAUAAUUUUUUAUCAAUUAUUUUAUAUAAUAAUAUAAUAUUUGAUAGUUGAAUUAUUUUACAGUGUAAAAAAUAUCUAUUUUGAUUUCGAAUUCCUUUUGAUUAGUCAUAUUUUUUAUACUCCUGAUAAAAAUAUACAUUAAUUUUCAUUUUAAUUUAUUCUCACCUACUCUCUCAAACUCUCUCUAUCAUAAACUCUCUCGCUCACUCUCUCACGCGCUCUGUCUGUCUGUCUGUCUCUCUCUCUCUCUCUCUCUCACUCUCUCUCACUCUCUCUCAUACACUAAUUUAUUUAGUAGGGUCCACAUCAAUUUUUAAAAAAUUAAUUGAACAUUCGGCCCUAAUUUUUUCACUCUUUUUUAUUUUGAUCCAUAAUCCAUCAACUUUGCAUAUUUUUUACUUUACUCCCCAAAUAACUUUUUAUAAAUUAAUUUAUAUAAUAAUAUAAUAUUUGAUAGUUGAAUUAUUUUACAGUGUAAAAAAUAACUAUUUUGAUUUCGAAUUUUUUUUUGAUUAGUCUUAUUUUUUGUCUUUCUGAUAAAAGUAUACAUUAAUUCCCAUUUUAAUUUAUUCUCUUCCACUCACUCUUACUUUCUCUGUCGUACACUCUCUCUCCCGCUCUCUCUCACUCUCUCUCACUCUCUUAUACUCUCUCUCUCACUCUCUCUCGCACACUAAUUUAUUUAGUGGGGUCCACAUCAAUUUUUAAAAAAUUAAUUGCACAUUGGGCCCUAAUUUUUUCACUCUUUUUUAUUUUGAUCCCUAAUCCAUCAACAUUGCAUAUUUUCCACUUUACUCCCCAAAUAACUUUUUAUAAAUUAAUUUAUAUAAUAAUGUAAUAUUUGAUAGUUCAAUUAUUUUACAGUGUAAAAAAUAUCUAUUUUGAUAUCGAAUUUCUUUUUGAUUAGUCUUAUUUUUUAUCUUUCUGAUAAAAAUAUAUAUUAAUU